AGAGCUGAAGACCUAGCAGCGAAGACUUGCAAAGGUUGAAGCACCUGAUCGACUCGAUAAACAGCCAGCUGACCAUCGGUAUAAAUGGUAUCACUAACACUGGUUUUCGUCAGCCCUGUCUUUAGAACCACUGUGUUUCCCGAAGAGGUGACGUUGAGAGGAAACUCACCGUCGCCGCUAUCUCCGGCUUGUGUUCUCAUAGGGUUGCUAACUGUUUGGAAUUGGGAUAAUGGGAUAUAACUUGGGAUGACGUGAAAUAGCACCAGCUGAACCCUUUGUUCAUCGUUGAGUGAAUUCAAGGCACCAGAUUUGAGGGCGGAGAAAGCCUUAUCAGUGGGGGCAAAAAUGGUCUUCCCAUCAUCUGUGUCUUUGAGCUCGCCAAUGAGACGGUCGGAGACUUGGGUGGAUUUGAGAAGACGAACGAAGACGGAGUAUUGGCCGGCUUUUUGCAGGAUUUUGGUGACGUCUGGUGGACCAGGUGGUGCGGGAGACUGAGCGGGAGGCUGGGCUGAAGUUGUUGAGCAAUGGAGCUGGAAAAACAAGAGAAAUGAGAUAGCGAAAAGCGGGAUCAAAUGUUGCUUCGUAAUCGCCAUUGUUGAAGGGGUUUUGGUAUGUGUGGGAAAUUGUUGAUUUGGCAAUGGAAGCAAUGGAAAAUGGAAUGGAAUAUAAGGAGAAGAGGGAAUGGAUAAAACACUGUUAGAGCAAACCAUUGAUUGCUUGGAAAGAAAGUAAAAACAGAGGAGAUUUGGAGUUUGAUGUGUGAACCAAUUAAUAUUAACAAUGAUGUAAUGAUUGUUUAUGUUUUUGCUAACAUUAAAAUCCCAACGAUCACAAAUUUGUUAAAAUGUAACUUUUUAAAUAAUUAUAUUGAAUCUGUUAAUAAUAAAAUUAAAAUUAGAAAAUUUUAAAGGACUUAAAAAUAAAUAUAAUUAAAUUUAUUUAUAUAAUUAAAUAUUGAUUAUAAUUAUUUUUUCUCUUGUAGGUGUUGGGUGUAGGAUUUUAGGUUUUUAAUUUCGAAAUUUAGAUGAUUGAUAUUUUUUUUUAUGUUUAAUAUUUAUUUUUAAAUACAUUUUUAUUUUUAUUUUUAUUAAUGGUACAUAAGAUGUAUACACCAAUGGUGUAUCAAACAUUCUCUCUUAUAUUAAUACUACUUUUCUAUCCCAUGCACAAACUACUAUUUUAUUUUAUAAAAUUAUUAUUUAAAUAAUAUCAUAUUAAUUAAAAAUAUUAAUGAUAUAAUAUUUAAAAGAUAUAUACAACUUAAAAAAUAUUCUUUUUAAAUUAUAAAAUAAUAUUUAAAACAAAAAAAAUGUAUGCAAAUAAUUUUAGUUGAUAAUUUCAAUAAAUAAAUUAAGAAUCAUCGUUUCUUUUAGCUUCGUCAAUGUCACAAAUAGAAUUUAAAAUUUAUUGUUACAAUAUUAAUAUAAAAUAGCAUUCUAAAAUCAAUUUAUUUUUGAAUGUUUUAACUUAAAUCCGAAUUUAUAUUGUAAGAGGCUAAGAGGUAAAUAUUUUUAAAAAUAGUCAUGAAAAUAUCACUAUAUAUUACAUAGUUUUCUUAUCCGGCGUUACAUGGAUUUACGUGUGUAAAUAAUUCAAAAUAUAAUAUGUAGUUUUUUAAUCCGUGCAAUGCACAAAUAGUUCAAAGUUUUAAAAUAUGUGAGUAUUUUGUAGAUAUUAAUAUUUAUUUUAAAUUAAUGUUUUUUUUUAAAAUAAAUAUAAUUAAUAAUUGUAUUUAAUUUGAGAUAUGAUUACAUGUCACCAUGAGUUUUAACUAAAAUUGAGUCAACAUUACAAAUAAAAUGAGUAAAAAAGUAUGUUAAAAAAUGAAAACUUGAAUCUAGCAAAAUUCUAUUAAAUUGGGUAGUCUUAUGUGAGUUGAAUAAAGAAAUGGAACUCCUGAUUCCUCCGUAUCAGUUGGGAGUUUAAAAGUUUGUAAUAUAAUUUAUGUAUGAUAUAAUAUAAAACACCUUUAUUUUAAAAAUAUAAUUCAUAAAACAAAUUGAUCGAAUAGUGUAAUUUUGACAGCAUAUAUGUGUAAAAAGUUUAAUUAGGUUUUUAAAAACCUUUAUAUAUUGUAAAUAAAUUAAAUAUAUAUAUAUAUAUAUAUGGGCAAUAUGCUAACUUUUGUUUUAAUGUUUGAAUAUCGAAUAUAUUAACAUAUAUAAGUAACUAUAUUCUUUUUACUUGCAAAUCAAAAAUGUGUUUAUUUGAUUUGUAAUUUUGAUAAAAAUGUUUUAUGAUAAAUAUGUAUAUAUGCAUGUCUAUAUGUUAUGGGUCGCGGAUCAAAGCUCGUAACUAAUGUAUGAGCAUUCCGUUGAGGCUAACUGAUUCAAUAGGGCUCAUUCGACUUACUUGAAAUGACUCAAUUCGUGAAGUAUGGAGAAGUUAACCCAUCUACUUGAAACCUUGAUGGCCCAGUGAAGCACUUAAGCAAAAUUAGGGCUACAUUGGUAAUCUUAGGGGAUCAUGUAAAUCUCUUAAGGAUCUCAAAUUGUAGAUUGACUUAAUCUCGACCGUCAAUGUAAAGUAAACUUUAUCAUUGGAUCUGGUGGAGCUUAACUAUAAAUAAAGGUAUUCCCCCACAUUUAUAAUCACCCCAUAGAAUCUCAAUAUAUUUUAUUCAAACUUAGUGAAUAUACUUUGACAUAGAGGUGCUCAUGGGUUGGGUCGGGUUCAACAAAAAAUUUAGGCCCGUUUGCUAGGCCCAAAAAUGGGCCUAAAAUUUUGCCAAGCUCGGGCCUGACCCGCCCGUAUUGAUUUUUUAUAUAAUUUUUAAAUAUAUAAUAUAUAAAAAAAUACUAAAAACCCAAUCGGCCCAGCCUAUGAGCAGGUCUACUUUAAGAGCAUUUGCUCAAACACCUUGUGGGUGUUGCUUUCUCUUUUGUCUUUGAGUUGUUUUUGCUUUAUUUUCGGUAAAUUAGAGAAUUUCUGUUGAGAAUUUUCACUUUGCGAGACUUAGGUUGAUUUAGAUGGAUUUGAAACCAAAAAAUCACUGCAGAAAUUGUGAAACUAAAGUUCUAGCCCCGUGACAUAUAGCUAUAUUUAUUAGCUCUGUAACCAUUUUUUAAAAUCUUAUACUAUGGUUCAUAAUUUUGCGUUCAAACAAUACACACAUAGUGGCGGAGCCAAAAAAAUUAUUUUUGGGGUGCCGGAAUUAAAUUGUAUAUUUUUAUGAUAGUAAAAAUGUAAUUUCACUAUUUUAAUAGUUUAUAUAUUUAUAAUUUUUAAAGGAUUAAAUUAAUUUUUUUCAUUUGGAGGCCAAAAUGUAAUUUUAUCGUCAUUAAUUUAAAGUUUUAUAAAUUAUAAAUGGCCUAAAUAAAAAAAAUUUCAUUCUAGGGGCCAAGACCCUUAUCUGCCCCUAGCUCCGCCACUGUCCACACAUGUAUUAAUAAAUAUUAAUUAAAUUUAUUGUGCAUUUUAUUUAAUUGUGUAUUUAUUUUUCAACUGUGUUUAAUAAUUAAAAUUUCUGCAAAGAAAAUAAUAGAUUUUGAAUAUAUAUUAUACAUUAAAAUAUAGCUAAAAUUGGAUCACACGUGUAUGCCCAUGCAAUGUGAAAAUAUUAGAAGAUAAAAUUAUAAUGAAAAGUGUAUGGAAAUAAAGGUUACAAUAUACUGUUUUAAAAUUGCAUUAAGUAAGAUUUGUUGAAUACGAAUUACAUGUUGAUUGGUGUGCAGUGAUGUCCAUCCGUUUUAUUCUUUAAUUGGAUCUCAAAUGCGCAUAUAUAUAUAUAUAUAUAUAUAUAUAUGAAAGUGAAUAAAUAAAAAAAUAAAUGUAAAAAAUGGAGAGAACGUGAAUUGGUGUAAAUAUAGGGUAUCCAUCUUGUUAUAUGAUAUAUAUGAUAUAUAUAAUAUCAAAAUAUUAAAGUAUUUCAAUGAAAUGAACUGAAAUGAUAUUUUAUAUAACUUAAAAAGUCUAAUCAUUUAAAUUAUUAAUAGAAAUAAGGUACAUGCAGGGAUUGGAUUGCUUGUAAAUACUAAAAAAUGCGAGACCUUAUAUAUUAAAUUAUAAGUAAAUAAAAUUAUGUAUUUUACCCAUAACUUCCCAUUAUACAGUUUUACUUUCAUAAAAUUGACAUCCAUUAUUAUAAUAUUUAGUUUUCAGAACGAUAAAGAGGAAAUAAUAAUUAAUACAUAGUUAUUUAUUUUGUAAUAUGAUCAUAUUAAAAUUAUGGUUAUUAUGUAUUCAAUGGAGGUAUAUAAAUAUAUGAUCAUUAUAUCAAUUUAAGUUAUAAUAUAUAAGUGAAUUUAUGUUGAAUCCUUUUAAAUUGUUAAAUUAUUAAAUAUUUUGAAGAGAUAAUUUGGUUAAAAAUUAUAAAAUUAUAGAAAAAAUUGAGAUGCGCCACUUGUCAUUGUAUACCUUAUUAUAUAAGUGUGUAAUAGUUAGAAAUUUAUAUUAAAAUUGAAUAAAAAGGGUAUGGGUUUUUGUAAUAUAAUCUUAUAUAUUGAAUUUAGAAUUAAAUAUUAUAUGAGAUCAAAUAUUAUUGAUUUGAUUGCACCGCAUCCUAUGAAAAUGGGUAGUGGUUUGGAAGGUGACACCAUUGCCAUCAAUGUUAGCCCUUAAAAUUUUGCUGCCCUUUCCCUUUCUUUGCGCUCUCUUUCCCUUUUCUUUUUAUAAAUACAUACCUCAUCAUUAUCAUCUCUCAAUAAUACAAAUAUAUACAUAUAUUAUGUAUAUUUUUUAAAAUUAUUUUCCCACAAAUGGAAAGUAAAAGAAAUGCUGGUACAAAAUUUUUAAUUUAUUGGUCGCAAAGGAAAACACAGUCACCAUUUGUUCUCUUAUUCUUUCAUCAUUAUUGCUUUGUUCUAAAUAUACAAAUUCUACCUUCUUUUAACAAGUGUUACACAUGUGUGCGUAAAUAUUAUAUUUCUUUAUUAAAUAUAAUUUUUAUCGAUAUCAAAUUUUAGUAUUAAAUACAUGCAAUAUAAGAUUUAUACUUACAAUAUAAUGUAGGGAAAAAAAAGAGUUAAAAUUACAUAAUUUCACAAUCUUAAGUUAAUAUGAGAAAAUGAAUUAAUUCAAAUAUUUGCUAAUAAUAAAUAUUAUUAAAAUACAUUAAUAUUAUUUUUUAUUUAAUAAAGAUAGUUUCGUAAAGUAGCAUUGCAUUACAUUACAUUAUUAGAAAAAUAUUGAAUGUACCAAAUAUAUUAAUAUCAUUUUUUUUAAGAUUUUAAUCACUACUUUCCAAUACAUUCCAAAUAUAAUAAAGUAAUUUUGACAUUUCAAUCAGUCAUAUUUCAAAAUUAUAUUCUAUUGAAAUUACAGUAUUAAAAAACACAAAACACCUCCUCCUAGUGUCAGGGACCAUAAUUCAAAGCUCGUGAUCAUCGCACCAAAUGCAUUUGAUAGAGGUCUAUUGUGUAGAUGGGGAUCAUUUGGCCCGCAAGAACUGACCCAAUUCGGUAAGCUGUUGGAGAAGCCUGUCAAAUUGAAGCCUAGUUGGCCCGAUAAUAAAGAUUUGGCAACUUAGGUUAUUUUGGUAAUUAAUUUUAAAAGAUUGAUAGAAUCAUAUCUUGUAAAGAUUUGAUUUGAUAUGGCAUAUCUUGUAAAUUCCUAAAAUCAAUGGAUAUAGUUAAUCUCGUCUGUAGAUGUAAAUGUAUCUUGACCAUCGGUUUUGGGGAGCUCAACUAUAAAUAGAGAGUCUCCCCUCAUUUGUACGCACUCCAUUCAUUAUUUCAUUAUUCUUUGUGAAUAAUAGAAUAUAAAGAGCAUUUACUGAAGCACCUUGUGUGCAUUUUUUCUGUUGUUCUUUUGUUGCUUCUUUUGGCAUAAAUUAUUUUUCGCUAUACAAAUUGGUGCCUUGGAGGACUUUUAAAGGAAUUCUCACUUGAGUAAAGGCUAACCUAGGUGAAUUUAGACGAACGAAUCGCCUAAAACCGCACGAAUCACAUAAAAAAAAUUUAAGUGUGUAACUGUGAGAAUAUGUGAGUUAAAAUUUAGAAAGAGCAACAAACAACAAUCAUUAAUAAUGUGUUGUUCACCUUUCAACUCUUUCAAUCUGUUACUUUUGCAGAAAAAUGGAGAGAACAACCACCAAACUCACAUUUAUUGCAAAUUUUUUAUAUCUGAAGGGAAACUCUUUUCAUGAAUCUUGUAUCUGAUCAUGAAAGGAAACUCAGGCAAUAAAUCAAAAAAAUGAAAUGAAAUGGAUAAGAAAAUUUGCUUUUGUUACAGCUUUAGCCAUUUUUUGUUCUGAAGGAGAAGGAUUUUUUUUUUUCAUUUUUUCUUAGCUUUAGACUCUAAUUAGAUGAAGAUUAAAAAUAACAAUAAUGGUGAGAAUAAUUAUUGUAGUAGUGAGAGUAUUAUUAUAAUGAUGAAAUUAAAAAGGUCAUGAGAUGUAUGUUUUAAUUUAAUAAUAGUGAUAAUGAGGUGAAAAUAGAAAAUGAUCAUCUAUAUCAAUAUUCAAAUGUGUAUACAAAAUAAAAUUAAAAUAUUGUAUCUAUAUUAAAUAAUAAUUAAAAAGUAUUAAAAUCAUAUCUUUAUAAAAUUAAAUUAAUUAUAAUAAUCUGUAUAUUAACUAAUAAUUAAAAUUAUAUUUUUUAUAAUAAAAAAUUUAUAAAAAUAAAAUGCCAUUAUAUAACAACAUGAUUAAUAAUAUCUUUUUUAUAAUUAUUAUAUUUAUAUUAUAUUAUAUUAUAUUUAAUUUUAUAAAAUUCACUUUCAAAAAAAAUUCAUAAAACCCAACCCCAAAAUUGGAAUGAAUAAAAACAAAAAUUUUUAAAAAAAAUUAAAGUGGUAAAAAGCAUUUUCACCUAAGUGGCUUUUUUUCAUUAGACUAUAAACUUCCAGUAGAAAAUAGGAGCUCCAAUGGAUUAAAACACACAAAAGUGAGUUGUAAAUUAACCGAGCUUAAUAAAUACAAUUAUGUUUAUUUUUAAGUCUGUUCAUGUUUAUUAGAAAUUUUAAAAUUUUUGUUUGUGUUUGUUUAUUUAAAAUUAUGUGUAUUCGUAUUCGUUUGUUUAAGUUAAAUGAACAAGUUCGUGAACAUUAAACAAACAUAUAUAAUUGAACAUGUUCAUGAACAAUAUUUAUAAAUAAUAAAUAAACAAACAAUAAAUAAACAUAUAUAUUAUUUUUAGAUAUAAAAUAAUCAAAUAUAAAUAUUAAUAAUUAUAUUAUAAAUAAUAGCCACAAACCAUAAUAAUUUUAUUAAUAUAUACUAAUGGAAUAAUAAACAAGUUUUAAGCAAACAUAAACGAGCUUGUUCACGAACAUGAAUGAACUGAACAAGCUUUGUUUGUGUUCGGUUCGUUUAAUAAACGAGCCUUAAAAUCUUGUUUAUAUUCGUUUAUUUAGCUUAAUAAAUAAACAUAAACAAAUAAAAAUUGAUUUGUUCAUAAACUAUUCAUCGAACGCUUUAUUCAUUUACAUCUCUACACAAAAAUAACCACGAUUUGCUAUCUAAACCGAAAACCAAUACAUUCCCCAAUAUUCUAUCUUACCAUGGGUUCUUUUGAAUCUAAGUGGAGUCUUAAGAAUUUUCUUUUGUUCCCAAUUGAAGUGAAGGCAAACCAAAAUAUGUUUUGCACCCAUUUUCAUUUUCAUUAAUUCCUAAUCGAAGGAGAAGGAUAAUGAAUUUUUGAAGGUAUUAGCUCUUCUUAUUUUAUCGUUAUUUUUUUGGCUCAGCAAUAAAUUUAUUUUAUUAAACAAAAAGGAAAAAAUUAUAAUACCCUAAACCCGACUUAAAUGAAAAGGCUAAGUUUAUAAUGUUACGACGUCUUACCAGAAAAAGUCAUACGUAAAGCAAGACGUUCACCAUCGUUAUAUAAUAAAACAACCACUAUCCAAAACACAGUCAAAUCCUAGAAGUUAGAGACAAUGCAAAACUAAUCAUAGGUUCACACACAUAUAUAAGUCCUAUAGGUGACCGAGUCCUACGCCUAUCGGCCGCUUAUUCCUGAGAGUUCCCUGAAAUUCAUUCAAGCAGUUAGUGUGCUGCAUUGUAAAACGUAAUAUAAACAGACUAACCUAUAUACAAAAAUUCAAAUAUUAUUGAUUAUUCGGAUAAUAAUUCGUCUACUCAAAUAGAUCAAUAACUUAAUCGGAUCCAAGCACAACAAUCUUGAUGCAUAGAAGAUUGAUACAAAUGCACGUAUAACACCAAUACAAUUAUGUGCACACGUCAUACAGUACAGAUGGAGAUGAAAUUUCCUAUUCCAUCUGCUACACGCCAUCUCCAUCCACCUUACCCACCAACAGGUAUAUAAUACACAUCCAUCCCUACACAUUUCAUAGUGUCGAUAUGACACGUUGCAGUGUUUAUAGUCUCACUACCAGAUCAAAUAGUAUCAUGGGUGGUUUGACCACCAGUUCAUUACAGAAUACUUCUUUCAAACCAUAACUCCCGCCCCAUGCAAAUGCAUAACAGACAACAGAUAUCAAUACGUAUUUCAGAUGUAGUUACAAUUACACAUUCCAAAAUAACUGAGUAUAAAUAAAACCAGUUUAUGGUCACAAUAAAACAGAUCAUCCAGUUCAAUACAGUGAUGCCUAUCUUAUAAUAGUCUACACUCGCCUCAUACUAUAAUUACGGCAUUACCGAAGUUGGUGAUUUGGGCUCAUACGCCCAAAUAGUGGUCCGUUUCACCCCAUACAGCUUGGCACACGACCAUGUGGUUACCUGUGUGCCCUAGUUAUCAAUUCAGUGAGUUACACAGCCUGGACACACGUCCGUGUGCUAGCCCGUAUACCUCACACGACUCGGCACAUGCCCGUGUCCCCUACCCGUGUGACUCCAAGUCUAAACUCAGGGAGUUACACAACCUAGACACACAUCCGUGUGUCCUACCCGUGUGACUCCAAGUCUUAACUUAGGGAGUUACACGACCUGGAUACACGCCCGUGUGACUUACUUGUGUGACCUCAAAUUCGAACUCAAAGAGUUACACGGUCUAGACACACACCCAUGUUUCUUUCCCGUAUGACCUACACGACCUGCACACACGCCCAUGUGGCAUCGACAACCUCAUUUUUGAAGGAGAAAAAAGCAGAAAAAGCAAGGGUUUCAAUACCCACCUGUUACACGUCGCUAUAGAGGCACCAACUUGCAAAUUCCAAGUCUAAAACAAGUUUCAAACAUUCAAUUCAACAAAACCUUCACAAAAUACGUAAGUAACAGCAAUCGAACUUCGUCGAAACUUUCAACUCACUACAUGAAACUGUUGAAAGACUACUUACUGCGAAUUCCCAGUACCCAUUCAGUUCCUAAGUAAAACAAAAGGUGUUAGGCAUCUAUUGAAUCUUUCUUAAUGUAUAGAAACACAACGCACAACAAGUUAACAAACCUUGAGAUUUUUGAAGAGUCCUCAAAUCGCACAAUAACACAAAAUGACAAACAAUUGACUCAACUUACCUUGAAGCACACCAGAACAAGUGAUAACACGAUCUAACGUAGCAAUUUACAUAGGAAGAACAAGAUAAAAGAGAAUUAAGAAAGAUGUAAACGGGAAAAAAAAAGAAAAAACAAAUUGGGGAAAAUAGAAAAAAAGCGUCUAUUAACAGUAUAAUAAAGUAUAUUUAAAAUUCAGAUCAGUUUUAUAGGAAAAAAUGCAAAAAAAAAACAUCAUUGUUGCAUACAUAGUGACUCAAACACGAAACUAGAGAAUAGAUAGGUAAUUGACCAGUGAACCAGCAUGCUCAUUCUUGACACAAAAAUGCACAGAACUAAACUUAAACAAGGAAUCCUAAGCUAAGGGUUCAAGUAAGGAACUUAACAAAAUUCCAAAAUUUAUGUGACUCAAACCUCAGAUCUCAAGUGAGCAAACAGAAAACACAUUCAUCGACACAACUUAGAAAUAAAACUCAAAUUUUGGGGCAUUACAAAAAUUCUGUCAUACGAGAUUGAAGCAUCCAAAGAAGGAAACAAAACACCUUAAACAAGAUGCAAGAGACGGACACCAAAACCUAUGACAACACCAACUUCACCCCUCAACGUCCCACACAAAAAAAGCAUCACCAAGAACCUUUCAUAAUCAAUACCUGCAUCUUAAGCCCUUCCACCGUACUCAAAAUUCAUAGCCAUAUUUCCAGCAAGACACCAAAUGUAACAACCCAUUUUUCAGUGGGGUCAGAAAUAGUGGUUUCGGGGCCAUCAAAUCUGACAAGUAAGUUCGUAAAUAUUAUUAUUUAAUAUUUACGAGUCAAAUAUAGUUUUUAAAAGAUUUUUGAUUUGAUAAGUUAUGCUUUUUGAAUGAUUAAUUAAGUUUAAGUGGUAAAACCCUAAGGUCAAGUGAUUUUAAAAAAUGGUGUAUCGGGACCUCAUUUCUAUAAAUCGAGCCGUAAAUAUUUUUAUAAAUAUUUACGGAGUGUCAUUAAGGUGGUAUUAAAAUUUUGUUGGAAAAUUUUAACGUUUCGAUAGUUAAUUAAUUAAAAAGGACUAAAUCAUAAAAGAUGUAAAAUUUGAUCACUAUUGGAUUUAAGUGAUUAAAUGGCUUAAGGAAUAAAGAUAAAGGGACUUAAAUGGUAAUUAAACUAUGGUCAAAGUUUCCAAGCGGUGGUGUCAUGAUUGAAUCCACUAGCUUUUGGAUUGAUUGUUCUUUUAGUCUUAAUUAGUUUAGGAUUAAAUUGUAAAUAAGUUUAUUAAGUUAGAAUUUAAUUUAAUUGAAGGACCAAUUGUGAAAUUAAACCUUCCUUUGAUGGUAAUUAUGCCAUAUAUUUAUGCGAUGGACAAUUAUGGUCAUGAAAUUGGUGUUUUAUUUGUUUAUUAACCAAGGUUAAAAUGGUAAUUUGAUAAAUUAAAUUAAAAUAAAAUAAAAACAAAAGGUUAAUUUAAUAUAAUCUUUUUUGUUUCUUCUUCAACAACCAAAAACACCAUGGAUGUUGAGAUGAAGCUUUCGGCUAUGUUUCAUUUGAUGCAUGUAAGUUCGUUUUAGUCCCGUUUCUUUUAAUUUUUAUAUUUUUGAGAUCGUUGCAACUAGGUCCAGCUUGCCCGUACCUUCGAUUUUGAAACUGUUAAAGAUUUUGAAUGUUUCCAUUGAUGAACCUUGUGAUUUUAGAUAUUAAAUGAUGAAUUUAAAAUGUUGGUUGAUAUUUAAAAGUAUUUUAUUAAGUAAUUUUUGAUGAAUUUUUUUAUUAGGGGUUAAAUUAUUAAAUUAAUAAAAUUACAAGAAUUUAAUGUGAAAUUUUUACAUAAAUGAGCUGUUUCGGAUACCGUGAACAUUCAUCUAAGCUCAAUUUAGGGUAAAAUGGUUAAUUUGCAUGUUUUGGGCACAGGGAUUAAAUUGAAUAAAAGUAAAAAUUUAAGGGUAAUUUUGUAAAAAUGUCAAAAUGACUAAAUUACAGUAAAUGAAUUUUUUUGUCUAAAUUAAUAUAUCGAAUGAAAUUAUUAAUUUAAAUCAAGGUCGAGUAGAAAAUCGGGGAGAAUGGAAAAUUAUCAAAAUGCCCUAUACUUUGACAUUUAUGCAAUUUAGCCAGGUAAGUUCAUAUGGUUAGAAUUUAACAUCAAUAUGAAUUUUUUUGAGUAGAUUAACAUAGUACAACUUGUAUAUUUAUUUUUAAUUAGUGAUAAUUAAUGGUAAUUUGAGAUAUAAUAUUGAAUUUGAUUACUCAGAUUAGAUUGAAUGAAGGAUAGAGUACAAUCGUGAUUUGGUGUGUUACAGGGGAUUGGAGUGGAGAUGAUUACGGAGUGAUGUAUAUUCCUAUUACCCGAGUAAACUGAGGUUCAACAUUUGUUGUGAACUCUCGUGUUAUAUACUCUGUUUGGUGUGUUGGUUGGAUAAGCUCUUAUGAGCAUUGGUGUGUUUGGUUGGACUGACGAUGUACUCUUAUCCAUAAGUCUUUAUUAGUAUGGAAAAUCUUGGUAAGGUAAUUUGUUUAAUGAAUUUUAAAUAUUUGUUAUUUAUUGAAUAUUAACCUGAACAUAAAUGAAUUCAUCAGUUGAGAUUGUGGAUGAUGUUUAGGUUUGUGCUAAGUUUUUGGUUGCAUUAUAUCAUGUUUAAUAUUAAUGAUAUACAUUGAAAUGGUAAUUGUCCAAAUGUAAAUAUGCUUAUGUUCAUAAAAAUGGUGGUAAGAUUCAAAAGGUGUAAUUUCUUAUAAAAUGGUUUAUCAUGUGAUUAACCCCAAAUGAGUUAUAUACAUAAAUGCACUAACUUGUGUAUUAAUGAUGGUGAUUAGGCUUAUGUCAAGCUUGAGAUUAUGAUUGAUGUAUAUGCUUAUGUCUGGUAUUAUACAAAUGAAACGGUAAGAAAAGGUAAUGAAACAGUAAGUUCAUAAUUGAAAUAUGAUAUGAUGAAAAAGGGAUUGAUGAGUUGAAUAAUGUACUUAUAUAUGAGAAAUUACGUAUGUUAUGGUUGAACUUACCUAUGUUAUGAAUAAAUAUAUUAACUAGUUAAUUGAUGUUGUUAUUUAAGUUUUUGCUUAGUAAAUGGAAUGGAAAGUAAGUAAAGGAAGUUAUUCGUAGUUUUAUGAAAAGGUUAGUGAUGGUGUAAAAUAUUUUAUAAAAUCCUAUUAUGUUAGAAAUGAAAAUAUAUAUGAUAUUGAUAGACUUACUAAUUUAUGAGUUGGUGGUUACGUAGUUGAUAAAUCUUGAGGCAUUGGUAUAGUUUUAUAUUUAUCAUAUAAAGUUCAUUAUUGAAUUAGAAUAUUAUGUUUAAAGUUUGUACGAGCUUACUAAACAUUCAUUGCUUACGUAGUUGCUUAUCCCUUACUUUACAGAUUAUCGGAGGCUCGAUCAGUUUGGAAGCUCGUCAGAAAGAUCUAUCAAACUAUCCAGUAAUUAUAUCGGUAGAUUUUGAUGUCUUGGUUAUGGUUAUAAUUGCAUGUAUAGGUGGACUUAUAUCUAAAGUUUAGUUUAUGUUUAUGGCUUGUAAUGUUGCCUUAGAUUUAAGGUACUUAUGAUGUUCUUGAUGCCUUGUUGGUUGUGGUUGAUAUGGUCCAUUUGAUGUAUGUUUAGAAAUAACCAAAUUUGGUAUGUGUUAAUGUAUCUUUAAAUUACCAAAGUGGUAUGUGUUGUAUCGACCUCAAUAUGGCCAAGACAUUGUAUGCUUUGGAAAGGUCUUGAAUAGAUAUGCAUGAUUGAGAUAUGUUAUGCCUAAUAUGAUAAGGUUGAUAUGUGUCAAUUAUGUUAUGUAUUGGUAUGGAAACAAGUCAAUUGGUAAAUGGUAUAAAUGUUGUUAAAUGUGGUGAAGUUAUUUUUGAUAUGGCAUGGAAAUAGUAUUGAGAUAAGUUAGGUAUGUAUGGUUAAGGUUUGAACAAAUAUGCUCAUGUAUAUAUAUAAGUUGAUUCUUGAUGAUUGAGGUGUUUUUUGGCAUAUUGGUUGUAUGAACAUUUGGUAUGGAGAUUAGUCAUUCUUUGCAUAAUUUGAGUAUGUUUAAAGGUCUUGUAUACAUGUACAAAUUUCUUGUAGGUUUAUGCUUGAAAGGGUGAAAGAAAUAGCUUGGAAGUGACCAUUUUCUAGUCCACAUGGGUGUGUGUCUCAGUCGUGUGUGGCUAAGGAGCAAAAGGAGGAAUCCGCCCGAGGAGGUGCUCGCGUCUGGUUAGCUAGUUGGUGAGGCAAUAGCUUACCAAGGCGAUGAUCAGUAGCUGGUCUGAGAGGAUGAUCAGCCACACUGGGACUGAGACACGGCCCAGACUCCUACGGGAGGCAGCAGUUGUAACAGCCUGAUUUUGACCCUAAUCAGACAAAGUGGUUUCGGGACCAUAAAUUCGAGUCAAAAAAUAUUUUAAAAUUAUUAUUAGUAUUUGUAGUAUGUGAAUUACAGUGUGUGAAAUUUUCUUAUGAAAAUUUGAUCGUUUGAGUGCUCAAUUUGAUAAAAAGAGUUUAAUCGCGUAAAAUAAAAACUUAGGGAUUUAAUUUAAAAGCAUCUAUUUGUUGAUGUAUUUUUAAUUAGGAGGUUUAAAAGUGCAAUUAAACCACUAUAUGGAUAGUGGAUGGACUAACUUUAAUGUUUAUAUAUAUUAUAUUUAGUAAAUAAGGUUAGUUAAGUAAAUAGCCUUAUAUUACAUUAUAUGUUAAUUAAAAAUACAUAAAAUUAGGCUAGUUAUCAUCUUCUUCACCGAAUUUAGAAAAUAAAAACAAGGUUUGGAAGCUUGAAACAUUCGGCCAUUGUUGAGCUUAAUUUAAGGUUAGUCUUUGUUCAGUUUUUGAUAAUUUUUACAUUUUUGAGAUCGUUGUUUUGUGUACUACAAGACCCAUGCUUUAAUUUUUGAAUUUGGUGUUGAUUUUGUGAUAUGCCAUUGAUGAAUGCUUGAGCUUUGUGAUAGUUGAUGAUGAAUUAUGAAAGAUAUGUGAAAGAUUAACAUGUUUUGUCUUUGAAUUUUUGGUGAAAUUGAGUAAUUAGGGCUAAAUUGUGAAAUUAAAUUUUUGAGGGACUAAAAUGUGAAAUAAAUGAAAUAAAUGAAAUAUGUGGACUUGUAUGAGCACUAGGGAUAUUCGGCCCUUGUAUAGUGUAGACAAAUUUUGUGUAUUUUGUGUUUUAUGCAAUAGGGACUAAAUUGUAAAAAGUUUAAAUGUUAGGGGCAAAAUAGUAAUUUUCCCAUUUAUGUGUUUUUGGACUAAAUUGAAUCUGAUAAUAUUUCAACUAGCUCAUUUUGAAUAUAUUUAGAUCAAGAACCAAAGAAAUCGGAGUUAGAUCGAGGAAAAGCUAAAGUCGUCGACUAAUCAUCCGGUUUCGAUUUUACACUGUCUGAGGUAAGUCUAUUAGCUAUUUAGUUUUAUUAAAUCAUUAUAUAUGUAUGUAUAUCAAUUUUAUUUUUAUUAAGUUAAAAUUAAAAGUAUAUAAAUCGAAUUGAAAGUAUGAAAUUAUGUACAUAUAUAUGUGUUAGGUUCGAAUGACUAUGAAUAUGCAAAUAUGCAUAUAAAUGUCCUUGUAAUAAAUUUAGGUUUGAAUAUAUAUAUGUAUAAAUUAUAUUUGAAUAAACAUGUAUAUACAUGUAAAUUUUGUUGUAUUGAAUUUAGGUAUGGAAUUACAUAGGUAUGUGAUAUAUUCGAACAUAUGUAUGUAUAUGUGUAAAUAAUAUUUGAAUUUAGUUAAUGUUGUUUGUUAUAUAUGUUUACAAGAUGUCCGAAUAGAUAUAAAUAUAUGUGUAUAAAAUAUUUGUAUAAUUUGGAUCAAAUAAGCAUGUAUACUUAUGAAUAAAUACUUAUAUUGAGUAUAAAUAUGAAAUUAUACUUAUAUAUAUAUGUUAAAUUCGAAUAUGUAUGUGUAUAUAGGUAUAAGUUCUUGUUUCGAAUAUAAGUAUGGAAUUAUAUAUAUGUAUAUAUAUUUGUUAGAUUCGAAUAUGUAUAUAUCUAUAUGUAUAAGAUCUUGUAUUGAAAUGGUAUAUGAAAUUAUAUAGGUAUAUGUGGUAUUCGAAUGUUAAAGCUACAUAGUAUAUUAUAAAUUAAAUCUUAUGAUAUUAGUAAUAGAAUCUAAAGUAUGAGGUUAUAUAUAAAUAUGUUUUGGUUGAAUUAUUGAAUUAUCAAGUUAGAUUUGGUGAUUGAGAUUUAUAUAUCCAUGUGUUUUAAAGAUAUAAGUUAUGAAAUUUGAGCUGAAUCUUUAUGCAUGGAUUUUAUAUACAUAUAUAGUUUGAAAGUAAGAUGAUUCAGACUUUACAUCUUGCAGGCUUGAUGCUGGUGAAAUGUUUCAGACUUUACGUCUAGCAGGCUUGAUGCCAGUGAAAUGUUUCAGACUUUACGUCUAGCAGCUUGAUGCCGGUGAAAUGUUUCAGACUUUACGUCUAGCAGGCUUGAUGCCGGUGAAAUAUUUCGAACUUUACGUCUAGCAGGUUGAUGCCGGUGAAAUGUUUCAGACUUUAUGUCUAGCAGGCUUGAUGCCGGUGAAAUAUUUCAGACUUUAUGUCUAACAGGCUAAUUGUCGGUGUACUGAAUCAGGUUUUAAGCCUAGCAGGCUAAGCACCGGUGAAUCUGUUUAAAUUAUGUGAAUGUUCAGAUUCAUGUGUUUGAAGAAGUUGUGCAUAUAUUCGGCAUAGGUGGUUGAUAAAUGUAUAUAUAUAUGCAUCUGUUAUAUGUAGUUGAAAGGUAUAUAUAUAUGUAUGCAUUUGGCAUAUGAAAUUGAUGAGUAUCCAUAUACGCAAUUGGGGAUAUAUAUAUAUGUAUAUGUGUAUAAACAUUUGCUUAUAAGUAAAUGUUGAAUAAGAAUGCAUUCGCUUAUAUGCAUUAUAUAUGAGUUAGGUUAAAAGUUUAUGAUUGGUAUAUAUAUAUAUUUACACAGAUACGAAAUGUGAUUGGUAUUUUUGUAUAGGUUUGAUUAUAUGUACAUGUUAAGUACAUAUAUGCAUUUGGAUAUAUGCAGGUGAUAAUUACAUAUAUACAUUUGGUUAUAAUAUUUGUUAAGUAUAUGUAUAUAUAUGCAUUCGGCUAUUCAUGUUCAAAGUGUAUAUACAUUUGGAGCUAAUAUCUGUUAAGCAUAUAUGUAUAUAAGCAUUCGGCUAUUCAUGUUUAUAGUGAAUAUACAUUCGGUUUUAAGAGUUGAUAAUUAAGUAUGCAUUUGACUAUAUGUAAUAGUUAACAUAUAUAGUAUUUGUGAAUUCAUUAAGUGUAUCAGGAAAUUACAUAAUUAUUUAUAUAAUUUUUGUUAUGCUAUAGACUCACUAAGCUAGAAAAGCUGACUUUGUUUGUUUAUGUAUUUUUGUUUUAUAGACUUAAAGAUCAAGCUUCAAGCUCGGGGAUCGUCAGCAAGUUCAUCACUCUAUCUACUAUCUCGGUCUUAAACUGUUUAAAUUUUAACUAUGGCAUGUGCAGGCUAGAUAAAUGUUUUGGAAAGUCAUACUUUGAUAUAUUGUAUAUGAAAUUAAUAGCCAUAUGAAAAUGGCUUAUAUUCUUAUGCUUUAGCUCGAUUGUAAUAUUUUUGUUUUGUUUUAAAUGGUCAAAAAAGAAGUUUAAAAUUUUGCAUGUUUAAUAUUAGACCUAGCUAUUUAUAUGUAACAGUUAAAAUUAUUGAAUUAUACUGAAUGUCUGUUCUAAGUUGUGUUUUGAUUAGUAAUGCCUCUUAACCCUAAUUCGGUGACGGAUAUAGGUUAGGGGUGUUACAGCAGUGGGGAAUUUUUCGCAAUGGGCGAAAGCCUAACGGAGCAAUGCCGCGUGGAGUUAGAAGGCCCACGGGUCGUGAACUUCUUUUCCCGGAGAAGAAGCAAUGACGGUAUCUGGAGAAUAAGCAUUAGCUAUGACACGACCGUGUGUCCCCUGUAGUUUCUAAAGAUUUCAAGUCAACCAGUUACACGACCUGGCACAAGGGUGUGUGACUUGGCCAUGUGGCACAAGUCAGUGAGUAACACGGGCUAGAACACGGCCAUGUGUCCCUAUUUUGAAUGUUACACAGCCUGAAACAUGGGCGUGUGUCUCAGCCAUGUGAGGCACACAGCCAUGUAAACCCUACAGUUUGAAAAAUUUUAUCUUUUUCUAUGAAAUUCUAAAUGUUUCCGAUUUAGUCCCAAAUUGUUUCUAAAGUGAUUCUAAGGCCCCGAAGGCUCGAAUAAGGGACGUUAUGCAUGUGUUUGAAUGAAUUAUGUUAUGAUAUAUGAAAUUUUUAAGAAUGAAAGUUUUUAAGUUACAGUUUUCCCUGUAAUACUCCGUAACCUUAUUUCGGUGACAGAUACGGGUUAGGGGUGUUACACCAAAGAACACCUUGAAAUAGAAGUUAGUGUUGUGAGAUGACCAUUCAUGUAGCAUGCACAUUUGAUGAACCCUCAAAGAUUUGUGAACUCACAGUAAGUGGCGAGCUACCUUGUAACGCCCUCAACCCGACCCGAUUCACUGGAUUCGAAUUUUGAGUGUUAUCAUAUAAAACUUAAUUGUUUAACAAAAUCAGCUCACAAUUUUUUACUUCUUUAAAACAUUUCCUAUGGCAUUCCAAUUGAAAUUCUUAAUAUAUGAUGGAAAAUAAAAUGCCCUACCUUGUAACCGCUCGCAAGUUGCCUUUAAUGCUGAUAUGAUGGACCUAAUGAGAGCCACUUUAUAAUACCACUUAGGCCUAUUUUAGGAGGGGGAGUAGAUUGUUUUACAUCAAUAACCUGAGACCUGCACCCUAGAAAAGAUCCAAGCCUCUGACCCAUGACCCGGCCACGAGAGGACAACAAGGCGAACUAGAUUACAAAGCAAGGCUACAAACCCAACUCACAAGAACCUUGCGCGAGCUCAUAAGGUAGGAUCCCAGGUACAGCUCGCAGAGCCAACUCACAAGAACCUUACGCGAGCUCAUAAGGCAGGAUUGCAGGCACAGCUCGUAAAGCAAGCUCACAAGAUAAGGUUACAAACCUAGCUCGCAGAAACCUAGGGAAGGUCGCAGUCUCACCUCGCAUGUAUCCAAGGAACUCGUAGGAAGUGCCACAUGCUCCACAGGCCACCCAUACACGCAUCCAAUAGAUACAGAGCUUGCCCUGAAUGCCAGUCCCAGGAGCAGGAAAGACCGCGUGCUCCAUAGAUACGUGCCCAACAAACCUGAAGAUGUCAGUACUAGAGGCAGUAGAAUCAAGAUAAAAUAAUGGGGCCCUAUCAUGAGUUAUAAUAGUACCAGUAAUAACAUAUAUAAAUACUCGGAUACUCAUAUCAAUAAGACACAAGCAAAAUAUACUUUGAUAAUUGGCGUUAUUAUUAUAUAACUCAAAAUGGACAAAUGUCCUUACAAAGAUCCAAUUCGACCAUUAUAGUUUGUUGUUAUAUAAACAACCUUAAAAGAGAUGGGCCUCAAUUUGUGCGAUUCACUUGAUCAAGUUGGUAAUGGGAAUUAUUGUUAUGUAAACACAUACACUAGGAUCAAUGCCCUUGCCUUCAGUUCCAUCAUUGUAGUUGAAAAGAAUUCUCAUAAUAUUUGUCAUCAUAGAGAUCCAUAAAAUAUACCCUUCCGUCUCAUUAAAUUUUACUUAUUUUUCUUUAAAAGUUAUUAUAAACAAAACUUUCAAUGAAAUAAUUUUAAAUAUUUUUUAUAAAAUCAAAAUAUUUAAAUUUUCACUGAAAAUUGUGACAUUUUUAUUGAAAUAGAGGGACUUUGUAUUCGUGUCAUGUCAAUUGGGCUGGGCAUUGGCAGCUUUACUACUUCCUAUACGGUUCAAGCACCGAUAUAAUUCAUUGGAAAUCAAAUUAUGAGAAACUAAACAGUUUUUUCUUUGUUUUAGCACCAAGGGUUGGGGGGGGGGGGGGGGGCAAAAGACAAUUUCUUUGUGAUCAGAUCUUUCAUCACAAUCUUAUGAUAUAAAAGCAAUAUAUUACGUGCAUCCCAAAACUAUGCUAGAACCAGGCAAAAAUUAUCAUUUACGACUAACCCAUCAUAUCUUCAUAAUUUUCAUUUCACCAUCUCAAAAAAGUACGGACAUGCAGUAAUUCAUGUUAGCGAAACAUUGGCAUGCAGGCGAGCUCAGAGAUCAAAUCCCGUGUUACCGAAACAAGUUACAGUACAGCACCAAUAUCUUCUUCCAACUUACAACCAUAAACAAGCCAAUGAUGUCCUAGUUUGCUUAAAAGCAGGCCAGUGCCUUGAUCAUCCAAGCUCCUAUCCCUCCCCUGUCUCGGCUAAAUUCAUCACUUUUAAUGCAUCCUCAGCUUUUUUUUUCUGAGGGACAUAAUCUGGAAACACCAAAAAAAUUUCCAGCAAUUGUAAAUAAUCAUGGAAAAAGAUGGGAGAAAGCUGGCAAUGCGGAUCAGCAUAUGUAAAGGGAACAAACGGGAGGAGACUGUAAACAAAAAUAAAUUACAAUUAGCAAUACCUGAUAGAAAGUCAUAUCUCUUCUGUUCAUGGACAACUGUUGCUGCAAAAUAAAGAGAGGAGCAUCUAAACACAACCGCAGUUGAAUACAUUUAAACCUUUUUGCAACAAUAAUAAUAUUAAUUUCUUUCAAAUUUGUGCAAUAAGAGCAGUAUGGAUUUGCCCAAGGUCCACUUUUCAAGAAAUGAAGAGUAUAAUAUCAUUCAAUUAUAUAUUUCGUUUAAAUUCUAGACGAAAAAUGUAUAACUGAAACGUCUUAAUGAAACUUCAAGCACCCCAUAACAUGUACAUUCAAUCACAAGAAAUGGAAGGAGAUUAUGUUGUGCAAGAUAUGUGUUAUUCAUACUGAUGCAGAGAAAUGAAACAAUUCCAUUUGAAAAUCAAUUGAUUUCAGCUUACAUUCGCCUACAUGAACCAUAUUAAAAUAUCAGAAGAAAGAACCGAAUCUAACCAUCCAAAAUUUUCAAUUCAAAUGAGAGAACAGCAUAAGGUAGAUUUUGAUGCAAUACAGGAAUCACCAUAAAAGUAUAACCCUAAGCCACAUAAACCAAUUUUAAACUAAUGUUUCUAUAAACUCAUCUAUAGAAGCUUUCAUCCUGCUGACCAAACCGUGAGAAUCCAUUGGCAGUAUCACAUUCCAUAAGAAUCCGACUUUUUUAGCUCAGAAACAUUAUUGUAACAAUAGAUAUUAAUCUUUAUGAACAUAUAACAUAUCUAAGAAAACCACUGAAAACCCCUAUCUUUACCGAAAAUGCAUCUCAAGCUUCAAUCCUGGCAAUAGUUAGCGUUGUUUGAGCAAAUAUGUGUAAGGUCGAGUAAGUCAAGGCUCAUGCUAAUAUUCUACGGUAAUGUCAGAUAGAACCGGCAAAGGAAACAACAUAUACAAGGAGGAUUUAAAAAGGAACGUACAUAGGUGCUUGUAACUAAGUGAUUUCUUGCGAUCUUUAAUGGAGCAUUUGUAUCCAUCUUCGCAGAACUUUUCAAGAAACAAUUCCUGCAAAAAAACAAAAACACAUUUAGACAAUAAACAAUAUGAAACAGAGUGAUAAUUACCUUUGGAUCAAACAAUGCUCAUACUAUACCAAUUCCACAGAGAAGAAGAAACAACAUGCAAAACACCAGUUUUUUUUAAAAUUAAAAAACAACAAAUUUGAGCAGAAUUAAAGCAAUGAUUUAAGACCAACAAUUUCAAGAUCCCAACUUUUCAAAAUACAUUUAAGGCAUGCAUUCAACCAAACAUAGACCCCAUAAAUGACAGCAAAGGAUUAUCAAGCUUUAACCUUGGAGGAUAAACACAUUGGGAAAAAAACCCCACUUUAUGACUUUAAAGACUAAAAAAAAGGAAGGAAAAGAUUCAAAGGAAACCCUAAAGGCAUUCAGGAAAAUAACCCCAAAAAAGGGGGAAAGAAAAAGGAAUUACCGCGGCUUUGUUAACAACAAAAACAACAUCUUGAGAAACAGCCAUAUGUGAAUCUUCAGUCUUGAUUAUCCUCUUGAUUCUGUUCAUUGGAAAUUUACACACCUUUGCUUCUUCUUCUUCCUCGUCUACUUCUUCCUUUCGCUUCCUUUUGCUGUUGGGUUUAACGUUCUUGUGGGAGUUGUUUCUGUUUUCUUGGGGUUCUGAUUCAGAGCUUGAAGAUGGGUCGGCAAUAACCUGGGACUUGACCGGGAUUCCAUUGCUGCUCUGGUUUUUGCUUUUGUCUGGCUUUGAUUCGGGAUUUGGCUUUGAUUUGGUAGGUAUUUUGGAGGCACUUGCUUUCUUCUCUGGUUUUUUAAUGGAUUUUUUUUUGUCUUUGUCAGCGGUUCUGUUGCUCUUCUCCUUAUUCUUCUUCUUCCUGUUCUCUUCUUUGGGUUUCUUGGAAGAGGAGGCCAUUGCGCUCUCUCUCUCUCUCACAGAUUCCGGAAAAUCUCAACUCCGAACUCCAUGGAUCUGAUAUCUAAGGCCAUUAUGUAGAUUGGGUUCUCUCAUGGGCUUAACUUUAAAUGGGCUACAAAACCAAUUCGUGAGUGACAAAAAGUUGGAUUCCCUUUUAAAAGAAGUCUUAAAAAUCCAAUUAACUGCAACACAAUUCAGAUGGGACCAGCUUCAAUAUAUUGUACUCUGAAUUUUAGACAAAAAAAAAAAAUCUAUAAAUCGGUAAUAGUUAAGUAUCACCGAGAAAAUACAUGGACGUAUCACUAAAUCAAAUGCUCAACAAUGAUAGUUUUACAAGCACAUGAGGCUAAGCAAAAGUAGCACCAACAUGAAGAUUAUGAGUACAUUCUUUUAUUACUAACUCAUCAAGUAGUUCAAAAACAUGCAGCAAUUUCCUAUCUCUACAGUUCAUUUCAAUCAGAAACUCCCAACAAUGUGGUUCUGGUUUAAACCCCGUUUCAGCCAAUCCAAACAAUGCUGUAACUGCAUCAUCUACCAUUCCGGCUUUACAAAGCUGAAUCAACACCUCAUUCGACGUUGCAUAAUGUGGGAAAAACCCCCUAUCCAACAUCAGACCCAACAGCUUAGCUGCCUUUUCCAUUUCAUCUUUCUGGCAUAAUGCAUUCAAUACAAUUCUGUAACUUGCUUUGUUCAAGUAAACACCUUCGUAUGGCAGCUUCUCGAGCAUCUGAAGCACCUCAUGGAACCUACUUUCUCGGCAUAACCCACCAAGUAAUACAUUUAAAGUAACAACAUCGGCUUCACAUUUGUUUUCCUUCAUUUCCUUAAGCAAUGACAUCGCCUCAUCGAUUCUACUAGCCCUACAAAGGCAAUUCAUCAAUGUAGUAUAAACAAUUGUAUCAGGUUUCAGACCUGUGCUCUUCAUUUCAACAAAAAGUUGUUUGGCUUCUUCCCAACUUCCCUCCUUGCAUAAGCCAUUCAUCAAAGCAGAGUAAUUGAAUAAAUUAGGGCUGCAUCCAUUGUUUUUCAUAAACUCUAUUAUCUUUCUCGCCCGAUCGACUUUUCCUUCACGACAGAAGCCAUUAAUUAACAAAUUAUAGGUUAAAGCAUCAGGCAAUAUCUGAUCCUUACCAACCAUUUCCUCAAACAAUUCGAUGGCUUCCUUAAGUCGUCUACUUUCACAGAGACCGCCUAUCAAGGUUGAGUAAGUAAUCAGACUGGGAUAAGAAACCUUAGAUUUUUUCAUCUCGUUUACAACUUCAAACGCAGAUUCAAGGUCUCCAUUAUUACAAUGAUGUUUAACCAAGAUGUUAAAAAUGCAGGUAUUGGGUCUCAACCUGAGAGAUUUCUUGGAGUUCAACAGAAAAUCUCGAGCCAAAUCAACCUGGUUCGAUUCAAUCAGGAGAUUAAGACAAGUACUAAUAGCUUUCAGUGAAGGUUUUUCACGAACAAUGGGCUGAAUUGCAUUGAACAUCUCAAGUACCUUAUCAUGUAAACAAAACCUGGAAAAAUGCUUCAUGAGAUUGAGGAAUAUACCUUCAUGAAAUCUACAAGUUUCAUAGCUCAUUUGACGAAGUAAUGAGUCAACGGCCUGAAACUUCUUCGAUUGAGCAAGCUUGUGAAGGAUGGUUCCAUAGGUGGCACUGUUAUGAGUAAAGCCUUUCUGCCGCGACACCUUGUUAAAUAUUUGUAAGGCCCGUUGUGGAUCUUUCUCACGCUUAAUCAAGUUGAUGGCAGUCUCGUGAGAGAUAAAUUUGGGUUUCCUUUGAGACUCAGUAGAGGCAAGUGAGGGUUGUGGAGGAGGAUCUGGUUUUUGGAAGUUGGGUUUUAGGAGUUGUAGGGGGGAGAUCCAUGGAAGUGGAGAUGAAGAGGAAGAGAAGCAGCGCUGCUUACAGAAUGAAACUCUAACCAAAUUCAUGACAAAAUGCCUCCACCUUUACAAGUCUUCAUCAUCCGAGGAACACAACAUUCAAAAAGAGAAACACGGCGGUGGAAGAACUCAGAAGAGAAGAAAAAACCAGAAGGAGGAAAGGAAAAAGAAGGCGAUGGCGGCAAUCGUCGACGAUUUCGUACAAAGAAGUUACGGGUGGAGGAAAGGAUAGAGGGGAAAGCCCCAACGGCGUGAAUGGAGAAGAAGAGCAAAGAGCAUGGUGGAGUUGUGGGUUUCAAUUCAUUAAAUGAGAUGCUUGGUCCAGUCCAUUACAAAUUUACAAAGGGCCCAAUAAAACCCAACCGAACCUUAAAAUAAAGAACAAAUGCUGCUUCCAUGAAGUGAUUAAUUUCAUAAAUAAUUUUUAUUUUUAUGGUGUAAAAAUCAAUAUUUUUUAUUUAAAUUAAUGAAAGCAAUUUAAAAGUUUUAUAUAAAAAAAUUUUAAAUACCAUAUAAAAUUUAAUUAUUUUUAAUUUACUUGAAAAAAUAUUUUUUUAGAAAUAUUUAUAAAAGACUUUGAAACUAUACAAAAUUAUUGUAAAAGGUAUAAUCAAACUAAUUUUAUCAAAAUAAAUUACAAAAAUAAAAAAUUAAUAUGGAAAUAUUGAGGGCCGAAUUAAAAUGAACUGUUUAAAAAAUUUAAAAUAUUUGGUUGAAUUAAAAUGAUCUCACCCCUAAUACCUGCGGUGUUCAUCACCUCAAGUGUAACUUAAGUUUAAGUCUUGUUAAUCGCAUUACUGUUAGGAUUUUAUAUUUCUCUUAUAAUUCACUAAAAACAAAAAAAAAUAGUAUCUUCCAAUAUCAAUAAUGAAAAUUCUCAAACAUAUUGCCACAAUUUUAUAAUUUAGCCAUUCAACCAAAAAAAAAAAUGAAAUAUACUAUUUGAUUCUUUUCUAAUACUCUUUUCAGUUUUCACUAAUAUAUAAUAUAUUACAAAAAGUAAAUAAUUUUAGGGUUUUUUCGUUACAAAAUUUAAGAAAACACUUGAAACGAUUUGUAUAAUAAAGCUAUUUGUGGCAAUAAAAUGAGUUCGAUAAUGAUGUAAAUAAAGUAAAUAAUCGGGGAAAGAUAAAUGUGAAAAUUGAACGUCGAUAAUGACAAUAUAGAAAGAUCGCAAAGAAAAAGAAAGAAAAAAAUAGAAAAUGCAAAUUUUACGUGGAAACCCUUUCAGAAAAAAUCACUGGCAAAGGAGAAGAAAAUUCACUAAUGUCGAAUUCGAAUGAUACAAGAGAAGUUUCGACUACAUCUAUUUAUAGGUUGAAAAAGCCUAAUUCUAUUUAAUGUAAAAUAUAUUAUGCUAAUAAAUGCUAAAUAUAUUAUACUACUAAAUCUUCUACAAAUAAAAUAUAUUUUGUUUAACUUGACUUGCAAGCAAUCUCUUAGAUUUUGUUUAACUUGACUUGCAAUGAAUGUCUUAAAAUUUGGGUCAAACAACUUUAACAAUCUUCUCCUUGACACAAAUUAUUAAUGAGCAAGUUCUCCACCUCUUCCAUAAAACCCCUUAAGGGUUUUAUCUUCAACAAUGAAUACCAAUCAAGUCUAAAAAAUGCUCAAACUUGGUUAUAGAAAGUGACUUAGUCAUCAUAUCUGCAGGAUUAUCAUGAGUACUAAUUUUGAUCACAAUAAUAUCACCAGGAGCAAUAAUAUCACGAACAAAAUGAUAUCGAACAUCAAUGUGCUUUGUUCUCUCAUGAAAUAUUUGAUCUUUUGUAAGGAAGAUGGCACUUUGACUGUCACAAAAUACUGUACUGAUUUGAAGGUCUUCAUUGAGUUUACUAAAGAGUUCAUUCAACCAAAUAGCUUCUUUACAAUCGGAGGUCUUCAUUGAGUUUACUCAGCUUCAGUGGUAGAGAAAGCGACUAUAGUUUGCCAAGUGGCUUUCCAACUGAUUGCACAACUUCCAAUUGUAAAGACAUAACCUGUGAGAGAUUUUCUCCUAUUAAGAUCUCCAGCAAAAUCAGCAUCAACAUACCCAAUGACUCAAUAUCUAGUUCUUCCAAAUUGUAAGCAAACAUCAAUAGUACCUCGUAAGUAUCUCAAAAUCCACUAAACUGCUUUCUAGUGUUCUUUACCAGGAUUCGGCAUGUACCUACUAACUGCACUGACUGCAUAUGAUAAAUCUAGACGUGAACAAACCAUAGCAUACAGAAGAGAUCUCACUGCACUAGAAUAUGGAACAUGUGAUAUGUAUUCAAUUUCAUCAUCUAAUUGUGGAGACAAAGUCGAUGAAAAUCUGAAAUGGGCUGCUAAUGGAGUACUAACAGGCUUAGCACUUUGCAUAUAGAACAUGCAAAGAACUUUAUCAAUGUACCAUUUCUGAUUUACAUACAAUUUACUUGCCUUUCUAUCUUUGAGAAUCUCCAUACCAAGUAUCUUCUUUGCUGCUCCCAAAUCUUGCAUUUCAAAUUCUUCACUAAGUUGAGUUUUAACAUUUCUUAUCUCUCAUUUAUCUUUCAUUACUAUCAAUAUGUCAUCAAUACUAUUUUUCUUAAAAUAAACAUAACUAUCAAAGCUACUUCUUUUAAAAUCAUGAGUAGUCAUAAAAAAAUCAAACCUUUUAAACCACUACUUCGGCGACUAUUUCAAACCAUAAAAGGACUUUUUUAGCAAGCAAACAUAGUUCUCUUUUUCUGAUACUGUAAAGCCCUCUAGUUGUUGCAUGUAAAUGUCCUCCUCAAGUUCUCCAUACAAGAAUGUUAUUUUUACAUUUAACUGUUCGAGCUCCAAAUCAUACAUAGCCACAAUACCAAGCAAGGCUCAAAUUGAACUGUGCUUUACAAUAGGAGAAAACACAUCUGUGAAGUUCACACCUGGAAUCUAGCUGUAACUAUUUGCAACAAGUCUUAUUUUGUAUCUAGGUUCUUCAACUCUUGGAGUCUCUUUCUUUUCUCAUGAACACCCAUUUAUAAUGAACAACCUUCUCAUAUUUAAGAAGCUUCACAAGAUCCUAUAUUCUACUCUUGUGAAGUGAUUCUAUCUCUUCUUGCAUGGCAAACAUCCAUUUUUCUUAGUCUUCAUAGCUAGCUGCUUCAGAAUAAGUUAUGACCCUUGAUUUGCAUCUAUAUCUUCAACCACAUUUAAAGCAUAAGCAACAUCGUUUUGUUGUGGAGUAUGACGAACUAUCAAGUGUCUCACGAUCUCUUCUAAUUUAUAUAAUUCGUUAAACUCAUUAGAACAAAACCUCAAGCCAUUAUCUGUGCGAAUGUGUUUUAUCUAUUUUCCUGUCUAUUUUUCAACCAUAGUUUUCUAGGACUUGAAUGCGGAAAACACGUUGCUUUUCUGCUUCAGGAAGAACGCCCAAACUUUUCUGGAAAAAUCAUCGAUAAGUGUUAGCAUAUAAUUAGCUCCACCUCUCGAAGGCACUUUAAAUGGUCCCCGAAGAUCAGAAUGAAUAUAAUCCAACGUUCCCUUCGUGUUAUGGAUUUCUUUGGUGAAUCGAACUCUCUUUUUGCUUUCCAAAAAUGCAGUGCUCACAGAACUUCAUUUUGUAAAUUUCGUGCCCAUCAAGAAGUCUUCUUUUGCUCAAUUCUGUCAUGCAUUUCUCACUCAUAUGCCUUAAACGCAUAUGCCAAAGUCUAGUAAUAUCAUCAUCUAACAAGGAAGAGGAAGUGAUGGGUGCAUCACUAGUAAGCUGCUUAAUAAAGAAUGAUGGGAAAAUGGUUCGAGAAUGAGAGGGUCUGUUUGAUGUUGUGAAUGAGUAUUUCACAGAUUUAUUCACAUCACAAUGAGGAAUCCGAGCCAUAUUUUGGAGGGGGUAUGCACGUGUAUUAAUGAUGAGAUGAAUGCUUCCCUUACUGCAAGGUAUACAUGGGAGAAAAUUUAUACUACUUUAAAAGCAAUGGCCCUGGCAAAGGCUUUGGGUUCGGAUGGGCUUCCCGCUAUGUUUUACUAGAGCUAUUGGCAUAUCGUGGGACAAGAUAUUGAAGAUUAUUAUCUUGGAAUUUUGAAUGAAGGUAUGUUCCUAGUCGAUAUUAAUAAAACGUACAUUGUUCUUAUUCCUAAAGUUACAAACCCUAUGAGCAUGCAACAGUUUCGUCCUAUUAGUUUAUGCUCGUUCUAUAUAAAAUUAUUUCAAAAAAUGUGGUUAAUAGAUCUGAAAAAGUGUUGAAUUUGUGUGUGGAUGAGGCGCAAAUUGCAUUUGUUCUCGGUAAGCUGAUUACGAAUAAUAUCCUACUUGCGUAUGAAAUUCUUAAUGCGUAUAGAAGGAAGAAGAAGGGAAAGAAAUGGCACUUUGCUCUAAAGUUGGAUAUGAGUAAGACCUAUGACAAGGUGGAGCGGAGUUUCUUGAAAGAAUUAUGUUAAGAAUGAGUUUUCUAGAACAUGGGUGGAUUUUAUCAUUCACUAUAUUAGUUUUGUCUCCUACUUUGUGGUUUUGAAUGGUAAGGUGAGUCAUAACUUUUCUCCUAGAAGGAAGAUUAAACAAGGAGAUCCCAUUAGCUCGUAUCUUUUUCUUAUAUGUUGUGAAGGGUUGUUUUUCCUUAUGUGAAUGACAGUCUAAGAUAAUUUAGUAAGGGUUAGCGAAAAUUAGUUGAGGGGGACCACAAGUUUCUCACUUAUUGUUUGUUGACGAUUAUAUAUUGUUUGGAAAGGCCACAGUUGGGAGAACUUUGGUGUUAAAACAAAAUUUGGAGGUGUGUGAGAGUUUCUUGGGGCAAUUUGUUAAUUUCAAUAAAUCAGUUAUUUAUUUUAGCUCAAAUAUUGAUGAGAUUAAUAAGGAACGAAUAUCGAAUUGUUUGGGUGUUAUGACCUCUUCUAAGCCCGAGUGAUACAUAGGGUUGGCUAAUAUGGUGGGGGUGAAACAAAACAAGAUCUUUUCAAAUAUUGAAGGAUUGUAUAAGGUAUCGAAUUGAGAGCUGGUGUGUUCGGCCUUUAUCACAAGGGCUUUUGGUUACUAGCCUCUUUUUGCUCUGAACUGAAGAGUACUAUUAGUCGAUUUUGGUGGAAAAAUCAUGAGGGUUGAAGGGGAUUUCAUUGGUGUGAGUGGGCAAAAUUAUGUGAUUUUAAAGAAAAUGGGGGUUUGGGGUUUAGAAGUUUGGCAAAGUUUAAUGUCGCUCUGUUAGCAAAACAAUGAUGGAGGUUGAUAAAAAAAAUCUGAAUUCAUUGUUAGCACAAGCUCUUAAAGCAAAAUAUUAUUCAUAUACAGACUUUAUGAGUAUGAGUUUAAGAGCUUACCCAUAUUAUACCUGGAAGAGUAUCUGUGCUGCGAAGGGAUUACUUAAUUUGGGCCUGAGUUGGUGUGUGGAAUUUAAUCCAAUAUAAGGAUUUGAGAGGAUGUUUGGAUUCCAGGGAUGCCAGAACGAAUAAUACAAAAUAAUGAGGAAAAAUCAUCCAUUAUGUUUGUAUCGGAGCUGAUUAACCACCAGAAUAGGCAACGAGAUGAACAGGAAAUUACUUGGUUACUGGGCAGUGAAAUUGCAGAUAAGGUGUUGUGUAUUCCCCUUGCUUAGAACUCACAUGAAGAUUCGGUGGUUUAGGGGAAUGAAGCUUCAAGUGACUUUACCGUUCGGAUGGUUACAUGUUACUUAUUACAUUUGCUUCAAUUGGGAAUAAUGGAAAUUAGAAACUUUUUCACAAUAAAUUAUGGAAACUUAAGCUACCUGAGAAAAAAAAAUUACAGCUUGGAAGAUUUUCCAUAAUUUUAUUCCUAGUUUCUAUAACCUGUUCAACAAGAAAUUGUGGAAUUCAACAGUGUGUCCCAAGUGUUUGGUUGGUAUUGAAACUUUGGAGCAUAUUUUCCGAGUUUGCCCAUCUGUGAAUGAUAUCCGGAAAGAAUUGCAUAUUGUACGGCAUAGUGAUUUUUCAGAUGCUCUUUUACAAAAUUGGCUAAUACAUAUUUUGGAGGUGUCUCCUUUAAAUAUUUACAAAAAGGUAGUGUGCUCAUUGUGGUUCAUAUGGAAUGCAAAGAAUAGAAGGGUUCAUGAUGAUGUUAUUGUCUCAAUCCAGGAUACAAUAUACAAGGUAGAGUCCUAUCUCAAAGAAUUGGAUGCAGUGCAAGAAAAGUUACCUCUUCAACAGAUGAUGUGUGUCACGUUACUAACUAAAAAUACGACAAAGGUAAGCACACCUAUUGAUAAAUAGUAUACCUAUAGUAAGUAGAGAUAUUGUAUCCACGAGGACUAAAAAUAUUAGUAAUUAUCGUUUUCUUACUAUUUAGCAGACAAAUUAGAGUGAUGGGUUUUGAGCUAAAAUUACUAAACUAAUUUAAUUAAGAACUCAACAGAGAAUAAAUCAAGAAAAUAAUCGAAUAAUAACCAAUAAGAGAGACAAUACCUAGGAAAGAAUCCACCUAGACCUCAUCUAUUAUUAUGAAUCUGAAUUAAACGAUUUAUUUACUUGGUAUCUUGAUCUGUAUAAAUCACUAAAUUAUGCUAAUCUCUCUUUUGAGAGUAAGAGUAAUUGACUCUAGGCUGAUUAAUUGAAAUUUCUUUCUAUUUAGAACCUCUAUUAUCGUAUUAACUUGAUCUAUGGAUUCCCCUAUUAGCUUUGACUCUAAUCCGGUAGAUUUAUGUCAUCCUAUUUUUAGGAUUGCAUGCAACUUCACUUAAUUAUAUUAGAUCUACUCUUAAACAGAGACUUUUGCUCUUCUGAUUAAGUACAUUAAACAUGAAUUAAUAUCCCGAAAAUAUUAAAAUAAGAAAUAAGCACAUAUAAUUGAGAACAAGAAUCAAGUAUUUAUUGCGCAAAACAUAAAUUAAAUAAUAGAAUUCAUCAUAGCAAGCAGAUGCAGGGUCUUGAAGGCAGCCACAAAAACUGUCAUCAUCCUUCGGAAAUGAGUUUGGUAGAGGAUGGUCCGGGAUCACACCAACCUACAUGGAAGAACAGAUGAAACAAGGGUCAUGAGGAAAGAGCUAGAGAGACACACAGAGAUCAAAAGUAAACCUUGUUGCUAUCGUUGUGUGCAGGUGUCUCAUAAUGAGCUACGGUAACAGCCAAUCCGGAGCCAUCAGAUAGCUGAAAAACCGAUUGGAUCUUGCUGCAGGUGUGGAAUGGAUCACUCUAGUUAGGAUCUACAAGGAUAUAGGAAGAUGAUAUGCUUGUAUAUAAACUGUAGUAAACGAAGUGUAAAUUACCCUUUCCCGUAUGUCGGUUCUCCGAACAAUACUGCACGCUUAUUAUCUUUCAACGCACCAGUUAAAAUUUCACUCGCACUUGCAGUACCCAUGUUCACCUAAUGAAAAUUCGAGUAACGGAAACCAUGAUCUGACAUACAGAAAGAGAUUUGACAUUGUAACAGUAAGAAAUAAAGUCCUUUUGUUUAAACCGAGCUUACCAGUACAGCUAGGGGUUCUGAAGCUGCUAUUGCUGAGCUUCCAUCCGUGUCGUAUAGAUAUCGAACUCCAUGAUUAUCACAAAUAUACACAAUCACGCCCUUCUCUAACCUGUUCCACAAAAACAAAUGAUGAUAACUUGUGCUAUGAAACUUGACAUGGAUAAAAGAAAUUUUUAAUUUCAAUGGCUUUAACUUACCAAAUCUUGGCGGUUUCGAUUCCUUUGGGUGAAAGCCCACCACUGCAGCAAAUUGAAUCUUUUAGAAAAACCUGUCUUAAGGGCGAGUUUAAAACGGAUCAUAUCAAAAGCUAAUCACCUAUUAUCAAGAAGGUCCAACACAAAGGCAUUAACGCUAUUACUCCUUAAAGUAUAGAUCACUUCCUUGACAGCAGCUACAGUAAAUGCAAUUUUUUAGGAUAAUACCCUAUAUAUAAACUAAAGAAGGAUGGGAAGGGUAUCUCCGAGAAGUCCCCCUCGGAAAGAUGCUAACAAGGCUAAAAAGAGGCACAACCGAACUAGAAAGAGGAAAACAAAAAUGCACAAAAAGAUGAAGAAAACAAAAGGAGGUUGUUUAUAAAAAGAGAUAAAUUCAAAAGUUUAUUGUGUGAAUGGACUCCUAAGAAACUAUAGGAUAUACGAUUUCAUGGCUUAGUCCAUAUCUUCAACAAACAGAAAGAGUAUUUGCAGUCAAUAUCUCCACUUACCAGAAGCCUUUUGGUUGAAUGAUGUUAGCUUAAUAUAACUGAUUUUGGGGUAGUUCUUUUCCGAACCAGGACCUUCGCAUAGCCUUGAUUUUACAGGAUUCAGUGAAAUCUUUGCUCACCUAGAAAGUUGCAGUCGCAGAUGGGUCAAUCUUAAAUCUCUCACAAAAGAGGUAUAAAAGAAUGACAAAAUACAUAUUCUCAUAUUCUACCUCACCUAAUUUGGAAUGCAUAAUAACAAUAGCAUAUUUUCAAAUGCUGAAUUAAUUAAUAUUGGUAGAACUUCGGAUAUAGUUACUAAUAUAUCAAGUUCAAAUACAUCAUAAGAUAUUCAAAUGAAACACUUAACUUACGUAAGAGCUAAGUGCUUUAUUUCGGGUCUGGUUUGAACUGUUAAUUCCACAGAACUUCCUUCUGGUCCCCUGUAGUUUAUUCAAAAAGACGAGCAUAACAGUAAACAACUGAAAAAGAAUGUAUAAACCGACGCAUUAGCAAAGAAAACGGAAUGAAAGAUCUAUGUAUGGCUCUGCUGAAUAGAUAUAUCUUCACCGAUAGUAACACGCUUACUGCAAUCUGUCUGCUGCAUCAUAGACAUAUUCAUCUAAUGAUCAAAGGUUUCCAUCAUUUCAAAAUGGCAAUAAUGGUUCAUUGCAUAGGAAGAGAGCAAAAUGUGCGGAAGAAGAAAGGUUGCCUGCAGAUAAACCGAAUAAUCACAACAAACAAGCAGGGACCUCUAGAGGAGAAGAAGACUUGUGCUCGUCAGCUGAGUCUUCAGUAUCGAAGAGGCAAAGUAUUAGCAGCAUGUCAUUCUCUGUUCCCCAGUCUUGUUCUUCGUCCGAUGGCAGGCCUAUGCUGGAGUGUGAAUCGCCUGAUAUGAAGCGAUCGUGAGAAGCUGCAAAGUUCGAUAUACUUGUGGUUCUUGCUGUUUAUCUGUCUGAUACAUUGGAUUAAGGCAGCCAGCAAAGUUAAGCCUUCGACGUUGAGCCUGGGGUGUCACGAAAUAUGCUCACUAUAGAUAGAUAUAUAAGUUGAAAUAAUGUGUUUUAAAGUAGAUGAGCAUUACAAAUCAUGGGAUGAUAUAUUAAUCAGCCAUUACCAACAACAAUAUGUAGUUUUCUGCAAUAAAUGAGCAAAACUUAGACUAUAUUUGUAUGAAAUUUGAGGCUUGAUUUCAAAUGAAAAAGAUUAUGUCCCAGAAUAGCUUUUCCAUGCGUCUGAGAAGUGAAACACGGUAUAUAAGAUUUGUUUCAUUCAUCCUUAAUCUUCAAAGUACAUCAUCAACUAAACUGAUUAUAUACAAGUGUUUAUGAACAAACUGAUUCAAAUUUACAAGUGACAAUCAUGUGAAACAUUUCAGAUCAAGAUAGAUUCACCAGAUUGUAAGAUGUGAUCCAAAAAUAAGUUGGAAGUGUACAAAUCUGCCGAAAAGCCCUUACCGACCAUUUCCGUAAGAAGUUGUGGUAUAGUCAUUUUGAAAAAAUCCCCGGAUCAUUACAUUAUAACAGCAACUGUUAGGCAAACAAUCAUUAUCUCCCAUGCUCUUAAACAACCGGUAUGCUUCAUCUGGCAAUCCCUCUUUACACACUCCAUUAAUCAUUAUGCAAUAUGUAUAAACGGUGGGUUUUAAACCACUGACUGAGAGUUGACAAAAUAAUUCCUUUGCAACUUCGAUAUGCCCAGCUUUGCACAAGCCAUCAAUUAGGAUGGUAUAAAAGAUGGUAUCGAGUUGCCAGAUUUGGAACUUGUCCAGAAGCAAGCAUCUUUCUCCAAAGUUCAUAUGCAUUUGAAACUCUCCUUAACUGAAACAUACCUUGCAUCAGAGUGUUGUAUGUGACAACAUCAGGCUAAAUGCCUUGCUUUCUCAUUCUGCCAAAAAUAUCUUCAGCUUCAGAAACCAUACUAUUCUUGCAAAGUGAAUCCAUCAAUAUAUUAUACGUGAUAACAUUAGGUUCAGCGCCUUGCUUUCUCAUCGUGCAAACAAUAAAUUCAGCUUCAGAAACCAUACCAUUCUUGCAAAGCGAAUCUAUCAAUGUACUAUACAUGAAAACAUUAGGUUCGAUGCCUUGCUUUCUCAUCAUGUCAACAACAACUUCGGCUUUAGAAACCUCCCCCAUCUUGCAAAGAGUAUCGAUGAAUAUACCAUAUGUGAUACGGGGUUGCGCGCGAACCAAGAUCGAGUUGCCAAGUCACGGGAAACUCCUACGAAAACCCUAAACAAUUAGAUCUGAAACGAAAUAGAAAAUUAAAAGAUUAGAUUUUUGAAUUUUCAGAUCUGAAAUAAAAUCCCCAAAUCAGCAAAGAAUCAAAUUGAGAAUAGAAAUAAGUGUUAGGGUUCUUGAAACCCUCAAGGAGAUUGUGAUUCUGCCCAAUUGAACACCAAGAUAGUUUUCCCCAAAUUUCGACAAUCUAAUUUCACCCAAAAAGAGUAUGGAAAAACCCUAGAAAUUGGGGAUUUUUGGGCUGAUUCCUUAAGAUAGAAAAAGGCUGAAAACACAAUAAGAACAGAAAAUAGAUUAGAUAAUGAUUCAGCACAAGUAGAAAUAAAGAAAGAAUUGACAGUAAGAAAUUAAAAGAUAAGUCCUAAGAAGCCUUGAAAUCUCGAAAGAUCUCACAACUCCCUUCAAACGGCUCUAAUCUCCCCUCCAAAGAAUAUCAAUGGCAAGAAGAAGGUUGAAGAUGGCUCCCACAAUCACAAGAUUGUUAAAACAACUUCUAAAGAAAACUCAAGAGAGAAAUCUUGGAGAAAACUCAAAGAAAAUUCUGCUCUCAACAAAUCUGAAAUUUUAAUAAUAAUGAUAAGUGUUUAACAAGGUGGACAGCCAUGCCUUUAAAUAGGCCUUAUAACUAGUCCUAAUCUAAUUAGAAAACUAAAAUAAAAAAAACUCCUAAUUAUUUUAAUAUGGAAAUUCGGUCAAAGGUCAUUUUAUCUGGGACUCUUGGACUGAAUAUUGACAUAAAAAUUUAAACUAAGUAAAUAAAUAAAUAAAAAUAAAAAUAAAACUUUACAACUUGGGCCACUUUGACAAUUUGGCCUGAUUUUCAACUAAGUAUGGAUGGAUUUCUUGAUUAGGCUGGGAAUUUUCUUAUUGGGCCUUGCCCUCAAGAAUUUGGGCUUGUGAUCCAUCUCCUACCGAAAUUGAAUCGUUGAUGCUCGUAAUGGAGAUCCAAUGCGCUUUGGCUGCAAGAUUUGGUGUCUUGGACCAAGAUUCCCAAUAUUUGAAAUCUUGAUUUUCCCUUUCUUUUGUGUACGCAUCUAAGGCCUUACUAACAAACUCCUGGAUGGUCCCAUUUAGUUUGGAACGCAUUUGUCGGGCCUUUGAUCUCGUAUCAUUCCCCCCUUCCUCAAAAAGAUUCGUCCUCGAAUCUGAAAAAUCAAAUGGGGACAAGUCAGCCACAUUAAAAGUAGAACUUACAUUGUACUCACCAGGUAGAUCAAUUUUAUAGGCAUUAUCGUUGAUCCUCUCGAGUACUUGGAAAGGCCCAUCGCCCGUUGGGUCCAACUUGGUCUUUCUUCUUGCAGGAAAUCGUUCUUUCCUCAUAUGGACCCAAACCCAAUCUCCGGGUUUUAGGACAACCCGUUUGCGCCCCUUGUUUGCUUUGUUGGUGUUGGCAUCAUAUGUUUUGGCUAUUCGUUGCCUAGCCUGCUCAUGUAAGGAUUUCACCAACUCAGCUUUCUGUUCACCAUCUAAAUUAACAAUGUGUUCAAGUGGUAAUGGCGCAAGAUCAAGUACUGUUAGUGGGUUAAAACCAUAAACAAGUUCAAAUGGAGAAUAACCAGUUGUAGAAUGAAUAGAUCUAUUAUAUGCAAAUUCAACAAACGGUAGGCAUUCUUCCCAAUUUCUAAUGUUCUUUCCCACAACAGAUCGUAAUAAAGUCCCUAAGAUCCGAUUAACUACUUCAGUUUGGCCAUCAGUUUGGGGGUGACAUGUAGUGGAAUAAAGUAAUUUAGUACCAAGCUUACCCCACAAUACCUUCCAAAAGUGGCUAAGAAAUUUGACAUCUCUGUCAGAAACAAUUGUUUUAGGGAUGCCAUGAAGUCUUACCACCUCUUUAAAGAAUAAGUCUGUUACAUGUGUAGCAUCAUCUGUUUUGUGACAAGAAAUAAAAUGUGCCAUCUUUGAGAACCUGUCAACAACAACAAAUAUACUAUCUCUUCCCUUCUUAUUUCGAGGCAAACCUAGAAUAAAGUCCAUGGAUAAAUCUACCCAAGGUGAAGUAGGAAUCGGUAAAGGAGUGUAAAGGCCAUGAGGCAUUACCUUAGAUUUUGCUUGUUUGCAUGUAAUGCACUUGGAACAUACCUUUUCGACAUCCUUUUUCAUAUGUGGCCAAUGGAAGUGUUCUUGCAAGAUAUCUAGUGUUUUGGCCACUCCAAAAUGUCCCAUUAAACCUCCACUAUGGGCCUCAUGAAUCAAUAAGUCUCUCAUGGAACACUUUGGUAUGCAUAACCUGUUCAUACGAAAAAGAAAGCCAUCUACAAGAUAAAAUUUAUCGAAAGCAGUAUGUCCACAAUUCUUAUAGAUAUGGCCGAAAUCAGCAUCAUCAUCAUAUAGUUCCUUAAUAUGUUCGAACCCUAAGACUUUAGCAUUCAAUGUAGUUAUUAAAGUAUAUCGUCUAGACAAAGCAUCUGCAACUACAUUAUCUUUACCUGUUUUAUAUUGUAUCACAUAAGGGAAUGUUUCAAUGAAUUCUACCCAUCGAACAUGUCUUUUACUCAACUUACCUUGUCCCUUUAACCAUUUAAGAGAUUCGUGAUCUGUGUGUAUGACAAACUCAUUAGGCAGCAAAUAAUGUUGCCAUACUUGAAGUGCACGAACUAAUGCUAAUAGUUCUUUGUCAUAAGUCGAGUAGUUUAACUGUGCACCAUUCAAUUUCUCACUAAAAUAAGCAAUAGGUUGCUUAUCUUGCAUUAAAACAGCGCCAAUUCCAAUUCUUGAAGCAUCACACUCAAGUUCAAAAGUUUUAGCAAAAUCAGGUAAUUUAAGCAAAGGAGCAGAACAUAACUUAGCUUUUAGAGUUUGAAAAGCUUUUUCUUGGGUGUCACCCCAUUUGAAACCCACUGAUUUCUUUAUAACUUCAGUCAAUGGGGCAGCAAUAGUAGAGAAAUCUUUCAUAAAUCGUCUAUAAAAACUGGCUAAACCAUGGAAAGAUCUCACCUCAGUUACCGAUUUAGGAGUCGGCCACUCCUUAAUUGCCUUAACUUUGUCCUCGUCGACAUGAAUACCUUGAGCACUAACUAUGAAACCUAAGAAUAUUAGUUUAUCACAACAGAAUGUGCAUUUAUCAAGGUUGGCAAAUAAUCUUUCAGUUCGUAGAAUAUCCAAAACGGUUCGAACAUGGAAAACAUGAUCAUCUAAUGACUUUGAGUAAAUUAAAAUAUCAUCAAAGUAAACUACUACAAAUUUACCCAAAUGUAGCCUCAAAACAUGAUUCAUUAAUCUCAUAAAUGUACUAGGUGCAUUAGUAAGGCCGAAAGGCAUAACUAACCAUUCAUACAAUCCAAAUUUUGUUUUAAAGGCUGUUUUCCAUUCAUCCCCUUCCCUCAUUCGAAUUUGAUGAUAACCGCUUUUUAAAUCAAUUUUUGUAAAUAUUAUUGAACCAUGUAAUUCAUCAAGCAUAUCAUCAAGUCUAGGGAUUGGGUGUCGAUACUUUACCGUUAUCUUGUUGAUUGGGCGACAAUCAACACACAUACGAAACGUACCAUCUUUCUUUGGCACCAAUAAGACAGGAACAGCACAAAGACUUAGGCUCUCACGAAUGUACCCUUUGUCUAGUAAUUCCUCAACUUGCCUUUGCAAUUCCUUUGUCUCCUCGGGAUUGCAUCUAUAGGCUGGUCGAUUUGGGAUUGAAGCUCCGGGUACUAAGUCAAUUUGAUGUUCUAUCCCUCGUAAAGGUGGUAAACCUUUAGGGGCCUCACUAAAAACAUCCUCAUAAUCCUGCAAAAGAAAUUGAAACACACUAGGCAAAUUUUCGUUAAUGUUAGAUAAAGAUAAAUAAUUUUGCCUAAACCUCACAAGGAUACAAGGCUGUUUAUUAAGUAGGGCUCUCUUCACAUCUUUUUUUGUUGCCAAAAGAUUUUUUUCGCUCAUUUUACCACUAGAGGAUUCACUCACCUUUGAGCUUUUUAAAUUUUGACUUUUUCCACUACUAUUAGCCUCUUUUCUCUCUGUCUUUUGUACUUGCUCUUUCUCCCUUACCCCCUCACAAAAUUUUAUCAUCCUCAAUUGAUCUUUAUAUACAUCAGUAGGAUUUAAAGGAGCAAAAGUGAAUUUCUUGCCUUUAAAUACAAGGGAGUAUCGAUUAAGUUUACCUUGGUGUGUAACAUCGCGAUCAAAUUGCCAAGGUCGUCCAAGGAGCAAGUGUGCCGCAUGCAUGGGGACUACAUCACACCAUACGUCAUCCUCAUAAUUGCCGAGUUUAAAAGUGACCAAGGACUGUUUCGUAACUUUAACUUCGGAACAUUCAUUAAGCCACUGAAGGUGAUAUGGCUUAGGGUGUUUGGUUCAAGGCAACUUUAAAGAAUCCACCAAAUAACUAUUCACUACAUUCGAGCAACUCCCACUAUCAAUAAUGAGUGAACAUAAGUUACCUUUAAUAAAACACCGAGAAUGGAAAAUAUUGGUCCUUUGGCUCUCAUCAUCUUUCAUCUGAAUGUUAAGGGUUCGGCGAACUACAAAGCAAUGGAAAUUAGCAAAGUCCCCAUCUUUUGGUGGUUCGACCAACUCUUCGCCAUUAUCACUGUCAUCCACAAGUUCUGGCAUAUCUGGAUCUGUUUUAUCAGAGUCGGAAGUGUACUCACCAUUAUCUUUCAGAAGAAGUAAUCUCGUGUUAGGGCAUUCCCUACUAUAAUGACCACGCCCUUUGCACUUAAAGCACUCAAUCUCACGAGUCCUCUUCGCACUCGAAUCUCCUAAAUUGGGCUGCUUAGAAGGUGUUUGCGUUUUAACAGGAGCCCCUUUUUUCCAAUCUGAUUGCUUGCUUCCAUUACUCAAAGAAGGCUUGUUAGUAACGAAAGGUGAUUUUGAGCUCUUAAAAUCAGAAUUGGAAUUGUUACCUCGGUAAUAUUGCGAAGUCGAGAAGGAACCAAACCUUUGUUCCUUUAGUUGUUGCUCGAUCUCAAUGGCUUUAUGAACUGCUUCUUCCAAAUCAAUGUAAGUUUGUAGCCUCAAUGUAUUAGCUAUCGGCCUGUUCAAACCAUCAAUAAAUCGAACCAUAGUUGUUUCUUCAUCCUCCUCCACAUUAGCUCUCUGAAUGAGCAUCUCCAUCUCUUUAAAAUAUUCAUCCACUGUCCUACUACCUUGGAUAAGUCUUCUCAGCUUUGUUUUAAUUUCUCUAUAGUAGUGAGGUGGAAUAAACCUUUUACGCAUAAUCUGUUUCAACUCAUCCCAUGUCGAAAUCUCACCUUCAUAAUUCCGAUGGCGGUUUACCCCAAGUUGAGUCCACCAACUUAAUGCAUAAUCAGAAAAUUCCAGUGUUGCUAACGCUACCUUUUCAUCAUCCGGACAUUUAUAAUACCGAAACAUAAGUUCAAUCUUAGAUUCCCAUUCACAAUAAGCGUCAGGAUCAUUCUUACCACGAAAUUGGGGAAUUGUGAAUUUCGGUUUUGCCAAAGAAGGUUGCCCACGAUCAUGAAAAUCAUCAUCCAUUCUAUUGACACGUCGAGGGCCGCGCCUCUUGGGUUCCCUAUCUUCUUUGAUUGGAUCUCGAUAUUGAGGUUCUUGAUUCAACUGCACCUCAUUGAUGGUAGCAGUCAAAGCUCGAAGAGCAGCAGCCUGUUCAUCCAACUGUUGUUGGAAUUUUUUAAAUAUGUCACUAUUAUUAUCACCUGUAGACAUUUUUUUAAAACCUGCAAAACACUCAACACUCAAAAAUAAAAGUUAUCAAACCUCACCGUUAAUCACUCAAAAAGAAAAAAUCAAAUUCUCAAUGAGGUCGAAUUCAACCUUGUGAGUUCUUUAUCAGAGUUUAUAUCAACCAAUUAGAGAGUGUGAACCAAACUACCAAAGAAUCCUAAUUUGCACUAGGAUGCCAAAAACUGACGAGACACCAAUUGAUUCGUGUUGCACCGAGGAAGAAAUUGUGCACACGUUUAAAUCCUACUAACACAAGAAACAAGAAGGUGUUAGAUAACGUAAAGGAAGAAUAAAGGUAAACAAAUGAAAACCUACAGCUAAGAAUCAAUAAAAAUUGCUGAAAACAGAAAACUCGAAAAACUGCGGAGUAACUUGACAACUUCGUUCGAGGUGUUCCCGAUCUCCAAAAAUCACAAAAUUAAAUCUGGAAUGUCUUAAAAUAUUGAAUUUUUGAUCUGGAAAAUUUGGGCACCAAAUUCAACCCGCUGAAAAUUUUUUUAAUUUUUUAUUGGAUUUCGUCCUUUUUCAAUUUUUUGACUUUUUCGACUUAUUUUUUUGCGGGAAAUAUUUUUUUAUAUUCAAUAACAGUGCCAAAAAUAUGUAUGUAAAAUUUCAGAUCAAUCAGAAAACGUUUACCCACUAAAAUGAAUUUUUUUCGAAAAUUUUUCUGAGUAAAACUGCUGUUUGUAAUUUAAAAAAUAGAGAUCAGUUUAGAAAUCAACCAAGAACCCCCAAAACGCCAAAAAUCUGAUACCAAAUGAUACGGGGUUGCGCGCAGACCAAGAUCGAGUUGCCAAGUCACGGGAAACUCCUACGAAAACCCUAAACAAUUAGAUCUGAAACGAAACAAAAAAUUAAAAGAUUAGAUUUUUGAAUUUUCAGAUCUGAAAUAAAAUCCCCAAAUCAGCAAAGAAUCAAAUUGAGAAUAGAAAUAAGUGUUAGGGUUCUUGAAACCCUCAAGGAGAUUGUGAUUCUGCCCAAUUGAACACCAAGAUAGUUUUCCCCAAAUUUCGACAAUCUAAUUUCACCCAAAAAGAGUAUGGAAAAACCCUAGAAAUUGGGGAUUUUUGGGCUGAUUCCUUAAGAUAGAAAAAGGCUGAAAACACAAUAAGAACAGAAAAUAGAUUAGAUAAUGAUUCAGCACAAGUAGAAAUAAAGAAAGAAUUGACAGUAAGAAAUUAAAAGAUAAGUCCUAAGAAGCCUUGAAAUCUCGAAAGAUCUCACAACUCCCUUCAAACGGCUCUAAUCUCCCCUCCAAAGAAUAUCAAUGGCAAGAAGAAGGUUGAAGAUGGCUCCCACAAUCACAAGAUUGUUAAAACAACUUCUAAAGAAAACUCAAGAGAGAAAUCUUGGAGAAAACUCAAAGAAAAUUCUGCUCUCAACAAAUCUGAAAUUUUAAUAAUAAUGAUAAGUGUUUAACAAGGUGGACAGCCAUGCCUUUAAAUAGGCCUUAUAACUAGUCCCAAUCUAAUUAGAAAACUAAAAUAAAAAAAAAUCCUAAUUAUUUUAAUAUGAAAAAUUCGGUCAAAGGUCAUUUUAUCUGGGACUCUUGGACUGAAUAUUGACAUAAAAAUUUAAACUAAGUAAAUAAAUAAAUAAAAAUAAAAAUAAAACUUUACAACUUGGGCCACUUUGACAAUUUGGCCUGAUUUUCAACUAAGUAUGGAUGGAUUUCUUGAUUGGGCUGGGAAUUUUCUUAUUGGGCCUUGCCUUCAAGAAUUUGGGCUUGUGAUCCAUCUCCUACCGAAAUUGAAUCGUUGAUGCUCGUAAUGGAGAUCCAAUGCGCUUUGGCUGCAAGAUUUGGUGUCUUGGACCAAGAUUCCCAAUAUUUGAAAUCUUGAUUUUCCUUUUCUUUUGUGUACGCAUCUAAGGCCUUACUAACAAACUCCUAGAUGGUCCCAUUUAAUUUGGAACGCAUUUAUCGGGCCUUUGAUCUCGUAUCAAUAUGUGACAACAUUAGGCUUAAUGCCUUGCUUUGUCAUUAUGCCAACAAUAUCUUCGGCUUUAGAUAUCAUUCCUUGCUUGCAAAGCGCAUCGAUCAAUAUACUAUAUGUGACGACAUUAGGCUUAAUGCCUUGCUUUAUCAUUUCGAAGAAGAGAUCAUGAGCCUCCUUUAGCAAGCCCUUCUUACAAAGACAGUUAAGGACAGUGCUAUAUGCUACAACAUCAGGUUCGAAACCUCUUUCUUCCAUCAUCCUUAGAUACCUAAUAGCUCCAUCAGUAUUCCCAGUUUUACACACCCCAUCCAGUACUGUAGUGUAAACAAUUAAAUCAGGUUGAUACCCUUUCUCAAUCAUUUCAUCAAACAAACUCAGCCUCAAAAAUCUUACUUCGAUUACAAAGUCCCCUAAUCAAAGUGGAAAAAGUAACAACAUCAGGUUUAACACCUAGCUUCAACAUUUUGCCCACAACUGAAAACCCAGAAUCAAUUCGAUCAAGUCGACAAAAGCAAUUAAUCAAGAUGUUGAAAGAAUAAUCAUUCUAACAAUGGCUCUUAAUAAUUUAGUGAAUUCAACAAUGGAAGGCUUCGGGUGCUCCACAAUCAUCUUGUGAAACAAAGUCAGAGCAUCAUCAACAUUAUUGAAGCGAGGAUAGGAUUUUCGAUUUUCCCUCACAGACAUUGAAUUCUCACUUAAAGCUUCUAUGUGGGUAGAAUGUAAUUAAAAUAAGGAGAAAAAGACGAGUGGAGCUUAGAAAGGUUCCUUCCACCAUUAACAGCUGAAGCAAGAAGCAGACCCAUAUCUUGCAAUUACAGGGAAAACAAGAGCUAAGCUUUGAAAAGAAACCCCAUAAAUGGCGGCGGCGGCUGAACUAGCAGAAGAAUACUAUACUCCGUUUAAAGGCUCCAAAAUUGUUUGUUUGUUUGUGCACCAAAAGUGGAGGGAGAGUAGGGUGGGUUUUGUUUGUUUGUGUUCCUUACUCGCUGAUCUUAUUUGCAUACGUUUUCAUAUAUUAUUUGUUUUUUUUUUCAAAAUUAAAUAUUUAUAUUUGGAUUUUAAGUUAUUAUCCAGAAUUUAAAAUUUUUAAUUUUGAUAUGUAAGCGAAGGCAACAAUGGCAGUGGCAGUAAGAGAAGCGGAAGAUAAAUUCUCACAAUCAAAUUGAUAUUUGAAGGUUAAUUUUUUAAAAUUAUGAUUAAAUUGAUCUCAUGUGUAAAUGUUAAAAGGGUUAAAUUUUAAAUGUCACACGAGUAAAAUUUGAGGGAAACUAAUGUGGGUAGGGAAACUAAUGUGUAAAUAUUAAGGAUUAAAUUUUGAAUGUCACACCACCCUUUCAAGUUAGCGUUUGAUCAAACCGAGUGAAAAUAUUUUGAGCAUAAGCUCUUUUAUGUGUGAGAGAGCAAAAUUUGAGGGAAACUAAUGUGGGUAGGAUAUUUAAAUAAUUUCACCAUUAUCUGUGCUUCGGAGUUUUGUUUGUUUGUUCUACUAAGCUUACUUAUUUAACGAAAUUAGGUCACGGAUCUUAUUUGUAGAAGCCGUAAUAUAUUAUUUGUUAUCUAUUUUUUUCCUCCAUUUUUUUAUUGAGAGAAAUUUUUACUCUAAUUAAAUAUUUUUAUUUAGUUUUUUAGAUGCUAUCCUGAAUUUAAUUUUUUUAUAUGAUCUAAUGAAAUUAUUGAUAAUAAGCAAAGUCAGAUCAUUGAUCUUAUUUGUAGAAGCCUUAAUAUAUUAAUACUUUUAUCUAUUUUUUCAUCAAAAUUAAAUAUUUAGAUUUAGAUUUUAAGUUAUUAUCUAUAAUUUAAAUUUUCUUUUAAUUUUGAGGUGAAAGUGAAGGCAACAAUGGUAGUGGCGGUAGGAGAAGUAGAAGAUAAAUUUUGAUGAUCAAAUUGAGAUUAUUUCUAAAUUUUAAUAGUUAAAUUUAUAAAAUUAUGAUUAAAUUGAUAUCAAAUAUAAAUGUUAAAGGUUAAAUUUUUUAUUAUAUCUAUUUUUUAAAUGUCACAUCACCCUUUCAUAUAAGGGUGAACGUUUGAUUGAAUAGAGUGAAAAUUUUUUUAGAAUAAACCCUUUAUGUGUGAGAGAGUAGUGUGGGUAGGAUAUUUAAGUAAUUUCACCAUUAUCUGUGCUUUGAGGUUUCGUUUAUUUGUUUGUUAUGCUAAAUUUACUUAUUUAGUGAAAUCAGGUCACUAUUCUUAUUUGCGAAGCCUUAAUAUAUUAUUUGUCAUAUAUAUUUUUUCUCCAUUUUUUCUAUUGAGAGAAUUUUUUACUCCAAUUAAAUAUUUAUAUUUGGUUUUUUUGUUAUUAUCCCGAAUUUAUUUUUUAUAUGAUGUAAUGAAAUUAUUGAUAAUAAGAAAAAUCAGGUAACUAAUUUAAACAAAAUGAUUAGUAAGCAUCCUUUAAUUUUAUUUUUUAUUUGACAAGAAAUUUGUAAUAUCAAGUGACAUGUAGGUCUUUAUUUUGAUGGAUUCAAAAAUAUGUGGACAACAAAGUUUAUUGCACUUUAAAGAAGAAAAUUUAAGUUCAAAUUUUAAAAAUAAUAUUGUUAAGAGAGACAGUCACAACUUCCAAAAAAUUUAAUUGUCAUAAAUAGUAAAAUGAAUAUAAAUGAUACUUUCAUCAUAAUAAUAUAUAGGUUUAUAGGUAUAAAAAAUACCCUUGAGAAAUAAAAAAAUAAAAUAAAUCAAUUAAGCCCCUCGACUUAAUUCGCAUCCAAUAUUGAGCCUUUGUUGUUAACAUAAAAAGUUAAUCAAGUCCCUCCAUUAAAAGUUUCUCUCUCUUUGACCAUGUUAACUAUUAAAAUUAAUUAAUGGACCAAUUAGAUGGCAAACCCUAUGUAAUCUUUCAUUUUUUUCAAAAAAAAAUGAAAAUAUCAUUAAAAAUUAUAAAAAAAUAUUAAAAUUUUAUAAAAAAUAUUAAAAAUUAUGUUUAAGUAUUUCAAAAGGUCCCUAUACUCUUUUGAAAUUUAAAAUUUAAUCUCUCUACUUUAAUUUUGAGACAUUGAGUCAUUGGGAUUUUAUUAUUUAAAAAUCUUGAUCCUCCAUUUAAUUUUAUUAUUAAAGCUCUAUUCAACCAAUCCGUACAUGUUUACAAGUCAACUGAUUUUUAAAAUUAAAAUUUUUUAACCUUCAACAUUAUAGUUUCUUUUUCUCAAUUUGGUCCUCACCCUUUAAAAUUAUGUAAUUUUUUAAGGGACAAAAUCUCAAAAUUAUGUGCAAGUUGAUACAUGAACUUUGAUUUAAUGCAAUUAUACACAUGAAACUUUGAUUAUGGUUUAAAUAUAUACAUGUGAUCUGUUGUAUUUUGCUACGUCAAAUUAGGCUUUCCAUUACGUUGAAAAAUUAGGUUUGGAAAAUACAACGGAAAAUAUAUUUGAGGAAAAAUAAGAGUUUUAAUUUUUUUUUUCCAAAACUAGAACUUGAUUGUGUUAUUUAAAGUAAUAAACAUUUAAUUAAAAUCAUACAUUUUUUAUUCGUCUAGGAUGAACACUUCGACCGAGUAUUCUUCUCCGCUAUCCUCAAGCUCACGUCUAUCGAGUGUGGGCUCGCUUCAAAUUAGAAAAUUUUUCACAAAAUUACUAGUGGGGAAAUUUUUUAAUUUCUCUAAAUUUUUGGAGUCAAGUUGUAAAUAUGAAAAAUAUCUAUAGAAUUUUUUUAAAAUAAUUUCUUCAGAUAAUUUUCUUUAACUUUCUUGUGUGAAAAAUAAUAACCCAAAGCUCUCUUUAUAAAGUUAAAGAGCUCAAUUAUGAUUAAACUUAAUUACUUUAAUAUUAAAAUAAUUAUCAAGAUAAAUAUUAAAUCUAUUAAAUUAAUAUGCUUAUGUGGAAGACUAUUGGUAGGUUGUUAAGUCUCAGAGUUCAAGGCAUUUUUGUUCAGUCCCUUGUUCCUCAAACAAGUAAGCAUUGAUCUCUCUUUUAUUAGUUUUCACUUUCUAUAAUCUUUUUCAUAACUUUAAAUUGCCUUCAGAGAUUUAAAUAGCAGUCGAGUAGCGGAAUACCGGCGUUAUAUAGCAGUAGCAGCGCCAUCCAAAAUUGUUAUUAUUGAAAAUAGCGGUGUAAAGCGGAAUCACACCAAUAGCAGUGGAUCACGGUCGCAAUUUAACAGGUAAUGGCCAAUUGCGGCAAUAACAGGCCGUUGUUCCCUUAUUGUUCCAUUACAGUAAAAUUAAAAAAAAUCCAACUCCUUAAAAAAAUCAACAGAAAUAUAAUUAGACAAAGCCACAAAGGGAAAAUAUUCUUCAUUUGCAAAAUCAAAUAAUUUUCAAUCAAAAAAAAGAAAAAGCAGUCCAAAAUCAAUAGAAAAAAGUAGUCCAAAAGCAAUAGAAAUAUAUGAAUCAGUACAAGAAAUUUGUUCAAAAAACAGAAAAAGCAUUCAAAACUCUAAACAAAAAAAUAUGAACCGUGAUAGGAGAGCCAGUGGAGACGGUGGUUAGAUGCGUGUUUGAGUCCGAGCUUGGUGGCGUUUGGUAUGUCCGAUGAACUUGAUGGAUUUGAAGAAGACUAGAGACACUACACCAAAACAGGCUUUUAGCGGCGCUUUUUUAGGCCUUUAGCGGCGCUUUUUAGCGCCGCAAAUACUUUUAGCGGCGCUUUGAUAAGCGCCGCAAAAGAUGCCGCUAAAGGUGUUGGUCUAUAGCGGCGCUUCUAUCACAAACGCCGCUGAAGACUAAGAGCUUUAGCGGCGUUUUUAAUAUAACCGCCGCUAUAGAUUGGUGUCUUUAGCGGCGUUUUUGUUGAAAGCGCCGCUAUAGAUCAGGGUCUUUAGCGGCAUUUUUUAUAUAAGUGCCGCUAUAGAUCAUGGCCUUUAGCGGCGCUUUUCCCAAAAACGCCGCAAUAGACCCUGAUCUAUAGCGGCAUUUUUCGCACAAACGCCGCAAUAGACCCUGAUCUAUAGCGGCGCUUAUCCAGAAAACGCCGCUAAAUACCCUUUGUCUAUAUAGCGGCGCUUCGCGCGAAAACGCCGCUAAAGACCCUAAUCUAUAGCGGCGCUUUUACCAAAAACGCCGCUAAAUUUGACAGAUUUGUAAUUUUUUUUAUAUUUUCUGCCAUCCUGUAAAAAAACAAAUCAAAAGAAAUCAUAUCUAAACCAGCCAAAAGUAACAAAUCUAUGGAUUAAACAAAUAAUAUAAUAAAUAUCAAUAAAUAUAAAUAAAUUCGUAUUAUUCUUACAAAAAUGUUAAAAGUUAAAAUGAUAAUUGAAAGUCAAAAUUGAAGUAUAUUUACACGAUAGUCUAAGACGGCGGCUGUUGCGACUGCUGAAACAUCUUCAUCAUACUCUGGAGCUGCUGCUGGAGUUUAUCGAACUUUUGACGCUGCUCUGCUUCCCUCGCUGUAGCCUCUGCUUCCCUCGCUUUAGCCUCUGCUUCCCUUGCUGCAGCCUGUUCUUCUCUCGCUGCCGCCUCUGCUUCUCUUGCUGCCGCAUCUGCUCUAAGCUGCUGCUGGAGUUCUUCAUACUUUCGUUGAACCUCAGCUUCUCUCGCUGCUGCAUCUGCUUUAAGUUGUAGCUGGAGUUCUUCAUAUCUUUUUUGAACAUCAGCUUCUCUCGAUGUUGCCUCCGCUUUAAGUUGUGUAAUUUGCUCAGUUGUUGUCGCUUGCAUCAGAGCAAUCUGGUCUCUUAACCUCUGAACUUCAGCUUCAGCUCGACUCCCUGAAGGCAUAUACUGUUGCGAGCUAGAUCCAAAAUAUUGGGACGGGUUAACAAAAGAUUCUUGGAAUCGAACCCGACCAUACCUUUCAGGACCCAAAACUUCAGUGAUAAUCCGGUUAUCAAUGUCAUCAAUAUGAACAGAACUAUCACUGGAUGCAAUCACGUCGUACUCCGCCUUUUUAUUCUUUAAUUUUUCCUAAAAAAUAAAUCACACAUAGAUAGGAACACAAUAUAUAUUAAAAAUAAGAAUGCAACAUAACUUAACAAUAUUUGCAUUAUAAUAAAUGAAAUAAAUCAUUAGAAAGUAAACACUAUAUAAAUAAUUAAAACAAGUGAAAUUGUAUUAAGAAAACGUACCAUAAUUUCUGCAGCUUCAGGAGUCAUAGGGUUUCCAUCUUUCUUCCUAUGUGUAAUGUCAAAAAGUUAAAGUCGUCUAACUUUUUGACCGGACGACAAUUCCUACAAUACAAUAGUAAAAAUAUUAAUUGAUAGAAAGUAAUAAAUAUCUGCCAACAUUAAAAGCAUUUCAAAAUACCUCUGCAUGAGCUACACACGCAAAACUUUUCGACCCAGCUGUGUGAGUGAAUUUUUGUUGCUGCCUACUCUGUUUUCCAACUUGUUCACGAUCCUACAUUAUGGAAUUAUUAGUACGUUAAUUAGGAAAUACUAUACACCAAAAUAAUUACAAAAUUUUAUAAGUUACACAUACCUCUCCUUUCUUCGAAGUCCAAAAUCUAACGACCUCUUCCCACUGGUACCUCAGCAUUCCCGGCGGGACAUUUUGUAAUCUCUCGUCGAGUGUUGUUUUUGUUUUAAAAUAUUCUUUCUUUAAAGUGCUCUUAUGGUCUCUCCAUCUUUUUCCCAAUGCCUUCUUUACAUAAGCAUCGGAGACCUCUAGAGCAAAUCUCGCCUACAAAAAACACAACUUAAGAAAGUAAAUGUAAACGAAACUUAAAUCCAAGUAUUAUAAAUGACAUACACGUUUUGUUACCUUAAUGCUAUCGAGAGCUUGGUUCUUGUUACUCUCGGGCACUUUAUGCCAUGACUCGAAGUUAAUUGGCAACAUAUUUGCAUUCCGUGCUAGAAUGCCCAUGUAUCCUGCUAAAAGGCGGGCUUCUGAUCCAACAGGCUGACCAAAGCUAUUACUGGAUACUUGGACACGCUCGACUGGAUCUAGGUCGUAUAAAUCGCUCAGUACUGUAUGUCCGCGAACUCUCCGCGUCUCACCAGUUUCAUCUGAAAAAUAUAAGUAUUGUAAUAUACGAAAUUUAAAAAAAAUAAACAAGAAGUCAGCACACAUGAAAAUUAAAUGUUAAAUUACUUUGAACUUCUAUAUGUUCCUCAGGUGUAACCGGAACAUUCGAAGAUCCAAUUGCAGUCUGUUGUUCAGUGCUGUUUGUUUCCGCCGAGUUUGGAGUACCUUGAACAAUGCGGUGCGAUCGCACUUUUCUUCUAGGCAUUUUAUCUGCAAUACAAAUAAAUUAGUUGAAAACUUAGUAUACAAUUACAACAAUAACAUCAUUCGUAAAUAUAAUUAGAUAAUCGUAAAAGCUGACUACAUUAUAAUUCGUAAAUAUCUUCAUCCGUAUCCUGGCGGACCCAUUGAAAUUGUGUACUAGUACUACGGAUGUUUUCGUUUAAGUUUUGUUCUGGAAAUGGUAAAGUUUGUGUUCUGUCGUCAAUGUCAUCUCUACUUCCACUGCCCAUGUCAAACAAGUCUCUAGGGAUGUUACGGAGUACAACGUACCAACCCUCAUCAGUUGGAUCUUUUGAGUAAAAAACUUGUUUGACUUGAGAAGGAAAUACAUACGGCUUAUCAAUCAAUUGUUGUCCUGUGUGAAUCAAUCGAGCGAAGUUUACCAUUGUGAAACUAAAUUGAUCUUGCUUGAUUCCACGUGCAGUAUUAACAUCGGCCCAAUCACCUCGAAAUAAGACAACUUUCCAUUUGCCGUAGUAAUCCAACUCAAUUAUGUCAGUAAGAAGUCCAAAAUAUUCCACAUUUCCCUCCACAGGAUUAUUGUCCCUGGCAUUAGCAUAACUUGUAAUUGAGGAAUUAACAACUAUUCCACAAUUUUGCGUUUUCCUCAAUCUAUCGCGAUAUUUUGUAUGAAAUCUGAAUCCGUUUAUGAGGAAUGCACUAUAUUUUUAACCACCCGAUUUGGACCUUGGGAAAGCCAUUUAACUUCGUCGGUGACGUUCUUCCCACUCCAAACCUAUUGAAUGGAAAGUAAAUUGAGUAAUUAAAAAUGUUUUGAACAAAUAUUAUUAUUUGUCGGUGAAAGCUCCAAUUACAUACCGUUUGACUUAACCAUUCAUGAAAAGAUUCUGUAAACAACUUAUUGAUAUCUCGAUGUUGUGUUCUUCGGGAGCGCGAACGAGAUCUCAAUAUUUGUUUGUACUCACUAUGUUACAAAUAUGUUAAGUUUGUUAGACUAUAAACAAUUUUGAAAUAAUAAAUAUUUAUCAAAUUUCUAGAACUUACUUGCGUAAAGGUUCCAUUGAUUCGUGGUGAAACAGAACAUAUCGAUGUGCUUGUACCCACGAUAAAUCAUCUAAUUCUGCAAUUUCAACUUUACCGAUUGGUUCUCCAAAACUUUGGAACAAAUAACUGUCGGCAAAGUUACGAUCCGUGAGUCCAGCAUUUCUAUUUGGUCUGUUCAACCUUGUUUCAACAUCUUCCAAAUAUCUUGAAUAGAAGAUCAUACAUUCCUCUGCCAAGUAGCCUUCAGCAAUCGAUCCCUCUGGAUAACGCUUGUUGCGGCAAUAAGACUUUAAUUUUGAUAGGAACCUAAACACAAUAUACAACAUUGUCAAAAGUUGUAACUAAAGGCACAUGGCUGAAUGAAGGAAAAUUUACAAAAUUGUAAUUAACACCUUUCUAUGGGAUACAUCCAUCGAUAGAAAACGGGUCCGCCAAAAAUUACUUCAUGCGGAGAUGGAUUAUCAAGUGAACCAUAAUAGUGAAGAAGGAAGGUGGGAAGAUUUUCUCCAUGUUGCAUAGAGUUAAAGCGGCUCGAUCCUGUACCUUCUGAACUUCUUGAACAUCCAAAACUUUGCCACAAAUGGCUUUCAUUAUAUUGGAUAGUUCAAUUAUAGAAGACGUCACCUUCUUCGAAAUACAACAUCGUAGAGCAACUGGCAGUAAAUCUUGCAUCAAGAUGUGAUAGUCAUGUGACUUUAGCGAAUAUAGUCUUCGAUCUUUAACACUAACACAUCGAGAUAUAUUUGAUGCAUACGCAUCUGGAACCUUUAUAUCCUUCAACACCAUGCAGAACACUUCUUUCUCUGUCUUUGACAUUGAGAAAAUUGAAGGCGGUAACCGAUAUUUACCAUUCGGAAGUGGAUUCGGAUGAAGAUCAGGUCGAAUUCCCAUCUGAACUAAAUCAAGUCGACUCUGAAGAUUGUCUUUUGAUUUUCCGUGUACAUUCAAAAUUGUACAGACAAUGUUCUCGCAGACAUUUUUCUCAACAUGCAUAACAUCAAGAUUGUGUCGUAAAAGGUGGUGCUCCCAAUAAGGUAACUCAAAAAAAAUACUUCUUUUUUUCCACAAGUCCGCCUCAUUAGGAUCGUCCUCUUCAUCAGAGUUAUCAUCAGCUUCAUCAUUUGAUCUUCUAUUUCUUUGCGUGUUUGCCGGUUGAUUCAUCUUCCCAUAACUGAAAUUCAUAUCUUCCAACAUUAACAAGAUUUCAGAUCCACUUGUCUGCGAAGGAGCUUCUCUGAACUCUUCAGUACCGUCAAAUGCCAAACUCUGAAAUCUAAAUCUAUGAUUUUCUGGUAACCACCGACGAUGCCCCAUGUAAGAGAACUUCUUCCCAUUGUAUAACCAUUGCGAGCAUGUUUGUGCAGCACAACAAGGGCACGUAUAACGACCCUUGGUACUCCAACUGGAUAAAUUGGCAUAAGCGGGGAAGUCAUUAAUGGUCCACAUCAAAGCUGCACGUAAAUUAAAGUUCUCCUUUCUCAGCACAUCGUAUGUCUCGACACCAGCCCAUAAUUGUUUUAACUCUUCAAUAAGUGGCUGUAAAUAAAUGUCGAUAUCAUUCCCGGGCCCUUUCUCUCCAGGGAUAAUCAUAGAUAAGAUAAGGGAAGAUUGCUUCAUGCAAAUCCACGGAGGUAGAUUGUAAGGAACAAGCACCACUGGCCAUGUACUGUAUGCAGUACUCAUGAUCUUGUAAGGAUUAAAUCCAUCAGAUGCUAGGCCAAGCCUGACACUCCUCGGAUCGCUUGCAAAGCUUGGAAAUUUAUUGUCAAAUGAUUUCCAAGCUAAAGAAUUUGCCGGAUGCCUUAAUAGUCCAUCAUCGGUUCGUCCUUCAUGGUGCCACGUCAUUGACUCCGCUGUCUUCGACGACAUGAAAAGCCUUUGAAGCCUUGGUAUCAGCGGAAAAUACCACAAAAUCUUGACCGGCUUCUUUAUUGGCUGUGCAUCAUUUUCAUCGUCGUUCCCAUCUUCUGUGUUUCUAUUCAUCCAACGGGAUUCGCCGCAUACAUGACAGCACUGUUGGUUUCUCCGAUCGCCCCAGUACAACAUGCAAUCAUUUGGGCAACUAUGGAUUUUGUUGUACCCAAGACCUAAGUCUUUUAUCAUUUUCUUCAUAUCUUUGCAUGACUGAGGGAUUUUUGCAAACGGAAACAUUUCUCUCAAAAACUCUAACAGCAUUGUCAAUGAGUUCCCGCUCCACCCUCCAAACAUUUUAACUGGAAAAGACGAAUGCAGAACGACAUUUUUGAAAAUUUCAAUCCCUCAUAUAGUUAUUCGUUCAUCUCAUUAAGUAGCGCGUAGAACUUUGCCGCUUCUCCAUUCGGCUCUUCAUGAUGUUGGUUUCUUCCGGGUUCGGUAAAAGCAUUUCCACCGAGAUUACAAUCAUCAGAUGGCACAAAGUCGGGUGGGAACGACUGUAAACCAUGACUGUGAAUAUUAAAUGCUUCCCGCAACUUCCCUUCCAUGUCAUCCCCUCUAACAGACUGAUGGUAGGCAGUACUAUCAUAAGAUACAUUCAUCCUUGAAGAGGAAGUACUAGGCGGGCAUUCUCCAUGAAAAAACCAUUGUUUAUAACCACGAACAAACCCAUCAACAAUUAGAUGCUCGUAUACAACUUCACGAUAAUGUCAGUUUAUGUUGACACACUUCUUACACGGGCAAAGAAUCAUGUUCUCUUGGCUUGCAUAUUGAAAUGCAAAAUUUAGAAAAGUUUGUACUCCAUUUCGGUAACCGUCGCUUACCCUUGACAAAUUCAUCCAAGACCGGUCCAUUUCUUAUUUCUUGAAGCCUAAUCUUGACAAUAAAUUGCACGGGUUUAGGAUUUAGGAAUAAGUAUAGUUAAGCUAUGUAAGUUAUGUAUUAUGUAAGUUAUUUAUUACCCAAAUUAUGUAAGUUGUGUAUUAUGAAAAUUAUGCUAUGUAAGUUAUGUAAGUCACAUAAGUUAUGUAAGAAGUUAUUUAUGUAAGUUAUUUAUUAUGAAAAUUAAGUAAGUUAUGUAAUUUACGAAUAAUUAAAAAUAUGUAAGUUAUGUAAGUUGUAAGUUAUGUAUAAUAUUAAUUAACUAAGUUAUGUCAUUUAUGUAUCAUAUUAAUGUAAGUUAUGUAAUUUAUGUAUAUUAACUAAUUACUUUAUGUAAGUUAUGUAUAAUAUUAAUUAAUUAAGUUAUGUCAUUUAUGUAUAAUAUUAAUGUAAGUUAUGUAUAAUAUUAAUUAAUUAAGUUAUGUCAUCUAUGUAUAAUAUUAAUGUAAGUUAUGUAUAAUAUUAAUUAAUUAAGUUAUGUCCCUUACAAUAAGAGACUAUUGAUUUUAUAAUAUAAACAUUGGAUAAACAAUUUUGUUUAAAAAAAAGAUUGGAUAAACAGUAUUUUAUAAUAUAAUAUUAAUUUUAGAUACAAAUAUAAUAUUAAUUUUAGUUACAAAUAUUAUACAAAUAGUAUUUUAUAAGGUAAAUAAGCAUUUUGCAUGCAACUUGACUAAGAAAUUAGUAGCAAAUAGGGAAUUGAGUUUGUAUAAAAAACGUGGACCGUCUCUCUAUUAGGUAGCUGUCAAUGGCAUUUUAACUCCAACCAUCUCACAUUCUUACCGAAUUGAAUGUGUGUUUUAAAUUCUCAACCCAUCAAAAUAAAAAAUUAAAGAGAAAAUUUGAAUUGAACUUUAUAUACAAAAUAGAAUACAAUAUAUUACCUCCUUUUCUUUCUACCAUUUAAUCAAAUGAAAGUUAUGGUUAAUCUCUUCUUUUCCUUAUCUUUCCUCAUUUUAGAUAAUCUAAUAAAAGAAUAUAGUUUAAUCCAAACGUAAAAUUAAAAAUUAAACAUUAUUGGGAGGAACAGUAACAAACCUUAAAAUAAUUAAUUUUCAUGGAUAAUCAAAUAGACAUAAAAGCAUAAAUUGAUUUCAAAGAAGACGAAAUGUAAAUAUCCAACAGUAAAAAAUAACUUCAUAAUUAUUAAAUGUCAAUAUAGUCUACUUACAAAGAAAAUAACUCAAGAUAAUUUAAGAUAUAACAUUAUUUCUUAAAAUUGAUCAUCCUAAUUGAGUUAUACUCUUCAAUUUUUUAUUAAACCGAAGCCAUCAAUAAGAGAAUUGGUUGAAAAUUGUUAAGCUGUAUCCUUAUCAAUUUUUUAUACUGGCUUUGGUAGUUUCGAUUAAGGGUUGUAUUUGCUCUCCCUCCUCCUUUUUACUUGCGAUCUGGUGUGUUUUUUUUUACUGAGGUUGCUGGUAGUGGAUUUGGUUAUGAUGAUGUUCGGAUUGACUGGGGUUUUGGGUGUGAGGUUGACGGUAGCUGCAAGCUGAAGUAGUGAUCUGGACUCUGAUUUAGUGAAUAGUGUGAUGGUAGGGCUGGAGUAGAGGUUGCAGCAGUUGGCGCUGGUGAAGAUGGGAGAGGGAGUUGUCCUUGGCAGUGGUGGUUGGCGACUUUGACUCCAUCAACAGGCUCAAGGUCAUAUGGACCAAAUAUUGUAAAAUAUAUUUUCAGAAUUAUAUAAAUCUAACAUUAAUGGUCAAAGCCAAAAAAAUAUAUAUGUAUUUAGCAUAAAAAAUAAAAGGAUCAUACAUUACCCAAAUAGUGAAAAUGGAUCCAAAUUCAAUCAAAGUCCUCUAAUUAAUUUGUCCAAAUCAACAUUGAUUCAGAAUUUAGAAUUUUCUUUUCAUUUGAAAAAUUAAACUCAAUAAUUGGUAGACUUAAAUAAAAUUCGGUGUCUACACUACUCAAUAAUUAUCAGCUAACAAAGUGAUGAAUUCAACUACAGUAAAUUUGGUUAACAUCAGUUUUGGAUUUCAUUCAUGGACUCAUUAAGUUAAUAAUAAUCAUAAUAAUUAAAGUAAGAAAGUGAUGAACAUUUUCUUUAACUAAUAAAUUUAGCAAAUUAAAUAUACAUACCUCUUAAAGUUCACAAGGAAGUAAAGGCUGCAAGGAAGUAGAGGCUGCAAGUUCCUGGGAUUGCUUCACGAUUGAAUUUCCAGCAGUUUAUCAAUUGAUCAAAAAGUCUACUUUCUGCUGCAGUUGACUAAGAAAACAUUAUACAGGGUCAUCUAUACAGAGAUGAGCCAAGCAACAAUAAGGGAAAUAACAUAUAUAAAGAGAAAGCCGUAGUUUAAAAUAUACAAUAUGCAUAUAAUUUUUUAUGACAAAACAUGCAGACAUAAAUUUUAAAUUUCAAAAUAUACAUAUAUUCAUACCUAACACUAAUCUCAUUUAACUCGAAUUCAUACCCAACACUCAUCUCAUUUAACUCUAAUAACAUAGAUGGCAAAUACGUCAGUAAGACUAACCAAAACCAAAACAUGUUAAGGGAUAGUGAAAGUGAAUCUAGUGAGCUCUCCCCUAAGCCAAUGUUACAAAAAUGAAUUUCCAUUGAUCCAAACCCAAAAUGCACAAAAAAAUAUGGGAAAGGGGAAGUCCAUCGAUACCAGAAAAUAAUGUUGUUCGGCUAUCAGAAAGGGAUUGAGCAAUUGGGAAAUUGGGGAAAAUACUUUGGGGAAGAAUAACUUGGGGGAAAUUGGGGGAAAAGAAGUUGGGAAAUUGGGGAAAUGAAAUCGUGGAAAUUUGACUUGGGGGAACACUAAAGGAAAUUCCCAAAUUCCCAAACCCUUGACACGCAAAAACGCCGAAAUUCCCUGAAUUCCCAAACAAACAGGCCAAAGGUUGGUGAUUGAAUUUAUUAUUUAAACCCCAGUUUCCCAAAUUACACUUAACCCAAACCCUAAAUCAAGAUACAGCAAUUUAAAAGACAAAAAGCUUACCUUUUUCACCACAAAUUCCGCAACUUUGAUAGUAUCCUGUCAAGAUUGGCUCAACUGUUGCUUCGUUUCACCCGAUUUAUGAGUUCUCCUCUCCCUUUUUUCCUUUGUAUUUUCUCUUUCGAUAUUAUAGCUUUUGUUUUCUCCUCUCUGAUUCUGUUUCUGUUUGUGUUCUGCCUUACAGAAAAUGAUAAGUAAAAACACGCGGAACAGAAACGGCGUCGUUUUGCCAAAAUUUUAAGACACCAUUCCGGCGUUUGUUAGGAAAACGCCACUAUUUCUUGUAUAUUUCCGGCGUUUCCAAAAAACGCCACUACAAAUUGAAGUUAUACUCUGAAACGGCGCCGUUUAAUAAAGCUUUAAUGCAUAUUUCAAACUAUUUUUUAACUUAUUAAACUUAAUUCUAUUUAAAAUAAUAUUUAAAUGACAAAAACAUUAAUAUAAUUGAUAUCAAUUGGUACUUUAAUUUGAUUUUUUAAAACAUUAUUUAAAGAAAUUAAUCUAAACUAACCUAAUUAAAAUCCUUAUCCGACCCCCUGAAACCCUAAACCAUAAAUUCUAAACCACUAACCCUUAGCCCGUAACUCGUAAAACUUAAACCCCUAACCCUAUAUCCCAAACCUUAAAUCCAUAUAUACCCCCUAAUCUUUAAAAUAGCACGACCAUCAGAAAUAAUCCCUAAAUCUUUAAUAAUCAUAUAUAAAAUAGUUAUAAUUGAUUAAAAAAUAAUUAAUAGUAAUAAAAACUUUUAAUAAUUUGUAAUAUUACCUUUAUAAUAUUUAUUUUUUUGUAUAAAGUUUGAAAUUUAUAAUAUUUAAUUUUAUUGAUAAAUAAAUAAAUUUAAACUAUAUACUCAUAAUUUAAAUAUAUUAAAUUUAUUAUAUAUUAUAUAUUUUAGAAAUAUAUAUAUAAGAACAUAUUUGAUAAAACUAAAUUAAUCUAAUAACUUAAACUCUAACAUAACUGUUAAAACCCUAAACCCGGCCCAAAUCCAUAACCCCCUAACCUCUUACCCCUAAAUCCCCUAACCCCUAAAGCAUAACCCUUAAACCCUAAAUCCCCCUAACACCUAAACCUUAAAUUUUUCAAUUCCACAAACAAACGGUGACGGGUUAACAAAAUUGUAGACAUAUUGAUAAUUAUCGAUUAAUCGACAUGCAUAAAGUGAUCAUGAUCUACCUAUUAUAAUAUUCAAUAUAUUAAAUUUAUUCUUGAAUAUCUAUUUUACAAAUAUAUAAGAACGUAUAUAUUGAUCACCAUAAAAAAUAAUAAAAAACAAAUCUAAUUAAUUAAACCCUAACACAUGACCGUUGAAAUUAACCCUAAAUCUCAAACCCCAAAACCUCUAACCCCUAAAUUAACCUUAAAUCCCCAAUUACCUUAAAUCUAUACCCCGUACUCAUUAAAAUACCGUCCAUAAAAAAAAUUCCCUAAAUCUUUAAUAUAUAUAAUCAUAAUUAAAUUAAAUAUAGUCAAUAAUUAUUGUUAAAAUAUAUAUAAAUUAGUCGAACAAUAUAUACGUACUACCAAAAUUAAUUUAUUACUCUUAUAAAAAGUUAAUUCUAUUUUUAAUUUACUCUUUACAUUAAUACAACAAUUUAAGUUUUACUAUAUUUUAUUUUAUUCAUAAUUUAAUAUAUUUUCUCUCGUAAAGUAGUUUAAAUCAACUGUUAUAAAUAGUUAGCUGUUACAUAUAUACGACUUCUCUUUAAUAAAAACUUUUUUUAUUAAUCAAUAUUAUUUGUUAAUUAUAAUUUAAAUGUAAAUUGUCCCACUAUAUAUAUAUAAUAAAUAGAACAAAAUAUUAAUUAUUUCAACUUAUAAGAUUUUUGUUACUAUUAGCGGCGCUUCGGCAAAAACGCCGCUAAAGGUUAAUACAUUCGCGGCGCUUAGAUACAAACGCCGCUGAAUACAGGAGAAUUAGCAGCGCAUAUAUAAAAACGCCGCUAAAGACCCGAGCAUUAGCGGCGCAUAGGCGAAAACGCCGCUAUAGACCCGGAGCAUUAGCGGCGCUUAGACGAAAACGCCGCUAAAGACUCGGAGCAUUACCGGCGCUUAGACGAAAGCGCCGCUAAAGACUCGGAGCAUUAGUGGCGCUUAGACGAAAACGCCGCUAUAGACCCGAGCAUUAGCGGCGCUUAGACAAAAACGCCGCUAUAGACCCGAGCAUUAGCGGCGCUUAGACAAAAACGCCGCUAAAUGUUUAAAAAAUCGCAAAAAACGACGCCGUUCGUCUUAGGUUUUUUGUGGCGCUUUAUAUAAAAUGCCAUUAAUUCCUAUUUUUAGCGACGCUUCCGUAUAAACGCCGUUGAUGCUCUACCUUUAGCGGCGCUUUGGCUAAAUCGCCGCUAAUGCUCUAUUUUUUGUGGCGCUUUUGUUCCAAACGCGGCAAAAAGUGCCGCUAAAAGCCUAUUCUGGUGUAGUGAGAAUGGCUGGAUGGUAACUGGAUGAUUUCGAUAGGCAUUUGGUCUCUUGUUUCACUGAUGCAAAGAAGGUGUUGAUUGUUUUGCUUUUCAAGGAAGGGGUUUUAGGCCUGGUUUGUUAUUUGUUUUUAUGUUUUAUGUUUUUGUUUGCUUCAUUUUCUGGUUUUGUUUUUUGUUUUGUGCAUUUUCUUUUUUAUUUUGAUUAUGUGCUUUUCAAGGCACCAUUUGGGUGACCAAUAAGGGAUGGUGUAAUGCCCCGAAAUCUUUAAGUUUUGUUUUGGUUCAAUUUUAUCAUUAGUCGGUAUCUAGUUUAGUGGGUAAGUGUCUUUAAUGUGGGUUGAAGGUCAUUGGUUUGAGUCUUUGCGUGGGAAGGGGGUGUUUUUAUUUUGUUAAAUAUGGAGCCUGCUUAGUUCGAGUCUCUGUUGUUUUGAUUUUCACAAUUUGUUCUUUGUUUCUUCUUUUUUAUGUUUUGUUUUAUUUUUCUUCCAAGUCCCCACGCCGCCAUUCUUCUCUAGACUUGUUCUUGGGUUUUCUUUGUUUCUUUUUGUUCUUUCAUUCUUUCUUUUCACAACAUCACUCCCAGUCCUUUUGUUGUGCAUUUCGUUCUCGACGUCAGUGGCUCGUGUAGGUGCUAUUGAAUCUUGUUUUUGUAUUGUAAGUGGGGUUUAUGCUUGCUGUUUUCUUUUCUUGUUUAAUUUUAGGUUGGAAGUAUUUUGCGUGUUAAUCAAUUACGUUUUGGGUGAGGUUGGAGAGGCGAUUGAUCCCUUGGCGAUUUAGAAUUGUUGAUGAACUGCUGUUUUCUAGAAGAUGAAAAGUGCAUUUGAGGUUUAAUGUCAGAUAUUGAUGUUAGUACGUUGAAGUUAAUUUUGAAAACCCACUCUCUGUUUGACUAGUAUUUUCAAGUAAUUCUCAGACUUAAGCGGAUUGGUGUAAUCAGGACUCAGUUAAUGUCAUAAUCUAUUUGUUUUAUUUAAAUUUUGGUAUUUGGAUUCUAUAAAUUUUGGACUCUCUGGACUUUUUUUUUACUGUUUAGAUUUAAAACUUUAUUUUCGUAUUUUUCUUAAUACUGUUCAAACAUUUUAGUUAACAAAAUUUGCUUUUUCUGCAAAAUGAAAGAUUUUCAAACAACGAACUGUGUUUUCCAAAUAUCACUUUUUAAGAAAUUUCCGUUGCAAAAAUUAUAAGUUUUUAGAAAAUACAAACAAACAACGUUUUUAAUAAAAUAGUUAGAUAAUAUUUAAUUUUUGAAUAAAUCCAGUAUUUUGAGAGUUUAUGAUGAUUUUUCAUAUACUUGAAAACUAAAUUUUCUAUCAUAUUACGUAACAACUUCAGAUUUAGCCAUAACGUCUAAGCUGAGUUUGAGGUGUUAUAGAUGAAUAGGUAGGGUCAAGGUAAUUAAGGCCUGUAACCAUUUUGAUUUCUCUUUUUGAAUAAUAGCAUCAGUUGUUAUUUUCAAAAAAUAAAUAAAUUAUGAAUUAUGCAAUAAAUUUAAUUUUUCAAUGUUAGUGAUUUUUUUUUUGGUAUUAUAUUGUUGAUAAUAUAAGUAAUGAAUUGCUUAUAUUUCUAAAUAUAAUUUUAUGUUUCUUGUAUAUAAACAAAAAUAAAGCAUGCCACCACAUAAAAAGUUCCUGACUAAAGGACUGGAGGGUGCACCUAGUAAUGAUAUAGGUUGACACUUUGGAACUCCAGUGCCAAAUACGAAAGUAAAUGUCGUAUGUAAAUUUUGUGGUAAAGUUGUGAAAGAAUGAAUAACACGAUUUAAAGAGUACAUUGCUCAUAAAACUGACAAUGUUGCACCAUGCCCUAAUGUUACUGGUAUGAAGAAGUAUACACAAGGGAAGCAAAUACUUCGACCCUCUCUUACUCGAUUUGCAACUGAUUUCAUUCAACUUGAAGAAAUAACAAGGCAAAAGUAAGGUUUGAGUGAAAUAUUUAAUUCAAAGGUCAUUAUUUUAUAAUUAGUUAAUAUAAUUACUUAACUAUAGCAACCUUUAAUGAUUUUAUUAGUUCCAAAUAAUUUAAAUUAUAUUAUUUUACAAUUUUUCUUAUGAAUAUAUAGGAAUUUAAACUAUACCCACCUCCACCUCUCAUGUAUCCUCCUUCUUAAAUAUAUCCUCCAUGUCAACUAUAUGAAAACCAAAGUGAAAAUGUUACUUUUUUUCAAUAUAUUUUCAGAUAAAGGCCAAGAGAAUCAAGCCAAGAACACUCUCAAAAUGAAGGUGAAGGAAAUAUGUUUCCUGAACCUAGGAGAGAUAGAAGUGAACCUAGAGCUCUAUCAAAAGGAAAAAGGUAAGAAGCAUACUUCUGUAGGCUCUUCAUCUGGUAAAAGAUCAAGCUCUAGUAACCUUGGGUAUAGUGAUUCAUCUACUAGCACUAAAGGUUUUUAUCCAUCGGAACAACAUUCAUAUUUUCAACCUUCACAUGGUUAUCCACAAGUAUGUGGUUAUUAUCCACCAUUUCCUAAUUAUGGUGUGCCAUAUCAGCUUCAAAUGCAUCCUCCACCACCAAUGCAUUACCCACCGCCACCUCUCAUGUAUCCUCCUCCUCAAAUAUAUCCUCCAUGUCAAUUAUAUGAAAACCAAGGUGAAAAUGUUACUUUUUUUUAUAUAUUUUCAGAUAAAGCCUAAGAUAAUCAAGCCAAGAACGCUCUCAAAGUGAAGGUGAAGGAUCUGAUCCUUCUCGUCAUUCUACUAAUUGGUGAAAACUAAAUUGUACCACUACCACUAUUUGUAAGGUAUGUUUUUUUUAAAAGAAAACUUUUGUUAAUGUUUUUAAUUUUAAUGAUAUUAAAACAUUUAAAAUAUAUCUUUAGAUAAAUGAAUGGAGUAUAUUUUAUGAAAAGAUAAUUAAGAAUUGAAGCAUGUUAAACUAUAUAUGAAAGUAGAAUGAAAGUGAGAAUAAGUGGUAGGAAAUAGAAAUAAUUAAUGAAAAUCUAUACAUUUAUCUAUUCAUUUUUUCCUUUUGCAACAUAGAAUGUUUUGAUAUCUUCACUAUCUUCAAACCUGUCAAGAAAUAUUGAAGACCUCUCUCAUGCAUGAAUUUUCAAUUAUUUUAUCUAUAAAAACUUUCAAACUUAUUAAAUAAGAUCAAUGUUUAAUAUUUCCUAUUUUUACUUUGUUAUUAGUUAAUAUAAUAUUCUUAGAAAAUUCGUAAAUAAAUAUAAAAAUAAUUAAUGAUUGUAAAAAUUGUGUUAUCAUAUUAAUAAAAGUUCAUAAGUGUUAGAAAAUACUCUAAAAAUCAUUAAAAGUGACUUUUUAUAAUUAUAAUUAUAAUGCUUUAAAAUAAGUUGCACAAAUUUUAAAAAAAUCACGACUGCGAUACUUGUAGUGACCACAAUAGCAUCCGUUAUGUCCUCAAUCGUGAUAAACACAACACGACCGAAAACACGGCCGCAACCGCAAUAUAAAUUCCUGAUUGCCUUUACUAUAUUUCAAUGUUUUGUUUUGUUAUUUCCCCCUUAAUGUUUGUUUCAAAACUCUAAUGAAGAGAGAGAAGGUGUCAUCUUCUUCUUCGUUGGGAAGAGAAGAGAUCCAAGGGAGUGAGUCGAGUCGUUCGAGUUCUGGGACAUGUUUUGUUUCUUCCUCUUUUUAUUCUUUUUCUUUGAAAGUGAAAUCGAUUGUGUUUUCUUCUUGUCGUCCUUGCAACGGUGAAGGUGUGGAAUAGAUCACUCUAGUUACGAUCUACAAGGAUAUAGGAAGAUGAUGUGCUUGUAUACAAAAAGGUAGUAAACGUAGCGUAAAUUACCCUUUCUCGUAUGCGAUUCUCCGAACAAUAUUGCAUGUUUAUUAUCUUUUAAUGCACCAGAUAAAAUUUCAUUUGCACUUGCAGUACCCAUGUUCACCUAAUGGAAGUUUGGGUAAUGGAAACCAUGAUCUGGCAUACAGAAAUAGAUUUGACAUUGUAAUAGUAAAAACUGAAGUCCUUUUAUUUAAACCGAGCUUACUAGUACAGCUAGGGGUUUUCAAGCUGUUAUUGCUAAGCUUCCAUCCGUGUCGUAUAUAUCUCGAACUCCAUGAUUAUAAAAAAUAUACACAAUACUCCUUUGUCUAACCUGUUCCACAAAAAACAAAUGAUGAUAACUUGUGCUAUGAAACUUGACAUGGAUAAAAGGAAUUUUUAGUUUCAAUGGAUUAAACUUACCAAAUUUUGGCGGUUUCGAUUCCUUUGGGUGAAAGCCCCCGCUGUAGCAAAUUGAAUCUUUUAGAGAAACCUAUCUUAAGGGCGAGUUUAAAAUGGAUCAUGUUGAAAGCUAAUCACCUAUUACCACAAAAUUCCAACGCAAAGGCAUUAAUGCUAUUACUCUUUAAAGUAUCGAUCGCUUCCUUGACAGCAACUAUAGUAAAUAAAUUUUUUAGGAUAAUACCCUAUAUAUAAACUAGAGAAGGAUGGGAAGGGUAUCUCCAAGAAGUCCCCUUCGAAAAGAUGCCAACGAGGCUAAAAAGAGGCACAACCAAACUAUAAAAAGGAAAACAAAAAUACACCAAAAUAUUAAGAAAACAAAAGGGGGUUGUUUAUACAAAGGGACGAAUUCAAAUUUUAUCGUGUGAAUGGACUCCUAAGAAACUAUAGGAUAUAUGAUUUCAUGGCUUAGUCCAAAUCUUCGACAAAAAAAGACAGAGUAUUUGCAGUCAACAUCUCCACUUACCAGAAGCCUUUUGGUUGAAUGAUGUUAGCUUAAUAUAACCAAUUUUGGGGUAGUUCUUUUCCAAACUAGGAACUUCGCAUAGCCCUUUCACCUUACAGUGAUCAAUAUUCCAUUGAACCUUUUUUUCUGAGAUUGUUGUUGCACCUUUGAAGAAUACAAGACUAUUGUAGCAUUAAAGGGAACUUCUGAACUAUGUUCCCGUUGAGAUUCUUCUUAAGUCAUCAUUGAUUAUUUAAGAUUUACCAUAGGUAAUGGUUGCAUAAGUAAAAUAUGACUCCGUACAGUAGCAUAAGAAUAAUUCAAGCCUAUCAAAAACUGAAACAAUCUCUAUUGUUGAACAUCUAAAAAUAUUUGGGACAUUUCAUAGGUACAUGAAUAAACUUGCACUAAGGCAUCAUACUCGUCCCAAAGUAAUUUCAAUUGAGUAAAUAAAACGAGAUGGAGCUAGUACCUUAAGCAUGCAAAGUAAUCUCCCAGCGAAAAAAGAAGAUACGUGACCCAUUGAACUUAUCGUAACGUUCCUUAAGGUCUUUCUAUACUUGGGCUAUUGAAAAAUGUGCCCAUAUUGUAGUAAACAUGUAACUAUUUUCUAUCUAUUUAAUUUAACUACGAAUAAAUAAAUAAAGUUAAUUUCACAUUUCACUAUUGUCUUUUGUAUUUUCUGUCUUUUAUAUUUUGCAUGCAUAGCGAAAGUGUAACAAGCAAAUAUUAACUCAUUGAUUGUUUAAAGUUCAAACUGAAGAUAAGUAGCAUUGUAAAGGAUGUUUACAUUGCGAGAAAGAAAAUUUACUUCAGUAGAUAAUCUAAAUGAGUUCGUAAUCCCGUAAAAGAUUCAAAGUGAGUAUUUGAUUCAAAUACUAAGAAUGAUUAUUAUGUUUUCUACAGUUCCAAUUGAGGAGAUGGCUAGUCUUGGCUAUCAAAGCAGUUGAAUCCAUGAGUAAAGAUAUAAAUGUAUUCAUUGGUAGAAUGAUACAUUGGACUGGACCUAAGAUGAAUUAAUUCUGAAUCCGUUUGUGAAUUAAUUCACUUGUGACAUUAAUGAUGUGAUUUACCUAAAUCCUGAGUUAGUUACUGACCAUGCGUAUGCAACUCAUGUGCUUUGAUAUAAGUGGAGGCUUAUGCUCUAAAGAUGAUCAAGCCCAUAGCCAGUAAGUUGGGUAUGUGACUUGUGUAUGGCAUGGCUUUACUAGCAAUAGUGGAAUUCAUAGCUCAAUUAAAGAGUUAAUGAUAUCCUCUCAUUGGCACUGUGUGGAUUGAUAAAUAUGGAACGUGGCAACGGGUUACUUGUUCUCGAAUCAGCAAUUUAUCAUAGUCAUUUGUUGACAGUGAUCAUAUUAAUCAUUAAGAAGACACAAUGGUGACAAUAAGAUAAAAUAGGAUUGUAUUUGUAACAGCUCGAUUUUGGGCCUAGUCGGAACAGUGAUUUCGGGACCACAAAUCUGACGAGGGAAAAUAUGAUUAUCAUUAUAUUUUUAUGGUCUACAAUUUCACGGAGAAAUUUUUUAAAAAUUUCGUUCGAAAAUUUCGACAUUUGGGCACUUAAUUUAGUCAAAAGGACGAAAUUAUAAAAAGUGCAAAAGUUGAGUUCUACAUGUUAGAAGUGCCUAAUUGUUAUGAAAUUAUAAAUUGGGGGCCUUAUAUGGUAAUUAGACUAUUAGUUAAUUGAUGGACAAAAAUAGACAUUAGAAAUGAGUGAAAUAGAUUUUUUUUAAAUGGGGGCAUUUUAGUCAUUUGGAAAUAAAAAGAAUAAAAAGUGAAAAAGAUGGCAAAAAAUCAUCUUCUUCAUAGCUUGCUGCCAAAUUUAGAAGGACUCCAUAGCUAAGGUUUCUUCACUUUCUCAAGCUCAUAGUAAGUGCAUCCUAGCCCCGUUUUUAAUGUUCUUCGCAUUUUUGAAAUCCUCGUAGCUCGGUUUAGCUUAUUCUACCAUUAAUUCAUGUUAGGGUUCAUAUUUGGAAAAAUACCCAUAGGUGAAAUGUGUUUAUUUUUCUGUUUAAUGGUAGAAUAUGAAGCUAGGAAUUAUGUUAAACAACUUUUGCUAAGCGAUUUUAAGCGAAAACGGGUAAAAUGACAUAAUCGAUAAAAAUAAUUAAUGUUCAAAAGUGUGUGUUAGAGUGAGAAUUUGAUGUUGCCAUAGAAGGGAAAAAUGUUCAGCAUGUCAUAAAACAUAAGAAUAAGAGAUGAAGUUUAAUUUCCGAGCUUAGGGACAAAAGUGUAAAUAUGCAAAAGUUUGGGAGCAAAAUUGUAAUUUUUCAAAAAAAUUGGGUGGAGGACUAUUUUAUUAAAUGUGAACAUUAAAUGAGUUAAAUUUUCUAUUAUAGAUCAAGAAAGACGAGAAGACUACCUCAAACGGGGAAAAGAGAAGAUAGUGGAGUAAAUUGCAAAAUUACGAUAUUUUGCACCGAGGUAUUAUCUAAUAUAUGAAUUAAUGCAUUAUUUUGAUAUUAUCUAAUAUAUGUUGAGAUUUAAUUGAACAUAGAAUAAAUACUUGGUAUAGAAACUAAAAAUGUGGUUAAGUUGGGAAAGGUGGUAAAGUGAUAGAAAACGAGGUUUCCGGUUGAACAUUCGGAAUAAGCUGGAGUAUAUUGAAUAUAAAAGGGGCUGCUAAGUGCUAAUUCCCUGAUUCAUUGGUGGUUGCUAAGUGCUGAUUCCACCAUAUCUUGGAAUAUAAAGGGGGUUGCUAAGUGUUGAUUCCCCGAUUCAUUGGUGGUUGCUUAGUGCUGAUUCCACCGUAUCUUAAAUGUGAAAGGGGUUGCUAAGUGCUGAUUCCCCGAAUCACUGGUGGUUGCUAAGUGCUGAAUUCACCGAUAACGGAUAACAUUUCGAGUGUUCAACAGGGAAAUUGGAAAGGUGAAUAUAUAUAUAUAUAUAUAUAUAUAUAUAUGGUGGAUAAGAUUAUAUGAGCAAUUUUGGGUUUGAUACUUAAUCAACCCAUAUGUGAGAUGGAAGGAAAUAUCAAGACUACAAAAGAGCAAAUUUAAAUACAAAACUGUUGUGAACAACAACAGUUAGGCAACUUUGAAAAAUCACUAUAAAUGGUGGAAAAUGAAUUAGAAGUUGAGUAAUAUAUGAAAUUGAAGCUGAAUGAGUCUUUUUUUCAUAUGAAAGAAAAAGGGGAAGCAAAAGAGUUGUAUAUUUGGGGAUAUUUGAAUUUUAUUGAGACAGUGGUUGAAUUGAUUUCGAAAUCCCCUAUUCCAACUUUGGAAAAUCACCAAAAAUUGUACAAAAAUAAUUAUGGCUUGAAAUUGAAUGCUUGAAUUCCUUAAUGAGUUUAUUUUUAAGAGAAAUAAAUGAGAACAUUGUUUGAAUUUUGUACAGGGAGAUAAGUAAAUUUUAGUAAGGAGAGGUCAGAACUAUCAGACAGUGAAAUAGGAGGAGAUUUAAAGAAUAAACUGUACUAAUUGGCUAAACCAAAAAUUCUGAAAAUUUUAUGGUGGAAAUUUAUAUGAGUCUAGUUUAGGAGAAAAUUUACGGAACUUAGGUUGGAGCCUUUUAGCUCCAGAUAAAAAUAAAUUGGUGACUGUGACACAGAAAAAUAGCUUGCUGGAAGUUGAGCAAACAAUGAAAUUUGUGUGUGGUUAAAAUUAUGUUACUUUGUAAUCAUGUGAGAAAUUUAUUUAUUUGUCAUGUGUUUACUUACUAAGUUAUAUGCUUACUCUUCUUUAUUUUCCCUUGAUUAUAGUGAUCGAUCAGCCCGAAAAUUGGACGAAUUCAGAACAUCAUCCACACUAUCAUCAUCUUUUGGGUAUUUUGUAACCAACACUUUUGAAACAUGGCAUGUAUAGAUGACUUACUGUGAUGUGGUAUGAGUAUGUAUAUAAAAUAUUGUUCGGUUUAAAAUGUUGGUGUUUAUUAUUGGAUAGAUUGUGUAUGCACAUAUAUAACUGUAUUUGGUUGAAAUGUUGAAAUCGUUUGAAAUUGUGAUUUGAAAAUUUGCAGGGGGUUUUUAUGUAAAAAUAAGUAGAAAUGCUGUCGAAAUUUUAUAAAAAAAAUUUAGUAAUACCUUAUGCUCUAUUCCGUCAAGGAAUACGGGUAAGGGUGAGGGGUGUUACAAUAUUGAAUGAAUUUAUUUAACUCAAAGGAAUCAAAAAUAUCAUAUAAGGGUAACACACACAUGGCGAAGCCAUUGAACAAAGCAGUUGGAUGAAUUGUUUUUGUAAAGAGUAUACAGUAAGGAGUUUUCAAUCAUGGUACUUCUUGUGGACUGACUCUAUGAUUAAGUAAUUUCGAAUUAUCGGAACGAUGCUUCUGGACAUAGUUGCAAUCACUAGAGUCUAAUUGUAUAUGUCUGAUUAGUCCCUCCGCUAGCUCAACAAAAGCUCGAUCGGACUACAUUUGAAUUAGAAGAAAAUUUUACAACUUUGGGAAUAAUUUAAUUGAGUUGAUUUAUUCGAUAUGGAAUUAAAUUAGGUGGUCGUGAGAAUUGUUCAAUUAGAGAGUUUGUUUAAAGAAUUUUCUUGAAAAUUUAAUUUGGAAAUCUAAGUGACUUUUGGAAAAAUUAAUUUUGAUAAAGUAAAAUUAAAUUAAUCAAAUGAAUCAAUAUUAAUAUGAUAUUUUUAGAAGUUAAUUUUCAAGCCAGACAAUUGGCCCAAUGGGUAUUUGAACUUGAAAAUUGGACCCGAGAUCGUAAAUUGGGCCAGAGAUCCCAUAAUCAAGACCAAGACCCAAAAACUGGUCGAACCUGACCCGAUAUAUGAAACGGGGCCAAUGUUCCAACCAGUGGCUAUACCAAACCGGUCGAGUCAUCAUUGACCAGGACUGAACCGACUUGGGGUAUCGUAAGAGUGUCGCACCUACAUCACCAGACACGGCGGUGCCGGUGGCAUCCCGGUGGCCGGAGGCAGUUGGUCAUCAAUGGUUGAGUAGUGGAAGAGUUACAGUCCUACUGAGACUUUACCAGAGAAUUUGAUUUCAGAUUAAUUAUUCUAAAUAUAAUAUUAUUUUAAUAGUUUAAUAUUAAUAUUAAUUUAAUACUUAUCUUAGUAGUAUUUUAUUAAUUUAAUAUUUAUCUUGUAGAUAAACAUUCUAGUAUUUUAAUCAUAGUUGAACUUUCUAAACUCUCCUUAUAUAAAGAGAACAUUGGGUCAUUUUUUAUACACAGUUGAAUUCAAGAGAAAGUUGUAGAGAGAAAAUUCUCUGAAGAGAUUAUUCUAAAAAAAAUUUAGAGAUAUUUUUUCUGAUUUACAACUUGACCCAAAAGUUUAGGAAAAUUGUAAAAUUACCCCAAUGGUAAUUUUUGUGAAAUUUUUUUUGAUUCAGAGCGAGCCCACACUCGGCAGACGUGAGCUUGAGGAUAGCAGAGAAGACUACUCAGUCGAAGUGCUCAUCCUAGACAAAUCGAAAAUGUACAAAUUUGAUUAAGUGUUUAUUACUUUAGAUAUUACAAACAAGAUCUUGUUUUGGAAAAAUUUUAAAACUCUAAAUUUUCCCUAAAUUUAUUUUCCACUGUGUUUUCCAAACCCGUUUUUUCCAACAUGAGCAGCAUUGGUUCCAAAUAGGAUUCCAGCGAAUAGAUUGAUAUUAACAUUGUUCAAGAUCCAUGAAAGAACAAUUGCAUUACAAUGACCAUAUUGUGACUAAAAGAUUUAUUGCACUGACUAUCUUGAGCAAGAUUCAUCAACAAAACAAGCUUAUUAUUGGCCAGCAAAGCAAUUCACAUGGAUAGGCUCCAAACAACAUAAUUUUUCUGACUCAUUAAUUGAUGCAAAACUAACUGAGUGCCUGGUGUGUCUGAAGGAUGCAAAUACAUUGGAUAAUUGAAAUCCAUGGUGACGGACUCUCCACGUCUUCCAUUGCAAUCUGUAAUGGUCAUUGCAAUAGAGAAAUCCAAGAAAUGCAUAACAAAGUAGAGAAGAAACCAAGAAAACUUGAAGCAGAAAGCAAGAAAACCGAAGCAAACUGAAGUAGAAAUAAAAAAACACAAACUGAAGCAGAGAAAAACCAUAAAGCAAGAAAGUUGAUCAAUCGACAGCCUCCUCUACUAUCACUGUCGUGAAUGAAAAGCACAACAAUCUAUUGAUAAAAAAAACAAUCAACUGAAACUAAGAACAAAUGAUUGAAACCAAGAACAAUUGAUUAAAACCAAGAGUAAAAAGAUUUUUUUUAAUUGUAUAUCAUUCCACAAUAAGCUUACAAUAGUUGACUUAUGUACAUAUUCUACUAACAACUUACUAAACAAACUUAAGAACUACUAAAUAAACUUAAUAACUGCCUAGCCAUAUUUAUAACUUCUGCAUGUUAUGGGCCAACAAACUGAGUUAAGAAAAUGGGUGUGUUUUGAUGAUUUGAAAUUUAAGUGGAAACGUUGCAUUUUGGUGUGCAAACUAUGGUAACCUAAUUCUAAACUAUUUGUUUUAUUUUAUUUUUAAAGUGUUGUAAGAAGAAAAAAGGACAGUAUUCUGCUAAACACAAAUUCUCUAUUCUCCUAAUUACUAUAUUUCUCUUAUCUUAUUCUUUACUCUUCUCUACUUUCCCUUCUCUUAUUCUGUUAUUGUGAUUUUCUAGUUCAAUUCUUAUCAGAGGUGUUAGAGCUUCAAUAAUUGCUAUGGCCAGAGAUGGAAUCACAACGCGUUUGCAGAAGGAAGUGAAUGUACUGCAAUAAGAGAUGAUGAAGAUUUAGGAAGAACUAUCUCACCUGGAUGCUAAGCUGGAAGCUAAGAUUAAUGUGAUGUUGCAAGGGUUCAAAGAUGAGAUAAAAGGAGAGGUACGGUCUGAACUUUAUAGCUUAUUUGAAUAAUCUUUUGGGAAUACGAUUUCCUCUAAUAAUGCUAUUGAUCAGGCUAAAUGUAAAGGUGUAUUGGGGGGCACCUCCUAAGUUUUUCCCCAAGGAACCUUUGGAGGCACAACAAACUCUUUUGGGGUCUAGUUUCGAGGGAAUAACCCCGUUUUGCUCAAGGUCAUCGUAAUAUCAAACUUAUAGGUUAGAGUAUCCUCAUUUCGACAUUCAAAUUUUAAGGGCUAGUGGUCCAAAUUAGAAUAGUACUUCAUAGCUAAAGGGGUACCAAAUGGGGAAAAAGUUUGAACGGUGAUGUUCAUGAAGCACGAAGCUUCAUGCAUGCGAGUCAUGCGUACUAAGUAUAAGAUUACUGAAGAUUGCUCACACAGCAUAAUAUGAAAUGAUUGCUCUUUUGUUUGGCAGUCGCUAUCACAGGUUUGGGAUUUGGUUCUUGAUAAUGUAUGUUGGUGGCUUGGUGAUAGUAACUCAGUUCGUUUCUGGGUUGAUGUUUAGGUUCCGAAACUUAGCCCUCUUUGGAGAAAUCGUACAAGUUUAGACACCGAUGAUAUUUCAUUAUUAGUGUCGAGUUUUGUUGAUAAUAAUGGCAAUUGGUUUGGAACGAUUUUGCUAAUUGCUUGUCGCAUGAGGCUAUCAUGUAUAUUGUUGGAACUAAACCUGUAACACCCUAAACUCGACCUAGACGAUAUGGCCGAAUCUGGAAAAGUUACAUCAAUUUGUUUGAAAAACUAAAAUCUAGCUUAAAAAUUGUGUGAUUUGGAAAUUUAGCUAAGCUCAUACAAGUUUCAGGAAAUUCUCAAGUUUGAAAACACUUAUUUUCACAUCAUGAUCUCUUAAACAUUUAAUUAUAAAAACAGCAUAAACUUUAAAAAAUUUCACUCUAACUUUAGUAAUCACGUGAUUGAAAAUAUUAAUUUUUGGAAAAACUCUUACAUUGUUAUUUAGAAAAACUCAUGCACAAAACUUACUUAUUUUACAGAAAAACAUUUAGUUUAACACUUAACUUUGCAGUAGAUAUUUCCAAAGUUUUUAAGUUUUGAAAACUGAAUUCCAAUUUGUCAAAUUCAUAUGAUUUUGCAGUUUUACUUUUAAGAACACUCAAAAACCAACAAAUAGAUCAAAAAGCUUAAUUAAAAUAAUUCGUUUUGUCUUAUGUGGAAAACUAAUCUAACCUCUCGCACGUCGUCCGAUCCUAAACUUACUGAUUACCUAAGAGGAUAACAUACAAAGAGUGAGCUUUACAAGCUCAAUGUGUAACGCAUAUCAAGAAACAAAUCAGAUAUACAUAAAUAAAUAUAUACGUUUUCAGAUACAGAUUCAAACAUGUUCACAUAUACAAAUUUAGAUGUAUUUUCAUAAUCAAAUACAGAGGCGUAUUCAGAUUCAAAUACAAAUGCAGUCACAAAUCCUACACCCAUCCUCUACACACCAACUCCAUCCAACCAAUCACACCAAUUAGGACUAUAAGAGUCCAUCCAUCCAAUCAUACCAAGUUGUGGUGGUAUGCCACUCAUAAAGGUGCAAAUGAGCUGCUAAGAUAUUGCGGUUUAACCGCCAAAAUUGUACUAAUACUACCAGAAUACACUUCCUCUAUCACAUAUCAAACCUAUCCUGAUACACAUGCAUAAAUUAACUAACACAUAGAUCCAUAAACAGAUGUCAUGCAUACUUUUCAUAUGUAAUCAUGCUUUCCGAGUUAUUAGAACACAAAUCGUACAUAUAUUUUUUUCACAUACCUUACCUGUAUCACAUACAGACACAAAUCAACAGAUGUCACAUUUCAAGUCUUAUUUAAGCCAAAUGGACCCAUGAAAGGUAUAAUUAUGAAUUUCGAAGUCAACAAGUUUAGGUGAAAUUUUUUAAACAAUGGGCCCACACAGCCCAACUGGCCCAGCCCAUGUGGCUCACAUGGCCUAACAUAUGUUCGUGUGACCCAUAUAGGCUGGCCAACCACACGACCAUGUAACCUACAUGGUCUGGCACACGACCAACCACACGACCGUAUGACCCCCAUUGUUUGUUACACGGCCUACCACACGGCCGUGUGACCCAUAUGGUCUGCCACACGACUGUAUGGUGUCGACAGAAAGCUUUUCAGCUUUACGUCAUUCACUAUUUUCACAGAAUCGAGUCACACAGUUGAUCAAUUUUUUAUACCGAUUCAACACUCACAAUUCCAGAACCUAAACUCAGCAUUUAUAUAACUAAUUUUAGUAACAACACACGAAACUUAAUCAAGAUUCAGAACACUUACCCAAAAGAAACAUCAAUUAAAAUGAAUUCCUCAGUUUGUUGGAGGGUUAAUCGCAAGCAAACCUUUACCUAAAGAUAAAUUCACAUUGUGAAAACUAUAAUUACACAGUACAAAUAAAAAAUCGUAUCCCAAAUGUAACAAUCCCUAAAACUAAAUUCGAAACUUAGAACCACAACCUUACCACAAAUGACCCACACCGGUGUAGAAGAAACAAAGGAGGAGAAAUCCCAAAAGCAGAGAAAAGUGUAAAAGAGGAAGCCACAGGAGAAAAAUCUUAUUACUAAACUUGAAUUGAAUAGCAAAGGAAAGAAACAAAACAAAAAUUUGCAGGAAAGAAUAAGCUGACGUGAAAGUGGAGGGGCAAAAGAGAGUGGACGAUUUGAGGGAGAGAAAUUUUUGGGAUUAUGCCAAAUAUUACUAUUCUUUUAGAAAAAAUUAACAAAACAAAGAUAAUAACAAUAAUAAAAAUUAAAGAAUAAACACUUAACUAUCCAAAUCCUAUCAUACUUCUAAGAUUUGAAUUAAAUUCAAAAUUUGACUACAUGGCCGCACGAACAAAGAAUAGCAAAAGUAUUUUCUCUCCACAUACAUAAAAUUCAAACACGAGACCUUUGGGUAAGCUGAAGCCUUAUCAUUGAACCAGUAGGCUCAUCCUUGUAAUUAAUAGAUGCACAAAAAUAAUUUAUAAAUUAAAUGUUCAAAGAUAGGGGUUGACAAAAAUAAAAAAAGUUUAAGGAAAGGGAUUUGAACAAAAAAUCUCUCACACACAAAUACAACACUUAACCACUAAACCAAAUCAAAUCAUUUAUCAAAAUUUUCACAAUCUAAACUCAAAAACAAAACAUGAUCACUCUUGAUUUCACUAACCUGAUUUCUACUAACCCGGCCGGUUUUUGGGACGUGACAAAACCACCAUGUAUUCAAGCUAAUCCAUAUAUUUGUGGGUGGAGAUGGACUCAAGAUGGUCGAGCCUCGGUAGCAAGUGCCCAUAAUUAUUUAUCUUGUAAUUCUUGGGGCCCAAAAUCUCAAGAUUGGCAGGACAUUUGGCACUUAAAGGCCCCUCGACGUGUUCGAAAUUUCUUGUGGUUGCUGUUUCAAGAGAAGAUUUUAACCAACUAUGAAAGGUGGAGACACAAACUUACAGAUGAUGCCUCAUGUCUGGUAUGUAGAAGAUGUUUUGAAUCUAGUAGACAUAUCAUGAGAGAUUCCCCAGUCACUAGCACCCUUUGGAAAAAAUAGUACGACAUAAUGUGUAGGUUCAAUUCUUCUCUUGACCUCUUAAAGAUUAGUUACUGUUUAAUAUUCAUAAUGAUAAUCUGUUACCUAGUGAUGCUUGCGAUAGUUCGUCUCGUUUUGGAACUUUGUGCUGGAGAAUUUGGAAGCAGCGCAAUCCUGUAGUGUUUCAAGAGCAACAUUUUUUCUCUGAAGAUAUUUUGAUGCAAAGCGUAAGCUGGGCUGCAGCUUAUAGACAGGGUAGUCAGAAUCCCAACAAAAGGAUACAUAGGCAAUUGUUGCAAGUUGGGUGGAAACUUCCGCCUACGGGCUGGGUAAAGCUCAAUACGGAUGCAACUGUGGAACGAAGUAGUCUAAGAGCUUCAAUUGGUGGGUUGCUGCGUGGCAAUUAUGGCUCGUGGAUUGUCGGGUUCUGCAAGAAUGUGGGUGUUUGUUCUGUUCAAAAGGCAGAACUUUGGAGUAUCAUGGAAGGUUUGCAAUUAGCUUGGUCUAAAGGGAUCAGAAGGCUUAUAGUUGAGAAUGAUAACAAAACCAUUAUACAUAUGUUGAAUGGCAAUGAGACCUCGACCAAUCCCUGUGGGACCGUUCGAGGUAUCGGUGAGGUUUGUCGACGCAAGUGGGAGAUCAAGUUCGAGCAUAUAUACCGAGAAGCCAUCAAGGCUGCUGAUUUCUUGUCCAAGUUGUCUUAAGGAACUGAUUUUGGCCUACAAAGGGGUUGCUAUGUUUUUGUUAUGUGAUUCAGCAGGAACCACUUUUGCUAGGAAUCGUUUUGUUUAAGCUGCUACCUUUGUCUUUGACUACUCAUUUUAUUACCAAAAAUAGAAAAAAAAUGCCUCCAACUGAAAAAUACGUACUUUUAUUAUACCAAAGAACAUCAUGUAUGUUAUUUUUUAUUUUAGUUAUUUGAGAUGGACAUUAGUCCUUAAAUGCUUGCAAAAUCGACUUGUCCUUUGAAUUUGCAAGCUUUGCAGACAGGAGAAUACAGCGAUGGCGUUUGGUAAUUGUCUUCUCCGCCCAUCAUCGGCAUCGGAACGCCUCUUUUCACCGGGCUGAUAUAGUCCGGUUGGUAGGUUUUCCCCAACACUCCUUCGACGAGAUCGGUCAGGUUGGUGAACUUGAACUGCGUUUCCAAAUGCGCAAACGCAUCGUUCGCCGGUAACUGGUAAUUAUGAACCUUGUUUUCUUCUUCUCCAAUGGCUCUAACUUUCACGUUCAGCUCCACCAACCCCGCGACCGUCACUUUAACGCCGUUGGUUUCGUCGGUUCUUUCGAUCACCACUUCUCGUUCAUCGGAAUCGGUCGCCCUCCAUUCGGCGUCGCCGUCGGUGGGGACAUUAACUUCCUCGCCGUCCCAUCGUACGAUGAGCGCUUCGAAGCUGUCGUCCCAUUGAGAGACUCUCUUGGCAGCGAGGACGAGUGUGUGACGGUCGAACAUAACUGCUAGGGCUUGCACCCAUGUGUAGUCCCGACUCCCGAGUCCUUCCUUGGGGGCGGGUUCCAAUAAAGUGCGCAUUGAUUUGAAGGUUAUCGUCCGAAACAAUGGCGAAGUUCCCUCCCUUGGCUCCGUGGAAGUAAAACAUAACUCCAUCACCACCCACAAACCUUGGAUCGUAGCAGAGAGACCCAUAUCCAUUACAGUUCGGUUUCCUCCCUGAAAAGCAACUCAAAACCAUCAGCAAUCAUCAAUCAGCACAUAUACACACAUGCAGUUAGAUCGAGAGACUUACAUUUGCAAGUGACUUCACAUUUGCUACUGCAAUCAACGAAGCAGCCUUUGUUCUUCUUGUUCUUCUUGGGUUUCCUCUCGGGGCAUUGACUCGGACAUGUCAGGUGCUUUCCAUUACAAGCUCCUCGUGCAAGGCAUAGAAAUUUUUCUUGUCCUUUCUUGCUGGGUUUCAAAACUUCGUAAUGUGUCGAAGCAGCGUCAUAGGGUGCCUUCUUGUUGUUGCCAGCUUUGCCUUGACCUUGAGCCAAGCUGGCUCCCAUGGAAAUGAAAACCAGAGCAAGGGCAACCAAAAGGAACGAAUAUCUUCUUCCAUCCAUGCUUGAAUUUUGCAAGCUUUUUUGUGUUUUAUCAGUUUGUUUUUCGUAUAUAUUCGGAAUGAUUUUCAAGUUUUGCAGAAAAAAGGACUAUAUAAAGGCCAGUGGGGGCAAGAAAUUUGGCUUGAAAUUUGGUUAAAUCCAUGUGAGAUUUCUUCAAUGUGAACAAGCAAUUGGGAGAUUGAGCAUUUCAUUAUGAUUAAGAAAUGUCAUUGCUUGAGAUCGGAACUUCGGGAAACUGCUAUGCUCUAAUAAAUUUGAUGCUUCAAGCUCAAGCACUAACAUCUGCUAGCUAGUUAAGCAAGACGAUAGCCAAGACCAGCUGAGCAGCCGUGGGUGCCAAAAAAAGGUUUUUCUUUUACAGGAUUAACCUACACUGUUUACUCUUUGUCUAGAAAACACGGGACAGUAAAGUUUGUAAAAUACUUUACGCUGCCAAAAUGCGUAUAACAUUUUACUAAAAAAUACGAUUACCGGUAGUGAAUCCACUAAAAAAAUACCUAAAUUUUAGUUGACUUAUAAAAUAUUUUAGGUUGACUAAAUUUAUUUUCAAAAAAAAAAAAAUUAUUUUACACGAAACAAACCAUCCUAGAUUUAUUUCAUUCUAGGAGUCGUGGAAGAUAGUCAUAAUACAGCUUUAUGCCUUUAAUGCAAUACCAAGAUCUGCCUCCACCACACCCACCUUUCCUUCAUUAAAUUAUACUUAAAAAGAAAAAAGAAAAAAAACUAAAUAUCAGAAAAAUGCCGAAAAAAUAAAUUACAUGUUUAGGUCAUUUUCUCGAAAAAUGAUGGGAAUAGAUCAAUUUUACAAAAACGCUUUCAACUGGUAGUAUUUCUAGGUGAAAUACAAAAAAUCACAUCCACGUGAAAGCGUUUGCAACAUAUGUGUUGAAAAACGCUUCCAAUUGAAAGCGUCUUUCUGCAUUUCACCUAACAACCCUGUCAGGUGGAAGCGUUUUCCAUGUGUAACAUUUUAUUUUUUAAAAUUAGGUUAUGGUUUAGGGUUUUUGGAUUGUAGGGUUUAGGAUUUGUUUUUUUUAUAUAUUAUAGUUUUUUUAUAUUUUUUAUAUAUUAUAGUUUUUAUAUUUUUUAUAUAUUAUAUAUUAUAUUAAUUCUUUUACACUUUUUAUAAUUUUUGGAGAUGUAAUGUUAAUAAUUAUUUAAUUUGAUCUUUAGAGACAUCCUAUUUACACCAAUCAUUUAUUCUAAUUAUUUGAAUUACAAAAUUUAAUUCACAUCAUAAUUGAAACUCGAACUACUCGGUUUGAUUAAAUAUUCUAGUGCAUUAUUUUCGAAUACUAAUAUAGGUUCAGAAAAUAUAUCCUGGGAAUCCUAGGAUAUACGAUGGUUGAGUGGCUAAAAGUUUGGGUUGAAAUUCUUAGAGAGAAAGUGUUUCACAUAAGACGCUUUUUUAGUGCAUGUCAGAGAAAAGCAUUGAAAGUGCCUCCAAUUGGACGCCUUUUUAGCUGAUGUGGCAGGGAAACGCGUUCUGCCAGAGGUGCUUUCAAUGCUUUUCACUGACAUGUACUGAAAAAGGGUCCUACAUGGAGUGCGUCUCUCUAAGAAAACUCCUACUAAUCCCGAAAAAUUUUCUAAAUCAAUUGGUAGUCACCCUUGGGUCUAUAAAAGCAAGUUAUUUCUAGGUUGAUUGCCAUAAGGAAUUUACGAGUAAAAAAAAUUGAAUGAAGAUCAGAAGAAGAGAAGUUUGUAGAUUAGGGGUAAUUUAGAGCUACUACGCAAUUUGCAUAAAGUAAGGAUAUUUUUUGUUAUUCAUAUUUACUUACAACACUAAUUAAUGUGUAAAAGAGUAAUUAAACUUUUUUUUGUCAUUUGUAUUUGGAAAUUGUUAUAUAACCUUGCAUCUUGAAUACUAAAAAAAACAAGAGGGAAAAAGCCUCUCCUUUAUAGGAAUUUAUUUUCUCAUGGCAAAUUCUUUUUAUCUUAUUUGAGUUCUUUGUAUAGUGUUUGUUUUGGUGAGUUAUUAUAAUUUUGUUUUUCAUGUUUGAGGUAUAAUGUUUAUUUCGCUCCUUUUACAUAUUCAUUUCUAUUAUUUAAAUUGAUUAUAUGGAAAGAUUUGAAUCAGUUGGAUCAGAAAGAAAAUGUGUAUUAGAAGGCUGAUGGUUGGCUUGGGCAAUGGUUCAUCUUUGAGGAACAGGCAAGUUCCAUGGCUCUCGAAUGAACAAAUUUAAAAAAUUAGAGGGUUUCAUGGUUGGAAUCCAAUAUAGACGGAGGUACUCUUCCAACAAGUUCAUAAUUUAUUUGAUAAAAAACUGUACAAUAUUAACAAAUUUGUUUAAUAAUCUUGAGGAAGGUAGUUUUGGAUAACUAAAAUCCUUUACUUAUCCAUUUGAUCAUGAAUGUUAUAGGUUGGAGUUGUGGUUUGUGUGAGGGAAUGUUAUUUUUGAUCAUUUAAAUAUGCAUCUAUUAAUUAGGAAAUGAAUUUCAACAUAAUUAAAUGUGACAAAUAAGAAAGAAAUUAUACAAAAAUAAAACCCUUCCAAAAUGUUUAAAUUAUGAUCACAUUAUAUUUUAUAUUUAAAAAAUUAAAUUAGAAAUUUCAAGAUGCAAUUUAAAAUAUAAGAUUAAAAAAUUUAAAAUGAUUUUGAAUUCCUAAAUAAUUUUAUUAAUUUACUUCACUUUUAAAAUAAAUAUAAAUAAAGCGAAAGAAAAAGAUUUCAUAGAAGAAGAGAAACGACACCAUAAAAGUAAAAUUAAAGUAAAAAUGAACUAUAAAAAAGACCAUAAAAUAACUUUUUUCUUCCAAAUUUUCCUCGGUUUCAUACCAUUGUAAAAAUUUUAUAUUUUACGCAUUAAUUUUUAUUUCUCUCAAAUUUUUGAGAUAAAUAUCAAAAUUAUAAUAAACUUUGAUCUAAUGUGCAAUUUGAUACAUAAUAUUUGAUUUUGUGCAAUUAUACACAUUAAAGUUUGAUUUUGAUUCAAUUGUACACAUUUAAAGAAAUGAAUACAUCAAUUUAUUUUUAUGUUAAACUAGAUUUAUGGUUUAGAAUUUUGAAUUUUAAGGAUUAUGCUUUUAGGAAAAUGGUUAAAUUAAGGUUGGGUUAAGAUUUAAGAAGGAUAAGUUUAGGAUUUAAUAUUUAGAGUAUAAAAUUUAGUGUUUAGGGAGGAUUUUAGGAGUUUUACAAUUUUAUUAAAAAUAAAUUUAUUUUAUUAAAUCUCAAUAUUAAAAAUCACACCAAAAAAUAUAAAGUUAAAAUUUAGUAGUAACUUCUCUUGGGGGACUUAUGGGCGAUGAGGGUAGCCAAAUCCUUAUUUGUUUGUUUAUUAGAACUGAAGUAUAAUAAUAAGAGUUAAUUUACUAUUGUUUGGUAUAUUAUAUUAUUUUUGAACAUUAAUCUUAUUAUAGGGUCUUAUCAUAUAUGCUAUUGUUGAUAUAAUGCUUAGAACUGCUAAUAGCACCUUCUCAACCCUUAAAUAGGAGGAUAAUGCACUUUAACCUACUCGAAUCUACGUCCUCCUGCACUGACAACAAUGUAAAUCCCAAUCGUGCAUCAAACCUCAAUCUUAAAUCUUCUCAGGUAUUUGAUUUUCUUUAUUUGUUUGUUUCUUAAUGCAUUAUAUUAUUCAUAUGGUGUUAUAUUCAUAGUAAUAGAGUUAAAUAAUAGUAAUAGAGUUAAUUUGUCGUUUCUUAAUGUAUUAUAUUAUUUAUAUACUCUAAAAUAAUAUGAUGUGUUAUAUUAUUAUCGAGUGUUUAAAAUGUGAAUUUUUAAGACAUUUUAAUCUAAAUUAUACUGUUUUCUUUUAUUUGAUUUUAUUAAUUUGAUGAUGGUUUAGAUCAUAAAUACUUACUUUUGUUUGAUAUCACCAUAUUAUUAAUCUUGACAAUCAAUUAAAAUAAUUAUUAUAAAUUUUAAAAUUUAAAAGUUAUUAUUUAUAACUCUGAUGAUGACUUUGUUAAUUGCAUAAAAUGUAAAUAUAUAAUAAUUUAAUAUAUAAAAUUUUUUAUAUUUAAAAAUAAAUAAUUAAAAAUAUUAAAUUAUUUAAAAUUGGUUCCCAAUUGAAUUGAAAAAAUAGUAAAUAUUCAUUCUUUUAAUGAAGUUUAUAUUUGAAGUUGUAUUUUAUAAAUGAUGAACAGUAAAGUGUAGACUCUGCUACUCGCUUAAAUUCUUCGCACGCUUUGACAUGUGAUUAAACCUUCUAACAACGGUGCCUUGGAUUCCAUCCCAAAGUUGUCAACUAAAAUUUAAUACAUAUUAAUUGCAACUUUUCAAAACAUUUCAUCAAAUAUUGAAUUAGAAGUUAAAAAAUUAACCAUCAUUCAUGAUCUCAACCUAUAUGGCAUGUACAUUAUGUAACAUUUUAUACUUGACUUAGACGAUAAGGUUCAAGCAUGGAGAGUUAUAACGAACGAUAAUUAACCACAUUCUACAAUUCAUAAUAACACACCUUUAAAAUCUGAUAAAGUUUUAACAAAGACAAACCAGUGUCUCGAGAUUAUCUUCCUACUAACUGAAACUUCGAAAAUAAUUAACAUGGUUCAUAAUACUAAAUGGUAUAAACACAUAAUCGAGCUCCCCAUCCGCCAACCCGAUCAAGUAUGUGAUUUACCUGAAAUUCAUUCAGGAAUAGCUGAAUUAAUAUACUAGAAAGGACCCAAUUAUUUACAUAUUCAAUAGACUAUCGGUAAAACCAAGAUAUCCAAGUGUAGAUGCUGAUCCAGAAUCAAAAAGCAAUUCAUUCAGUUACAGAUCAGAGUCAUACAGACGGAUAACAGAUCGAGCUAUAAUUAGAUGUAGAGUAAAACAUAAUAGAUGCAGUUACAUAAUACCAACUGCUACACACUAUCUCCAACCAACCCAACACACCAAAUAAGGUAUUCAUUACCCAGCCAACCCUACGCACCAUUCAGUGUCGGUUUGACACGUUUAAGAGAUUGUAGGCUAGCUGCUAGAUUAGUACAUAGAUACCAGGGAUUUAACCACCAGUUCAGUACAUAAUACUUCCUCCUUAUUCAAUUCCCAUCCAAUGCAUAUGGAUACUUCACAUAACAGUUAUCACAGGGUUUUAUACAAAUAUUCAAAUACAACUCAUACUCGUAUACAGUAGAUCAAUUCUAGUAAAAUUAGUUAAACACAAUACACACAUUGAUAAAUAAUAUUCAAGUUCCAGAUCACAUAAUAUCAAUUUAUACAGUUAAAUUCGGUUCAAACGACCUCACAGAAGCCUUGUAUUCAGUCCGAGCGAUGCUCGAAAUAUGGUGAAAUUUCAUAAACUAGCCUACAUGCCCAUGUGGUCCCACACGACCUAGGUAGCUAGCCCAUGCGGCCCUACACGACCUGACACAUGCCCGUGUCCUUGGCCCAUGUGAUCAUUAUCUUAUAAUUACUGAGUUACACGGCCUAGAUACACGCUUGUGUCCUUAGCCCGUGAGAUCCUUAUCUUGUAAUCAGUGAGUUACAUGGCCUGAACACACGUUUGUCUUCUUGGCCCGUGUGAACCCUACACUAACAUGGCCACACACGGCCUGGACACACGCUCGUGUUCCUUGCCUGUGUGGCUCUUACUUGGCAAAUAGUGAGUUACACGACCUACCACACGGCCUGUCACACGGCAGUGUGGCUUCGACAACCAUGUUUUCUAGCAUUCAAAAUUCGUAAAACUCGGGUUUCGGUAUGCACAUGAAAUAGUUUCAAAGUAGGAACAACAUAGAAGGCUCCCGAGACCUAAAACGAACAGUCCACCAAUAAUUAAAUGAUAAUUCGAAACAAACACAAAGAUUAUCACACCACCAACUUCGUCGAAUAAUUUUGACACAAGAAAAUCCUAAAUCACGUAGUAAUUGCCUCCACACUACCGUAAAUCAUGAAUCUAGGGCAUCAGAGAGACUGUUAUCUUUGAGACCUUCCCCUAAACAACAAUCGAACAUAUAGUCAAAAGGGUUCGAGCAAUUACGCAAACGUCACUCAGCACGGAAGCCAACAAUCGAUGUUUUCCCAAGUUAGAUGACUGAACACAGUAAUUUAACAGAACACAAACUUACCCGACAACGGUAGCAGACAAAACGGUGAAUCUAAGCAGCAAUUGAAUGAUAAAAAGAAAAAAAAACUAAAGGGAAAGAGACAAAAAAAGAAGAAGAAGGGAAAAGAGAAAAUGGGAAAGGAGAAAGGAGAGGGAACGUUUAAUUUAAUUUAACCAUCGAUCAAAAUUCUAACAUGAAGCAAAAAAUAUUACCCACUGCAUACACUGAGACUCAAACACAAGACUAAUAGAAUACAAAAACUUAACCAAUGAACCAACAAUGUCAUUCUUGAUAUAAUUUAACACUGAAUUAAACUUAAGUUGAUGACUUAGGAAUAAAUGUUAGCUUAAAUUAAAAUAAUAAAACUUUCUAAAAUACGACUUAAACUCUUGACCUCGAACACAUAAAUAGAGUGCUUAACCACAGAUACAAAGAUUUAAUUACUUUAGAAUCCAACACUUAAACACUCAAAAAAUUUUGGGCGUUACACACUAAUAUUUAAAUAAUAGUUAAAAAAUUAUUCAUAAGUGAUAGAUAUAAUGAUAAGGCAUAUUAUUUUCAAAGAUAAAUAAUUUAAGUUCAAACUUUAUAUAUAAUAUUAUUGUAAGAGAUAGUCAUGAAUUUCAAAAGAAUUAUGAACCGUAAACGGAAAUAAAAGAUACUUUCAUUAUAUAAAAAAAAUAAAAAAUUUCAACCAUAAAUCAAUUCAAGAUAAGUAAAUUAUAUUUUCUUAAAAAUAAAAGUAAAAAGUUAGAAAUUAUUUAGUAAAAUUGAUAACUUAAAAACAAUAUUUAAUUAUUAUACUAUUUAUAAGUGUUAAAAAUAUAAAGUUAAUAUUUAAUCAAAUACAUGUAAAGAAAAAUCAAGUUUUUAUGAAAAUAUUAAAAAUAUUAAAAAUGAUUUAAAGUUAUAAAAAAUGUAAAAAAAAUAUAAAAACUUGAAACGGAUCGAUUAGUCCAAAAUUAGCAACGGAAUUGAUUCAGGAAAAGCCAUUAGAUUGGUUGACCUAGGAACCAGAUGGUUGAAUCGAUUUUUUAUUUUUUAAUAUUUUUAUCAAACCAAAAUUUCAUUAUCCAACUAUUAGCAUAUGCCAGAAUGAAAUAUUCUAACCAAGGUUUUUAGAACCAAAUCGGUGGUUGAACUGGUCAAGACAUCAGUUUACCAGUUUGACUGAUUUAUCCUGUUCAAUUAAAUAAAACAUUCAAAAAUAAUAAUCAGUUCAACCGUCCUAAAUCAACUGGUCUAAUGACUUUCUUCGAACCGAUACCCUUAUCUAUUUCGGCCUAAUCGGUCCAUUAAAAAGUAUUGAAUUGGGUUACUUCCAUUCUUUAACUCUAAUAUUGUAUAAAAAUAAUUUAUUUUAUCUAUUUUACUUUAUUUUAAAUAUAGUAAAAAAAAUUAUAAAUAACACGAAUGCAAUCCAUUAAAAGUUAAAUAGAAGUAAUCGAUUGAUCGCCCGUGAAAAAAGUUGAAUACUACAAGUUGGAAUAAGUAAAAGGAAAAUGGUGAAGAAAGUCAAAUACAUUAGAUUAGAUGAUAACUUCACCCACAGAAAUGUGGCUAUAUUAAGAUAGCAAGUGGGACAGCUUAGAGUCAGCUCCAUGCUGUUCGAAAUGCUUGGUGGUAGUGUAAUGGAAACUCUGUCGGUUUGCUCAGGUCAAGUGCAGGAAUUGGCGUUUAAGGAACUAAUUUCUUUCUCUCUUCAUUAACUUUGAACAUUGACUCAAUGGAGCUAAUUAAGUUGCUUAUGGAAUGAAUAUUUCAGAACCAAGAAACAAUUUCUUUUGCCCCGAAAAACUGAGAAAUAUUUAAUAACUAAAGUAUCUACAUAAUUUAUCAUACGUUGAUUUUUUCCAAAUAAAUGAAAAAAAAUAAAAAAAAUUUAAAUACUAGAUUAUGGGGAAAUAUAUAUAUAUAUAUAUUUAAAUGAAUAAUAGUUUUCUAAAAAUAAGUAGUAGUUUAAAAAAUAUGUAAGGCCUUGUUUGAUAAUCAGUAUAAAAAUUUUAGUAUUUAAUUUUUUAAUACUUAAAUUUUCAGAUUAUCAAACCGCACCUAAUUUAAAUAAAUAACGAUUUUUAAAAAUAAUAGUCAUUAAUAUUUUUUAAACAUUUUGAUAUAAGUUAAAAGCCACAAAUACAUGUUUUAUAUGCAUUACUAACUUAUGGAAAAUGAUUUUUACGUUUUUUUAAUUGAUUUGAUGUUUGGUUAACUCGUAACACUAACUUAACAAUAGUUUUAAUAUAGUAUAGACAUUUUUAUAACAAUUAACUUAUACAAGGUAUUAAGGUAGACUAUAGUUGUGGUUCACACCAUAUGUGGUAUAGAGAAUCUUCGAGGAUGGAAGCUUAAAAUGGUGUUUUAGCAUAAUGAUGGCUAAUGAUCAAUGGUUGAUCUCUUCUAUUGUAUGUUAUUGCUGCCCUCACCUCUCUCUCUCUCUCUCUCUCUCUCUCUCUUUAUGUGUCAUGUCCCUUUAAUCUUGAAAAAAAUGAGUGUCUACAGGAUAAAGAUGAUUUAGAGUGAAUCCUUUGUAUCAUGAUUAUCUUUUUAGUAGAGUUCAAUAUAGACCCAAGGGUAUGACUUAGAUGUAUCCCAAUAUGGGGUUGGUGAGCUUAUCUGAUGUGACAACUAUUCUUGAUGAUGUUAUGGCAAUAUUCUCUUAGUAGUGCAUAAGUGUCUAAGUAUAGGAGGUAUAACAAUUGUCCCCCUUAACAAUGGAAGAGAAGUUUAUAAAAUGAGCUUCUCUAACAAUGGGUGUCAUCUUUUAAGCAAGGGUGAAAUCUUUGUCAUUUGAACUAAUCGAAUAGAAAUCAUGAAUGUUAUGAGGCAUAAAAUGGCAUCUUUAAAAAAUAUUUUUGACAUGACAUCUGUACAAGCUCAAAUUUACCCGGGGCCCAAAACCCAUUACCAACCCAAUUACAAACCCAACUAUCCAAACCUUAAACCAAACCCACUACCCAAACCCGAGGCCCAAUAGUCCUAGCCCAAAACAUAUUUUCAGAAAAAGUAACCCUAACCUUAGGUGUGCCGCACCUAGGGUCGCCCACUUGCACCUGCCGCUGCCGACAUCAGUGCCAACUGCUCCACCGCUCAACCACUCCUACAAACACGCAAGAAACAAUGCAAAACAGUAGAAAAAAUAGAUAAAAUACAUUGUAGAUUGGCUAUAAAGAGCCCAAAAACAGAUUGUAAAAGGGGGAAGUUUUUUUAGAGAAAUAAAAAGCAAAGAUCAAACAUCAAUAAAAAAAAACGCAAGCAACUAAAGGGAUUUGAAAAAACGAAAACGCAAAGGUUUUAUUUAUUUAUUUUCAAACUCUUUUUUUAUACGUUUUUUUAUAUAUAUACACAUAAAUAUAUAGCAAAAAAAAGAAAAAAGUUACCUUUUCGAAUUUUCCGGCAACCGUGGACGGUAGUGCCGUCACUGGAAACCGGCAGCCGCCACGGUGGUCCGGCGCCAGAGCCUUCGCCGGACCUUGGGCUCCGACCAGAGGGAGAGGGGAGAGCUCUCAGCCUUUUUUUUUUCUGAAACCAGGGAUCAAAUGAUUUUUUUGUUUAAAACUUGGCUUUUAUAGGCCCUCAAAACGAUGUCGUUUUGGGCAGGCCUCUGAGGCACGAAAACGGCAUCGUUUUGUGCCAUCCAACCCGACCCGACCCGCUUCAGGCCAGGAUCCGCAUGUUUUUGAGCGAAAGGGCUAAUUGCGCUUUCAGCUCUUCCGCUUUUAAAUGAUUUUGCAAUCAAGUUCUUUUUGUUUUUUAAUUUCGCCCUAUAAUUUAUUUUUCUUUACAAUCUUGUCCACCUUGAAACGUAGUAUUUUGGAAGGAAGGAAUAUUUCCCAUUUUGAUCCCUCUAUUUUUACGCGCGUCACAUUAGGGCCCUAAUUCGUUUUUUUCUUUUUCUUUUUUUAAUUUGGAUCUCAAAUUUUAUUUCUCUCUCAAUUUAGUUCCUUUCGCGUUUUAUUUUUAAUUUGGGCUCUCAAUUUUAUUUUAACUUCAAUUUAAUACAGUUUUCAUUUAUUAUCAAUUUUUUUAUAUAUAUUUAUGUGUACCCUUUUUAUUCAUUUAUUAUUUUUGUUUGCAUAUAUUUUUAAUUUUUAUAAAUGUAUACAUAUAUAUACAUAUAUUUAUAUUUUUCAUAUUUCAUAAUUUUUAUAUACCUACAUAUAUAUACAUAUUUUACUUCAUGUACAUACUUAUAUAUAUUCUUUAUAUUUUAAAAUAUAUAUUUUAUAUAUUUUUAUAUAUAUUUUAUAAUUCACAUAUACAUACAUAUUUUUAAUUUAUAUCUAUAUACAUAUAUAUCUCUUUACAUUUUUAAUUGUAUUCAUUUUUUUAUUGUUAUUUACAUGUUCAUUAUUAUUUUGAAAGAAUGUUUUAAUUCUAUUCGUUUAUUUAUUUGCAAUUAUAUGAUUGAUUUGUCUCUUAUAUUUAUUUAUUUCAUUUUUGAUGAUUGAUCAUAUUAUUCAUAUUUACAUUAUCGAAUUCAUUAUUGCUUUGUACGCGUAUUAAUAUCGAGUUUCAUUUCUACUAUUUCAUGUUAGAUUAAUUUUAUUCAAUGUAUAAAUUAUGAUUUUGAAUAAGCAAAAUCUCGUGUUUAGACUCGAUAAGGUCGUACCCUAACUUACUGGGUUUCGAUUUUCACAAUAAAUCUAAAUACACGAAUCUUUUCAAACUCAAGUUUUAAACGAUCUCGAGAAUUAUGAGGAGAUCGUGUCCUAACUUACUGGAUAUGAUCUCUUUUUCCUAAAUUUUAAACGAUCUCGGGAAUUAAUAAAAGAUCGUGUCCUAACUUACUGGGAAUGACCUUUUUUUUAAAAUCCGAGAUAGCCAAAUAUUUUCUUAAGGAAGUAAAUUUUUUGGCAUGUAUUCUCGUAUCGGGAAUUCGAUACAUUGUGUCCUAACGCAUUGGAUAUGACGUGUUGUUUUCUCGAUAUGAUGAUUUCUCUAAAAAAUAAUUAAGGCAAUAUUUUGUGUUUGGAAAUUCGAGAAAACAUGCCCUAAUGUGCUGGGUUUCGAUUUCUCGUUUGACCAAAUAGCCAAAUAUCCUCUUAAAAUUUCAAAGUAUAGGUUUUGGAACCAUAAGGUGAUCUUGGUUUUGAGGGUUUAAAGUAUUGUAUCCUAAUGUGCUGGAUGUGAUAUAUAUAUUUUUAGAACAAGAGAAUCCUAAAUUCCAACCCAUGUUAUUCGAAAUUUUUUUAGGAUCGUAUUUUUAAAAUUCUUCAAAGUUUUCAAUCUUCGACACUAAAGACACUAAAUAAUCAACUAGGUACCAAUUUUGGGCGUUACGAGGGUGCUAAUCCUUCCUCGUACGUAACCGACUUCCGAACCCGUUUUUUCUGAAUUUCGUGGACCAAAAUCGUCGUUUUAAUAAAAUUAAAUUGUUUAUUAAAAACAACCACUUUUCAAGGUGGCCUGAUCACACCUUAUCAAAAAGGAUUGGUGGCGACUCAUGUAUUCAUUUUCUUUUUCAAAAUCUAAGUCGACCCCGUUUUAUCAAAAAAUGGUGUCAACAGCAUCUCUUCAUUAUUUAAUGUUUAUUUUGCUUGGGAACACUUUUCUUUCAUUUUGUUAUCAUUUCAAUACUUAAACCUUUUCACAAUAAAUAAGGGCUUUAGGUCUUUUUUAAGGACUUCACUUCAGCGCUUUUUGAGGAACAUUAUUACUUUUUUUCUUGUUUUUUGUGCUCUUUUUAUCUUUUAAUAGAGUUCAUAAAUUUCCUUCCUUCUACAUUGUUAAAUUAUUUUUUUGUUGUUGUAUUAUCGCCUUUUGCGAGUUCUUGCCUUUAGGAAAGCUUUUGUUUUUUGCCUGUUAUUUAUUUAUAAAUCUUUCUUCAUAAUCAACAAUAGGAAGUUCAUCAAACAAGGUUAGUAAGUGACAAUUGAAGAUCCAAGAAUAUGAUUUCCUCACUACCAAUGAUCAUAUUUCAUGUAUGGCCCUAGUAAUAGACAUGCUACGGGUUUUCAAUUUAGGGGGGCUGUAGAUCCCCAUUAUAAAUAUAGUUUUUUUGGUUAGAGACGAUGUUCACCAAUUGAGCAACGUCGUUGGCAAUGAUAAGAGUGUUUUCUUUCCCCUAUACAUUUUUAAAUGGAUUUCCAUUUGUCUUUGUACCCAUGGUUCGUAGAGGUCCUCAGCUCUUUUGGCAUGCCCCCAAGGCAAUUGACUUGGGGUUCAUGGUUUCGUUUGGUGGCAUACUUCCUAGAUUGACACAAGUAGAGGGGGGAGAGCCCGCCGAGCAGCUUGUAAAACUUAUACUUCUUUCAAUUCUCUCACAAACUGGGUUACCAGGGACUUUGCUAGUUCCAACAGCACAAGAAUAUGAACUCCCCAAUUUCUAAUUGUUAGGAUCGUCCCGAUUAAGCAACAAACAAGUAAAAAUAGCAGAAGAAAUUGAGAAGAUGAACACACAAAUUUAACGUGGAAAAACCCCUCCAAAGAGGAUAAAAAAACCACGGGCAAAGAUAAUUUUACUAUAAUGGCAAAAGAAUGAAGAGUACAAAAGAUGGAGAUAAAACUAAACCCCGAAAACCAGAAAAACAAAGAACCCUCAAAACGUAAACACAAAAUUCUCUGAAUGUGUUAUGAGUUCUAAUCUAAUGGGUAUUCUUUCUAAGAUUGUAAAAGAGCCUAUUUAUAGGCUAAAUUAGUAAGUCAAAUAAACUAUACUAAUAAAUGUCAAAUAUAUUAUACUAAUAAAUACUAAAUCUUCUAGAAAGAAAAUAUAUUUUUGUUUAACUUGACUUGCAAGCAAUCUCUUAGAAUUUGGGUCACACAACUCUAACACUAAUAAGCCAAGCAAAUGGGACCAAGGGUUGGUUCAUCUGUGUAGAGGAUAAGUUGGAUGUGUUUUCUUUCCUUACGGAGUGGAAGGAACUUGGUACUAAAAAAUUUAGUGGUUGCCCAACUUGGAGGAUGACAUUGCUAAAGGUCAAUAUGAUUGCUAUAAGCCAGGGUUUUACUCCACCUUUGCUUAUUUUCUAAAGUUAAACCUUAUCAUGGCACACUACCUUCAAAAGAGGAGCUCAAAUGGUAUGGCUCCAUUUGUCGACACCGAUAUAUAACUUCAUGGAUAGGUUGGAUGCCUUGACGUGACCUACACAAUUUGGGGGUUGGCCAUUGUGAGCCACAAAUGAUAUUGGCUAGAUGAUUACAAGCAUGCUAGAAGAGCUUGAAGUUUUCUACAAAGUUGAGAAAGGAUUUCGAGAAACGAAAGAAAGACAAACACUUAGUUGCGCAGGUUUCCAGAAAGCAUAGGGUUGUUGAUCUUGUCACCCCAAGUCUCUAGAAAACAAAAGGUGGCCUACCAAUUCCACCUAGUUCUAUUACUGACAUUCCUUAAGAAUGAGGAGGUUUGCCAAGAACCAACAAGUUCUUUUGUCAAUGAUUUUCCCAAUGAGGAGAAGGAUGAUUUAGAUAAGGAGAUUAAUAAUUAUAGGGACCUUGAGUCAAUGUCUUUUGCAAGUGUAGAGAACGUGGUCCUUUAAUUAUUGAGGAAUCCUUUAGGAUUGGGGAUUCCAAUAUGUAGUAAUAUUGUAAUUAUUAUGACAUGGUUAAGCUUUGUUUUUCAUGUACAUAUCAAUUUAUGUCUUUUUGAGAGAUGGCAACUUAUUUGUAAAAAGGAAAAAAGGUUAGCAGUGAGGUUGGCACUACUACUACAUUAAUUAGGACUAUGCUAACUCUUACUCCAACAAUUACUCCCUUAGAUGUUGCUGUGCCUGCUAUUACAACUCCUCAUAUCAUAUCCUUGCUAUGCCGGUUGUUGACACUCCACCUUCAACUAUGCCUUUUUCUUUGUCACUACCCUGUUGGAAAAAUACAAUUUAGAAAACAUAUUAUUCGCACAAUGAAAAUUUAACAGCUAAAAAUCAAGCUUUUAUGAUAUUUAUAAUUAUAAACCGUUUACUCAAAUUGUAUCUGUGUUUUCUGAAUAUGCGAAAUAAGUCGUUCCCAACUUUUUACCUUUCGAUCUUCUUUGCUAUUCUAGACCUUGACUCGUUAGAGUGUGGGCUCUAUUCACGUACCGAUGAACAUUAACAAAAAUUUUCUAGGGUUAGAAAUUGAUUACUCAAUAAAGAUAAAGUUAUUUGUCUAAAAUAAUUUUCAUUAUUUUCCAGCAGAGUAACCUCAUAGGUGAAUGGUGUAAUUUGACCUAGCCCAUAGUCUCUAUUUAUAAAGAAAAUAAUAAAAGUCUUAAUUAACAAAGUGUAGCUAGAAAAAAUAUUAUUUUCAUCGAAAACACAUACUCCAUGUAGGAGUACAUAGCAUGGGCGUUGACAACACCCUUUAGGUACCAUUAUUGGAAAAUCGGGUUUCAAAAACGCAGCGGAAAAUAAACUUAAGGGAAAAACUAGAGUUUUAAAUUUUUUUUCAAAAACAAGAACUUAGUUGUGAUAUCUAAAGUAAUAAACAAUUAAUCAAAACUGUACCUUUUUGAUUCGUCUAGGAUGAACGCUUCGAGAGAGUAGUCUUCUCCUCUAUCCUUAAGCUCAUGUGUGCCGAGUGUAGGCUCGCUUCGAAUAAUUUUUUUUUCCACAAAAUUACCAGUGGAGUAAAUUCACAAGUUCUCUAAACUUUUAGGCCAAGUUGUAAAUAAGAAAAAUAUCUCUAGAAAUCUUAUGAAAUAAUUUCUUUAGAUAAUCUUCUCUCUACAACUUUCUCUUGAAUUCAAGUCUGUGAAAAAUAAUGACCCAAGGCUUUCUUUAUAUAUGGAGAGUUUAGAGAGUUCAACUAAGAUCGAACUUAAUCACUCUAAUAUUAAAUUAAUAUAAUACUUAUCAAGAUAAUUAUUAGAUUAAAUUUAAUAUUAAAUUUAUUAAAAUAAUAUUAUUUUUAGAAUAGUUAAUCUAAAACUAAAUUAUCCGGUAAAGUCCUUGUAGGAGUGUGCUUCUUUCACUACUCAACCACCGAAGACUGCCGUCGUCAAUCAUCCGCCAACCACUGAAAUGAUGUCCUCACAGCCGUCGGCACUACUGUGCUCGGUGGUGUCAUCGUAGGCGCAACACCCUCACAUCACCUUGAGUCUGUUUGGUUUGGGCCAGUGAUGACCCGACUGGUUCAAUCUAGCCACCGAAUGGACCAUAGGUCCGGCUGCACAUAUCAGGCUCGAUUCGACUAAUUGUGGGUCUCGAUCUUGAUUUUUUGUUCUCAGUUCUAACUAGAGGUGAUCAUGGGCCGGGUUGGGCCCAAAAAUUUUUUUGGCCCUCGUCCUAGGCCCGGGCCCGGCUCGGCCCAAAAUAUGGGCCUAAAAUUUUAUCCAGGCCCGGCCCGGGAAAAAAUUCCUAAGCCCGAGCCCAGCCCGACCUAGCCCAUUUUUUAAUAAACACCAAAAAUUUAUUUUAAAAAUAUUUUAAAAUUAAAAAAAUUUUAAAAAUAUAUAUUUACUAUAUAUUCGGGCUGGGCUGGGCCCAGGCCAAAAUAGUGGUGCCCGAGGCCUGCUCGUUUUCUAAAUGGGCCUCAUUUUUUCCCAAAUCCAUAUUUCGGGCCUAUAUUUUUACCCGAACCCUCCCAUAUUUCGGGCGGGCCGUCGGGCCGGGCCGGGUCGCCCGCCCCAUGAUCACCUCUAGUUCCAACUUUUGAUCUCAACUCUAAUUUUCAAGUUCAAUUACCCAUUUUCCAAUUGUCUGACUUGAAAAUUAAUUUCCAAAAAUAUCAUAUUUAUUUUAAUUAAUUUGUUUAAUUUAAAUUUGCUUGAUCAAAAUUAAUUUUCCAAAAAUUAUUGAGAUUUUCCAAAAUUAUUUUUUCAAGAAAAUUUUUUAAUAAAAUUAUCUAGUUGAGCAAUUCUCACAACCGCCCAAUUUAAUUCCACGUCGAAUAGAUUGACUUAAUUCAAUUAUUUCAAAAGUCAUAGAAUUUUCUUCUAAUUCAAAUACAGUCUGAUCGAGCUUUUGUUGAGCUAACAUAUGGACCAAUCAGAUAUAUACAAUUAGACUAUAGUAAUUGCAAUUAUGUUCAGAAGCAUCAUUCCGGUAAUUCACAAUUUACUUAACCAUAGAGUCAGUCUACAAGAAGUACCAUGAUUGAAAACUCUUUAUUGUUUACUCUUUACGAAAGCAAUUUAUCCAACUGCUUUGUUUAAUGACCUCGUCAUGUGUAUGUUACCCUCAUAUGAUAUCCUUAAUUUCUUUGAGUUAAAUCCAUUCACUCAAUACAAUCUUAUUUUAUCUCAUUGUCAACAUUGUGUCUUCUAAAUAAUUAAUAUGAUCACUUUCAACAAAUGAUUGUGAUAAAUUGUUCCAUAUUUAUCAAUCCACACAAUGCCAAUGAAAGGAUACUAUUAGCUCUUUAAUCGAGCUAUGAAUUCCAUCAUUGCUAGUAAAUCCAUGCUAUACACAAGUCAUGUACCCAACAUACCGGUUAUGGGCUCGAUCAUCUUUAGAGCAUAAGCCUCCACUUAUAUCAAAGCACAUGAGUUGCAUACACAUGGUUAGCGACUAACUCAAGAUUUAGGUAAAUCACACCAUGAAUGUAAAAAGUGAAUUAAUUCAUAAAUAAUUCAGAAUUGAUUCAACUUGGGUCCAAUCUAAGUAUCAUUCUUCCAAUGAUUACAUCUAUGUCUCUACUUAUGGAGUCAAAUGCUCUGAUAGCCAAGACUAGCCAUCUCCUUAAUUGAAAUUAUAGAUGACAUAAUAAUCCUUCUAAGUAUUUGAAUCAAACACUCACUUUGAUUCUUUUAUGAGAUUACGAACUCGUGUAACACCCCAAACUCGGCCCGGACGUUAUUGUCAAAUCUGGCAUGUCACAUUGAAGUGUCUUUCAAAAAUUGGACUUAUUGGUAAAAAUUCGUUUCCAAAUUUAAAAACCUCUUUAUUAAUGUUUAACAAAACAUCUAGCUAAACCGAUUGCUUUGUUGUCUGCUUUUGUUAUAAUAAGUUGAUCUAAAAAUCGCGGAAGCUUUUGAAACUCUAUUGUUUAAAUUUUGUGUCUUUGAAAACAGUAAUUAUUUUGAAAGUUCGUCAUCUCCUAAACUAGCAGUUUAAAAUAAUUAAUUAAAAACCCAAUUAAAAAUUUAAUCAAACUUAAAGGCCUUAUUACAUAGAAAAAACCCAAUAUAAACUUUAAAUUUAAAUAAAAGCAAGUGUAGCACAGCUGCAGUUGUGUGGCCACCUCUGAGUCUCUCGCAGCACCAAAUCGCCUAAGGCUGAGGGUUAGCUGUACAGUUAAAUAGAAAAAAGUGAGUUUACGACAACUCAGUGUGUAAUCCCCUAUCAGUCAAAUAGUUUACAACAUGCAGUAAAGUCUGGGCCUAAGCCCUAUUUAAUAACAGUAUAGUGUGAGCCUUAGCUCAAUACAGUAAUAGUAUAGUACAAUAAUGCAACCCAUCCCAAUCCAGCCAACACACCACUCCAUACCACCAACACACCAUGUGGGAUAAAAUCGACCCAUGCAACCAAUACACCAAUAUCGCAGCAAAGCUGCCGGUAAUAGUAUCGUAACAAAGCUGCGAGUAACAGUAUUACAGCAAAACUGUCAGUAACAGUAUCGCAGCAAAACUGUCAGUAACAGAAUUGCUGACCUUAGAACGUAUUUUGGCACAUAAACCUAACUAAACUUACUCAAAAUGGGCUCACAUGCUAGUGUGGCUCACAUGGUUUGGUACACGACCAGACACAUGAUCGUGUGGCGUCAAAAGUGAGUUUUCAGUUUUGUGCAGUUCACAGAUUAAUCGGGUUUAGAGUCACACACCUAACUAUAACAAAAUACCAACACAACAACAAUUCUAGAUCCUACAUACGACAGCCAACUAAUUGGGUUAGCAAAUAAACACAAGAAUCUGCCCCUACUUGACAAAACAUUCAUUCGAAAUUGAACGCUCGAACCUCACUACCAAAUUAAUAAAACCAUCCCUUAAACAUAGGUAUUCAAACACUUACACUUAGCGGUAGAGGUUUCAAUGCACUUACGAAGCUAAAGAAAGGUGCACCGCUUGAUUCUCCCGAUCCUCACCUAGAAGAAUACAACUCAUAAGAUCAAACACCCCUAACAAAGAAAACCAAGUUUAAGAAUUUAACAUAUGAUUUCAAAAAUGACACUACACUAAAGCUUCUAUUCACACACGAGUAACACCACUUCUAGAAACUAAAGACGACACUUGCACAUUAUAAGAAAAAAAUAGGGUGGCAGUAAUAAGAGUAGAGAUCAAAAGAAGAAAAUCAAAAGGUUGCUAUGAAAAUGUGAAAUAAAACAAAAGAAAAGAGGAAAGCCAAAAGAAGAAGACAACAAAUGCAAAAUUCAAUAGCAAAAAAGUGAAAAACGAACUAAUAUUAUCUAAAUUAAGUUUGUUGGAAUUUGAAUUUAACCCAAAUUUUGAGCAUAGGCGGCAGAACAAGGAGAAGCAAAAAUAAUUCCCUUUUUUACACAUAACAAGAUUCUAACUUAGGACCUAAGGGUAAGCUAAAGUCUUACCACUGAACCAACAAACUCAAUCUUAUCAACAAAUUUACAAAAAUAAAAGAUAACCUAUAUGUGACUAGUCAAGUGAAAGAAUAAAAAUAAUAAAAAUUCAAGGGAAGGGAUUCUAACACAAGACCCCAGGCACAUAAACAGAACACCUAUCCAUUGGAACAAAUUAUUUUUCUUGACAUAUUUAGCAAUUGAAAACUAAGAAAUUUAGGGCAUUACACUAUUUCUCUAAUUCUUUGUUUCAUUUGUUCAUCACAUCGAUUCAUUUACAAACUGUCCAGAGUCAUAUUAAGCUAGCGGGGGCACCGAUUGGAUAUAUAUAAUCAAGGAUCAAAUAAUUUUUAAUCAGGUUUCGACUCUUCAUUUAUUAAUUACAAGAUUAUUUAGUCAUGGAGUCAUUCCACUAGAGUACCAUGACUGAACUUUCCCUUAUUAUAUACCAUUAUGAAAGAAACUUACUCAAGUGCUCGUCCAAUGACCUUGUCAUGUGUGUGUUACCUUCAUAGGAUAUCCUUAAUCUCUUUGGGAUAAAAUUUGUUCUCCUAAUAUGACUCUAUUUUAUCUCACCGUAUCUAUUACAUCUUCUUUCAUGAAAAAUUCAUUUACUAAUGAAUAUUAAUUAAAUCAUUUGUUAUAGACAAAUGACCUGUGUCCAUUUUACUUUUCCAUCUAUCAUGUAGUGUCGAUGAGAAGAUAUCAUUUAUCCUAUAUUGGGCUAUGAAUUCCAUAUUUUAAGUAAAACUAUGUCAUGCAGAAGUCAUAUACCCAAUGUACCAGCUUUCGGCUCUAUUACUUAUUAAACUCAGGCUUUAAUACAUCAAAGUAUAUAAGUCAUGCACACAUAGUUUUCACUUAUCGACGAUUGAGGUAAGCAACACUAUGAAUAUUACAAGUGAAUAAAUCCAAAAAUGAAUCUAGGAUUUACUCUACUCAGGUCCUGUCUGAUACACUAUCAAUCCAUAUAGUCACACCUAUGUCUUUAUCUUCUUGAGUCAUCCGCUCCAAUACCCAAGACAAUGUAUCUCCUUAAUUGGACUUGAUAGAUGACAUAAUAGUCUUUUGAUCGACUCUGUCAAUUUCAAUUAGACUAUGAAUAUUUUAGAUUAUCUAAUAAUAUAAGUUCUCUUCUCGCAUUAUGAUCAACCACAUAAUGCAACUUAAUAUUAGUUAAACAUUAGAUAAUUAGUGAGCUAAUAUUUGCUUUCAUUUUGCUUUGCGUGAAAAAAUCAUUGAGGACAUUAUUCAAAAUAUAUUAAUAAUUAUGAUGGAAUUUUAUAAAACCAAUCUAUUUGAAAAAUUACAAGUACAUUUUGAUGAUACCACUACACUAAGGGCACUAGAUCCCAAUAGUCUCCCACUUGCCUUAGUGAAGAGGAUAAGACAUAUUCUGCAUUCCCUUAGCCUUUACAUGUUUCUCAAAACUCCUGGGCACUAAAGUCUCAGUAAAUGAAUCUACAAGAUUGUCCUCAGAUGCAACUUUGACUACAUCCACUAUUCUUUUUGCCAUUGCCUCUUGUAUGAUAUGAUACUUUCUAUCGAUGUGUUUUGUCUGUUGGUGGUUUCUGGUUUCUUUGGUGUUUGCUAUUGCCGUGUUUUUAUCACAAUAUAUUGUGAUAGCUUUUUCUAUACCAGGAAUAACCUGAAGAUUUGUAAAGAACUUCCAAAGUCAGUCUAUUUUUUUUGUUGCCUCAGAUGCAGCCACAUAUUCGUUCUCUAAAUUGGAGUCAAUAGUACAAUCUUACUUGACACUUCUCCACACAUGGCUCCGUCGCCCAAUACAAAAUCACAUAAUGAUGUUGAUUUCCUCGAAUAUUGAAACGUUUGAAAGUUAGAAUCUAGGAGUUAGGUCUUCUUCGAAAUAUACAAGAAUUUAAUCUCUCUUUCUCUAUAAAUACUUGAAUAUAUGCUUAACUGUCUACCAAUGCCUUGGACUUGGAUUUGCUUGAUAUCGACUCAACAAUCCUACUGCACAACAAUAUCUGGAUAUGUGUAUAACAUCACAUACAUAAAACUUCCUACUACAAAAGCAUAAGGAACCUUUCUCAUAUACUUUGUUUCUUCGGUUGUCUUCGGACAGUCCUCUAAAGCAAGAUAGAAGCUCAAUAUAGAAGGUUGUGCACCCUUUUUCGAAUCAGUUACAGUAAAACGUUUCAGUUAUGUAUGAAGCUUGUGAUAAAGCUAUCACUUUGUUCUUACGAUCCCUAAGGAUUUGAAUAAGUACAUUAGUUUACAAAUACAUUAGUUUUUUUUAAACAACUUAAUUAAAAAAAUCAAUAAAAGUAAUUUAAAGCAAUAUUCUUUUGUCACUGGUUACAUACUAAUUUUGACAUUUCACCAAUAUUUUCCUAAUAUUUUCUCAUUAAUUACAUAGUAAUUUAAAGCAAUAUCAUAUCGUAUAUUAUAUAUCAUAUUAUAUAAAUUAUCUAUAGCAAAGGUUUAAAACAAAGAAGGAAAGUAGCUUAGGUGGAUUUGUUAUCAUUUUGACAAGUGAUAACUAUUAUUGUUUAAUACUUCAUUAAUUGUAAUUUUACAAAAUUAACUAAGACCCACCAUUAUGUUGUAAACUAUUUUACAAAGUCAAUUUAAAAAACAUUUUUCUAUAAUUUUUUAAUUUUAAUAAUUUUUAUAAACAUUUUAAAUUAUUUUUCUAUAAAAAUUUUCUAUAAAAUAAAUUUAAAAAACAUCUUUUAUUUUACAUCAUCACUUUUAAUAAACAUUUUAAUUAUUCUUUCAAAUAAAAGAAAUUGUUUUCUAUAAAUUUUCUUCCUAAAAACAUAAAUCUAAAAGAAUUUUGUAAAUUAAUAAUACAUUACAUUUUAUUUUAAUAAUUAAAAUAAAUUUUAAAAAAUAUUUUAAAAAUACUAUACAAAAAAUAACAUUUUUUCAAAAACUUAUAUUAUUAAUUGUUAUUUUCUCAAAACUUGUAAAAAAAUUAUUUAUGAAUUAAUAAAAAUUAAUACUAUUAAUUAAUAUUUUAAAUUAAAAUAAAUAAUUAAAAUAUAUUAAAUAAAACCAACUCGCACCGAUAUAUAUAUAUAUAUAUAUAAAGCUGCACUGGCGUAACUAGGAGUACAUGGAAAGCGAAUAGUAUGGAUUAUGAAUGGAAGGGUGAGUAUAAGCUAGCGACCGAAAUCUGUUGGCUUCACUGACUUCCAUUUUAUUUCAUUUCAUAUAUAAAUUAAAUUUGCCAUAUCCAACUUGCAGUAAACGUUUAUAAUAUAUUUAAAAAAAAUACAUCUUGAAAAAGCAUAAAAUCUUAAAAUUUUAUGGGUUGACUCAUUGUUAAGUAUAUCUCGUUAAUCGCACUAUUAUUAGAACUUUACUCUCCUUUUAUAAUUGAUUAAAAAACACAUAAAAUCUUAUAAUUGUUGUUAAUUUAGGUAUUUAAUUAUUUGAGUCUCUUUGCUCAUAAAUCAGAGAUUUAAUUAUCAAAACCUUGCAAAUUUCAGUAUAGAAUUCAAAAUUCAAAAGUUGAUGGUGUCAUUCCUAUGGAUGGUAAUUUCUAUUUCAAGUAGACUUUGAUAUAAUUCACCAUCCAAAUUGCAGAAAUUUUAAUUUAACCUAGUAUCAUCAAUACUAAUUAUUUAUGGUUUUGACUAUAUCUUGUAUUAAAAAAUAAAGGGAUAAAUCUCUAAAUUAUACAUGAACUUUAAUUUAAUAUACAAUUGUAUAUAUGAACUUUAAUUUGGUGCAAUUAUACACAUGAAACUCUAAUUAUAGUUUUAAUGUAUACUUGGAACUUUAAUUUUGAUUUAAUCAUACAUAUUUAAAGAAAUAAAUACAUCGAUUUAUUUUUAUAUUGGAUAAAUAUAAUUAUUUAUGUAUGUAAUAUAUAAACAUAAAAUGAUGUUAUAUCAAUAAUUUAUAAGAAUUGGAUCUAAUCAAAAUUUUAUGUAUACAAUUGCACAUUAAACCAUAGUUUAUGUAUAGUUUUCAGACUUAUUCCAAAAAUAAAUGAUAGCUAAGUUGGAUGAAAUACAAAUGGGAUAAAUUAAUAUUUGUUAAGUUUAAUUACAUAUAGUAUAGAUAGGUAAUAUACCAUUUUCUUUUAGGAAUAAGGUAGGGAUAAAUAUUAAAAUUAUACAUGAACUUUGAUAUAAUUUGCAAUGCUAUACGUCAACUUUAAUUUGGUGUAUUUGUAUAUGUCGAAACCACUUUUUAUUUUAAAAAAACGGAAAUCGACUUUUAAAAAUGGAAAUGGAGUCGCCACCGAUUUUUUAUUAAGGUGUGAUCGGUUCACCAUUAAAAAUAAAUUUUAGGUCUGCGAGAUUUGAGAAAAUAGGUCCAGGAGUCGAUUACGCACGAGGAAGGGUUAGCACCCUCGUAACGCCCAAAAUUGGUACUGAAUCGAUUGUUUAAUGUCUUAGUGUCGAAACUUUGAAAAGAUUUUAAAAUACGAUCCUUUGAAAAGAAAAUUUGAGUAAAAUGAAUUGGACGAUGAGAUUCACUUAUUUCAAAGAAAUAAAUCGUCACACUCAAUAAGUUAGAGUGCAACAUUUUAAAUCCUCAAAAUUAAAUUCAUCUCUUGACUUUUAAAACAUCUGCAUUUUGAGAAGGAUAUCUGAUUAUUUGGGUCAAACGGCAAAUUAAAACCCAAUAAGUUAGGGUUUAAUUUCUCGAAAUUCUUAAACAUCAAAUAUUGCAUUUAUUUUAAAAUCGAGAUAACAAAAUGUCAUAUCCAGUGAGUUAGGAUCCGACAUCUUGAAAUCUCAAAAAUUUUAUUUUGAAAUUGUAUGGUUUUAACAAAAUAAGUACUUGGCCAUCUAAAUUCAUGGAAAAGAAUUGAAACCCAGUAAGUUAGGGCACAAUCCAAUCGAAAACAAUGAACACCAAGCCUUUCUUUUGAAGAUUAUGAAAUAGCAAGAUUGUAGUGCUUUAAUAAAAUACAAUUUUUACAAAUGAAACCCGAUUGAAUAGCAAUACAUAAUGUAAAAGAUACAAUUCAUAAUCUAGAUACAUAUUGGGGAAAAAUAAACAAAGAAUAAAUUCAAACAAAAAUGGCUACAACAAUUUUUAUCAUAUUAUGCAAAUAUCAAUCCUAAUUGUCAAAUAUCAAAUGAAUUAAAUACAAUAACAUUUAUUAAUAACAACAUUAUUAAGUUGAAACAUUUACACAUGAACUCAAAAUAGACUUGAAACAAAAGAAUAACAUUAUGGAAUAAUAAUAUGUAAAAUAAAUUUGAAACAAGCAAUACAUUUAUUAAUUUAUCUCAAAUAACACAUAUAAAAUAACCAUGUAAAAGUUUUAAUACAUAUAUGAUUUAAAAAAAGUAAUCACCUAGAUAGGUUUUGAAAGAAGUAAAUUAUAUAUAACUAAAAUUGACUUAAAGUACAUAUCUAGAUAUAAAAAUACUUAAAAUUUAUAAUCAUAAUAAUAUCAAACAUCAAAAUAAUAAUAUAUAUAUUUUAAAAUAAUUUAAUAGCACAUAUAGUAGCAUUCAAAACAUUAUAUCAAAAGAAAAUUAAGUUAUAACACAAAAUGAGUUACUAAAAUAUGUUCAAAGUAUGUCAAAUUAUUAUAAAAAAACAUUUUUACAUAUAGAUAAUGAAACAUAUAAUGAUAUAAAGUUUAAAAAUAAAAAGGAUAAAUUUUAAAACAAUGUUAAUAAACUCUAAACAUGUUAAUAAUAAUUUUAAAUAAUUGUACCUUAAAAUUAUAAUAAAAAAUAUUUGAAAACAAUGUUAAUCCUAAUAUUUAAAAUUAAUUAAAAAUAAACAUAAAAAAAUACUAAGUUAAUUUUACAUUAUGUUAUAUAUAAAAACUAAAUUUGAAUGAAAUUUACUUUAAUAUAUUCACUAUAAGAGCCAAUAAUAUUUAUGAAAUUUAACAAAACAUUAUGACUAAAGAGAAAUAAAAAUAAAAUAAAAAUGAUUAAAUCGAAAAUACAACACUUAGAAGACUAAAUUUGCAAUCAACCGAAAGCAUAAGGACUAAUACAACAAUUAAACGCAAAAAUUCAAGAAUUCAAAUUCAAGUAAUGAAAACGUCGCCGUUUAACAAUGAACCAAAUUGAAACUAGAGUAAACUAUAUAGUAUGAAUCGAAAAAUUGCAGAAAAUCAAAUUAGAACAAUACAAAACAAGGGAGGACUGAUUGCGCAAAUAGACCAUCGAGUAAAAAUGCGCAGAUCCUUCCCUCGGGCUUGGGUCACCGCGCGGGUCAGGCCGAUUCGACACCGUUUUGGAACCAUGGGAUAAGGCUCAAACAGUGUCGUUUCAGAAAUCCUAUUCAAACUAAAAAACCUAAUUGAUCUUUAGCCAUUCUUAAACUAAAUCAAAGCCUUAGCCACAGCAAUAUGGAAGAUAAAACGCCCUAAGGUUCUCCCCUCCAUCUUUCAUCGUUUCAAAUCCCAGACUCCCCGUCUAAUCCGAUCGGAACAGAGUAGACGAGGAUUCCUACGGCGUGAUAUCACAGGUAAGAUCCUUCUCUUUUUCUUUUUGUAUAGCAAAUAGAAAGAAGCAAAGAAAAAUAAUAGAGAAACGCAGAAAAAAAAACAAAACAAAAAUGGUGAAUCACCUUCUCAAAACUCAAAAAAACUUUGUUUUUGAUUCUUUCUAUUGAUAUAUUGUGAUUGUAUGCGUGGGUUCCCCCCUUCAAAUACAGAAAAAUGGCUUUUUAUAUAGCCGGAUCCAAUAGAAAAAUAAAUCAAAAUACAUCUUUUUUUUUCUGCCCUCUCUGCUAUUUUUUCGUUUUUGCCUGCUGCUUUGUUCGUUUUGUUUGUUGCAGGUGUACGAAGCAGUGGACGUGGAGGCUAGCGUGUAUUUGGCGUGGAGGCACAACACGCGUGCAGGCGCAACACGUGCGAGAAGGAGGCCUGGCUUUGCUGCGGCGCUGGAGGUUCUAAGGUUCCCUGCUGCUGAUUUUCUCUGUUUUGGGCUGCGGGUAUUUGGGCUUGAUUUUGGGCUAGUAAUUUGGGUUUAGGUUUAGUAUUUGGGUUAAGGACUGAAUUGGGCUUUAAGUCUGUAAAUGGACAUUUUUUUUAGGUUUUUGGUUUGAUUUUAAUAUUUAUAAAAACUAGGCUGUUAAUAGUGGAUGUUUUAAUUUAAUUUAUUUUUUGGUAUUUAUUGUGCCGAGCAAAAUGGGUUAUUACAGUAUAUAUCAAAUUUUAAUUUUAGUUCAAUUUUCACAUUUCACUAACCUCAUUAUUUAUGUAACACAAUGUUCCAUUAAGUCAUGCGUAAAUUGCUGAUAUGGCAUUUUAUUAGGUUAAAAAAUAAAUAAAUUUAAAUUAUUUCCUACUAGAUUAAAAAAAUUCUUGAGGGAAAUAAGAAACCCUCUUCCCAAGUGUGCUUAUUUUUUUUAAUUUAGGUGAAAAUGAUUUAAAUUUAUUUGUUUGUUUUUUAAUUUAAUAAAAUUUCAUAUCAACAAUUUACACAUAACUUGAUGAAAAUUUGUGCUAUAUAGAUAACGGAUUAAUGAAAUGUGAAAAUUGAACUAAAAUUAAAAUUUGAUGCAUACAAAUGCACCAAAUUAAAUUUAAUGUAUAAUACUACAAAUUGUAUCAAAACUCAUAUAUAAUUUUGGUAUUUAUCCCAAUAACAAAAUAUAUCAUGUUUCGCACUGAUAUAAUGAGGAUGAGUAUUUGACAAGUAGGACAGUGGAUGGAUUAUAAAUGGAAGUUAGGGUCUAAGCUGGCCACCCCAAUCCUUUUUUUUCUUACUUUCAUUUAUCAUUCUCUCGAUUUGCAUUGAAUUGAUUAUUUGUUAGUGUCAAAUUAUACUGUAUGAAUUUAAAGGUUAAAAUAUAUUCUAAUCCUACCUUUUGGUUUUAAAAAUUUAAAUCCAAUUGUUGUCAUGGUUAAAUUAUUUAUUAAAAAACGCCGCUAAAGACCGCGUCGCUAACUUUAGCGACGCUUUUCCCACAAACGCCGCUAAAGACCAGGACCUUUAGCGGCACUUUUCCCAUAAACGUCGCUAAAGACCAAGACCUUUAGCGGCGCUUUUCUCACAAGCACCGCUAAAGACAAGUAACUUUAGCGGCGCUUUUCCCACAAUCACCGCUAAAGAUCAGGACAUUUAGCGGGGCUUUUGCCACAAACACCGCUAAAGACCAAUACCUUUAGUGAUGCUUUUCCCACAAACGCCGCUAAAGCUCAUGACCUUUAGCGACGCUUCUAUUAAAAACACAAUUAUAACAUUGACUUUUAGCGACACUUUUCACAAAUGCCACUAAAAGCAUAACCUCUAAAAAAAUUAAUUAAAUAAUAUUUAUUUCUAUAAUAAAUAUUUUAUUUUAUUUUAUUUUUGAAAUUUAAACUUUAAACUAUAUAAAUAAGGAUAAAAAAUUAAUUAAAUUAAAUUUUUUAUUAAAAUUUUAACUUUAAAGGUAAAUAUAAAAAUUAAUGAAUUAAAAUAUUAUGUUUAAAUAAAUGAGCAAUCUACCUCACAGCUCAUCUGAUCUAUAUUAACUUGGUCAAAUACAAAAGAAGCUACAAAACACGUAAUAAUUAACAAUCAUGAUUAAAGAAGCUAGUACACAAGGUAGCUACAAAACCCUGUUUCAAUAACACCUAAUUCAAGUUUCGACUAAGAUAAACGACCAUGGAAUACAACAUUAAAUAACACUUUACUUGAAAAAAGUGCUAAGCCUUGCCUUUUCCAGCUUGAAGAGAUUGAAUCCUCCACUACACCUUCAAUAUCUAAAGGAUGCAAAACCAAAUGAUCAGAUAAACCAACAAACUUGGUAAACAAUAGAGAUGUUAAAAAUAAAAAAUAUAUAUAGCCAUUAAGUCUCAAAAAAAAAAUAUAACAAACAAUUAUGUGCAGCUUUAGUUGCAGGUUGAACUAUACUAACAAACAAUCUCAAUCAUAGCUCUUCCAUGUGUCACAAAUAGGCAUUCUUUCUAAUGAUUGUCUAAACUAUUUAAUUUUUUAACAAGGAACAAUAGUAUUAAUUUGCAAAAAGCAGAACAGAAACAUGCUAACUGUACUACUGUUGUUUAACGUUAUAUAGAAAUGUCUUAUAUAGCAUAAAAGAGAACUAAGGCACAGGAAAAAGAAGAACGCUAUAAUAAUUAAAUUGAUCAUUGAUAUAUUCAAUUUUUCCAAUACAGGUAUAUUAAAAUUUUCCAAGUUUUUCCAUUAUUAAUUUAAAAGUGUAUAAGUUAUAAAAACACUUAGGUGAAAAUUGUUUUCAUUUUAGGGCCUUUGGAUUCCAUGUUUAGUAAAGUUAAUAAAGAAUAAUUUUUCCUAUCUAUUUUGAGCUGAUUUAAUAAAUAAUAUAAAUUUAAGGGUUAAAAAGAUAAAAUUAAAUAAAGGAUUGUAAUGAUUUUUUUGUAAAGUUAGAAGGAUAAAUAAAUCAUUAUGUCUAUUUUAUUUAUAUAAAUUUUUAAAUAAUAAUUGAAUUAGUUUAACACGUGAUGCCGCCUUUUAUUCCAUAUAUAAGGUUAUGCCAUAUAUUCUGUUUAAAAGAACUUAUAGUAUUUUAAUUUUUCUAUUUUUAACAAAUAUUUUAGAUUAUAUUAAAUCCCUGAGCAUUAGCGGCGCUUUUUAAAAAAUGCCACUAAAAAUAGAGAAUUAGCGGCGCUUCUUCAAAAACGCCGCUAAAGCCCUGAGUAUUAGCAGCGCUACUUCAAAAACGCCGCUAAAUCCUUGAUCAUUAGCGGUGCUUUCCCAAAAACGCCGCUAAAGCCCUGAUCAUUAGCGGCGCUUUCCCAAAAACGCCGCUAAAGCCCUGAGCAUUAGUGGCGCUUUAUCAAAAAACGCCGCUAAAACCCCGAAAGCUUCGAAAACGGCGUCGUUGGGCAUAGGUUUUUUGCGGCGCUUUUUGGAAAACGCCGCUAAUGGUUAUUUUUAGUGGCGUUUUCCAUAAAGCGCCGCGAAUGCUUGAUCUUUAGCGGCGUUUUUUAUCCAAACGCCACUAAAAAUGCCGCUAAAAGUCUAUUUUGGUGUAGUGUUUAAAAUUAAAAAAGUUCACUUGGUAAUAAUUAUGUAACAAUAAAAAUAAUAUUAAAAACGUUUAUAUGAAAAUUUUCUUUUAAAAAUAUUUAUUUGAACUCAUCAUGAUAAAAUAAUUUUUUUUGUUGGAAUAUUGUUCCAUUUCACGUCAACAAUUUUAUUAAAAUAGUUAACAAUAUUAAAUAUUUAGACUAACUAAUGACAUUAUAAAAGUAGAAAAAUCAAAUUGUAUAAAAAAAUAAAUUAUAUAGUUCAAAUCCUAAGUUUCAGCAUAGUAUAAGGCUAAAAUUGAAUUUUGAUCAUUAUCUUAUAAUGUAAAAGAAAAUGCAACAAGGAAAACCUAAAAGAAAUAGAAAGCUACGUAUCCAUCUCUAAGACCCUUAGGACAUUCAAAUUAUAUAUAAUCACGUAAUGUAAUCGAAAAAUUGUUGAUAUUAACUAUUUGGACUAGUUAAUAACAAUAUAAAAAUACAAGGACCAAAUUACAUUAGAAAUUAAAGUGUGCCAGCUAAAUAUCAAAUUUAAGCAUAAUAGAGAGACCAAAAUUGAAAUUUAAUCAUUUUUUAAAAAUUGCAAAAAUAAAAAAGGUAAGACGUACACAAACCUAAAAGAAAUUGUAAAUCAUAUGUUAGUUUCUAAGACUCUUAGGGUAAUCAAAUUAUAUAUAUAACCAUGUAAUGUUUUAAUAAAAAAAAGUUAAUAUUAACUAUGUGGACUAAUUAAAAUAUUAUAAAAAUAUAGGGAUCAAUUUAUGUUAAAAAUUAAAGUAUAGAGAUCAAAUCUCAAAUUUAGACAUAUUAGAGGAACAAAAAUUGAAAUUUAAUCAUUUUUGUAAAAUGAAAAAAAGAGAUCAAGGGAUCAUGGUUUGAGUGUGAUGUAAAAGGAAACCAUAUAAAAAAGUAGGGACCAAAUUGUAUAAAUUCAAAUAUAAAAUUAAAUCUUAAUGGUAGGCAUAGGAAAAGGAGCAAAAAUAAUAUUUAAAUAUUUUCAUAUCAAAUAGAAAAAAGAAAAAUUCACACGUGUCAAUUUUGGACCUAUAUUUAAAUAGAUAAUCCAACUUGCGGUGAACAUACAAAGAAAAGUUCACUGUGAAAGCAAUAUAAAUAGAAUCUUAUUAGUUUUUUAAUUAAAGUAUUUGAUUAUUAGGUAAAUUACCCUAUUAAUCAUCCUAAAAUAUGAUUUCUUUUGAUCACUUCAAAAAAAUUGUUAAUUUAAUCACUACCGUUAGUUAAAUUGCUCAACUGGUCACUAUGUUGUUUUCUCCUAAACGGAAAGAUGACCAAUCAUGCCAUGUAAUCAUUCUUUUUUUUCUAAUUUUUCUCAUAAUUAAAAGGUAAUAUACAUUCCUUAAUCAAGCACUUCAACUCCUCCAAAGCUUGCACUUUUUUGCAGUCUCAACAUCACUUUUUGCUUCCGUAAGUUCAAGAGUUUGGCUAGCUUGUCUGGUUUGCUAUUGUUUAUGGCUUUCUUCACUGAUUUUUUUGUUGUUGGACUCUUUUAAUACUAACUGUAUUUUGGUCGCGGUGAUGGGAGGAGGAGGAAGGGGGGACGACGUCGAUGAUCAUUUUUUGCAUAAGCUGAUGACAAUGGCAAGAACUGGAGCCAUAGCUUAUGGCAUCAAAGAUUUUUCUUUGAAAUAAGGUGUUAGAGAAGUAGGCCUGGCCCUGAGGUUGUUUGAGAGUCUUGGCCCUGCAUAAGCCCUGGGGCUUGAAAUAUCUGUCAAGCCAACAUUUGGAUAAAAAGUUGGCAUGCCUUGACAAGAGCAUCUAGUAUCAAGAGAAUUAGCUAAAGAUACUUCAUUGCUAGAGGAUUAACGCUCAUCGAUAUAAGUUAGAAUUUAUUGCUCAAUAAUAGUGAAUGCACUUGACAUUCUUGAAUUAAAAAAGGGUAAGAAUGAACUCGAGGAAUAUGGAGAGUAUUCUGGUUGGUUGGUUGGCUGCAGAUGUUGUGGGAACCUACAAUUUCUAAUUUCUUUCGAAACUAAUUGUUUGAAUGGAAGUGCUCGACUGUAAUGGCUGCUUCGGUUGCAACAACGAUUAACAACUAAAAUAGAGUAAACAAAAGAAGCAAAGAAUUGUUUACACAAUUUGAUUUCCCUAAGUCUAUGGAGCCUAGCUUAGUGAGCAAUUUUACUAUCUUUAAUCCACAAUACAGUAAUUGAAUCAAGUCUUCUCACCCUCCAAGUAUAAAGACCUCACUUUUGUACAUAAAGACUAGAACACUCACCUCUAAAUUCUCUCCCUAAUAGUAUAUUUGUAAACACAAACUAUUUACUCUCAAAUGUACUCACAAAAUGUUGGAAAAAAUAGAUUUUUUGAAGCUUUGAGUCAUAUUCUUGAUUAAUAAAGGUGGAGAUUUGAAUAAUAAAAUUAUGGUUUUAUAUUCUACCCCAUGUGACCUUUACAACGGUAUAUCAUAUGCUCAAAAUGGUUGAGUGGUGAAUGAGAAAUUGAUGCUCAAAGUAACUUGUGAAUUAUGUUAAGGAAAAUGGAAAGCUUAGUCCCACAUUGGUUAGAUAUCAAGUGUAGAAUAUGUUUAUAUAUAUGAACCAACUUGAUGGUUAUUGAAUGACUAAGCUAGUGUUUUUCCUCACAUGCAAAGGAGUGCGAAUCCAAACUUGUGGGUGCAACCAUCAAAUGAGGGUGAUGCGAAAUAUCUAGACUAGUUUACCCUUCUAAGCUUGCACAGAUAUUUUAACCCAAUACAUAAUUUUAUUUUUCCUCAACAGAGCUUAUCUCUUCAAAUUCUGUUUGGAAUUAAAAGGACAAAUAUUAAAUUGAGGUUAAUGGCUCCUUAAUUCACGGACAUUAAUGACUCCAUUAGUCAAAAUUUCCAAAACUGAAAUAAUCUGCAGGAAAAAGAUACAUUGAAUUUUUCUCUAUUUUUCUUGCAAAAAUUUUGAGAUCUUUUCCCUACAUAUUUUGAACCGAUUAUCGGUGAUAGAAGAAAGCUAGGCUACAGUUCGUUGAUCACUAUAGCCGUGUUACUACUGUGCUCAUCUCGUUGUUGUAUCCUGGGAGACAGUCGACCAACAUUUCUCCAGCACCAAAGGAUCGGUCGAAUCUGUCUUAAGGAAAUUGUGAAAACAUGCCUCAACUACCAGUCGAAUUUCUGCCUACCUACGAGUACACAAUUUCGAUCAAGUUUUAUUUCCAAUUUCUGUUUUUUUAGUUUAUAUAUAUAUGUUGUGAUUUAAAUCAAUAUUUUACAUUAUUGUUUAUUUCACUAACGUAUGUGCAACACAAAAUAUGUUCCUUAAUGAAUAAUAAAGUGCUCUCUAAGUUCUCAUACAAGACCAAAACAAAUCAUUCAAUAAAUAGAUGUUUUCAAGACUUGCUAACAUAGUAAAGAUCAAUUACAAUCCAACCCCUUAAUAAUAGCAGCUACAAAAGAACAAAAGGAAAUAUACUAAUAAAUUCAAAUGUAAAGUGAAUUGAUGUAGACUUAUUCUGCAAUAGUAUCUUCAAGGAGAUACCCAAUUCGUUCUCUAAAAUCCAAGGGGUUUAAUUGUUUGAUUUGAUCAAAUCCAAUUCGUUCUUUAAAAGGUUUUCUCUUCAAAGUUGGGCUUUCAUAUCUCCAUAAUAUCAACAUUAUUCAAAGCCUAAAGAUUUUGUUUUGAUAAAUUGCCAACUCCAAAUAUAGCAAGUAACAGGUUGUCAUAAGAACGAUGGAAGUAGACACUUUUGAUUGGCACAAACUAGACCACUUUAAAAACUUACAUUAACAAAUAUAAUUGCUACUGAUGCUGAUGGAAAGUUCUUUUUUUGCUGCUAAACUUGAACUGAAGUUUGCUUUUAAAUUUUGCUCUUUUUUAAAUUUUAUACUGAUAUUUUCGGACUUGUAUGUGAUGGUGAAAUGUCCUUAGAUUGUUACUUAAUAUUUUCCUAACUUUACCAUGAUAUUUUUCUAUUUAUUGUUUUAACUGUUAAUGUUGUCGUUACUUUGAAUUAAUAGUUGAUUCCACUACUUAAAUUCAUUGUUGAGUGUAUGGUUUAAGGGGGAGGAGUAUUAAGUGUGUCAUCCGCUGCUAAGUUUUUUAUUCAAAAAUGCCAAAGAAAGAGAUUAUUAGCGUCCGUUAUAUCUGCCAGCCACAACGCCAGUUGAAAACAUUAUAACUCACAUUAUUUGAUAGACCAAUUUUACUUGGACCGUUAAUUGCUAGUUUUCGAGGAUAGUUAGCAGCAUAAUAGUGAAGACUUUAUGUGAAAGAAUCAAGCCAAGUAAGGAUUAGAUUUAAACUUCUAAUAGAGUUGAAGUUCUCUUGAAAAAGGAUAUAAUCUUAAAAGGAGUUUGAUAUUGAGAGGAUUUUUCCCCGUAAGUUAAUUAUUUGGAAACCUUUUUAAAUUGCUAAUUUAGAGGAAUUAAUGAUUGUACUUCAACAAGCCUAUUUUGUAUUUACAUUGAAUGACUUGUUUAGGUUACAACAAGAAUUAGAGAGCACAUUACUUGUUCAAUUAGGAGCUGUCUUUGAGGGAAAAUUUUGUAAGUGAAUUGGAUUGAGUCAACUAGUUUACAUCUAAGCUUUUGAGAGGAAGAUGUUGCAAUUUGGUGAGUGAGUUCACUCACUACACCAAAACAGGUUUUUAGCGGCGUUUUUUUAAGCCUUUAGCGGCGCUUUUUAGCGCCACUAAAAGUAUUUGUGGCGCUUCCUAAAGCGCCGCUAAAAUUGCCGCUAAUGACAACGCCACAAACAUUUGCGGCGUUUAUUUUUAAAAGCGCCGCUAAAGAACAUGUUCUUUAGCGGCGCUUUUUACACAAACGCCGCUAAAGGUCAUGUUCUUUAGCGGCGCUUUUAACACAAACGCCGCUAAAGUUCAUGUUCUUUAGCGGCGCUUCUAACACAAACGCCGCUAAAGCUAAUGUUCUUUAGUGGCGCUUUUUACACAAACGCCACUAUUUGUUUGGUUGUUUUUAGCGGCGCUUUUUUAAAAAACGCCACUAAUUUUGGGGUUUUUGAAAAAUGCCAAUUUUUUUCAACCCUCAUGUAGCAACAAAUCAAAAGCAACUAAAUCUAUACCAGCCAAUAGCAAUAAAUUUAUAUAAUAUUUCAAAUUAAACGAAUAAUAUAAUAUUAAUAUCAAUAUUCUAUUAUUUUCACAAAAAUGUUAAAAUGAUAAAAAUAUUUAUUUUCACAAUAAUAUUAUACUUUAAGUUGUAGCUGGAGUUCUUCAUAUUUCCUUUGAACCUCAACUGUGGUCGCUUGCAUCUGAGCCAUCUGGUCUUUUAACCUCUGAACUUCAGCUUGAGCCUGACUCCCCGAAGGCAUGUAUUGCUGCGAGCUGGAUCCAAAAUAUUGGGUUGGGCUAACAAAAGAUCCUUGAAAUCGAACCCGGCCAUACCUUUCAGGACCCAUAACUUCAAUAAUAAUCCAGUUAUCAAUGUCUUCAAGAUGAACAGAACUAUCACUAGAAGCAAUCGCUUCGUACUCCGCCUUUUUAUUAUUUAGUUUCUCCUAAUAAAUAAAUCACAUAUUUAGGAACACAAUAUAUAUUAAAAAAAUAAAUGCAACACAAGUUAACAAUAGUAGCAUUACAAGAAAUGAAUUAAACUAUUAGAAAAUCGUAUUAAGUAAACGUACAAUUAUUUCUGCAGCUUCAGGAGUCAUAGGAGAUCCAUCUUUCUUCUUAUGUGUAAUGUCAAAAAGUUGAAGGCGUCCAACUUUUUGACCGGACGACUGUUCCUACAAUAUAGUAGUAAAAAUAUUAUUUAAUGGAAAGUAACACGUAUUUGACAGUAUUAAAAAAUUAAAAAUACCUCAGCCUCAGCUAUACAAGCAAAACUUUUCGACCCGGCUGUGUGCGUGAAUUUUUGUUUCUCCCUGCUGUUUUUUCCAACCCGUUCACGAUCCUACGUUAUGAAAUUAUUAGUACGUAAAUAGUAAAUACAAUAAACCAAAAUAAUUACAAGAUUUUAGAAGUACAUCAUACCUCGCCUUUCUUCGAAUGCCAAAAUCUAACCGCAUCUUCCCAUUGGUACCUCAGCAUACCCGGCGGGACAUUUUGCAAUUUCUCAUCGAGGGUUGUUUUUACCUUAUAAUAAUCUCUCUUUAAAGUACUUUUAUGGUCUCUCCAUCUUUUUCCCAAUGCCUUCUUUACAUAGGCAUCCGAGACUUCUAAGGCAAACCUCGCCUACAAAAAACACAAGUUAAAAAAGUAAAUAUAAGUGAAACUAAUUCCUAAGUAUUACAGAUGACAUUAACGUUUUGUUACCUUAAUAUUAUCAAGGGCUUGAUUUUUGUUACUAUCGGGCAUUUGAUGCCAUGACUCGUAGUUGAUAGGUAACAUAUUCGCAUUUCGUACUAAAAUGCCCAUGUAUCCUGCUAAUAGUCGAGCUUCUAUUCCAACAGGCUGACCAAAACUGUUUCUGGAUACUUUGACACGCUCGACUGGAUCUAACUCGUACAACUCGCUAAGUAGCGUAUGACCUCGACCUCUGCGCGUCCUACCAUUUUCAGCUGAAAAACGGUAUAUUAUAAUAUAAGAUUUUAAAAAACUAAUUCCUAAGUAUUACAGAUGACAUUAACGUUUUGUUACCUUAAUAUUAUCGAGGGCUUGAUUUUUGUUAAUAUCGGGCAUUUGAUGCCAUGACUCGUAGUUGAUAGGUAACAUAUUCGCAUUUCGUGCUAAAAUGCCCAUGUAUCCUGCUAAUAGUCGAGCUUCUGUUCCAACAGGCUGACCAAAACUGUUUCUGCAUACUUUGACACGCUCGAUUGGAUCUAACUCGUACAACUCGCUAAGUAGCGUACGACCUCGACCUCUGCGCGUCCUACCAUUUUCAGGUGACAAACGGUAUAUUAUAAUAUAAGAUUUUAAAAAAUAAACCAAUUACAAGUCAACAUAUAUGUAAAUUAAAUGUAAAAUUACUUUGAACUUCUGUAGGAUCCUCAGGUAUAAUCGGAACAUUCGAGGAUCCAAUUCCUGUCUGUUCUUCACUAUUUAUUUCUGCCGAGUUUGGAGCACUUUGAACAAUGCCUACCUCUCGUAUUUUUCUUCUGGGCAUUUUUUCUGCAAUACAUAUAAAAUAGUUGAAAACUUAGUAACUAAUUACAAUAGUAACAGCGAAUAUCAAAUAGUUGAAAUAUAUAAUAAGACCAAGAUUUAAAUUAUGAUAUACAUAUAAUUAAACAAUCGUAUAUUCUUACUACAUCAUUAUUCGUAAAUAUCUUCAUUUGCAUCCUGGCGAACCCAUUGAAAUUGCAUACUAGUACUAGGGAUAUUUUCGUUUAAGUGUUGUUCCAGAAAGGGCAGAGUUUCUGAUCUAUCAUCGAUAUUAUCUCUACUUCCACUGCCCAUGUCAAACAAGUCUCUAGGGAUGUUACGGAGUACAACGUACCAACACUCGUCGGUUGGAUCUUUUGAGUAAAAAACUUGUCUGACUUGAGAUGAGAAUACAUACGGCUCAUCUAUCAGUUGUUGUCCUGUGUGAUCAAUCGAGUGAAGUUGACCAUUGUAAAACCAAAUUGAUCUUGCUUAAUUCCACGAGCAGUAUUAACAUCAGCCCAAUCACCUCGAAAUAAGACAACUUUCCAUUUGCCGUAGUAAUCUAACUCAAUUAUGUCAGUAAGAAGUCCGAAAUAUUCCACAUUUCCCUCGACAGGAUUAUUGUCCCUAGCACUAGCAUAACUUGUAAUUGAGGAAUUAACAACUAUUCCACAAUUUUGCGUUCUCCUCAAUCUCUCGCGAUAUUUUGUAUGAAAUCUGAAUCCGUUGAUAAAGAACGCACUAUAUCUUUUAACCACUCGAUUUGGACCUUGGGAAAGCCAUUUAACUUCGUCAUUCACAUUCUUCCCACUCUAAACCUAUUGAAUGGAAAGUAAACUGAGUAAUGAAAAAUGUAAUGAGAAAACAUUAUUAUUUUUAAAUGAAGCUCCAAUUGCAUACUGUUUGGCUUAACCAUUCAUGAAAAGUUUCAGUGAACAACUUAUUGAUAUCUCGAUGUUGCGUUCUUUGGGAGCGCGAACGAGAUCUCAAUAUUUGUUUGUACUCACUAUGUUAAAAAAAUGUUCACUUUGUUAGAAGAUAAACAAUUUUGGAUUGAUGAAUAUUUAUCAAAUUUCUACAACUUACUUCCGUAAUGGUUCCAUUGAUUCAUGGUGAAACAGAACAUAUCGAUGUGCUUGUACCCACGAUAAAUCAUCUAAUUCUACAAUAUCAACUUUGCCAAUUGGUUCUCCAAAACUUUGGAACAGAUAAGAAUCGGCAGAGUUAUGUUCCGUGGGUCCAGCAUUUCUACUUGGUCUGUUCAACCUUGUUUCAACAUCUUCCAAAUAUCUUGAACAGAAGAUCAUACAUUCUUCUGCCAAGUAGCCUUCAGCAAUCGAUCUUUCUGGAUAACGCUUGUUGCGGCAAUAAGACUUUAAUUUAGAUAGGAACCUAAACACAAUAUACAAAUUAUCAAAAGUUGUAACUAAAACAACUAUAGGUGAAUGAGGAAAAAUUUUAAAAAUAAAUUAACAUCUUUCUAUGGGAUACAUCCAUCGAUAGAAAACGGGUCCUCCAAGAAUUGCUUCAUGCGGGAGAUGGAUUAUCAAGUGAACCAUAAUAAUGAAGAAAGAAGGUGGGAAGAUUUUCUCCAAGUUGCAUAAAGUCAAAGCAGCUCGAUCUUGUACCUUCUGAAGUUCUUGAACAUCCAAAACUUUGCCACAAGUGGCUUUCAUUAUAUUGGACAGUUCAAUUAUACAAGAUGUUACCUUCUUCGACAUACAACAUCGUAGAGCAACUGGCAGUAAAUCUUGCAUCAAGAUGUGAUAGUCAUUUGAUUUUAGCGAAUAUAGUUUUCGAUCUUUAACACUAACACAUCGAGAUAUAUAUUUGAUGCAUACGCAUCUGGAACCUUUAUAUCCUUCAACACCAUGCAAAACAGUUCUUUCUCCGUCUUGGACAUUGAGAAAAUUGAAGGCGGCAACCGAUAUUUCCCAUUUGGAAGUGGAUUUGGAUGAAGAUCAGGUCGAAUUCCCAUCUGAACUAAAUCAAGUCGACUCUGAAGAUUGUCUUUUGAUUUUUCGUCUACAUUUAAAAUUGUACCGACAACGUUCUCGCAGACAUUUUUCUCAAUAUGCAUAACAUCAAGAUUGUGUCGUAAUAGGUGGUGCUCCCAAUAAGGCAACUUAAAAAAAUACUUCUUUUUUUCCACAAGUCCGCCUCAUUAGGAUCAUCCUCUUCAUCGGAGUCAUCAUCAGCUUCAUCAUUUGAUCUUUUAUUUCUUUGCGUGUUUGCCGGUUGGUUCAUCUUCCCAUAACUGAAAUCCAUAUCUUCCAACAUCAACAAGAUUUCAGACCCAGUUGUCUGUGAAGGAGCUUCUCUGAACUCUUCAGUACCGUCAAAUACAGAACUUUGAAAUCUAAAUCUAUGAUUUUCCGGUAACCAUCGACGAUGCCCCAUGUAAGAGAACUUCUUCCCAUUGUACAACCAUUGCGAACAUGUUUGUGCAGCACAAAAAGGACACGCAUAACGACCCUUGGUACUCCAACCGGAUAAAUUGGCAUAAGCGGGAAAGUCAUUAAUGGUCCACAUCAAAGCUGCACGUAAAUUAAAGUUCUCCUUUCUCAGCACAUCGUAUGUCUCGACACCAGCCCAUAAUUGUUUUAACUCUUCAAUAAGUGGCUAUAAAUAAAUGUCGAUAUCAUUCCCGGGUCCUUUCUCUCCAGGGAUAAUCAUGGAUAAGAUAAGAGAAGAUUGCUUCAUGCAAAUCCACGGGGGCAUAUUGUAAGAAACAAGCACUACUGGCCAAGUACUGUACGCAAUGCUCAUGAUCUUGUAAGGAUUAAAUCCAUCAGAUGCUAGCCCAAGCCUCACACUCCUAGGAUCGUUUGCAAAGCUUGGAAAUUUAUUGUCAAAUGAUUUCCAAGCUAAAGAAUCUGCCGGAUGCCUUAGUAAUCCAUCAUCAGUUCGUCCAUCAUGGUGCCACGUCAUAGACUCCGCUAUCUUCGACGACAUGAAAAGCCUUUGAAACCUCGGUAUCAGUGAAAAAUACAGCAAAAUCUUUACUGGCUUCUUUCUUGACUGUGCAUCAUUUUCAUCGUCAUUCUCAUCCUCUGUGUUUUUAUUUAUCCAACGGGAUUGGCCGCAUACAUGACAGAACUAUUGGUUUCUCCGAUCGGCCCAAUACAACAUGCAGUCAUUCGGGCAACUAUGGAUUUUGGUGUACCCAAGGCCUAAAUCUUUUAUCAUUUUCUUCAUAUCUUUGCAUGAUCGAGGGAUUUUUGCAAACGGAAACAUAUCUCUCAAAAACUCUAACAGCAUUGUUAAAGAGUUCCCGGUCCACCCUCCCAAAUAUUUUAACUGAAAAAGACGAAUAUAGAAAGACAUUUUUGAGAAUUUUGAUCCCUCAUAUAGUUCUUCGUUCAUGUCAUUAAGUAGCGCGUAGAACUUCGCCGCUUCUCCAUUCGGCUCUUCAUGAGGUACACUUCUUCCCUGUUCGGUAAAAGCAUUUCCACCGAGAUUACAAUCAUCAGAUGCCACAAAGUAAGCUGGGAACGACUGCGAACCAUGAUUGUGCAUAUUAAAUGCAUCCCGCAACAUCCCUUCCAUGUCAUCGCCUCUAACAGACUGAUGGUAAGCAUUACCAUCAUAAGAUACAUCCAUCCUUGAAGAGGAGGUACUAGGCGGACAUUCUCCAUGAAAAAGCCAUUGUUUAUAACCCCGAACAAAACCAUCAACAAUUAGAUGCUCGUAUACAACUUCACGAUAAUGCCAGCUUAUGUUCACACACUUCUUACAGGGGCAAAGAAUCAUGUUCUCUUGGCUUGCAUAUUGAAAUGCAAAAUUUAGAAAAGUCUGUACUCCAUUUCGAUACCGUCGCUUGCCCUUGACAAAUUCAUCCAAGACCGAUCCAUUUCUUAAUUAUUGAAGUCUGACCUUGACAAUAAAUUGCACGGGUUUAGGAUUUAGGAAUAAGUGUAAUUAAGGUAUGUAAGUUAUUAUUUAAGUUAAGGUAUAGUAUCACGGUAACUUAUAAGUGUAUUUAACUUAUUUGAGUUCCACCACAUAAGGGAUAUUUAUGUAAGUUAUGUAAGUUAUGUAUUAAGUAAAUUAUGUAAGUUAUGUAUUAUGUAAAUUAUGUAAGUUAUGUAUUAAGUAGGUUAAGUUAUGUCUUAUGUAAGUUAUGUAAGUUAUUGUUUUUGUGUAUUAUGUAACUUUUUUAAUUUAUGUAGGUUAUGUAUUGUAAUAUAAGUUAUUAUGUAGGUUAUUAUGUAAGUUUUUGUAAGUUAUUAUGUAGGAUAUUAUGUAAGUUAGGAUAUUAUGUAGGAUAUAUAAUUUUAAAAUUAUAUGUAUUAAAACUAUAUAUAAAUAUUAAUAAGUUAUGUAGAACCAAGUAUUAUAUAUUUAAAUUUUGUAAAUUAUGAAUUAUGUAAAUUAUGUAAAAUACGUAAGUUAUGAAAUUUGAACUUUAAAAAAAAUUAAAUAUUUUAAAAAAUUCGUGAUUAAAAUAAAUUAAAAUAUUUAAAAUAUAACUUUAAAUAAAAUUUAUUUAAUUAGGUAAAUUAAAAAUAAAAGAGAACAAACCAAAAUAUAUUUUUCCUAAUUAAAAUAGCAUAAAAUAAAAUAAAAAUAUAAUGAAAAAGGAAAACAUAUAAAUAUUUAAAUAGUUUUGGACCAAUUUAUUUAUCCAUGUUAAUAUUAGUUACACAUUUAAAAUGGGAUUUUGGAAAUGAAUUAGUUGACAAAUGGAAGAAGAUUUAAACAGGGUAUCAUAAUCGAUAUGAAUGAAAGUUAAAUGUGAAAAGAAAUUAGAUUAGAAAAGGAUACUCCCAAUUUUAUACAAUUAUGUAAUUUAAUUAUUUAUUUAAUUUGGGUCAUACGAAUCCUAUGCAGUAACUGAUGCUGUAAUUAACGGCAAUGGUGAUGGCAGGGCACAUGAAAACAUUAUAUUUAGAUUCCUUUAGUAAAAGUAUCAUCAAUUAGUCCCUAUACAUUAAUAUACAAAAUCUAUACAAAAUCAAAUCAAAUAUUCCACAUUAUACUACUGUCUAAAUUUGCUCCAUUAUCUGAGACAUUUUUUCCCAAAAUAUUUAUGGUAUUUGGGUGAAUUAAAUAAAUGUGCAUUCUUUCCUUAAAUAAAUUAAAUAGAGACAUGGUGAAAUAGAUGCAUGAUUAUAUAUUAAAAAAGAAGCGGCAGCAGCAACAUGCACCACCAUAAUACCAUUAUAUCAAUUAGUCCAAAUAAUUGAAAGGAAAUCCAACAAUUAAAUCUAUACAUAAUCGGAGCCCCAAAAGAUUAAAUUUUCAAAAAUCAUCAUGAUAAAACUAUUAUUGAUUAGAAUUUUGAACUAAAAGGUACCUUAAUAAUUUCAACAACCUGGACUACUCCACUCUCACUAGCAAACAGAGGCUGCAGUCAGAAAAAUGGUAUUUGUUAAGUAAUUUAAAAGGAAAAUGCAUAUAAAUAAGCAAAUAAUUUUUGCAACGAAUCGUGUACCUGCCCAAGCAAUAUUAAUUCAGGUGUAUUCGGUUGCACCAAAUAUUAAUUCAGGUGCUCGAUAGUACCUAGAACAGAUGUAAGAUUAUAAGAUUAGCACAUGAAAAUAUUAUGUAAGUCAGUUGAACCAAAUAUAAAAACUUUAUCAAUAUCACUACCAUAUAUUAAUUCGAAGAUUAAAUGCCAGCUUCAGUUGAACCAAUAUAGUUGCAGGAGGAGCAGGAAGCAGUAACUGAUUAAAUGCAGCAGAGGGCUGCCGACAAUUCCACAAGUCAGAAUAUAUACAAGAAUACAAAAAAUAUUAUAGAGGAUAAAACUUAGUCAAAUCUAAGGGUAGAAAACUACUAAGAUAAAACUUAGUCAAACGAAAAUAGUAUUUGUUUUCGAUAGUUCAGUGCAUAAACAAUUGCAACUUCAAUAAUAAUUCCCAUUAACAUAUAAAAUAGACAUACAAAUGCCUCUAGUUUUAUGAUAUACUUAGACCUACACAUGGUAAAUGACAAUAACCAAUAACAAAUAAACAGUUUUACGAUUUCCAAAAUACAAAAUACAAUUAGAAUAUAUAAACAGAAGUUUUUAAAAGAUGGAAUCCAAAUUCAUAGUUUAUCAUUAUGGCAACCCAAAGCCGCACUCCUGCAGUAACUGUUGACUGUUCUUUUUUAUAAAUAGAACCAACAAUUUCCUUAAACAUGAGCAAAAUAAUUACAUUAAAGCAGAAAGCAAGGCACCAUGCUACAACUUACUUGAACCUUCUUACUUGUCAUUUUACCGAAAAUUAAAUAUAAGAGGGUUGACUUUUGUCCAUAGAUGCUUAUAAGUGUUUCUAAGGUGUUUUUAAAAUUAAAAAAAAAUCAAAUUACAAUUCAAUUUUUAAAUCGUAAAAGUAUUAGGUUUUUGAUAAAUUUACUCAAAAUUGAUCUGCGUCUUAACCUGCUCUAAACUUAUAAUAUUAGAUGAACUAUAUUUUUCAUUGCAAUAAAAAUAAACUUUUAGUAUGAAAGGAUUGUUGUAGAUAAUAAUUUAAUUAAGUACAACAUUUAACUAAUUAACUGCAACCAAUAUUUAUAACAGAGAAGGGAUUAUUAUAAUGAUAAUACUAAUUCAACAAAAAAUUAAAUUAAAAUUCUAUACUACCGGGAAAAAGAAGGAAGAACACUUACACCCCAAAAUCGAGAAUAAGCAAGGGGUCGAAUGCUCUUGCAGGAACCAGAAUAGAGUAACGGCGUUGUUCCUGUCUUGUAUGCGACGCAGUUCCAAUACCUUCGGGUUAAAGAUUCGAGCUUUACGGCGGAUUGGAAGAUUUAAAUUUUGAAAGGAAACAGUUUCGGUUUGGGAGAAAAUGGAAGUAGCAUGGCCGAACCGGAUAAGAAAUAAUGGGAUUUGGGGAAUUGGGGGUUUAGAUCACAAUGGGAUUGCAAGUUUCGGGAUUGGGGAAAAAAUUUGGGGAAGAAUAACCUAGGGAAAUUUAGGGGAAACAGCGAAAGGAAAUUGGGGAACUGCAGUCGAUCGGGUAAAUCUGAAUUGGGGGAGAAAGUAAAGGAAUCCGGGGUUAAUAAAACGACGACGUUUAGGUUAGUUUAAUUAAAUUUUGUGGCGUUUUUUAAUAAGCGCCACUAAAGCAUAGGAAAAACGGCACUAUUUGGGAAACUAUUAAAAUCUAUUUGUGGCAUUUUCUGCUAAAGCACCACUAAAGCAUAGUCCUUUUACGGCGUUUUACAAAAAACGCCACUAAAAUUUUGCAUCAAAAUGUACCGUUCCGCAGUAUCAAGCACAAAUUUUGCGGCGCAAUUUAAAAAAACGCCACUAAUUUCUAUCCUUUUGCGGCGUUUGGUAAAAACGCCACUAAGAACAUAGAUCAAAACGCAGUGUUUUGCCAUUUCUGAAACAAAGUUGCGGCGUUUUCUAUAAACGCUACUAGUAACAAAAAAUAAAACGUCAUCGUUUUGCAUACUGUGACAUAUUUGUGGCGUUUUUUUUACUAAAACGCCACUAAUGCAUAAACACUAAAAUAAAAUCAAUUCCACAUGUCUUUUUUAAUAAACACUAAAAUAAAAUUAUUUCUAAAAAAAGGGAAAUUAUAAAAAUACGUAUAUAAAUUGGUUUUUCUGUAGAAAUUCAAAUAAUUCCUUGUAAAAUCCAAGUUUGUACCUAUAAAAUCCAAGGUUUCCCUUUACUUUGGUUCAUUUUUAGGCAUGAGGACUUGAAUUCGAUCCUGAACGAUUUUAUUUUUGAUUCUGAAUCAUAAAAAAAUAAAAUUGAAAUUAAAGCCAAAACAUAAAAAAUAAAAUUGAAAAAAGAUAAAAUAAGAUAUUAAAAUGAAAACUUAUAAAAAUUGGAUUACCGAUUGGAUAAUUUACCUUAUUAAUGCCAUUUUAAACUUAAACUAGAUUCAUCCCUAUUAAAUUAUUAUUUUUCAUUUCAUUUUUAUAUUAUAAAAGUAUACAUAUAUAUAAAUACAAAACAACUUUUAAAAUUACUCUCCAUAUAUUCAAACAAGCAGUGAACUUUCAAAAUCGGGGAAAUCUGACAUGGGGGAAAUUAAAGGAAAUUUAGGGUUAAUAAAACGACACCGUUUAUGUUAGUUUUAAUUAAAUUUUGUGGCGUUUCUUAAUAAGAACCACUAAAAGCAUAGGAACAAACGGCACCGUUUGAGAAACUAUUAAAACUUAUUUGUGGUGUUUUUUGCUAAAGCGCCACUAAAGCAUAGUCCUUUAACGGCGUUUAACGAAAAAACGCCACUAAAAUUUUGCAUCAAAACGUACCGUUUUGCAGUAUCAGGCACAAAUUUUGUGGCGCAAUUUAAAAAAGCGCUACUAAUUUCUAUCCUUUAGCGGCGUUUUGUAGAAAACGCCACUAAGAACACAGAUCAAAAUGCAACGUUUUGUCACUUCUAAAACAAAUUUGCGGUGUUUUCUAUAAACACCACUAGAAACACAAAAUAAUACGUCAUCGUUUUGCAUACUGUGACAUAUUUGUGGCAUUUUUUACUAAAACGCCACUAAUGCAUAAACACUAAAAUUAAAUUAAUUUUUUUCAUUUUUUAUAAACCUUAAACCGUUACAGCCAUAAACAAUAAGAGACUAACAAUUAAAAACUAUACCAUAAACCAGACCCUAAAUCGUAAACCCUAAAUCCAAAUAACAAACAUUAACCACUGAACCUAAAAUACUAAACACAAAAUGUACCUUAACACCCUAAACUUUAAACCAUAAAUAUAUAUUAUAAGUUACAAUUAAAAGUAAUUAAAUAGAAUCUUAUUGCUUGUUUGAACCCUAGAAUAACUUUAUAUUUUUUUAUCAAAAUCCCUAACCCUUAAACCCUAAUACCCUAACUGGCCCUUAAAACCAUAAUUAAACACUAAGACUUUGACUGUAAAAACUAAACUCCAAACAACAAACUUUAAAACACUAAAUCACAAACCCAAUAUAACAAACCCUAAACCAUAAACUAUAAAACCCUUAAACUACAUACUAUAGUAAAUAUUAAACAUUAAACUAUAAAACCCUUAAACUACAUACUAUAGCCCUUAAACCACCAAUUAAACCCUAAACCCCAAAAUUUAUAAUCAAUAUUAAGUACUGCUUCCACAAUUUUUUAUAAACAUAUAUAAGCUUUUACAUUAAUAUAUAUCUAUGUAUAUACAUGUACAUCAUGUUUACAAACAUAUAUAAGCUUUUACAUUAAUAUAUUUUUUUGAAAUUUUUAGGGGUUUAGGGUUUUAAGAAUUAUGAAUUUAGGGUUAAAGGAUUUUGAGAAAGCCAUAUAGCCGGCGUCGAUUUUAACAGCUUAAUGGUAACUUAAAUGAAAACUUCUAAUUUUAAUUAAUAUAAAUAAAUCAAUUAAAUAAUAAAUAGGUAAAUAAUUUUUUUGCGGCGCUUUCCAAAAAUGCCACUAAAUGAAGAGCAUUAGCGGCGUUUUUUAAAAAAAGCGCUGCUAAAGGCCUGAGAAUUAGCGGCGCAUCAAUAAAAACGCCGCUAAAGCCCAGAACAUUAGCGGCGCUUACUUAAAAAUGCCGCUAAAUCCCAGAACAUUAGCGGCGCUUACAUAAAAACGCCGCUAAAGCCCAGAACAUUAGCGGCGUUUAGAUAAAAACGCCGCUAAAGCCCAUAACAUUAGCGGCGCUUACAUAAAAACGCCGCUAAAGCCCCCGAAAAGUCAGAAAACGGCGUCGUUGGGUUUCGAUUUUUGCGGCGUUUUUUUUUUAAAACGCCACUAAUUAUAUUUUUUGUGGCGUUUUAUAUGAAGCGCCGUUAUUUCUCCUUUUUUAGCGGCGUUUUCUAUCUAAACGCCACAAAAUGUGCCACUAAAAGUCUAUUUUGGUGUAGUGACUUAUACUUUUUGUUGAUAGUAGAUUACUCUUUGAGUAAGGUAUUGCAAAUGUAGGUGAAUAAUUUUCUAAUGUUCAUAUCUAUUGUAUUACCAGUAAUUACUUCGUUCAAUCACAAUGAAAUAAAUAACUAACAGAUAAAAACAAUGAGCUUUCAAUUGUUAAAUAUGUUAUAUAUAUUUUUUAUGAUACAAUACAUUUUUAAGGUGCGUAUGAGUAAUGGUUUUAUGGAAGAAAUUCACUUGUAUAGAAAUUUUUAGAAAGUUAAAAGUGAUUCUUAAAAUUUGAAAUAUGAAUUUUUGUUGAUUCGAAUUUUAUUUUUAAAUUCCGCCUGUAGAUGUAGAAUUUGUGAAAGAAAAAAACCAUUAUGUAAAAAAUAUAUUUAUUAAAAAUUUACAUAACAAUCAAAUGAAAUUUAAGUAUGCAUUUUCUUAAGUUCAAAUUCUAUUAAGUGUUGAUUGUUAUUGGGCUUUUAUAAAUAAAAAAUAAAAAAUACUUUCAUAAUAUAAUUUAUUUUGUAAGAAUUUUGAUUGUUUAGUAAUUUUUUUAAUUAUAUUGAUAUUUGAUUGACUCAUGACAUCAGCUUAAUCAAUAAUUAAUACUAUAUAGUAUAAAUCAGGGGUGAAGCCAAAACAAUUUUUUAAGGGGGCCGAAUGAAAUUUUAAAUUUUUAUAGUCUAUAUCUUUAUGAUUUUUAAAGGAUUAAAUUAAAUUUUUAUAAUUUUAGGGGGACCAAAGUACAAUUUUAUCUUUACUAAUUUAAAAUUUUUAAACAAAUUUAAGAACCUGAAUAACAAUUUUCAAGAACGAUUUCAAACUAUUAAUCAAUCAAAUAAUAUGAGAAAUACGUUGAAUAUUUGACGAAAAACAUGAAAGAAAAAGGAAUAUGCGCAAAUCAAAAUCGGAUGGAUAUUUACUUGGAGUAGAACAUAAACUUAAAAAAAUUGAAUAAAAAAUUGAUGAAACUCUUUCAGGAUCAAGAAAAUGACAUCGUGAUUUGGAUUGAACCCCAAUGAAAAAAAAUAGAUCAAUGAAAAGUUUGUACGAUAAGUUUAGCGAAUUUUUUCUAUAGGAAAAUGGGCCAAAACUUAUCUUUCUUUAAUUUCAUUUUAUUUAAAAAAUGGGCCAAAACAAAUGUUUCGCCAUCCAAAUUUGGUAAAAACAUCCAAAAGCUGUUUAGUUAAAAUUUAGAUAUGGAAUUGCAGUCAAGAUAAAAACAAUUAAAUAUGGAAUUUCCAUCCAAGUGGACAAACUCUGACGCACUACCUGAGCAUUAAAACAAAAUUGACAAAUUGAGGUUUGGUAAAAGCUCCAAGCAUUUAAACCCAAGCUUAAUUCAUGCCCAAUAAUAUAUUUCCCAUCCAAGACCAAGACGAGAGAGACCCUAUUGGCUUAUUGCACGGAGUAGAUGAAAGUGGGCGAGUGAUGAUGAGAAACAGUCGUACUCCCAAAUCCGAUAUCCUUUUUGUGAAGAAAGGGAAAAAGAUUAUUUUAAGGCUGAUGAUGAAGCCAUUGUCGUCUUCUUCCAAUUUCUUGCUCUACUUCUUCUUCUUCUUCCUUGUUUUCUUUCGGUGCAUCCAAUCCAUUAAUGCCCAGAACGCCACCACCGAUCCUUCAGAAGGUGAUCUCUCCCUCUCUUUGUUUAAUCAACAAAUAAUUUCUUACAGGGGAAAGGCUAUAUUGUUUCCCCUUUUUUGAUUAAUUAUUGUUGGGUUUAAGUUUCAUAUCAUGUUUUAACCCAUUAUUUUAUGAAUGUAAAACAGUAAGGGCGUUGAACUCAAUCUUCCAACAAUGGCGUAUACAAGCGGUGGAUUCAUGGAAUAUCAGUGGAGAGCCAUGCAGUGGAACUGCUCUCACCCAAAGUUCAUCUGUGUUUGAGGAUCCUACUAAUAAUCCUGCUAUUAGAUGUGAUUGCUCUUUCAAAAAUAACACUCUUUGCCACAUUACUAGCUUGUAUGCUUCUUUCUCUCACGUUUCUGCAAUAUUUUAAAGCCAUUACUAUAGUAUAUGAAUUAAAAGCUAGCCCUUUCAUGUGGUUUUUAGGAUUUAUACACAGCAAAAACCUUCACUAUUUGCGGGAAGUCUAAUUUGUACUGAUGUUGUACUUGUUUUUGUCAGGAGGGUAUAUGCUCUAGACAAACGAGGAGUGAUACCAAAGGAGCUUUUAGAUUUGCCUUUUCUGGAGUUCUUGUAAGAAUAUUCUUAAUAUCUUUUCUAUCUUAUUAACCCAACUUUCAUUUUGAAUAUAUUCCAAGUGGUUACAGAUUUUGAAAUGGUUACAAUCUGUCGUAUCGGUAUAUGCACCAUUUUGUCGGUUUCAGUACGUAUUCAUAAUCACAUUUUUUUUAAAAAAAAUUUAUCCAUGUUUUUGAUUUUUUUUCAUAUCCAUGCACUCAUAUUUAUAAUUUCUUAAUAAAUUAUAUAUUAUAUAUACAUUAAAUAUAUCUCAAUCACACCUACGUAAAUAUAUUUAUGUCUAAAUAUAAGUUUUAAAAAUAUUAAUUAUAUUCAAUAAUUGUUAAUUUUAAAUGUCAUUAUAGAAAAACUAAAAUGUUCAAGAUACAAAUUUUAAAAUUUAAUUUAAAAUAUAAAAAAUUUGUGUAAAUUAGUAUGGGCUCAUAUACACUCAAUAUUGAUCAAAAUGGGCCGAAAUACAUCAAAAUAAUUGAAAUAUACUAAAAUUUUGAUUGGAACGAAACAUAAACUAUUUAUAUUAGUUUAGGACUAAAAUAUUACGUAUGAGUACGGUACCGACUAUCAUGAUUACAAUAUGUGCUUAAUUUUAUAGUAACUGAUUAUAAUAAUUUAUAUUGUUUGGUGAUGCAGGAAGAUUGAUAAAAACUUCUUUUCUGGCCCUUUACCAACAUUUCUUGGAAAUAUGUCUAAAUUAUGGUUAUUGUGAGUACUCAAUCUAAUUAUAAAAGUAUUUCGUUAUUUCAUUGUUGGCUCUCGGGCCUUAACAAUAUCAUACAAACACUCAAAAAUAAACGUAUAGGCUGUUGUGUUAUCGUUCAACACUUCCAAGUCUAAUUGGUUUUUCAUAAACCUCCCAAUCCCAUCAUGAAAUUACUUGUACCCAAAAAUUAGAUUAGCGUUUGACAUAUUAAUUCUUUUUAAAAAUUUAGUUUUUAUAUACUUGAAAAGUCUUUUGAAAAAUCAUGUUCAUACCAUAUUUGCAAAAUUAAGAGUUGAAGCAAGUUUACAUGUUUGAAGCUAUUGACGGGUGGAACUCAACCCAAUUCUUAAAAGAAGGUGAAUUAAUAAACUGUCAACUACAAUUACUCUUUUGAUUUACUAGACUUGUUUAAGGGUUGGAUAAUUCGUCUGACUCGAUAAGUCCAACUCGAUUUAAGUCGGAUUUAAACAAAGAUUUUCACACUUCAAAUUAAUUCAACCCGGAUUCAAUUUAAAUAAAAAAUGAAUUUUUAACUUAAAUUUAAUUAUAAAAUAUAUAAAAUAUCAAUUAAAAUACAUGUUUUAAUAUUUUAUUAUGUUUUGAAUAAUAAAAUGGGUUUUUUUGGUGAAGGCAGAUUGUUCCAAAAAGGGGCCUAGAACCGAACCUUGGCCCUGCCCAGCCUAUACAGCUCUACAACAUACUGGAAUAACUAAUAAGAAAUCAUUUUAUUACUUAAUUUUAUGUAUCUUUUCUUCACUAUUACUGUUUACUAAUUUCUUAUAUUCAAGAAUACACCUUUCUUUGGAUUAUUUAUAUAGGUCAAUGGCCCAAAAUAAUUUCAAUGGACCCAUUCCAAAGGAGCUUGGAAAUCUUAAGAAGCUAUAUUUGUUGUAAGAUUUCAACCGUUGUAAAGGAUAAAUUAGUUUUGUUUUUAAGCAAACAUUUGCUGGUAAAAUUAAAUGUGGAUGAAUCUGAUGCAGGUCGUUGGGUAAUAAUAAUCUCUCCGGAACAUUGCCUCCAGAACUUGGUAAUUUAGUGGAGCUUGGAGAGCUGUAAGUUAUAACUUUCUUUAGUUGUUUGUAGGGAGUGAAACGUUGUUGCAGACAGAGAAUAGUAUACUUUAAAGAAAACAUAAGAACACCUAAGAUGUUUAGAGUCACCUAUGUCUGUGUUUGCAAGGUCUUGUGAUCCGUUAGUUAAUCCCACCAAUUCAAUCACUCUACCAACUAACUUUUCCUUUUGUAAAACCUCAUAAAUAACAAUUUGCACGGGAAGAAAUGUUCCACGAUGAAGUGAUUUGUGCUCUCUAAAUUCACACCAAGUGUUGAAAGAUGAACAUUCUCUAAAUAGGCUCGACUUGGUUGUGGGAAUAAAUAUUCUUAUUCGUUCAUGAACUUCUCAGUCCAUCUCCUACAAAUGUAACAAAUUUUCAAUCCUCUCCAAGAAAAGGAUUCUCCCAUAUCUACUUUCCUUUUUAUAGAUAAAUAUCCUAAAUAUGUUGCUACUAAAAAAAAUACAAGCCAAAAUUGCCAUAUGUAAAAGACUUGGAUAACAUUGCACAAAAUGUUGUAAUGUGAUGUUGCAGCAUGCUGUGUAACAUUCUUUCGGUAGUUUGCAUUAACAAUUUCCCUGUAGGCAUUUUUAACAAAAAUAUAUAACCAAAAUUAAUAACGUCCCAUACACAAUGUUAUAAACAAGAAACGAGAUGUACUCAUAAAUGAGUCCAUAAACAACCCUCUGGUCCAGCAUGCUAACAUACCAAAGUAGCGGUACCAAACAAACCAUAAGAGUCUUGUUGAGUGUUAUUCUCUUGUCCUGUAUGAAGGGAAAUAUAGGGAUAUUUAUACACAUUCCUACUGCUACUAUUACAGCUCACAAUAGGGCCCACUAUUUUGUCUUGACCGCCGAGGGUACUGACAUUCCCUAUCCCUAGUGUUGACAUUCUCUGGGCCUCCUUUGGUUUAUUGGACGCUUGCCUGCGGGGUACGUGGUCCUUUCUAAUCCUGGGACUGACUCUCCCAACGAGCCUCUCACCUGCCAGUCACGAGCGGGAGUCCUGUUCACAGACAUGGCUCGUGACCUCGUCCCUACAAGGUUUACACGAGCUCUCCUCUUGCGAUCUCAUUUGUGUGAAGCUUACGCGGGCUCCCCUGCGUGAACUCUUUCUGUGAACAUCUUGCAUUCCCGCGAGGUUCUCAGUUGACUGUGCUUAUAGGCAAACAUUCUUUUUCCAGGUCGGAGGUCCAGAUCCUAUCGGUCAUUCGGACUAUCGGUUCCCAAAUCCUAACAAAUCUAAUGUUGGAAAACCAAAAAUAAACAUUCGUUGAAGAAAACAAAACAUCCAUUCUCCCUCUCAAGUUCCUUCCCCCCUCCCCCAAUUAAGGAGAUGAGAAUCACAUCUCACCACUUUUCAAAUCCAUAAGAAAUUAAAGAUACAAUUUCUUUUCUUUUGGUUUGAUGAAGUUUAGGGUCAAGAAAAAUUACUUGAGUAAUUAAAAAUUUUAUCAUCCUAACUCAUUAAGCCUCCAAUUUUCGUGGUUGAGUUUUUGUUGCAACAUUCUCUUCAGCAACAAAUGUGUCAAAUUUAUUAUCAGAAUCAAGCUCAUCUUGAAGUAGAGUAUAAUCGUCUACAUGUUUCCCUUUCUUUAAGUAGAGGACAAUGCUAAAAAUAAUCAUCUUUACAAACAAUAUUUCUAUGUUCUAUCAACAUCUGGAAUAUGGGUGAAGGAAAAUGUUGUUCAGAAAAAGUAUUUGUUGUCUCUGCAUGUGAAAUGAUAUGGUAAAAAAAAAAAGAGAAGCAAGAUAGAAAGAUGUUGUAUCAACAGAGAGCUAACUAAAGGCACAAAAAGAAAAAAUGGGAAAGGAUGAUGAAAAUUCAUUAAUCAAGCAAUGUGUAUAUACAAGACUCAAGCUAAAAAAACUCUAACAAACUCAACUUCUAACUCCUACUGUCAAGCUAGCAAACUUAGCUUCCUACUUCUACUAACAAGUUAACGAUCUCCCUAGAAACUAAUACUUUAACUUAGGCUACCUUAAUGACAAAAAAGACUUUGUAGCCCUUGAGACACUAACAUUCUCCACUUGAUUCAAGUGUUGCAGACACCAAGUUUGUUUCUAAGAAACUCAAAUCGACUAACAUGGAAAGACUUAGUAAAAAUAUCUAUCAUCUGGUUCUUUGAUCUACAAUAAACCUUAACACUCCUCGCCCGAUCCUAUCGUUAGGUCAGAGCUACAAGCUACCACUUUCAUUAACAAAGUAACUACAGUCAAUUAUACAAUAACAUAAUCAUUUAAACAUACAAUUAUAUGUUAAACACAUUUACAUUAUGAUACACAAUCAAAUCUGAGUCUUAAUCGAACUUACGAAAGCCGUUUUGUUGACACGAUUAUGGAAUAGGACCAAAUUGUAAAGUUUCAAAAUCUCUAGGCCGAUGUCGUAACAUCGUCAAACAAUAUGUCAUGUUGCGACCUCAGGCCACUCGGUGUCACAACAUGACUCACUGUCAGUCGACGUUGCAAUGAGGAAGAUAACUCAUCGAGACGAGGACUCUGUUUUCGGUAAAAGUGAACCAUUUGAUACAUAUUUCAAUGCUACCAAAUAACCUAUUCAAUUUUCACAACAAAUCAACAUUUUUACUUGAUUCAAACAAUACUAAAGAUACACCAAAGCAAAUCAUUUAACCAUUUUCAUAUGAUCAAUUCAAUAUAAGUUCCAUUUAUCAUAAAUUAUAUCAUUUCUACUUAUUCAAUUUCAUAUCAUUCAUCCAACCAACUAGUCAUUCAAAUACCAACUUCUGAUCUAUGUUAAUCCAUGUCCAAACAUGCUAUUUUAGUUACCAUUCAAAACUCCAAACAUGCUAUUUUAGUUACCAUUCAAAACUCCAAACACAUUUACCAAAACCAAUCAUUUCAACUAAGAUUAACAUUGCCAAUAUCUAGCAUUAGAUAGGUUUCAAACCACCAUUAACAUUUAAAGCUUAACAAAUUCACAACACCUAUUUACAUGCCACAAAACCAAACUUAAAACAACCGAAAAGCUACCAAUUUGAAAAUGGCAUAGUGUGAGCUUCUAGACAACCCGCUAGACACGUUCUACAAGUUGAAAUUUACAGGAAAAGGGGAAAAACAAUGAGGUAAGCAUAUCGAAUCCUUAGUAAGUUCAUAGGCAUUAAACAAAAGCUUACCUUAGCUUACAACUGAAAACAACAAGCUACUUAGCUUGGCAAAGUUUGCCUAAACAUGGAAAAUCACAAAAAAAUAAGGUGAGUUUAACAUAUAACCAUAUUAUAUUGUAAUUCAAACAUAUAACCUUUCAAUUCACAUAUAAUCAACAUUUCAAUACCAUUCUCAUAAUCAAUCCAACAUUUAGUCAUUUGCAUAUCAAACUCAUACCAUUUCAUAGCAAAUGUCACUUUUUAUUAACCAUUUAGCCCAAUAAACUCUAGUGAAUAAAUUCGGAUACACGGGUAACUACACCACACCAGAUUGCUCGUUACAGUAGUAACUACACCACACCAGAUUGAUUGUCAGAGUAAUAACUAAACCACACCAGUUGCUCUGGCGAGCAGUAACUACACCUCACCAACGCAUUGAAGUGCAAAGACUAUAGGAUAUCAUACAUAUAAUCAUAAAACAAUACAUCCCUCCACCACACCAAGGUCUCCGUAGAGAAAUACAAUACUUAAUGAUCCGUACAAAAUGUUGGAUCCCAAUAUAAUCUGUAACGAUCUUCGUACAAUCAAUUACCCCGUAUAAUCAGAUAUCCUGUACAAGUGUGCGUAUAACUCUACUGGCAUGCCAAUCGUAUCCCAUCCUUUAUUAUGUUCACUUGGGCAUCUUUAACAUAUAUAACCAUUUCUUUACAAUUUACUCCAUAUAUCACCUUUUGUAACAAAUCACAAACAAUUCAAAUUACAACCAAACAUACACAUAUUCAUAAUUCAAAUACAUAACAAUUUAAAAACAAUCAUACCAUAUAAACUUACUUGGUAAAAUAUGCAAUUAAGCUGGAACUUCAAGGACUAUUCAACAAAUUUGUCUUUUCCCUAACUAUUUUCGAUUUGAUCCAAUUCCCGAUCUAUACAAUUAUUCAAUUUGAUUUAUUAAUAUCAAACACUUUUAGAUCAUCCCAUAAUAUGCAUGAGCCAGUUUAAUUUAAUUUUUAAAAUACCCUUGAAUUUUUACAUUUUAUUCAAUCCAGUCCCUAAAAUCAAAAUAACAAUAACUUUUAAUUUUGAGCUUCGAUUUCAGAACUGAUCUCAAUAACAUCCGUCUAUGACCCUCCAUUAUCUAUUAUUAUAGAAAUUUCAUGUCAAAUUUACAAAUUUUACACUCUAGUCCUUAUGUUAAAAACUAACAAUUAAACAUUAAUUAGUCAUUUUUCACAUCUAAGCUUAAAAUCUAACAAUUUAACACCAAAUUCUUCAAGAAAUCAUCAAUGGAAACUUUUAAAAACUUUAACAGUUUUGCAAAUUGGUAGAUGAGUUAGCUUUCAUGACCUCAAAAACAUAAAAAUUACAAGAACAAAGAACUUUAACCUUUAUACUUGAUUAUCCACAAACACCUCAAAAACAUAAUAUUUGAUUUUAAAAUUCUUUGUUCUUGCAUGAAAUACAGGAUUAAAUGAAAUAGCUAAAGUAGCUUGAUUAUCCAUAAACACCUCUAUACUUCCUUCUCGCUUCAAAUCCAUAUCAUCCAUUAGCUUAUUCAGCCAUAAGGCUUGAUUCACAACAUUUGUAGCUACAAUGAAUUCAGCUUCAGUAGUUGAUUGAGCCACCAUCUCUUUCUUUCUUGAACACUAAAAGAAACAACUUGACCCAAAUGUGAAGUUAUAGUUUGAAGUGCUUCUCAUAUCAUCAAUGCUUCAGCCCAAUCAUCAUUAGAAUAGUCUUGUAGCUUGAACUUCUCAACUUUACUAAAAUUGAUUCCAUAUGCAAGUGUCCCCUUUAAGUAUCUUAAUACCCUAUUUGAAGCAAUCAUAUGAAUUUCACUUGCACAGUGGAGAAAUCUAGACAAAACACUUAUAGUGUACAUGAUGUCUAGCCUAGUGGAUGUGAGGUACAAGAUACAUCUAACAAGACUCAUGUACACCUUCUUAUCUGCAGGAUCUGCCCCAUCCAUCUUCUGAAGUUUUUCUUUUUAGUUUAUUGGAGUACUCACACUUUUGCUGUCCUCCAAUUAAACCUCUUCAAAAUAUCCUUCACAUACUUUUUCUGGCAGAGAAACACCUCAUUUUGACCAUACUUGAUCUUCAUUCCCAGAAAGUAAUGCAUCUCACCAAGAUCAGUCAUCUCAAAUACCUCCACAUACCUUCUUAAAUGUUUCAAUCCAAGUUGCAUCACUUCCUGUCACCAAUAUGUCAUCUACAUAGAGAGAUAUAAUGACUAGAUCUACUCCUAACUUAUUCACAUAGAGAGUAGAUUCGCCUAGGCUUCUCACAAAUCCUAAGUUCAACAAAUGCUCAUCCAUCUUGCUCUACCAUGCUCUAGGAGCUUGUUUCAUCCCGUAGAAAGCAUUCCUUAAGAGUUAAACCUUCUCUUCUUGACCUGGUGUAAUGAAGCCCUACGGUUGCUCAACAUGUAUUUCUUCCUCGAAUACUUCAUUCAAGAAUGUUGACUUCACAUCCAACUAAUACACCGUUUAACCUUGUUGAGCUAACACAACAAGAAACAUUUUGAUUAGGUUUAUAAAUUUCAAUAGAUUGCAAUUAAAAAUUAUGUUUACUGGUCAUCCUUGAAAUUAUAACAACAAUUGGUUUAUAAAUUUGGCAGAUACAUUAACAGUUGUGGAUUAGGUGGUGAGAUUCCCUUAACAUUUGCUAACCUUAAAGAACUACGAAUUGUGUAAGAAAGACCUUUUUUUUUUAAAUAUUAUUGCAUUUUCCUCUCUUGGUCCUACAAAUUGCCUUAAUUGUCUUAAGUACUUACCUUACAAUAAUAACAAUAAUCUCUAUUGAAUUUUAGGUGGGCAUCUGACAAUGCAUUCACAGGAAAAAUACCAGACUUUGUUGGCACUAAUUGGACAAAGCUUACAUCAUUGUAAUUCAUCAAAAAAUCUUGGUUAUAAUAUUCGUAUAAGUUCUCUCUAAGUUAAACAUCUAGAAGGAUAGCUUUACCUAGAUUCUAAUUAGUCUGACUAGUUUGCCAAAUGUUUAUACAGGAAAUUUGAAGGGAACUCUUUCGAAGGUCCAAUACCAUCCAGCUUUGCAAAUUUAACCUCAUUGACAUCAUUGUAAUUACAAAUAUCUUACUUUCCUGAUAGUAUACUUACCACCACUGUUGGACUCUCCCUUUGCCCACAUAUUCAUGCAUGAUGCAAUUUUGUAUGUAUAUAUGUAUGUACUUAUUUUUUUACACUCAAAUAUCAUGUAGGAGAAUUGAAGGUAUAUACAAUGGGAGUUCUUCUCUUAAUUUUGUUAGAAAUCUAAAAAACUUGACUGACUUGUAAGUUAACUAUUCUUUACUUCUUGUUUUAAUUAAUUUUUCUCUCUCAUUUUUUAGGGAUGAAAAUUUUUAUUUAUAUUUAUGCAAUUAACAUAUUUAAUUUUCUUUUUUUUUUCACACAGGGUUCUAAGAAAUGUCUUGCUCAAUGGUAUUUUUCCAUCUUAUAUCACAGAACUACAAUCUUUACAAAAGUUGUAAGUUUUAUCUAAAUGUUAAUUUCUUCAGUAAUUUAUUGUUUGCUUCGUGUUUCUAAUUUCUUUUUGUUAUAGGGAUUUAAGUUUCAACAACUUAACAGGAAAAAUUCCAAAUGCUUUGUUCAAUAUGAAUUCUCUCAUAUACUUGUAAGUAACAAAAAAAAAACCCCUAAAACUAUCCCCCUCCAUAGCUGAAAAUAUCAACUUAAGACUUACAGUUUUUACUUAACAUUAUUAAUCUCUUUCUUAUUAUUGAAUUUGUCAGGUUUCUUGGAAAUAACAGACUAUCAGGUUCCAUUCCUAGCCAAAAGAGUGAAACUCUUCGGACCAUGUAAGUCAUCUUAUCUAUUAGAGGACCAUGUAAGUAAUCCUAUCUAUUAGAGGUAUUCAUAGGCUGAGUUUGGCCCGGUUUGGGUCAAACCUAUGCAUGGUAUUCAUACCAUAUAUAAUUGACUAAGCUUAUUAAUUUAAUAGUUAAUAAUUAUAUAUUUCUUUUAUUAUUCUAUAUUUUUAUUAAAAUUCUAAACAUAAAUAACUUAAUAUGUAUUUUAAUAUUUGCAUUAUAAUAUAAUAAUUUUAAGUUUCAUAUAAUAAAAAUUAUAUAAUAUAUAAAAAAUAUUAUAAACUAGUAUUUUUUAAAUCUAACUCAAGCUGAUAUUAGAGCUGGAGCUCGUAAUAUCUUUUGUCCAAACAUAUAUCAUAUGAUAUUAAGCAUAAUCAGCCAAGGGGAGAUUUAAGGGGCUAGCAGAGACUACUCUACAAAUUGGCCCUCUAAAUAAUUAUCGGUAAAUUAUGUUUGGUCUCAGAAGUAUUAUUGAUUUGAUUGUUUUCUUUUUUCUUUUUCUUUUUUUGACUAAAUUGACUGGUUUUAUUUAAAAAUAAAGUUGUAAAAGAAGCAAACAUUCUCCUGCAUCUUGGACUUGGGUCCAAGUAAAACAGGUCCAAAUAAAAUAACAGCAUAAAUCAGGCAAUAAACGAAAAUGGCCCAUAAAUAAAUAAAGAAAAAAAUUGAUAAAAACAUUGAUUUGAUUGUUUUAGAAUUCAUAAAAUGUAUGAUAAAAUUUGAUAAUAUUUUUAGUUUAAAUUUCACUUAUUUUAUUAGCUAAUAUAUUUAUUGUUUUCAAUCAAUUAAAUAAAUUCAUUAACAUUAAUCAUAGUAUUAAUAUUUAUCAUUAUAUCUUGAUGAAAAAAAGAGUGAGCAUCUUCCAUUUAGUGAACCAUCAAAUAGAGUAAAGCAGUUAAGUUCUCCUGAUUUUGGCAAUAUAUUCAUGAUGCAUACUCACUUUCUUCCAAGAUACUUAUGUAUGCAGAGAUUUAUCAUACAAUUUUCUAUCAGGAAACUUGCCUUCUUGGAUAAACUCACGCUUACAACUGUAUGUAUCUUAAACCAGGAUGCUUCCUUUACUUACCUUUGGCUUUCCAAUUUUAACACUGAUUUGUAGCAUAUGGCUUCUUUUUUGAUGCUCAAAUGGAGCUUUAUUAUUGUUGAUAUCACACUGUAAAAAAUGAACCAAAUGCAAAUCAAUACCAAUAAGAGCUUGUUUCAUGGAAUUUUAUGCAGGAACUUUGUGGCCAACAACUUCACACUUAACAGCUCAAACAUAAGGUGAGUUAUCAUCCCGCGGCAUCCCAUUUUCUCUUCUCCUGAACUUAUCUCUAUGAUAACAAAUGCUUACUAUUAUCUCUACUAUGCAAUGCAUUCGUUUAAAGUUCCUAAUCACAAAAUUGUUUUGAAAUUUCUCAGGCUUUUACCAGGAUUAGAAUGCCUUCAAAGAAGCUUCCCAUGCUUUAGAAAUGCUCCACGAUGUACAAGCUAAAACUUUGAAACCAUUAUCUAUUGUUGAGGAUUUACUUAUAAUAUUUAAUCCAGGCCAAUGCUUAAUGCUUUUCUAACAUAUUUUAAUGUCCGACAUUGGUAGAUGCAAACUUUUCAAUCAAGUGUGGCGGACCGGCAAUGAUAUCUGAUGGGAUAUUAUUUGAGGCUGAUAAUAGCACUCUUGGUGCAGCAAAUUUUAAUAUAACCAGUACACGUAAUUGGGCAGUUAGCAAUGUAGGUAUGUUUGCAGAUAGACAAAAUCAACAGUAUGUGGAAAACAAUGGAGGACAAGUGAGAAGUACCAACACUCCAAUGAUGUAUCAAACUUCAAGGCUAUCCCCUGGAUCACUCAGAUAUUAUGGCCUAGGCCUCGAGAAUGGACCCUAUACUGUAAGACUGUUCUUUGCAGAGACAGGUUUCCAUGAUCGAAGCUCAGGUACUUGGACUAGUCUAGCAAGGCGUGUUUUCGAUAUAUAUAUUCAGGUAUUAUUUCAUUUGAAGUAGAAAUUCAUAUCAUUCUAUUCCCCUAUAUUUGCAGUGUUUCUAUUAUCACAAUUAUGUUCAUAUAGUUUUACACUUAGAAAUACUUCCUGCUAUAAUAUCUCAUCAAUGCUUCACUAGGGAACCCAAGGAUUAAAGGAUUUUGAUAUAUCAAAGGAGGCAGGUGGUGUUCAGAGAGCAAUAACUAGGAAUUUCACUGCUAAUGUAACUGAGAACCAUCUUGAAAUUCACCUGUUUUGGGCUGGUAAGGGGACUACCGGUACACCAGAAGAAGGUUAUUACGGUCCAUCUAUUUCAGCUAUUAGUGUUGUUCCAAGUAAGGCACCUUAACACUUUUGAAUCCUCAUGUAAUAUAUGCAUGCUUUAUGUGCUUAUCUUUUUUGUUCUUUAUUUCUAAUACAUCUGUUUUGUUUCUCAGAUUUCAUACCAACUGUUAGUGGGAUACCGCCGGGCAAUCCUAAAGAGAAGAACCACACAACAUUGAUUGUUGUUGUUUCAGUUCCUAUUGUAGCAUUGGCUUUGAUACUUGUAUUUGUAAUCCUUUAUGUGAAAAGAACCAGAGAAGAUGAGGAGGAGGAGGGUAAGAGCAUUAGUUUAUCAUAAAAUAAUUCAUUCAAUUAUAUAAUAUGAUUAUUCAUUUCAUAUCAGAAAAAGGUGCAUCUUUACAUCUAUCUUCAAUAUCAAUGGAUUAGUUUAUACGAAAAGACACCCAUUAAUUGAAAAGAAAGGAAGUCUUCUGCCUUUAAAACUGGGAUGCUCAGCAUGUUACUAAUUGUGUUACUUAACUCUACAGUGCUUCUUGGCAUCAGCCCUAGACCAAACACAUUUAGUUAUUCUGAAUUAAAAGCUGCCACUGAAGACUUCAAUCCUUCAAAGAAGUUAGGAGAAGGGGGGUUCGGAGCUGUGUACAAGGUAAACAUGUCUAACAUUUUUACCGUGUUAAUUUGCUUAUCGUACAAUGAUAAAAUUACCAAGAGAGGAGCGUUUACUAAAUCCUAGUAUGUUUUUAGGGUACACUUUCUGAUGGGAGAGUUGUAGCUGUGAAACAACUUCUAGUAGCAUCAAACCAGGGAAAAGAUCAAUUUGCUGCCGAGAUAGCUACCAUAUCAGCAGUACAACAUCGUAAUCUUGUCAAACUAUACGGGUGCUGCAUUGGAGGAAAUAGGCGCCUCCUUGUUUAUGAGUAUCUUGUGAACAAGAGCCUUGAUCAGGCACUUUGGGGUAUGAUAUAAUAAUUUUAUGCUUUCCACUCUUUGUUGAUUAAUGAAAAACUGUAGGAGAUUUGUUACACUACAAAUGCAGGACAAAAUGAUUUGCAUCUUGAUUGGCCAACACGCUUCAAUGUCUGUUUAUCAACUGCAAGAGGGAUAGCUUAUCUUCACGAGGAGUCUAGGCCAAGGAUUGUUCAUAGGGAUGUCAAGGCAAGCAAUAUUUUGCUUGAUGCAGAGCUCUGCCCGAAGAUAUCUGAUUUUGGAUUGGCGAAGCUUUAUGAUGACAAGAAAACACACAUCACCACUCGUGCUGCUGGAACAAUGUAAGACCUUUCAACCUUUUUUGUUCAUGAGUCAUGCAUUAAUUAGUAUAGCAUGUUAUUUUUGUUCCCAAGUUGCUAGAUUUAGUAUUUUAAUCAAUAAACAUUAUUCAUCAAUGCAAUGUAAUUAUCUUGAAGUGGCUACCUGGCACCCGAGUAUGCAAUGCGCGGGCAUCUUACAGAGAAAGUAGAUGUUUUUGGCUUCGGUGUUGUUGCUUUGGAGAUUAUAAGUGGUAGACCAAACUCAUAUAAUGCCUUAGAAAAUGACAGAACUUAUCUUCUUGAAUGGGUAAUCCAGAAGUAAACCUUUCCCUUUUGCAGUACUAUUUGUUCAAAAACCUCGUUAAAUUUUGAAUGACUUACUCAUGAUUACUAAUUUGUUCCUACAAUGUGUCUAGGUGUGGACCCUGCAUGAAAAUAACCAACUCUUGAGUCUGCUUGAUCCAAAAUUAGUAGAGUUCGAUGAAAAUGAAGCUCUCCGAGUGAUAAGGGUGGCACUUUUAUGCACCCAAACAUCACCAUCUAUGCGGCCACCCAUGUCCCGUGUUGUUGGGAUGCUUGCGGGAGAUAUUGAAGUCAGCAAUGUUACAACAAAACCAAGUUAUAUAACUGACUGGGAUUUUAAGGAUAUAACAAGCACCUUUAUGGAUGAAGAAGCACAAACAUCCAUUGCAUUUGAUCUUAACAGCAGCGACAUCAAGAGUAAGAACAUGAGUGUUAUAGAGGCAGAUGAUCAGCCAAUACUCUCUCAAGUAAAUAUUACUGAAUUUAAGGAGAGUAUUCGAGAAGGAAGGUGAGAGAUGUUUAUUCUAUGCCUGCUAUACUGUGUUAAAAAACAUAGAAUUUAUGUUGUUUCUUCAACUAUGUCUACUUUGUAGUUUUAGAAACUAUCAUUUCUAUAUAUAGUGAGUUGUAUUGUAAUAAACAUAUAACAAUAUUAGGAAAUUCAGACAAACAAAGACUUAUGGUGUUUGGAAUUCUUUUCUUUUGUUCAAAGCUUCAACUUAAAUUUAGGAUAUCAUGUAAUAAUUAUCGACAUAAUAAACUAAAAAUGUGAUGUCUACAUUACGCUUUCAAAGAAAAAACGAGAUUUAAACAUUAGAAAUAAUAUUAUUAAGAAAAACAAUCAUAAACUUUAAAUAUAAACUAUAAAACAAACCUAAAAAAAUUGAAAUGUGAAAAUGUAUAUAAAAUGUUAAAUUUUUUGUUUUUAGCUUUGUAAGGUAGCAAUUCAAAUUUGACAAAGAUAACAAAUAUUUUAUUCAUUAAUGGUAAUUUGUUCAGUAAUUGGUAAUUUGACAUGCUAAAUUACGUGUUAAAAUUGGGUUGGUAACAUUCACUCUAUCCCAUCCAACAGAACACACACAUACUAGUUUUUAUGACAGGUGCUAUGCAAGUAAGAUUAUAAAAUUUAUAUAUACUGAUUUUACUUAAUAAUUUUUAUAAAAUAUAAGUAAUAUAAAAUUUUAAUUUAAUUUCAAAAUUUAAAUAAAUACACUCAAAUUUUAAAUCGUAAUAUUAAUAGAAAUAAAUAUAUAAUUUUUCUAUAUUUUAAUUCUACUAUAUGCAUUUAAAUGUGAAUUAUUUUAAAUAUGAAUAUUAUAAUAUUUUAAUGAAGUUAUGUUAAUUAAUUUAGUGUAAUAAAUUUAAAAACAGAUAAUUGUUAAUUUAAUUAUAAGUUAUUUUUAAAAAAAUUAAUUUUUCAAUGGAAAUAUAUAUUUUCAAUCAAGUAUCAUAAAGCUUAUAAUAUUUAUAUAAAUAUAUAGUUUUUAAAAUUGUAAAUAUAAAAUAUAAAAUUGUAUUUUAUUAUCAUUAUUUUUAUGUAUGUUAUAUAUCAUUUAUUAUUUUAUGCAUAAUGUUUUUCACCUGUAUUAUAAAUUAUUUAUUACUACAUUUACAUUUAUAUUAUUAUUUACUAAUAUUUUAUAUAUAAUUCGAAAAUUACUUAAUCAAUUACCGUAGUAAAUAUUAUAUUAAAGUAUAAUUUCACUUUGAAAUUUUAUAAAUGAUGGUACAUAAUUAAUAAUUUAUCCCUAUGCUAUCAUAGCUACCAAUCAUGUAUUAUGAUAGCAUCUUUCUACAAUUUUAUUUGCUAUGGUUAAUAUUACUACUAUUUAUAAAAUAUUUAUUAUUAUGUUAUUUAUCAUAUGUGGAAGUAUGUUUCGUAUUUCGAUCAAAACAGUGUAUGGCAUCGUAACGAGAAGAAGUUUUUCGUCCCGACGAGCAGCCGACAUCACGACGAGAAGGAAGUCCUCGUCUCGAAGACACAAUCCUUCUUCGUCCUAAUGACUGAACGCCACAUCACAACAUGGCGACGUGCUCUUCAAGUUUCUCGAUUUUCUUCUCUUAGCUAAAUUUUGUUUUAUGUUUUCCACUUAAACUCUGAUUAACCUAAGGUGAUUCUAGUCAUAAAUGCUACGAAUUUCAGCCUAUAAAUAGGACUUAGUUACUCUAGGUUUUAGAUACAACAACAGAAAAUAUUAGGAUUGGGAGAAUUAUGUUAUUUGAGUUUGAAGGGUUUUUUCUUUUUGGAUUUCAGGUUUUCUUUCAAUUCUCUCCAUCCCUUGUACUAUUUUCUUAUUUAGUGAAAUCUCCCUUUACCCGUAGUUUUUUUAUCCUAUUCGAAGAAGUUUUUCCACGUAAAUUUGUAUGUUUGAUCUUUUCAAUUUUCUAUUUUGUUUACUUGUUAGUUGCAUACACGGGUUAAUUCCCAACAAACUGGCAUCAGAGCUAGUUCGAUCUUCAUAUUCAACCCAUUCAAAGAUGGCAACGAUAAGGUUUAAUAUUGAGAAGUUUGACGGAAUCACAAAUUUCAGUAUAUGACAAGUUUGUAUGACGACAAUAUUGGUUCAAAACGAUCUGAAAAAAGUCGUUACAGGGAAGAAGCCCACAGAUAUGAAUUAGUCAGAAUGAGAAGAGCUUGAUGAAAAAGCUCUAUCUGCAAUUCAACUAUGCCUUACGAAUAAUAUGUUAUAGGAGGUUAUGGCCAACAGGUUAAUGUUAAAACAACGUCUCUACACGUUCAAAAUGGCCAAAGGUGAGUCCAUUAGAUCCCAUAUUAGUGAUUUUGUUACCUUUCUUAAUGAUCUAAAGAAUCUCGAAGUAGAUAUUAGCGACGAGGAUCAGGCUAUGUUGUUGUGUCCUUUGCCCUCUUCUUAUAAAACUUUUAGGGAAACCCUAAUUUAUGGGAGAGAUAAUCUCUUAUUCGAGGAUGUAAAAGGGAAUCAUUGAGCAAGGAUAAACUCGACAAUGAGUUAGGCCAAAAUAAGAAGUUAGAUGAGCAAGCCUUAGUUCUAGUUGCAAGGGGCAGACAACAAUCCCUAAAGCAGAUUGAAGUAGAUCUAGGGCAAGAUCUAAAUCUAAGAACCAAGACAAACAAUUUGGCUAUUACAAGAAGAUAGGUCACAUUAAGGUAAAAUGCUAUAAACUUCAGAAUAAGAAUAAAACGGAUCCUGAAAACAAUAAGAAUGGUAAACAGAAAGCAUAAGUUGCUGAUGCUAGAGAUGAGGAUUUCUUGUUGGUUCCAACGAGCGAAAGCUCCAAGCUUACUUCUGAAUGGAUCUAGAUUCAGUGUGCUCCUAUCACAUAUGUCCAAAUAGGGAUUGGUUCUCUACGUGCAAUUCAAUUGAAGGUGGAGCUGUGAUGAUGGGGAAUAAUUCUUCACAAAAGAUAAUCAGAAUAGGAACAGUACAAAUCAGGAUGCACGGCGAAAUUAUUUGAACGCUGUCAAAUGUUAGGUAUGUACCAGACUUAAAGAAAAACCUCAUCUUAUUAGGAAUUUCAAACUCUAAUAGUUGCAAGAUUAUUACUACUGAGUCAAACGUCAUACAAGUUUAUCGUGGAGCUGAUAAGUUGUAAAAGUCAUAUAUUUUAAUCUCAUUCUUAAUGCAAUUUUAGAUGAUUAAUGAUGUAAAUUAGUGAAUUUGAUGCUCCUAAUCCUUUAAAUUCAUGUUCUUAUACUUAGGAGAGCAUUUGGAAGUGAAAAGAGUGAAAAACGAGCCAAAAUCGAAUGAAUAGAGCUUUUUCCAGGAUCCACACAGCCUGAGCAUUUCCACACGGGAUGGCCAUCCGCCCAUGUGCCAACCUGUGUCAAUAUCGCACCCUUCUUCCCAAAUGCGCAGAAAAAUCUAAUUUUUAGGCUUUCUGAGCAUUCUAAAGUCUAUAAAUAUCAAUUUGAAGAAGAUCUAAGGGAGCACUCAAAGAAGAUUGAAGAAAUCACUCGAAGAACACCAUCGGAUCCAACUCAGAAGUGGAUUUCCUUCAAGAUUGAAGAUCUCUUUUUAACUUCUUUCGAAGUUUUAUUGAAUUUCUUUAUGUCUUGUGGUUUUUUUGAUUUUGAGAUGUUUUCAUUUCAGAUUAUGAACUAAAUUCCCUAGAUACCUAGGGAAGAUAAAACUUAUGAUGAAUCUUAUUAUUUGAUUUCUGAAUUACAUGAUAAAUACUUGAUUCUUGUUCUCAAUUAUGGAUGCUUAUAUCGUGUUUUAAUAUUAUCAGGAUAUUAAUUCAUGUUUAAUAUGCUUAUUUCAGUGGAGCAAAAGUCUAUGUUUAAGAGUAGGUCUAACAUAAUUGAGCGGAGUUGCAUGCAAUCCUAGAAAUAGGACGACAUAAAUCUAUCGGAUUAGAGUCAAAUCUAAUAGGGGAAUCCAUAGAUCGAGUUAAUGCGAUGAUAAGGUUUUUAAUUAAAAAGAGAUUUCAAUUAAUCAACCUAGAGUUAGUUGUUCUUACUCUCGAAAGAGAUAUUAACAUAAUUUAGGGAUUUCUAUGGAUCAAGACACAAGUGAAUAAAUUGUUUAAUUUAGAUUCAGAAUAAUAGGUGAAGCUUAGGUGGAUUCUUUACUAGGUAUUGCCUUUCUCAUUGGUUGUCUUUGAUUAUUUUUCCUAUUUCAUUCUCUGUUGCGUUCUCAGUUAGAUUAGUUUAGUAAUUUUAGAUUAAAAACAAUCACUCUAAAUUUUCGGCUAAAUAAUAGAAAAACAGUAAUUAUAGUUAGUUUAGUCCUCGUGGAUACAAUAUUCCCUACUCACCAUAACUAUACUAUUGUUCGAUAGGUGCGCUUGCCUUUAUCGUAAUUAUAGUUAGUUUAGUGACCAUCAAGUUUUUGGCGUAGUUGAACGGGGACUAAAAUAUUAGGAACACUUGAUUUUUAUUAAUUUAGCUAUUUAUUUUUAUUGCAUUUUAUUUUUGUUUUGAGUUUAAUUUUUGUUUUCUAAUUUUUCUUUUAUUUUCUUCUGGCAGGUUCCUUUAGUUUAUGACUAGAAGAAACCCGUUGAGACCAUUAGUAUUUGAUAGUGAAAUUGAAAGUCCAGCUCGCAGAAAUUGUAGAGAAGCAAGGCAGAGUCGACAGAGUAUAGUGGAAGAGUAAGAAGACGUUAUUAUUACUGAGGAGAUGGCUGAUAAUCAGAAUAAUCAGUUACCUCAUGUGGUUGCUACGACUCUUGCAAAUCUGAAUCCUGCUCUUCGUACUAUGUACAAUUAUGCCAAGCCCACUCUAACUGGGGAUGAAUUAAGUAUUGUGAGACCCACCAUUUCUGCGAAUAAUUUUGAACUGAAGCCAAACACUAUUCAGAUGAUACAACAAUUUGUUCAGUUCGAUGGUUUGCAGGACGAAUAUCCAAAUACUCAUUUGGCUAAUUUUCUGGAAGUCUAUGAUACUUUCAAGAUAAAUGGCAUUUUUGACGACACCAUUCGCCUACGGUUGUUUCCUUUUUCAUUGAGGAAUAAAGCUAAACAAUGGUGGAAUUCCUUACCACGAGGUUCUAUCACUACAUGGGAUCAAAUGACUAAAAAAUUCUUACUGAAGUACUUCUCACCGGCUAAGAAGGUCAAGUUGAGGAAUGAUAUCUCUUCCUUCGUUCAAAUCGACUUAGAAACCCUAUAUGAUGCAUGGGAGAGGUAUAAUGACUUAUUGAGACGGUGCCCUCACCAUGGGUUACCUCCAUGGCUACAGGUUAAAACCUUCUACAACAGUUUGAAUCCCUCAACUAGGCAGUUAAUCAAUGCAGCAGCCGGUGGUACACUGAACAAUAAAACAUUUGAAGCGACUUAUGAGUUUAAAGAGGAGAUGUCAGUGAAUAAUUAUCAGUGGCAAGUCAUGAGGAUAGUGCCGACAAAAGUGGCCAGUGUUUUUAACUUAGAUGCGGUCACCAUGUUACCGAAUCAGGUAGAAUUUUUAAAUAAAAAAAUUGAUGGUUUAUGUGUUUUUACGCAAGUACAUUCGAUGAUGCAAUGCGACGCAAAUGGAGGUGGAAUAAAUAAUUCAAAAUAUUUACCCUUCGGUCCUAGCAUGGAGAAUGAGCCAAUAAAUUAUAUGGGUAAUUGUCAAAACCAGUCUUUUGAAAAAUAAAAAAAAAUUAGUAGUCGACUUAAAAGAUGAAAAUUAGAGUCGCCACCGAUCUUUUAAAGAGGCGUGAUCAGAUCACCUUGAAAACGAUUUUAAGUCUACGAAUUUUGAGAAAAUAGGUUCGGGAGUCAGUUACGCACGAGGAAGGAUUAGCACCAUCGUAACGCCCAAAAUUGGUACCAAGUGAUUAUUUAAUGUCUUAGUGUCGAGAAUUUGAAAAGAUUUUAAAAUACGAUCCUUCCUUUUUAUUAAUGUUAAUUUUAUAAAAGAUGCUUGGAUAAAUCGAAGCGAAUGCUAAAGACCUUCUCAUCUCAGAGUAAUAAAAUGUCACACCCAAUACAUUAGGGCACGACAUUUUUAGUCCUCAAGAAUAAGCUUGUCUUUUGAUUUUCAAAACUCGUGUGGUGAAGUUUAAAAAGGAUAUUCAAUUGCUUUAAGUCAGAUGAAAAAUCGAAGCCCAAUACGUUAGGGCAUAAUUUCUCAAAAUUCCGAGCAUUGAAUAUUGCCCUUAUCAUUUUUUUGAAAAAUUCUCGUCUCGAGGAAUCAACAUGUCAUGUCCAAUACAUUAGGACACAAAGUAUCGAAUUUCCGAGAGUAAGCUUUUUGUUUAUAUUUUGAUUAAAGCAUAUCCUCAAUUAUUUAGAUUCAACGAGGAAAAUUGGAACCCAAUACGUUAGGGCUCAAUCUUUUCGAAGAUCCCAAAUGUCGAGUAUUGCGUUAUUUUUGAAAACUCUUUGAAUAAAAUGUUCUCGAUACUUGAAUGAUAUUAAAUGUAACUUUUUAAACAAAUAGAAAUGCGAUAGAAAGAUGAUUUACAACCAAAAUGUACACUAAUGAAUACAAACAAUCAAUUGAUACAAUCAAACAAUACCAUAUACAUAAGAGCAAUGGUUUCAUGUAAAUAUUAACAUUUAAAAGCUAAUGAAUUAAAAAUCAAUAAUAUACAUAUAUUAAUCUAAAUAAGUAAUACAUAUGGGAUGAAAAACUUAAUAUAAAUAAUAUAAAUAUAUAUAUACGAGUUGAAAUAAAUUAAGUGUAUAAUAAAAUAAUGUUUAAAAAUAGGCAUGCAAAAUAAUUAAAAUAGAUGAUAAAACUAAGUAAACAGUAUAUGUAAACAUGUUUUAAAUAGUGAAUAUGAAUCAAUUUAAAGCAAGUAGUAUGGGUUAAUUUUAAAAUAAGAAAUAUGUAGAAUAACUUAAAAUAAAAUAAUAUAUAAAGCAACUUAAAAUAAUAAUCUAUAAAGCAAGUUAAAAUAAUCAUAUACAAAUUUAAUAUAAUAUAUACAUAUAUACAUACUGGAAAUUUUAAAUAAAAUAAACCAAAAAUAAACUAAUUUUAAAAUAACAUAUAAAAUAAAUGACUUAAACUAAAUAAUAUAUAUAAUAUGUGCAAAAUAGUAUUUAAUAUUUAGAAUUCAAUAAAAUUACAGGAUGACAAAUAGCUAAAUAAAUUAAUAAAUAAAGCUUAAACAAUUUGAUUGGGUAAAUAGGGAUUAAACAGAAUUUAAAACAAAAUCAGAAAGAAAAAACGCAAAUAGAAUAAAGUUGAGGGGCCAAAUGAAGCAUGCGCAUUACGUAGGGGACUAAACGGGAAAUAUUCCCUAUCCAUCAAAACGCAUUACAACAGUCUGGGCCAAAAUGAAACGACAUCAAAAAUACGGAGCAAAUUUAGAAAAUAAGGGAAAACCAGAUUAAAAUAUGAAACAAAUCAGGAGGGUUAAUGGCACAAAUAUUCCCUUCGAGACCGAAGCGCGCGGAUCUAGCCGUGCUCGGGUCGGGUCAUCGAGUCAGUGCUAAUACGUCACCAUUUUAGAGCCAUUGAAACAGGCCCUAAAUGGUGCCUUUUCUUAUACCCCGUACAGACUAAAUCGAAACCCUAAAAUCCCCAAUAUUUAACCCCCUCUUUUAAACCAUUAGAGAAAAAAGAAAAGAAAAAAAAACUAAAUCCUUUCGCCCUACUCCGCCGCCUUCAAACCCAAAACCUCAUCUGACUUCGACUUGGAUGGAGCAAACGAGGUUUCAGCAACGCCUAUACGAAGGUAAGUACCUCCCUUUUUUAUCCUUUACUGAGUUCAUGGAAACAAAUCAAAAGAAAGAAAGAAAAAUAAUAAAGAAGAGAAAAAGGAAAAUCAGAAUCAGAAAUCACCUCCAAAGUAUGCUAUAUUUGUUGUUUUCUUGAGAUUUUUUUGUAUCUUUGUAUUGAUAUUGUGUGUAACCUUUACAGAUUCCGUUUAAUGGCUUUUAUAUAGCCAGAAAAAAUGAAAAAUACAAAAGAAAUCCCUAUUUUUGUGUUUAUCAUCUGGCUUUUUGUUAUUGGCUUCUUCUUUGCUGUCGUUUGUUUGUCCUUCUUGCAGGUUCGGUGUACGGAGGGUGGGCGAGGCACGUACGGAGGCGCGCGUGAGGUGCGGCUCGAUUGCGGUGGUUGAGGCUAUUUCAGAAACUACUAGGGUUUUUUGAUUCUUUCUUUGUCUUGGGCCGGGGUUGGGUUGGUGGUUGUAUUAGGCUAGGUAUUUGGGCUAGGGUAAAUUUAAAUUUGGGUCUGUGAAACUUUAGGCUAAUUGGGCCUUCUAAUUUUGGGCCAAUGUAGUAAAAUUUUGUAUUUGGACCUUAGACUGGUUUUUUUAUUGUUUGGUCUUAUCUGUUCUAUUUGGUUCGGGCCGGGAAAAUUAGGCCAUUACAGUAAUAAUUUUAGACCUCAAAAAUAAUCCUUAUAGUAAUAACUAUAGUGCAGGAUGGAGGAACCACCCAAAUUUCUCAUGGGGGUGGUCGAGGAAACCAAAGACCACAACCCCCUUCAGGCUUUCAACAACCUUACCAGCAAGAGAAGAAAUCGAACCUUAAAGAGAUGUUGGAAAAUUUUAUUUCGGUGUCAGAGACCCAUCUUCAAAACACCGAGACAACUUUAAAAAAUUAGCAAGUGUAAAUUCAUGGGCUCGAAAAUCAACUUGGAUAGCUUGCUAAAUUGGUUUCAAAAAGGCAGCAAGGUAGUUUACCUAGUAACACCGAACCCAACCCAAAAGUGCAUGUGAAAGAAGUUACACUAAGGAAUGGGAAAGUGUUGGUUGAACCUAAAAAAAUGCUGCAACAUGAAUCUGAUAAGGAAAAUGGCGAUGGGGUAAAUCCCAAAGUGAUUGAAACACCGGUGCUUAAAAAAUAUAAACCACCAAUCCCAUAUCCAGUAAGGUUAAAGAAAGACCGCAUGGAUGCACAAUUUGGUAAAUUUCUUAAACUUUUCAAACAAUUGCAUAUUAACUUACCUUUUGUUGAAGCUAUUUUGCAGAUGCCCACAUAUGCAAAAGUUUUGAAGGAGCUAUUAACAAAUAAAAGGAAGUUUGAAGAGCUAUCCACUGUGGAACUCAACGAGGAAUGUUUAGCUAUUCUUCAAAAUAAACUACCAACUAAGCUGAAAUAUCCAGGAAGUUUUACUAUUCCCUAUUUUAUUGGUAGUUUAAACAUUGAGAAAAAAAUUAGCUGAUUUGGGUGCUAGCAUUAAUUUGAUACCUUAUAAAAUGUUCAAGCAGCUUGGUCUUGGAGAACCAAAACCCACUAGGAUAAGUAUUUAAUUAGCUGAUAGAUCAGUUAAAUAUCCUAGAGGUAUUAUUGAAGAUGUCCUUGUAAAAGUAGUUAAAUUCACAUUCCCUGUUGAUUUUUUUAUGCUUGAAAUUGAUGAGGAUGUUGAGGUGCCUUUAAUUUUAGGCCGCCCUUUUUUAGCCACUGCUAGGGCUAUCAUUGAUGUAGGUGAUGGUAAACUUGUGCUUAGGGUAGGUGACGAAGAGAUUAUUUUUAAAAUCUAUGAUGCCAUGCGAUUCUCUAGAGAACAAAAUGAUUCUUAUUAUUUUAUUUACUUUAUUGACCAUGUUAUUCAAGAUUCAUUACAGGAAAUUGUUCAUAAGGACAUGUUGGAACUGUGUCUUGUCCAAUGAGAGGAGGUAGAUGACAACAUUGUUGUGAUAAGUGAGACAAAAAUUGAUUUAGAUUCUAAUAAGUCUUCACUGAGACAGAAGAAUUAUGAGGGCAUUGAGGUAAAUGAUGAAUUAAAAUUAAAACCCCCUAUUGAAGAACCUCAAAAUUGGAACUGAAGCAAUUACCAAAUCACCUAGAGUAUGCGUUUCUUGGAAACAAUUCUACAUUACCAGUGAUUAUUGCUUCAGAUUUGCAGCCAAAUGAGAAAGAUGAGUUAUUGCAAGUAUUAAAGGAGCAUAAAAGAGCUAUAGCUUAGAAGAUUUCUAACAUUAGAGGGAUCAUUCCUUCUUUUUGCACCCAUAAAAUUUUAAUGGAGGAUGAAUACAAACCAUGUGUGCAAGCUCAAAAACGGCUAAAUCCUAACAUGAAGGAAGUCGUUAAGGCUGAAGUAAUUAAACUUCUAGAUACUGGAUUUAUUUAUCCUAUUUCUGAUAGUACUUGGGUAGGUCUUGUGUAGGUUGUUCCUAAGAAAGGAGGCAUGAUUGUUGUAGCCAACGAGAAGAAUGAGUUGAUUCCAACGAGAACAGUCACGAGACAGAGAGUUUGUAUUGACUAUAGGAUGUUUAUCGAUGCCACAAGAAAAUAUCUUUUCCUCUGCCAUUCAUAGAUCAAAUGUUGGAAAGAUUAUCUGGGCAUAUGUAUUAUUGCUUCCUAGAUGAACUCUCUAGCUACUUUCAAAUCCCGAUAGCUCCUGAGGACCAAGAAAAAAUGACAUUUACAUGUCCAUAUGGUACGUUUACUUAUCGAAGAAUGCCUUUUGGAUUAUGUAAUGCUCCUGUUACUUUUCAGCGAUGUAUGUUGGCCAUCUUUGAUGAACUUGUAGAAGACAUUAUGGAGGUAUUUAUGGACGACUUCUCGGUAUUUGGUAAUUCUUUCCAUCUUUGUCUUCAAAAAUUAAAAUGAGUUCUAAUGAGAUGUGAGGAAACAAACCUUGUGUUAAAUUGGGAAAAUGUCACUUUAUGGUUCGAGAAGGGAUUGUGUUGGACCAUAAAAUUUCUAGUAAAGAGAUUGAGGUUGAUAGAGCAAAAAUUGAAACCAGUGAAAAAUUAACUCCCCCUAGUUCAGUUAAGGCUAUUCGAAGCUUUUUAGGACAUGCUAGGUUCUAUAGAAGGUUUAUUAAAUAUUUUUCUAAAAUAUCUAAGCCUUUAAAAAAUUUGCUAGAAAAAGAUGUAGCCUUCGAUUUUAGUUAGGAAUGCUUAGAAGCAUUUAAUACAUUUAAAGAAAAAUUAAUUAAUGUUCCGAUUGUGGUUGCACCUGAUUGGAAUUUACCUUUUGAGCUUAUGUAUGAUACGAGUGAUUUUACAGUAGGUGCAGUUCUUGGAUAGUGAAGAGACAAGCAUUUUCAACCAAUUUAUUAUGCCAGCAAGACGUUGACAGAUGCACAGGAAAAUUACACUACUACCGUAACAUCCCUAACCCGUAUCUGACACCAGAACAGGGUUACAGAGCAUUAUCGGACUUAUAGAUCAAACAAUCAUACAUUUCAUGUUCAUUUUUCAUUCGAAUCAAAAACCAUUCAAAUUCAUUCAUAUAGUUCCUAAUACGAGCCCUCGAGGCCCAAAAUAGACAUUAAAAAUGGUUCAGGACUAAAUCGAGUACUAAAGAAAUUUUUAGAAAAACUUUGAAAUUUUUCAAUAUGCAGGGGACACACGCUCGUAUGGUCAGGCCGUGUGGGCAUUCGAAAUGGGGACACACGGCCGUGCCCUAGCCUGUGUCCACACCGGUGUAACUCACUGACCUGGGUCACACGGCCAGACCACACGCCCGUGUACCCUUCAAAAUGGCCUCACAUGCUCGUGUGCUAGGUCGUGUGCUAGGCCGUGUGAAGCUACUAGCUUGCUUUCUAUAUAAGUAUUAGGGGACACAAGACACACGGCUAAGACACAGGCCCAUGUCACCUGGCCGUGUGUCACACACGACUAAGACACACGGCUGUGUCUCUGCCCAUGUGGACAAAAAUAGGUCAUUUUCCAAGCCAUAUUUUUCACCCAAAUUGGUACCAACCUAAGCUCAACAAUGUACAUACAAUCAUGGAAUAAAUAUGCAUUCAAAACCAACCAAUGAAGUUUAUAACAUGUUAUAAUAUCACACACAAUCAUGAUACUCAUAGGUACCUCAAUAGACCAUUUAGCAUUUAUAACAUGCCAAAAUUUGUCUCCAACCUUUACCAAAAUGGUCAAACAUAUAUAUGAGACAUUGUACCUAAAACUUAAUAUGCAUGCCACUUCUCAAUUUCAACCAUUUGGUACUCAAAAUACCAAUUCACAACUAAGGCAUUCACAUAGCAAACAUACAUCAAUAUGACAAGGCCAUUUACUCAUCUAUACAUAACAAAAUAUACCAAAACAACUCAAAUCAAAUGGCUAAAUACAUGAACAAAACAUAUAGGCUACAUUAGCCAAAUAACCUAUACAUGCCAUUUAACCAAAAUAUAAAGUCUAAAGUACCAAAAUAAGUGUUUCAUAGUGUGCUGUAAUCUCCGACAACUUCCGAACCGAACGAGCUUCCGAAGCAUUAUAAAAUACGAAAAAUAAAACAGAGUAAGAAACUAAACUUAGUAAGUUCGUAUAACUAAAAAUACAACUUACCAAUCAACCACAAUUUAGGUAAACAAUAUUAAGGCAUAAUAUAACUCAAUUUGGCCCAAAAGCCUAACACAUAAUCAUUAACCAUGUUAGCCAUGAAUCCAUAUGUCAAUAUAUACCACUUCUUGUAUUUCACAUAAAUACUUGUACUGGUUCGUAUUGAAAUCAUAUAAUCCUCGUAACAACAUUGUUCCCGUUGAACCAUUUGGAAUACUAUCGGAUAUGCGGGUAUGUAGCACACUAGGUGCCAAAACGUGGUCAAAACCACCACUAUCUUAUAUCUCGUAUCAAUGCUCUCUCUCAAGCCAUAACUGGGUCUACUCAAACAGGCUGUAAAGUAACCACAACACAUGUCGAAAACUUAGCCACCGGUAAGACGUACGAGACCAACACCUAAAACACGGUAACCCCUAAUAACAUGUCAUUUGUAUCCUAUCUAUUCUUAAGGUUCAAUCGGGAUCCUUACGUCGUUGAAACUUUGUCGAAUAUUUCUGUAGAUUCGUAUCAUCACAAUUAUAAUAAUAAAGCAUUUAAAACACAUAAAAUUUAAUGCUUAUUAACAUACAAACUUACCUUGAAUUAAUACGAAAAAAAUCGACCAAUCAAUCCACUACUUUAUCUUUCCCCAGAUCGAAUUCCGAAUGGUACUUUUCUUGAUCUAUACAAUCAAAUUUAACUAAUUCACUCUUUAUUCUAUCCAACUCAAUCCAAAAUUCAUGUUAUGGCAAAAUUACCAUUUUACCCCUAUACGUUUAACUUACUUACAAUUUAGUUCCUAGGCUCCUAAAAUGAAAUUCUUGAAAUUUCAUCCAUACCUAAGCCUAGCCAAAUUUGAUACAUGCUCAUAGCAGCCCAUACAUUUAACAAUUUAACACAUUUAUCAAACAAUUUGCACAUUUCUCAAUUUAACCCCUAAUUGGCAAUUUCAUAAAAAAUCACUUAACAAAAGUUGUUUAAUUAACAACAAAGAUUCAUUUUCUUCCAUUAAAAUUAGAAAACAACUAAAAAGAUCUCAUGGUAAAACCCUAAGCUUUCAACCAUUUUGCAAAUUAGUCCCCAAGUUAGCUAGGUUAAGUUACAACAAUCCCGAAAACAAAAAAAUAAUUAAAAACGAGCUUAAAAAUCACUUACAUGCAAGAGAUUUCUUAACCAAAAGUUUCAAGCUCUGAAAGCCUUCCUUUUUGCUGAAAAUUUCAGUUGGGGAAGAUGAAUAAAGAUGACCAUUUUGUUUAUAUUAAAUUUUAACCUUUAAUUACCAAUUUAUCAAAUUACCCUUAUCAAACUUUAAAAUUUUCAUAAUUGCCAAGCCAUGCACAUCCACUAUCACCUUUAAUGGUCUAAUUAUCAUAUAAGGAUCUCUAAUUUAAAGUUCUAUAGCUAUUUAAUACCUUUAGCUAAUAGAACGCAACUUUCGCACUUUACGUGAUUUAGUUCUUUUCAUCAAAUUGAGCAUGCAAACGGUAAAAUUUCUUAACGAAAUUUUUAUACUAUAAUACUAUCAUGAUGUAGAUAUUAAAAUAAUAUUAAAAUAAUUUUUUUUGAAUUUAGAUCUGUGGUCCCAAAACUACUGUUCCGAUUUCACAGAAAAUGAGCUGUUACAACUCUCCCCCUUAGGAAUUUUUGUCCCCGAAAGUCUUACCAGAAAAUAGGUUAGGGUAUUGUUUUCUCAUGGUUCCUCGGGUUCCCAAGGAGCCUCCUCAAUCUCGUGACGUUUCCAAAGAACUUUUACUAAGGCUAUGUUUUUGUUUCUUAACUCUUUGAUCUCUCGUGCCAUAAUUUUGAUCGGUUCUUCGUUAUACAACAUGUCAGGCUGAAUCUCAACCUCUGUCGGAGAAAUUAUAUGCGAAGGGUCUGACCGGUACCGUCGUAACAAAGAUACAUGAAACGCAUUGUGAAUCUUUUCUAACUCUGACUAUAAUUUAAGUCGAUAUGCCACUGGCCCUAUUCUCUCGAUAAUCUCGUAUAGUCCGAUAAAUCGCGGAAUCAACCUUCCUUUGUGACCAAGACGGAGAAUUCUUUUCCAGGGCAAUACUUUCAAAAACACUUUAUCUUCGAUAUGAAAUUCAAUAUCUUUACAUUUCAAAUCCGCAUACGAUUUCUGUCGAUCUGAAGCUACUUUCAAACUGUCACGAAUCACCUUCACUUUCUCUUCGGUCUCUCUAAUCAAAUCAACCCUGUGUACCUUUUUCUCACUAAGCUCGGUCCAGUAUAAUGGAGUUCAGCAUUUACAACCAUAUAAAGCUUCAUAUGGUGCCAUCUUUAUGCUCGAUUGAAAACUAUUAUUAUACGUAAAUUCAACCAACGGUAAUUAUUUUUCCCAACUACCUUUGAACUCUAAAACACAACAACGAAGCCAAGAAUCUAAAUCACUCUCUCAAACUGACCAUCGAUUUGAGGGUGAAAGGUAGUGCUAAAAUACAACCAGGUACCCAAAGCCUCUUGUAACUUCUUCCAAAAUCGGGAUGUAAACCGCGGAUCUCUAUUCAAAAAAAUAGAGACCGGCACUCUGUGCAAUCUGACAAUCUCAGAAAUAUACAACUCAGGUAAUUUGACAAGAGAGAAGUCUGUACGUACUAGAAUAAAAUGUGUCAACUUCGUCAAAUGAUCAACCACAACCCAGAUAGCAUCUUUCUUUUUCGGAGAUAAGGGUAAUCUCGAUGUGAAAUCCAUCGUAACUCUAUCCUAUUUCUAUUCUGGUACAUCACUGGUUGUAACAGUCCUGAAGGCACCUGAUGUUCGGGUUUGACCUAUUGACAAAUCAAACAUCUGGACACAAAGUCAGAAAUGUCGUGUUUUAUACUCGGCCACCAGUACAUAUGUCUCAAAUCACUGUACAUCUUAUUACUCCUCGGAUGAAUAAACAAGCUACCACUGUAAGCUUUGUGCAAAUUUUUUUGUAUAAGCUCUGGAUUCUUUGGUACACAAACUCUACCUCCGAAUAACAAACAAUCAUCGAGUUCGACCUGAAACUCUGAAUCAGAAGUCGACUCACACUGUACUCGCUUAGCUUGCAAAUUAUUAUCACAUUUCUGAGCUUCGUAGAUUUGCUCUAGAAACAUCGGUUUAGCUUUUAACUCAGCUAAUAUUGAGGUAUCAUCAGACAAAGUCAAUCACAUAUUCAAACUUUACAUCUUUCUACAAUAACCGAGCCAUCAGUGUAGCUAUCAUGGAGAGCCCUUUUACAAAUCUCUGAUAAUAGUGCGCUAAUGCUAAAAAACUUCUAACCUCAGAUAUGUUUCUUGGUGGUCUCCCAUUAAUAACUGAUGAAAUCUUACUUGGAUCAACUCUGACGCCAUCUGCCAAAACAAUGUGUCCCAAAAAUCCAACUUCUUAGAGCCAAAACUCGUAUUUGAUGAAUUUCGCAAACAGUUGUUUAUCUCUUAGAUUUUGUAACACAAUUCUCAAAUGCUCGGCAUGUUCAAACUCGUUUCGGGAAUAAAUCAAGAUAUCAUUAAUGAACACAAAAAAAAAUCUGUCCAGAUACGAUCUAAAGAUUUGAUUCAUCAAAUCCAUGAAUACUGUAGGAGCGUUAGAUAACCCAAAUGGCAUAAUAAGAAAUUCAUAAUGCUUGUACCCGGUUCUGAACGUAGUUUUCGGCAAAUCUGAAUCUUUAACCCGCAGCUAAUAAUAUCUGGAAGGUAAGUCAAUCUUUGAGAAUAUCGAUGCACCCUUUAGUUGAUCAAAUAAAUCAUCAAUUAUCGACAAUGGAUACUUAUUCUUAAUCGCAACCUUGUUAAGCUAUCAAUAAUCGAUACACAAUCUCAUAGAUCCAUAUUUCUUCUUUACAAGCAAAACUGGUGUACCACAGGGCGAGAAACUCGAUCGUGCAAAACCUCUAUUUGUCAACUCUUGCAACUGCGAUUUCAAAUCUUUCAACUCUGUAGGAGCCAUUCUGUAUGGAGCUAUCGAUAUCGGUGAUGUUCCCGGUACUAACUCAAUAGCAAACUCGACCUGUCUGAUCGGUGGCAACCCGGGUAACUUUUCUAAAAACACAUUUGGAUAUUCACAAGCUACUGGCACUGAUUCAAUCUUCGAUUUAGACACUUUAGUAUCUAGUACAUAUGCAAGGUGAGCAUCACAACCUUUUCUCACAUACUUUUGCACUAACAUAGCAGUUAUCACAAUAGGCAACCCACUCGUAUCAUCGGAUUCAAUACGAAGAGUCUCACCGUUCUGACAUUUUAAUACAAUAAGCUUUCGUCUACAAUUUACAACAUCAUCAUGCAAAGUCAACCAAUCCAUGCCCAAAGUCACAUCGAAUUCACCAAACGGUAAAAGCAUAAAAUCGGCUGGAAAACUGUAACCCCGAGUCUUCAAAGGACAAUUCUUACAAACUUUAUUAAUUAGGACAUAUUGACCUAAAGGGUUCAAUACCUUAACCACGAAUUUAGUAAACUCAAUAGGUAAACUCUUACUAGACACUAAAUUCGUACAUACAUAAGAAUGGGUUGAUCUAGGAUCAAUCAAAGCAGUUACAUCAGUGUUAUAGAGAGAAAAAGUACCGAUGAUAAUAUUUGGCGCCGAUGCAUCUUUACGAGCGCGAAUAGCGUAAGCUCUGGAUGGCGCCCGUGCCUUGGAUCUCACAGCAGAAUCCUUCGUUGAACCUCGGCUACCACUCAUAUCUCCAGUAUUUUGGGGUGGUCUCCCUCUUGCAGCUGUAUUGCUUGGUCGAGUAGUCUAAAGUUUAUCUUUUUCGAGUAAUUCAAGACAGUCCCGAAUAAAAUGUUCCUGCGAGCCACAUUUGAAACAAGCUCUGUCAUUCAUCUGAAAUUCACCAAAAUGUCAUCUUCAACACUGUUGACACUCAGGUCAGUUGGCCUUAACACUACCAACGUUCGUUACUGAAGUGGCUUGAGCUUUUGGACUUGCGUAUUCUUUUUGUGAUCUCUAUUAGAAUACCCCACUGAAGCUGUUGAAUGAUUAUGGAAAUCCUUUAAUUUAUUUGAUGAUGAAUGAUAUGAUUUACCCGUUGACCUCUUUCUCAAAUCUCUAGCCUCAGAAUAGGCUCUUCUCUUUUCCUUUCUAAGCUCCUCAGCUUUGUGAGCUCUAUCAACUAAAAUCACAAAUUAUUUCAGUUCAAGUUUCCGACUAAAAGAUUAAUAUCUCCAUUCAACCUGUCUUCAAAAGGUUUAAACAUAACCACUUCGGUUGGAAUGCACUCUCAGGCAUACUUUUUUAGUCUCAUAAACUCUCUUUCACGCUCGGCUAUGGUUAUACGACCCUGUUUUAGCUCUAAAAAAUUCAUUGCGCUUUUGAUCAAGAAACUGUUGGCUUAUAUAUUUCUUUUUCAACUCUGUCUAAAAACAUUCCCAUGUGACUCGUUCUCUCAGUACAAUAGAAAUUAACGUGCUCUACCACUGGUAUGCGACAUCUUUCAAAAGAGACAACACAUUUGGCACAUUCUAUUGGCAUACAAGACAAUCAUCAAAAACUCUGAUUGUAUUCUCUAGUCAAAACACGACCCUCUCCAGAUUGUCCUCAAUAGUAGCUCAAAACUCUUUGGCCCCAUAUUUUUGAAUUUUAUCUACUGGUAGUUUGCUCAUGCAUACAGGUUCCAACACUUGAGGAGCUACGAGAACCAGUUGGGGAAAAGGUGAGGGUGGAGAUUGCUGAGCAGUCGGAUUAGUUUGGACAAACUCAGUGAACCACUCGUUCAUCAUUUGGAACAAGGAUUCCUUAGCCUCUCAUCCACGACCCUCAGAUACAGUCUCGAUCCAGACGACGCUGCUCCGCGAAUGGAGGCCAGUGCAUAACUUUCUACAUCACCAGAGUCUGCUCGAUUGGAAUCCAUUACUAUAUAAAAACAUGAUUGUGUAGGGGACACACGCCCGUGUAGCCAGGCCAUAUGUCUCACACGGCUAAGAGACACGCCUAUGUCUCAGGCCGUGUGGGCAUUCAAAAUGGGGACACACAGCCAUGUCCCAGCUCGUGUCCGCACCUGUAUAACUCACUGACUUGGGUCACACAACUAGACUACACACCCGUGUGCCACGCCGUGUACCCUUUGAAAUGGCCUUACACACCCGUGUGUCAGGCCGUGUGCUAGGCCGUCUGAAAACUAGAGGGUAUACUAACCUGUGCCACACGCCCGUGUGCUAGGCCGUGUGAACCUACUAGCUUUCUUUCUAUAUAACUAUCAGGGGACACAUGGCCGUGUCACCUAGCCGUGUGUCACACACAGCUAAGACACACGUCUGUGUCUCUGCCCUUGUGGACAAAAAUAGGCAAUUUUCCAUGCCAUAUUUCUCACCCAAAUUGGUACCAACCUAAGCUCAACAAUGUACAUACAAUCAUUGAAUAAAUAGGCAUUCAAAACUAACCAAUAUGAAUUUUAUAACAUGUUAUAAUAUCACACACAAUCAUGAUACUCAUAGGUACCUUAAUAGACCAUUUAUAACAUGCCAAAAUUUGUCUCCAACCUUUACCUAAAUGGUCAAACAUAUAUAUGAGACAUUGUACCUAAAACUUAAUAUGCAUGCCACUUCUCAAUUUCAACCAUUUGGUACUCAAAAUACCAAUUCACAACUAAGGCAUUCACAUAGCAAACAAACAUCAAUAUGACAAGGCCAUUUACUCAUCUAUACAUAACAAAAUAUACCAAAACAUGUAAAAUCAAAUGGCUAAGUACAUGACCAAAACAUAUAGGCUACAUUAGCCAAAUAACCUAUACAUGCCAUUUAACCAAAAUAUAAAGCCCAAAGUACCAAAAUAAGUGUUUGAUAGUGUGAUGCAAUAUUCGACAACUUCCAAACCAAAUGAGCUUCUGAGGCACUAUAAAACACGAUAAAUAAAACAGAGUAAGCAAUUAAGCUUAGUAAGUUCGUAUAACUAAAAAUACAACUUACCGAUCAACCACAAUUUAGGUAAAUAACAUUAAAGCAUAAUACAACUCAAUUUGGCCCAAAAGCCUAACACAUAAUCAUUAACCAUGUUAGCCAUGAAUCAAUAUGUCAAUAUAUACCACUUCCCUUAUUUCUCAUAAAUAACUGUACUAGUUCGUAUUGAACUCGUAUAAUCCUCAUAACAACACUGUGCCCAUUGAACCAUUUGGAAUACUAUCGAAUACGGGGGUAUCUCGCACACUAAGUGCCAAUACGUGGUUAAAACCACCACUAUCUCAUAUCUAGUACCAAUGCUCUUUCUCGAGCCAUAACUAGGUCUGCUCACACAAGCUGUCAAUCAAGACGUAGCUACAUGGUGCUACUCACACAAGCUGUAAAGUAACUGCAACACAAGCCCAAAACUCAGCCACCGGUAGGACGUAUGAGACCAGCACCCAAAACACGGUAACCCCAAAUAACAUGUCAUUUGUAUCCUAUCUAUUCCUAAGGUUCAACCGGGAUCCUUACGUCGUCGAAAUUUCAUCAAAUAUUUUCAUGGAUUCAUAUCAUCCCAAUUAUAAUAAUAAAUCAUUUAAAACACAUAUAAUUUAACGCUUAUUAACAUACGAACUUACCUCGAAUUAAUAUGGAGAAAAUUGACUAAUCAAUCCACUACUUUAUCUUUCCCCUGAUCUAAUUCCGAACGUUGCUUUUCUUGAUAUAUAUAAUCAAAUUUAACUAAUUUAAUAUUUAUUCUAUACAAUUCAAUCCAAAAUUCAUGUUAUGAAAAAAUUACCAUUUUGCCCCUAUAUUUUUAACUUAUUUACAAUUUAGUCCCUAGGCUCGUAAAACGAAAUUCAUGCAAUUUCAUCCAUACCUAAGCCUAGCCAAAUUUGAUACAUGCUCAUAACAGCCUAUAUAUUUUACAGUUUCACACAUUUAGCAAAUAAUUUUCACAUUUCUCAAUUUAACCCCUAAUUGGCAAUUUCAUAAAAAAUCACUUAACAAAAGUUGUUUAAUUAACAACAAAGAUUCAUUUUCUUCCAUUAAACUUCAAAAACAACUAAAAUGCUCUCAUGGUAAAACCCUAUACUUUCAACCAUUUUGCAAAUUAGUCCCCAAGUUAGCUAGGUUAAGUUACAGCAAUCCUGAAAACAUAAAAAUCAUUAAAAACGAGCUUAAAAAAUCACUUACAUGUAAGAGAUUUCUUAACCAAAAGUUUCAAGCUCCCAAAACCUUCCUUUUUGCUAUAAGUUUCAGGUGGGGAAGAUGAAUAAUGAUGACCAUUUUGUUUUUAUUAAAUUUUAACCUUUAAUUACCUAUUUACCAAAUUACCCUUACCUAACUUUAAAAAUUUCAUAAUUGUUAAGCCAUGCACAUCCACUAUCACCUUUAAUGGUCUAAUUACCAUAUAAGGACCUCCACCAUAAAGUUAUAUAGCCAUUUAACACCUUUUGAGCAUGCAAACAGUAAAAUUUAUUAACGAAAUUUUUAUACUAUAAUACUAUCAUGCUAUAGAUAUUAAAAUAAUAUUAAAAUAAUUUUUUUGACUUUGGAUCUAUAGUCCCGAAACCACUGUUCCGAUUUCACAGAAAAUGGGCUAUUACAACUACAAAAAAUGAAUUGCUUGCUGUGGUUUUUGCAUUCGAUAAAUUUAGACCAUAUUUGAUAUUAUCUAAAGUUGUUGUUUACAUUGACCAUUCAGCUCUUCGUUAUCUCCUUACUAAAUCAGAUGAAAAACCUUGACUUAUAAGAUGGAUUUUAUUAUUGCAGGAGUUCAAUUUGGAAAUCCAGGAUAAGAAGUGAGCUGAAAAUCUUGCAACAAAUCACCUUUCCAAACUAGAUAAUUCACAUCUCAAGAAGCUUAAUGAGAAUGAGAUAAACGACUCAUUCCCAGAGGAAAAAGUAUUGGUUAUAACCGAUUCUGAAGCCCAUUGAUUUGCGGAUAUCGCAAAUUACUUAGCUGCUAACAUCCUACCAAAAGGGUUGACAGAUCAUGAAAAGAAGCGAUUCUUUGCUGAUGUGAAAAUUUAUUUUUAAGAGGAUCCUUUUCUUUUUUGUGUAUGUGCAAAUCAAGUAAUUCAGAGGUAUGUUACAAAAUUAGAAGCGAGUAAAAUCUUGGAACACUGCAACUCAAGACCAACAGGAGGGCAUUACAGUGGGACUACGACAGCACAUAAAACAUUUGAAUUAGGUUUUUAUUGGCCCGACUGUUCUAGGACACUAACAAGUAUGUUCUUGUGAUAGAUGCCAGAGAACAGGUAAUAUUUCUAAACGUGAUGAAAUGCCUCAAACUUAUAUGCUCUCAUGUGAAAUUUUUUACAUCUGGGGCAUUACUUUUAUGGGCCCAUUACCUAGCUCGUUUGGUAAUAAAUACAUCCUAGUAGCAGUCGGUUAUAUGUCAAAAUGGGUAGAAGCACAAGCUUUACCUAGCAACGAUGCUAGAGUGGUAGUUCGAUUUCUUAAGAAGCUCUUUUCUCGAUUUGGAACACCUAGAACAAUUAUUAGUGAUAGGGUAUGCAUUUUUGUAACACUCAAUUUAAUAAAGUUCUUAAGAACUAUGGGGUGCAUCAUAGAAUAGCUACCCCUUAUCACCCUUAAACUAGUGGACAAGUUGAACUUGUGAAUCGAGAACUUAAACGUAUCCUAGAAAAAAUUGUAGACUCAAGUAGAAAGGAUUGGGUGAUAAAAGUAGAUGACGCUUUAUGGGCUUAUAGAACUGCUUAUAAAACACCCAUAGGAUCAUCUCCUUACAAACUUGUAUAUGGAAAACAUUUACCAUUUGAACUAGAGUACAAAGCAUUCCGGGCAAUAAAAUUCGUAAACUAUGAUCUUAAACUUACAAGUGAGAAGAGAUUGAUGCAGCAGAACGAGUUAGAUGAGUAGCGAGCAAAUGCUUACGAAAACUCACGACUAUAUAAAGAAGCGACAAAGCGACGCCACGAUGCCCGUUUGAAGUAGCCCAAACAAUUCACAGUUGAAGAUCUUAUCCUUUUAUACAAUUCAAAGCUCAAGUUGUUUCCCAAAAAGCUUAAAUCAAGAUGUUCAGGCCCAUUCGUAGUACAAACUAUUUUCUCAUACAGUAUGAUAUAGGUAACCCAUCUAGCAUAUGGCACAUUAAAGGUAAAUGAUCAUCGACUCAAACUUUAUAGUGGUGACAAAUUUAGAAAUGAUAUAGAGGAGCUUCGGCUCCACGAACCUUUGUAAUAAUACGCACAAGGUAAGUUAAGCUUAGACUUUAAAUAAGCGCUUCUCGAGAGGCAACUCGAGUGUUAACAUUGCUAAUUUUCUUAUUUUUAUUUCAUGGUAAUUUUAAAAUUAAUUAAAUAUAAAAGAAAGUGUUUUUUUGACCCAUACGGCCUGGGACACGCCCGCAUGUGUCCCAAGCCAUCUGCACUAAAAAGGGUUUGACAGUGAGUUACAUGGCCUAGCGACAUGGGCCUGGGCACACGGGUGUGUCCUUGGCUGUGUAGAUCUUAAGACUUACUUUUAAAAUUUUAAGAAAAUCAAUAGUGAGUUACACGGCCUUGUGACCUAUACGGCCUGGACACACGGAUGUGUCCUUGGCCGUAUGAAUCUUGGGACUUAAAUUUCAAAAAAAUUGACAGAGACAUGGCCUGAAAUAGUCUACACGACCGUGCAACAAAGCCGUGUGAAACUCGAAACUAAUUUUUUCAAUUUUUAAACAAGUCAGAGCGUUACACGGGCAAGGCACACGAUUGUGUGCAAGACACGACCUAGCUACACAGGCGUGCGGAAGUGCACAUCGACAUGGAAGAAGCGAAAGAGGUCGCACACGACCAGGCAACACAGUCGUGUGAAGACUAGGCUUAUAUUUUUAAAACGUACACGGACGGGCCUAAACACGACCGUGUCACCCUUUUUAAAGUAAACCCGAAUUUAUUUUUUUAAGUUUGUCUUCUUCCUCCCCUUUUCAACCAUUGCCACCGCUCUCCAAACACUAAAACCCUAACCGCUGCUUAUCAUUUUGGCCACCGUCCCUAUUUGUUCCACGUUCUCCCUCGGCCUUCUCCUUCUCUCACCGAACCCAACCCCCUUACUUCUUUCUUUUUCCCUUUCCAAGCCCCCAUCGUCGCACCCACCAUUUUCCCCUUCCCCUUCUCCUCCCUCACCUUUCCCUCACCCAUCUCGUCCGCCCUCUUGCUCCCCAAAUCUCUACCUCGUCACUCUGCUCACCACCACCACCCACGACCCUCUCCCCUCUCAUUUCCCUUUCUUCCCUUUCCCUUACUUUCCCCUUCUCUUUCCCCCGAACGCACCACUCCUCACCCUUUCUCCCAUUAUUUCUCUCAUCACCUUACCCUUUCUAGGCUCAACCACACACACCACUCAACCCCAUCGCACAGACCACACCUUCUUAUAUUCAGCCCUUCUCCAUUGCGUCGACCACCAGCCGCCGCGCGACCCUUCUCCAUUGCUCUAUUAUUAUUUAUUUCUUUAUUAAUAUUAUUUUAUUUUAUUAUUUUUACUUCUUUUACUUGUUUCUUUAUUUAUUAUUAAUUAUUUAGUUUCUUUAAUGUUGAUUUUGUUUAUUCUUAAUGUAGUUCUAGACAUGUUUACUAUUUUCUUUUACUUUACUUUAUUUUAUUCCUUUCAUUCAACGGUAUUAUACAUUUAUUUUGUUUUAAUUGAUUUUAUUUUUGAUUUUAUUCUUGCUAGUCUUGAUUAUUCAUUUUAUUAUUGAUCAUUAUUAGUUUUAUUUAUUCUUACUAGGUUUUUGUUUGGUAGUAGCAUUUUGUUUAUUAGUUUUAUUAUGUUCCAAGUCAAUUUCUCUUUUAGUCUGAUUGUUGAGCUUCACUUAGAUCUUUUAUUUCUUAUUAGCGUGCCUCAAUUAUGUUUGUUCGUCCAUUUAAUUUAUUUUGAUUGAUUUAUUGUAAAUUCAUUAUGACGAACACACGAACCAAGUUCAAGGUCGUUGUCCCCACAUUAAAAAAGUGGAGGACCCCUAGCGCGACUUCCUCCUCGAUCGCCCCUACUAAAGCCUGUCACCCUUAUCUCCUAUUUUCAACGAGUCCCUAGGAGGACUUAUUAUAGUUACUUCAAGUGCGACCACUCGGCUUAGGCCAAUGUAUUGAUUGGGCCGCUUUGGAGCAAGUCUAGCUAUCUAAUCUUGUUGGCCCUUUUCUUGCCACAGCCCCGUGAAACCAGUUCUUCUCUAUCAUCGAGCCGACAUAUAUGGAGUUGAAUUUAGAGUUCUACUCGACAUUUACACUCCAGCAUGCGAUGAAGACUCAUGAUGAGCCUGGCACCAUAACUUUCAGACUUGGUGGCUUGGUGUGCCAUAUGAUUGUCUCUGAGUUUGGCACUGCUUUGGGUCUAUAUACUGAGGAGUUUAUGAGUUCCGAAAUCUUCCUCCACCUACAUUGACACAUCCACUACUCACCAGCUAGUUGUUAGACAGAUCUUACAGUGACUAUGACACCCUAUGACGUGAGUCGCUCAAAGGUGACUUCUCUCCCUCCGGCUUUACAGUAUAUUCAAGCCCUUUUAGCUCAAACUUUGACUGGUAGGAGAGAGAGCACCGGAGUCAUUAGUACUACCAAUGCCUUUUUUAUGGAGUAUGACCACUGGGCAUAUUUUUUAUUUAGCUUACUUCAUCGCCAUCACUUUUCGCCAUCAGAUAGACGGCAACAGGAAGGGUCCUAUCUAUUUAGGCCCUUAUAUGACUCGAAUAGCUCGACACUUCGGUCUCCUUGACACACCGGAGCAGUCCUCUAUGCUUACACUCGCCGUUAAAAUGUCUCUAUAGAAAAUCUCGAGCAUGAUCCAUAUGAGGAUGAUCGAGCUGCGUCGUGGAGUAGAUCCUCCUCAGUACCGAUUAGUUCAUUCUAACUCUCAGAAUGAACCCACGGACUUCACUGAUGAUGUCCCUUUGCAUCACGAGGACCCACCUCAUCCUCCACCUUCGAGUCACCAUCCUGUUUCUUCUGCUGCUACUUUAGUGGACCUCUCAGAGUGGUUCACUCGUUUCGAGCAGCAUUGCUUUCAAAGGUUCGACACUAUUGACGCGACAUUACAACAGAUCUGUCAGCAUCUCCAUAUCUCCUCCUCAACGCUGACGACUCAUGACACCGACGCUUCUAAUGAUGAGGACCACUAGUCUAUUAUUUUUGCUUUUAUUUUUAUUUUUAUGUUUAAUGUUAUUUUCUUAAACUUAAUUCGUUUUUAUCUUUUGAACUAUAUUUCUAUUUUAUGGUUGUUUCUAAUCAAGUUUUAAUCCCUUAAUUCCACUUUUCACUAUACUGGGGAUUUCAUCCAAUAUUCGAGGUAGUUUCAGUUUUCUCCAUCUCUUAUGAUAUUUUGUUUAUAUUGUGAUUAUCUAUGUUUGUACAUUGAGGACAAUGUAAAUCUUAAGUGUGGGGAGGUUAUUUAUAUAAUUAUUAGAAAAUCCCUAAAUUAUGUCUUGUGUUUAAGUAAUUUUCUCAUACUUCUAUUAGAAUGAAUUUUUAUCGAUUUGUGAUUUUAUUGAUGUGUUUUGGAUUAAAUUUAUAGAUAAUCAUGUAUUGGUUGUUUUAAAAUUUAAGACAUGAGAGAAUCAAGCUUGAUAAGUUUAUUUUCAGAAUUAAAAAUCUGUAGGUUGUUUCCCGGAAUUGAGGUAUUACCUUGAAGUUUGAGAUUUGCAAGAUUGACAUCAAUAACCAUAAUUUUUUGUGUGAGAUUUUGAGCCUUUAGAGCAUACAUUUUUCUUGCUCAUUUUUAUUAUUGGUUAUGAGUCUGUCAAUUAGAUUUGUUUUUCUAGAACUUGCUUCGAUUAUGCAUGUCGAGACCACACCUUUGAUUUGAUAUACUAAGAUGAUAAAGGCACUUAGGUUUAACCCACUUAUCCCAUAAAAAGCCGACCUACAUAAUUAACCUUUAGUGAACCCCAUUGAGUCUAACACAUCGUUUCUUAAUUUAUCUAUUAAUGUUAACCCAUAACUCAUUUUUUUGCUCAUUGAGAAUUUUUUUCGAUUUAUUGACUCCCUUUUUAUCGAUAUUUGACUUGGUUAAUUGCCUAAUUAAGCCCCUUUAGUUUUUUUGUUGAAUUAUUUCUCAUUCUAAAAAGAGUAAAAAAAAGUUGAAGAAAAAAUAUAUUGAUUAUUAUUUAGUUCUAUGUUAAUUGAGCUUGAACAGUUAGAUUUAUAUUUUAAGAAGAAGCCCGUGUUAUUCUUGAACAAUUUUCGAUUGAUGUAAUUGUUUUUAAUUCAACAUUUGUUUAUUUUUCUAGUUUGGUAAUUUAUCAAUUCGAUCUCAACUUUAAUUAACUUUUUCAGCCUUUCUCCACACCCUUAACCUAAGCUCAAUUACAACCUCUUAAAGGUCUUUUGAUUUGUGUAUCAUCUCAUUUUAUAGUGGUGGAGAUAUGAUUUUCAUGCAAGCCUUUGGUAAUGACUUUUCAUCUUUGACUAUUGAGUGCUUAUUCUUGAACCUUAAACACUUUGAGUGAUUUGAGUGAAUCUUUAGUGAGGAUGCCGAUUCUUGUCUAUUUUGAAUUAAAGCUAAUUACUUAGAUAAGGGGAAAUACCUAUGUUUUCAUGCUUUAAAAAUUUUCGUCUUGGAUUGUUUGAAUCUUUAGUGCUCUUUUAGUUGAAUUAUCAAUGUAUGAUUAUUUGUGAAUUAUGACGAAACAUCAUUUAUGAGAAUUAUGAGUAACACCCCUUACCAGUGUUCCUUGCAGGAACAGAGUAUGAGGUAUUACUAGAACUCAAACACUUAUAAAUUUUUUUUAUAAAAAUUUCGACAGUAUUUCUGCUUAUUUUUACAUAAAACCCCCUGCAAAUUUUCAAAGACAAUUUCAAACAACUUCAAUAUUUCUAACCAAUUACAGUUAUAUGUUCAGACAUAAUUUAUCCAUUAAUAAACACCAACAUAUUAAACCGAAAAAUACUAAAUAUAUACAUAUUUAUACCACAUUACAUAAAGUCAUCUAUACAUGCCAUGUUUCCAAAGUAUUAAUUGCAAAAUACCCAAAAAGUUGAUGAUAGUGUGGAUGAUUAUCUGACGUCGUCCAAGUUCCGAGCUGAUUGAUGUCACUAUAAUCAAGGGAAAAUAAAAACGAGUAAGCAUAUAGCUUAGUAAGUAAACAUAUGACAAAUAAAUAAAUUCCUCACAUGAUUACAUAGUAACAUAAUUUUAAUCACACAUAAAUUUCAUUGUUUGUUCAAUUUCCAGCAAGCUAUUUUUCUGCAUCAUGGUCACUAAUUUAUUUUUAUCUGGAGCUACACGGCUCCAAAUUAAGUUCUGUAAAUUUUCCCCAAAACUAUAUUCAUAUACCUUUCCACCAAAAAAUUUUAAGAAUUUUUUGUUUCGCCAAUUAGUACAUUUUAUUCUCUAAAUAUUCCCCUAUUUCACUGCUCAACAGUUCUGACCUCUCCUUACUAAAAUUUACUUAAAUCCUUGUAAAGAAUUCAAAAAAUGUUCUCGUUUCUUUCUCUUAAAAAUAGACUCAUUCAUUAAUUCAAGCAUGUAAAUUUAAAUCCAUAAUUAUUUUUGUACAAGUUUUGGCUAGUUUUCAAAGUUGGAACAGGGGAUUUCGAAAUCAAUUUAACCCCGUCUCAAAAAAAUUAAAAUAUCCCAAAAUAUACAACUCUUUUGCUUCCCCUUUUUCUUCCAUAUAGACUCAUUCAACUUCAAUUUCAUAUAUUACUCAACUUCUAAUUCAUUUUCCACCAUUUUAUAGUGAUUUUUCAAAGUUGCCCCACUAUUGUUGUUUAAAACAGUUUUGUAUUUAAAUUUGCUCUUUUGUACUUUUGAUAUUUCCUCCCAUCUUACAUAUGGGUUGAUACAGUUUCAAACCCAAACAUUUCCCACUUAAUCUUGUCCACCAUAUAUAUAUUCACCUUUCAAAUUUUCUCGUUGAACACACGGAAUGUUAUCUGUUAUCGGUGGAUUCAGCACUUAGCAACCACCAGUGAUUCGAGGAAUCAGCACUUAGCAACCCCUUUCACAUUCAAUGAUACAGUGGAAUCAGCACUUAGCAACCACCAAUGAAUCGGGGAAUCAGCACUUAGUAACCCCUUUCACAUUUAAGAUACGGUGGGAUCAGCACUUAGCAACCACCAAUGAAUCGGGGAAUCAGCACUUAGCAACCCCUUAGGGGAAUCAGCACUUAGCAACCCCCUUCACAUUUAAAAUACGGUAGAAUCAGCACUUAGCAACCACCAAUGAAUCGGGGAAUCAGCACUUAGCAACCCCCUUUAUAUUCAAUGUACUCCGCCUAUUCCGAGUGUUCAACCGAAAACCGUGUUUUUCAACACUUUACCACCUUUCCCAACUUAACCACAAUUUUAGUAUCUAUACCAAGUAUUUAUUUUAUGUUCAAUUAAGUCUCAACAUAUAAUGAAUAAUAUCAAAAUAAUGCAUUAAUUCUCAUGUUUACUUACCUCGGUGCAAAAUAUCGUAAUUUUGCAAUUUACUUCACUAUCUUCUCUUUUCCCCGUUUGAGGUGGUCUUCUCGUCUUUCUUGAUCUAUAAUAGCAAAUUUAACUCAUUUAAUGUUCACAUUUAAUAAAAUAGUCCUCCACCCAACUUUUUGAAAAAUUACAAAUUUGCCCCCAAACUUUUGCAUAUUUACACUUUUGUCCCUAAGCUCGAAAAUUAAACUUCAUCUCUUAUUAUUAUGUUUUAUGACAUGCUGAACAUUUUUCCCUUCUAUGAAAACAUCAAAUUCUCAUUCUAACACAUACUUUUGAACAUUAAUUAUUUUUACCGAUUAUGUCUAUUUACUCGUUUUCGCUUAAAAUCGCUUAGCAAAAGUUGUUUAACAUAAUUUCUAGCUUCAUAUUCUACCAUAAAACAGAAAAAUAAACACAUUUCUCCUAUGGGUAUUUUUCCAAAUAUGAACCCCUAACAUGAAUUAAUGGUAGAAUAAGUUAAACCGAGUUACGAGGAUUUCAAAAAUGCGAAGAACAUUAAAAACGAGGCUAGGAUGCACUUACUAUUGAGCUUGGAAGCUUAAAAACCCUAACUAUGGCUUUCCCCUUGCUGAUUUCAUUCACCAUAAAGAAGAUGAGCACAUUUUUCCAUCUUUUUCCCUUUUUAAUUCUUUUUAUUACUAAAUGACUAAAAUGCCCCCAUUUAAAAAAUCUAUUUCACCCAUUUCUUAUGUCUAUUUUUGUCCAUCAAUUAAUUAAUGGUAUAAUUACCAUAUAAGGACCACCAAUUUAUAAUUUCAUAACAAUUAGACACUUCUAACAUGUAGAACUCAACUUUUGCACUUUUUACAAUUUAGUCCUUUUUACUAAAUUGAGUGCCCAAACGUCGAAAUUUUUGAACGAAACUUUUACGAAAUUUUUCCGUGAAAUUGUAGAUCAUAAAAAUAUAAUAAUAAUAAUAUUUUCCCUUGUCAGAUUUUUGGUCCCGAAAUCACUGUUUCGACUAGGCCCAGAAUCGGGCUGUUACAAUUCUCCCCCCUUAGGGAUUUUCGUUCCCGAAAAUCUUACCGAAAAAGAGGUUUGGGUACUGUUUCCUCAUAACUUCCUCCAGUUUCCACGUAGCCUCUUCCAUUCCAUGUUUUUGCCACAACACAUUCACUAAGGCUACACUUUUAUUUCUUAACUGUUUGACCUCUCGAGCCAGAAUCUUUAUCGGUUCCUCCUCCUAAGUCAUAUCCGGUCGAACUUCAUUUUUUGUAGGAGAAACUAUAUGUGAAGGAUCAAAACGAUAGCGUCGUAACAUCGAUACAAUGAAAUACAUUAUGUAUUCUUUCCAACUCUGCCGGUAAAGCUAACCGAUAAGCUACAGGUCCAAUUCUUUCAAUAACUUCAUACGGUCCAAUAAAGCGUGGACUCAAUUUGCCUUUACAACCAAAUCUCAAAAUCUUAUUCCAUGGAGAUACUUUCAAGAACACUCUAUCGCCCACUUGAAAUUCAAUCUCUUUCCUCUUUAAAUCUGCAUAUGACUUUUGCCGAUCUGAAGCAGCCUUUAAACAGUCACGGAUUACUUUUACUUUUUCUUUAGUUUCUUUCACCAAGUCAACUCCAUGAAUCCGGUUCUCACCGAGCUCAGUCCAAUAUAAAGGAGUUCUACACUUACGCCCAUAUAAUGCUUCAUACGGUGUCAUCCGUAUACUUGACUGAUAGCUCCCAACUGCCUUCAAAUUCUAAAAUACAACACCGGAGCAUGUCUUCAAGAACUUGAAUCACUCUUUCUGAUUGCCCGUCAGUUUGCGGAUGGAACGCAGUACUAAAGUUCAAUUUUGUACCCAAAGCUUCCUGCAACUUUAUCCAAAACCUCGAUGUGAACCUCAGAUCUCUAUCCGAUAUAAUAGACUUAGGCACCCCGUGUAGUCUCACUAUUGUAGCAACAUAUAACUCCGCCAACCUGUCAAGUGAGUAAUCAACGCGUACCGGAAUGAAAUGGGCUGACUUUGUCAGUCUAUCAACAAUUACCCAAAUAGCAUCCUUCUUUUUUGGAGUCAAAGGCAAUCCCGUCACAAAAUCCAUCGUGAUGCUAUCUCACUUCCACUCUUGAAUCAUUACCGGCUGAAGUAAAACCGAUGGUACUUGAUGCUCAGCUUUCACUUGUUGACAAAUUAAACACUUUGAUACAAAUUCCGAGAUAUCCUUUUUCAUGCCCGGCCACCAAUACAAUUUCUUCAAAUCAUUAUACAUUUUCACACUACCUGGAUGAACUGACAAAUCACCACUAUGUGCCUCACAUAAAAUGGUCUGGAUCAACUCAUCAUUACUCGGUACACAUACCCUAUCUCGAAACAUUAGACAAUCAUCUGAUCUAAUUUGAAAAUCUGAAUCAGCACCUGCUUCACACUGAGCUCCCCUGGCUUGCAAUUCACUGUCAUUCUUUUGUGCUUCCCGAAUUUGCUGAAGGAAUAACGGUCUAGCCCUCAAUUCAGCCAAAAUUGAACCAUCAUUAGAUACAAUUAAUCUCGUAUUCAUAGCUCUCAAAGCAAAUAAAGAUUAUCUGCUCAAGGCAUCAGUAACAACAUUAGCUUUUCCUAGAUGAUAAUCAAUCACUAGCUCAUAAUCUUUUAUUAGCUCGAGCCAUCUUCGUUGUCGCAAAUUCAAGUCUUUUUGAUUCAUUAAACACUUCAAACUCUUACGAUCAGUGAAGAUUCGGCAUUUCUCACCACACAGAUAAUGACGCCAAAUUUUUAAAGCAAAAACAAUGGCAGCCAAUUCUAAAUCAUGCGUUGGAUAAUUCUUCUCGUGCGGUUUCAGUUGUCUCGAAGCAUAAGCUAUUACUUUGCCCUCUUGCAUUAACACACACCCAAGUCCAUUCAACGAUGCAUCACUGUAAAUUAUAAACUCCUUCCCUGACUCAGGUUGUACCAACACUGGUUCCUCAGUCAAUAAAGCCUUCAAUUUCUCGAAACUUUGUUGACAUUUAUCGGUCCAUUCAAACUUGACAUUCUUUUGCAAUAACUUAGUCAUAGGAGAGGCAAUCAUCGAGAAUCCCUUGAAAAACCGUCUGUAAUAUCCGACUAAGCCCAGAAAGCUUCUAACCUCGGUCACAUUCUUUGGUAGCUCCCAAUCAACAAUUGCUGAAAUUUUGCUUGGAUCAACCCGAGUACCUUCACUUGAAACUAUAUGCCCCAAGAAUCCAACCUCACGAAGCCAAAACUCACUUUUGCUAAAUUUAGCAUAUAAUUUAUUCUCUCUCAGAAUCUACAACAUAGUUCUCAAAUGUUCGGCGUGCUCGGAUUCAUCCCGAGAAUAAAUUAAAAUAUCAUCUAUGAACACCACCACAAACUUAUCUAGAUACGGCUGGAAAGUUCGAUUCAUUAAAUCCAUAAAAAUAGUCGGAGCAUUAGUCAACCCAAAAGGAAUUACCAGAAAUUCAGAAUGGCCAUACCUCAUUCUGAAAGCGGUCUUUGGCACAUCGGACUCUGUAACUCUUAACUGAUAGUAACCCGACCUCAGAUCAAUCUUUGAAAACACUGUUGCUCCUUUUAGUUGGUCGAACAAAUCAUCAAUUCUUGGUAAAGGGUACUUGUUCUUUAUAGUCACUUUGUUAAGCUGACGAUAGUCAAUACAAAGUCUCAUAGAGCCAUCUUUCUUUUUCACAAAUAAUACAGGAGCACCCCAAGGAGAAAAACUUGGUCUCACAAAUCCUUUAUCUGUUAACUCUUGUAAUUGAGCUUUUAAUUCUUUCAACUCAGUCGGAGCCAUCCGAUACGGUGCAAUAGAAAUUGGUGCAGUACUAGGUAACAAAUCAAUAACAAACUCAACUUCUCUAAUCGGAGGUAACCCAGGCAAUCCCUUUGGAAAUACGUCCGGAAAUUCACAAACUACCGGCACUGAUUCAAGCUUCGACCCAGUUAUAUCAAUAUUCAACACAUAAGCAAGAUAAGCUUCACAUCCUUUUCUCAAGUAUUUCUGAACAGACAUGUGUGAAAUCACCACAGGCAAUUUAUUCGGCUCCUCUGCUUCAACCCGGAGAAUUUCACCAUUUUCACAUUUCAAUUCCAGAAUUUUCUGUCUACAAUUUACCUUGGCAUCAUGCAAUAUCAACCAAUCCAUCCCCAGAAUAACAUCAAACUCAUCAAAUGGUAACAACAUCAAAUUAGCCGGGAAACAGUGACCGUGAAUCAUCAGAGGACAAUUCUUACAAACCUUAUUGACUAAGACAUAUUUGCCUAAAGGAUUUGAUAUUUUAACCACAAAUUCAGUAUUUUCAACAGGAAAAUUCUUACUAGAUACUAAAUUCACACAUACAUAUGAAUGAGUAGACCCAGGGUCAAUCAAAGCAACAACAUCAAUAUCAUGAAGAGAAAAUGUACCAGUAAUUACGUCAGGAGAUGAUGCAUCCUCACGAGCACGUAUGGCAUAAGUUCUGGCAGACUCUCUAGUUUUUGAUUUCCCAACUAUAUCUUUCACCACACUUUUACCGCUGACUUUGCUCUCAACAUCCUCGAUGGUCUACCUCUACAAACAAUAUCACCCGAUCUAGCUCUCUGCAAUCUUUCUUCCUCUAUUCUCUCAGGGCAAUCUUUUAUAUAAUGUUCUUGAGAACCACACUCGAAACAGGCUCGUCUAAAUCCCCAACACUCUCCAGCAUGUCCCACACUGUUGACACUCCGGUCUAGUAUUCCCCACAUUGCCCACACUUGCCAUCGAGGUAGUUUGAGUUUUAGCUCUGGGGUAUGAUUUCCCUCGAUCUCUACAUGAAUACCCAGCUGAACCAGUUGAUCGCGGAUCCAUCCCUUUAAGCUUCUUUGGUUGAGAUUGAAAUGUCCUGCUCAUUGACUUUUUUCUUACAUCUCGAGCUUCAAUCUCUGCUCUUCUCUUUUCUUUACUCAGUUCUUCAGCUUUACAAGCUCGAUCAAUCAGUACUACAAAUUCUUUCAACUCUAAAAUCCCAACAUACAAUCUGAUAUCUUCGUUUAACCCUCUUCGAAUCUUUUACACAUAAUGGCCUCGGUAGGUAUACAUUCUUGGGCAUAUUUGCUGAGGCUAAUAAACUCCCUUUCAUACUCUGCCACAGACAUUCGGCCUUGCUUCAACUCAAGAAACUCCUUGCGUUUCUGAUCAAUAAACCGCUGACUUAUAUAUUUCUUUCUGAAUUCCUCCUAGAAGAAGUCCCAGGUAACUCUUUCUUUUAGAACCACCGAUACUAAUGUUUUCCACCAACGGUAUGCUGAAUCCUUCAAUAAAGACACAGCACAUUUCAAACAUUCCUUAGGAGUACAAGAUAGUUCAUCAAAUACCCGGAUAGAGUUUUCAAGCCAAAACUCUGCUUUUUCUGGAUCAUCAUCAACAUUAGCCCUGAAAUCUUCAGCCCCAUGCUUUCGAAUUUUGUCAACGGGAGGUUUACUUGAUCUUACCAAAUCAACACUUUGCGGAGCUACGAGGACCAGUUGAGGAAUAGGAGGGGUGGAGGAGGUUGAACAUUCAGAUUUGCACGAACAAAGUUUGUAUACCAAUUACUCAUCAUUCGAAGGAAGGCUUCCCGAGCCUCAUCCUGACUAUGCGUCUCAUGUCUACUUUCUUCAUGCGCGGUCCCUUGAGUGGAAGCCGGCGCGUUACUCUCAACAUCAUCUGCUACACUUCGGUCAGGAUCUAUUUAUUAUAUAAAACAAAAUUUUAAAUUGUCAAAAAUCAUCACACUAUCACAAUAUAUUUAUGACAUGUAUAGAUUGACUUCCACGCAUAUUUUAUUAGUUCGAGAAUCGACUAAACCGUAGCUCUGAUACCAAUAAAAUGUAACACCCCUUACCAGUGUUCCUUGUAGGAACAGAGUAUGAGGUAUUACUAGAACUCAAACACUUAUAAAUUUUUUUAUAAAAAUUUCGACAGUAUUUCUGCUUAUUUUUACAUAAAACCCCCUGCAAAUUUUCAAAGACAAUUUCAAACAACUUCAAUAUUUCAAACCAAUUACAGUUAUAUGUUCAGACAUAAUUUAUCCAUUAAUAAACACCAACAUAUUAAACCAAAAAAUACUGAAUAUAUACAUAUUUAUACCACAUUAUAUAAAGUCAUCUAUACAUGCCAUGUUUCCAAAGUAUUAAUUGCAAAAUACCCAAAAAGUUGAUGAUAGUGUGGAUAAUUAUCUGACGUCGUCCAAGUUCCGAGCUGAUUGAUGUCACUAUAAUCAAGGGAAAAUAAAAACGAGUAAGCAUAUAGCUUUUUAUGUAAACAUAUUACAAAUAAAUAAAUUCCUCACAUGAUUACAUAGUAACAUAAUUUUAAUCACACAUAAAUUUCAUUGUUUGUUCAAUUUCCAGCAAGCUAUUUUUCUGCAUCAUGGUCACUAAUUUAUUUUUAUCUGGAGCUACACAGCUCCAAAUUAAGUUAUGUCAAUUUUCCCCAAAACUAGGCUCAUAUAAAUUUCCACCAUAAAAUUUUUAGAAUUUUUAGUUUGGCCAAUUAGUACAAUUUAUUCUCUAAAUAUUCCCCUGUUUCACUGCCCGACAGUUUUGACCUCUCUUUACUAAAAUUUACUUAAAUCCCUAUACAAAAUUAAAAAAAUGUUCUCGUUUCUUUAUAUUACAAAUAGGAUCAUUAAGGAAUUCAAGCAUGUAAAUUUCAAGUCAUAAUUAUUUUUGAACAAUUUUUUGUGAUUUUUCAAAGUUGAAAUAGGGGAUUUCGAAAUCAAUUUAACCCUGUCUCAAUAAAAUUAAAAUAUCCCUAAAUAUACAACUCUUUUGCUUCCACUUUUUCUUCCAUAUGAAAAUAGACUCAUUCAAAUUAAAUUUCAUAUAUUACUCAACUUCUAAUUCAUUUUCCACCAUUUAUAAUGAUUUUUCAAAGUUGCCCCACUGUUGUUGUUCAAAACAGUUUUGUAUUUAAAUUUGCUCUUUUGUACUUUUGAUAUUUCCUCCCAUCUUACAUAUGGGUUGAUAAAGUUUCAAACCCAAACAUUUCUCACAUAAUCUUGUCCACCAUAUAUAUAUUCACCUUUCAAAUUUUCCUGUUGAACACUCGGAAUGUUAUCCGUUAUCGGUGGAUUCAGCACUUAUCAACCACCAGUGAUUCGGGGAAUCAACACUUAGCAACCCCUUUCACAUUCAAUGAUACGGUGGAAUCAGCACUUAACAACCACCAAUGAAUCGGGGAAUCAGCACUUAGCAACCCCUUUCACAUUUAAGAUACGGUGGGAUCAGCACUUAGCAACCACCAAUGAAUCGGGGAAUCAUCACUUAACAACCCCUUGGGGGAAUCAGCACUUAGCAACCCCCUUCACAUUUAAAAUACGAUGGAAUCAGCACUUCGCAACCACCAAUGAAUUGGGAAAUUAGCACUUAGCAACCCCCUUUAUAUUUAAUGUACUACGGGCUAUUCCGAGUGUUCAACCGAAAAUCGUGUUUUUCAACACUUUACCACCUUUCCCAACUUAACCACAAUUUUAGUAUCUAUACCAAGUAUUUAUUUUAUGUUCAAUUAAGUCUCAACAUAUAAUGAAUAAUAUCAAAAUAAUGUUUUAAUUCACAUGUUUACUUACCUCGGUGCAAAAUAUCGUAAUUUUGCAAUUUACUCCACUAUCUUCUCUUUUCCUCGUUUGAGGUAGUCUUCUCGUCUUUCUUGAUCUAUAAUAGCAAAUUUAACUCAUUUAAUGUUUACAUUUAAUAAAAUAGUCCUCCACCCAACUUUUUGAAAAAUUACAAUUUUGCGCCCAAACUUUUGCAUAUUUACACUUUUGUCCCUAAGCUCGAAAAUUAAACUUCAUCUCUUAUUCUUAUGUUUUAUAACAUGCUGAACAUUUUUCCCUUCUAUGACAACAUCAAAUUCCCACUCUAACACAUACUUUUGAACAUUAAUUAUUUUUAGUGAUUAUGUCUAUUUACUCGUUUUCGCUUAAAAUCGCUUAGCAAAAGUUAUUUAACAUAAUUUCUAGCUUCAUAUUCUACCAUAAAACAGAAAAAUAAACACAUUUCACCUAUAGGUAUUUUUCCAAAUAUGAACCCGAACAUGAAUUAAUGGUAGAAUAAGCUAAACCGAGUUACGAGGAUUUCAAAUAUGCGAAGAACAUUAAAAACGGGGCUAGGAUGCACUUACUAUUGAGCUUGGAAACUUAAAAACCCUAACUAUGGCUUUCCCCUUGCUGAUUUCGUUCACCAUAAAGAAGAUGAGCACAUUUUGCCAUCUUUUUCCCUUUUUAAUUAUUUUUAUUACUAAAUGACUAAAAUGCCCCCAUUUAAAAAAAUCUAUUUCACCCAUUUCUUAUGUCUAUUUUUAUCCAUCAAUUAAAUAAUGGUCUAAUUACCAUAUAAGGACCACCAAUUUAUAAUUUCAUAACAAUUAGACACUUCUAACAUGUAGAACUCAACUUUUACACUUUUUACAAUUUAGUCCUUUUGACUAAAUUGAGUGCCCAAACGUCGAUAUUUUCGAACGAAAUUUUUACGAAAUUUUUCUGUGAAAUUUUAGAUCAUAAAAAUAUAAUAAUAAUAUUUUCCCUCAUCAGAUUUGUGAUCCCGAAACCACUGUUCCGACUAGGCCCAGAAUCGGGCUGUUUCAUUAUGAGUUGAGAAAGAUUAAUUUUAAUUGUAAGUUAAUGAUUUUGGUUGAGGAUAAGCUAACGCUUAAGUGUGGGGAUAUUUGAUAAGCUGUAAAAGUAACAUAUUUCAAUCUCAUUCUUAAUGCAUUUUUGGAUGAUUAAUGAUGUAAAUUAUUGAAUUUGAUCCUCCUAACCCUUUAAAUUCAUGUUUCUACACUUAUGAGAGAAUUUUGGGAGUGAAAGGAGUGAAAAAUGAGCAAAAAUCAGACGAAUAGAGCUAUUUCCAAGAUCCACAUGGCCGAGCAUUUCCACAUGGAUUGGCCACAUGCCUGUGUGCCAGCCCGUGUCAAUGUCGCACCCUGCUUCUCAAAUACACAGAAAAACUCAAGUUUUAGGCUUUUUCAGCAUUCUAAAGUCUAUAAAUAUCAAUUAGAAGAAGAUCUAAGUGAGCACUCAGAGAAGAUUGAAGAAAUCACUCAAAGAACACCAUCGGAGCCAACUCAGAAGCAGAUCUCCUUCAAGAUUGAAGAUCUCCUUUUAACUUCUUUCGAAGUUUUAUUGAAUUUCUUUAUGUCUUGUGGUUUUCUGAUUUUGAGAUGUUUUUAUUUUAGAUUAUGAACUAAAUUCCCUAGAUACCUAGGGAAGAUGAAACCUAUGAUGAAUCUUAUUAUUUGAUUUCUAAAUUACAUGAUAAACACUUGAUUCUUGUUCUCAAUUAUGCAUGCUCAAUUCGUGUUUUAAUAUUAUCAGGAUACUAAUUCUUGUUUAAUGUACUUAUUUCAGUGGAGAAAAAGUCCCUAUUUAAGAGUAGAUCUAGCAUAAUUGAGUGGAGUUGCAUGUAAUCCUAGAAAUAGCACGACAUAAAUCUAUCGGAUUAGAGUCAAAUCUAAUAGGGGAAUCCAUAGAUCGAGUUAAUGCGAUGAUAGGGGUUUUAAUUAGAAAGAGAUUUCAGUUAAUCAACCUAGAGUCAGUUGUUCUUACUCUCGAAAGAGAUAUUAACAUAAUUUAGAGAUUUCUAUGGAUCAAGACACAAGUGAAUAAAUCAUUUAAUUCAGAUUCAGAAUAAUAGGUAAAGUCCAGGUGGAUUCUUUCCUGGGUAUUGUUUUUCUCAUUGGUUGCCUUUGAUUAUUUUUUCUAUUUCAUUCUCUGUUGCGUUCUUAGUUAGAUUAUUUUAGUAAUUUUAGAUUAAAAGUAAUCACUCCAAUUUGUUGGCUAAAUAAUAGAAAAACAGUAAUUAAUAGUACUUUUAGUCCUCGUAGAUACAAUAUUCCCUACUCACCAUAGCUAUACUAUUGCUCGAUAGGUUUGCUUGCCUUUAUCGUAAUUAUAGUUAGUUUAGUGACUAUCAAGAACUCUCGUUGUAAUGAGAAGAUAGAAAAGGGUAGUUUAUAUGUUCUGCGAGGGUCAACGGUAACUGGUGCAACUGCAAUUAUCGAAGAAGAUUCGAAAUCAUCGCCAUAUCGCGAUGAGGACCAAUAUGACAUCACGACAUGAUACUUUCUCCACAAAUUUUGAUUCAGCCAAACUUUUGCACAUGUGACUCGGUCACAUGAGUGAGAAAGUUAUGACAACAUUGUGUAAGAAAGGCCUUCUUAAAGACACUGGAGUCGAUAAGUUAGGUUUUACGAGCACUAUACUUAUAGGAAACAGACACGAGUAAAUUUUGAUUCUGCAGUGCACAGAACAAAAGGGACUUUUGACUAUGUCCAUUCUGAUUUAUGGUGUCCGACUUUUGACAUCUCAAAAGGAGGUAAUAAAUAUUUCCUAACUUUUAUUGAUUAACAUUCCAAGAAAGUUUGGGUUUAUUUUCUAAAACAGAAAAACGAAGAUUUCAGAAUCUUCAAAUAGUAGGAAACACUGUUAGAAAAACAAACAAAGAAGCCCGUGAAGCAGUUGAGAAUGAACAAUGAACUUGAGUUCUCUUCAUCUGAAUUUAAUAACUACUGCAAAUGGGAAGGGGUAAAGAAACAUCGCACCAUUGUAAGUACUUUGCCAAAGAAUAGAGUUGCAAAAAGAAUGAACAGAACCUUGUUGGAAAAGGCUCGAUGCAUGCUUUCAAACGCAAGUCUAAGGAAUGAGUUUUGGGCUGAAGCCAUAAAUUUUAGCAAGCUAUUUAGUAAACUGAUCUCCACAUUAAACAUUGAACGCUAAAUUUCCAAAUGAGAUAUGGUCAGGUAAUCCUCUCAAUUAUUCUAAUCUUUGAAUUUUUUAUUGUCUUACUUAUGCUAAAGUUAGCCAGGGAAAGCUCGAUCCAAGGGUUGUAAAAUGCAUUUAUCUAGGUUACUCUGCUAGUAUGAAAGGUUUGAAAUUGUGGUGUCCAGAAACCAACAAAACUAUUGUUAGCGGAGAUGUAAGUUUGAUGAAUCUGCCAUGUUUCAGACAGAAAAUGGUCACCUACAUUUAAAGACACAACAAACUAGAGUGUCUCAAGCAAGGUGGAGCCGAAAGAAGAAAUAGGGGUGACAUUGUGAUGACAUGAAAAGCCACGUCGUCGUCCCUACGAGCAAACACCCGACGUUGUAACGACCUGAUGAAAUUUUGAUUCUUACGAAGCUAAAGUUGUUUUGGAUCAGUUUGGGACUUCAUUCAACUCUCAGGUACCCUCACCAUCUCAAUUAACUAAUUAUAAGUUGGCUCGUGACAGGAAAAGAUGAGAAAUUCGACCACCACAGAAAUACUGUGAAGGAAACCUAGUGGAAUAUGCUUUAAGUCUUGUAGAGAGCAUUGAUCUGGCCAACCCUUCAUGCUUUCUAAGGUAGUUCAUGUUGGAUCUGGUGCCCUAAGUGUAGUAUUUUUGUCAAUAUACACUUGUAAUUCUUUCGAAAAAAUUGGUUAAUAAAACAAAUCAUUGAUUACAUUAAUAUAUUUAGUAUAAUUUUAAUCACAUCGUUUUUUGCACACAAAGCAAAAUGGAAGAAAAUGUUGCUCAUUGAUUGUCUAAAUGUUUAACUAAUACUAAGCAAUAUUACGUGGUCGGAUCGUAGUACGAAAAGACGACUUAUAUUAGUAGACGGACCUAAACAUGUCCUUAGUCUAAUUAGAAAUGAACAAAUCGAUUGAAAGGUUAGUAUGUUGUCUAUAAAGUUCAAUUUGGGAGAUGCCUUAUCUUGAGCAUCGGAGCGGAUGACUCCAAGAAGAUAAAGACAUAGAUGUGACUAAUAGUACAUCGGACAGGACCCAAAAAAACAUAGAGAAGGAACCAAAAGUUAGUGUGUUGGGUGUAUGAAUUCUGUAGUAUGUAGCAUCAUUCACAAUAGUGGAAUCCAUAGCCCAAAACAUGGGUAAAAGAUAUCCUCUCUUUGGCAUUACAUGAUUGAUGAAAGUAAACGUGGCCACGGGUCGUCCAUCUUUGUGAUGGAUGACUUGAUCAUUAUUUGAUAGUGAUUGACUUUUCAUGAAGGUUCAUGAAUUAUUAUGGCUUUCUCCAAAAUGGAGAAAUGGAAUCAUUUGGAAAUAAAUGUAGGUUUCCAAAAAUAAAAAUGAAAAUUUGCAAUCUUAUAUAGGAUUACUUAAAAAAUGAUGGAAGAAUGAGUUUAUGUUUUUGGACUGUUUUAAAGCUCGGAAAUGAAAAUAAAUCAUUCAGUCAUAGUGAACAUGUUGAGUUGUGACAUAUUGAACGGAUUUUCUCGAAAUUUUACCGGGUAAAAUUGGGAUGAGAAAAUUAUUUAAUAUGUAAAUAUUAAAUUUUAUUUUGGGAAAUAGAAAAACUAAAUCAAGUUGGAUCAUAUUGCAGAGUACUGAGUCAAAAAGGCUUAAGAAGUACUCGUAAUUAGACCCAAUGACCCAAUGUGAGGGAGGCCCAAAACCCCUCAUAUAAAAUGAAGGGCGGGAACCCGAGUAAAAAUAUAAGGAUGAGUCAUUCACCCUCUCCUACUCUAAGUAAGAUGUUGUUUUUCUAUUUAAAAUAAAACUCUACAUCUCUAUAAGGGAUUUACCUUCUCUUCCUAUAUAUAGAUGGCACCGGUAGAGCUAUUAACACAACUUUUGAGAGAUUGUUAUUCUGCCGAAAAAUUGCGAGAGUUUAUUCUCAACUUUUAAAUAUAUUUUUCUAAAAUAACAAUUUUACUGGUUUCUAUUAAAGAAGAGAGAAUUUUCGUUUUCACCCCAAAAUGAGAGAAAACUUUUCCUAGUUCUGUGUUUCGAUUCAAUUGGUAUUCAUGUAUGUUCAUACGAGCUAUGAAUCAGUAUGCUCUCAUGAGCUGUGAAUCAGGAAGCUCAUACGAGCUGCAAAUUGAGAAGCUCAUACUACAAGCUGCAAAUCAAGAAGCUCAUACGAGCUGUAAAUCGGGAAGCUCAUACGUGCUGUGGUGUGUCCGCAACACGUGCUGGACCCAAACCAAAUCUGUAACCCUAAUGACAUGCCAUUUGUAUCCUACAAAUUUCUAAGGUUCAAACGGGACUCAGUAAUCAUCGAAUAUGUGAACGGUAUUUAUACAUAGCAAUUAUACAAAUCACAUACAUAUGAUUCAAUAUAAACAUAUAAAUACUCAAUUUAAUUACACGAACUUACCUCGACAAGUGUACGUAAACACAGAGGCGAUUAAUCCAAUAUUUUCUAUUUACCUCGAUCUAACGCUGUACGAGGUCUGACAGGAUCUAUACGAAUAAAUUUAACUCACUUCAAUAUAAUUCUCAUUUAAUUUAAUCCAAAAUGGAAUUUUGGAAAAAUUACCAUUUUUCCCUAUUGUUUUAAUUCUUUUGUAAUUUAGUCCCUAGGCUCGAAAAAUGAAAUUCAUACAAUUUAAUCGUUACUCAUGCUUGGCUGAUUUUAUACAUAUUAAUAGUAGCACAUAUAUUCCACAAAAAUCAAAAAUUUUACCAUAAAUUUAUCACCUUUUUCAAUUUAACCCUUAAUUUACAAUUUCAUCAAAAUUCUCUUUACAAAAGUUGUUUAUCUAACAACAAACAUUCAUUUUCUAUCAUCAAACUUCAAAAUUCAAGCACAUUCAUCAAUGAAAAACCCUAAUACUUUAAAAGUUUUAAAAAUUCAUCCUCGAGCUAGCUAGAUUAAGCUAGUACGAUCUCAAAAACAUAUAAAUCAUCAAAAACGGGACAAAAAUACAUACCUAAUUGAGCUUUCCCAAAUUCAAGCUUUCAUGGCUAGGUUUUCUUCUUCUUCUUUUUGGUGGAUGAUGAUGAUAAUAGUUUAUUUUAUUUUAUCUAUUAUAACCUUAAUCACUAAUUUCCAAAAUUAACCUUAAUAAUUUAUUCAAUUUCCAAUGAUUACAACACAUGCUUAACCACUAAUCAACCUUAAUGGCUAAUUACUAUAUAAGGACCUCCAAUUUAAAAUUCUAUAGUUAUUCAAUACCUUUAAAUAUUAGAACACAACAUUUGCACUUUAUGCAAUUUAGUCAUUUUUAUCAAAUUAGGCAUGUAAAUGGUAAAAUUUCUUAACGAAAUUUUUAUACGAUAUUCUUAUCAUACUGUAGACCAUAAAAUAAUAUUAAACUAAAAUUUCUGAAUUCGCAUUUAUUCUCCCGAAACCACUAUUCUGAUUUCACUAAAAACAGGAUGUUACAACUCUCCCCCUUAAAGAGAUUUUUGUCCUCGAAAAUCUUACCAGAACUGAGGUUCGGAUAUUACUUUCUUAUAGCUUCCUCAGGUUCCCAAGUAGCUUUUUCUAUUCCGUGUCGCUGCCAGAGAAAUUUUACUAAAGCUAUGUUUUUAUUUCGUAACUCAUCCACCUCUCGUGCUAAAAUUCUGAUCGAUUCUUCCUUUUAUGUCAUAUGAAGCUAAAUUUCGACAUCCGUUAGAGAAAUAAUAUGUGAAUGGCUAGAUCGAUACCUUCAUAACAUGGACACGUGGAAGACAUUGUGGAUUUUUUCAAGUUCUGACAUUCAAGCUAAUUGGUACGCAACAGGUCCAAUUUUGUCAAUAAUCUCAUACGGCCUGAUAAUUCGCGGACUCAGUUUUCCUUUAUGACCAAACCGAAGAAUUUUCUUCCAGGGAAAUACUUUCAAAAAUACUGUCUCUGACUUGAAACUCUAUAUCUUUACAUUUAAGAUCCGCAUAAGAUUUUUGACGAUCUGAAGUUGUUUCUAAGCUAUCUCGGAUCACUUACACUUUCUCCUCAGUCUCACAAAUCAAAUCUCACGAAUCAAAUCAACCCCGUGUAUCUUUUUCUCACUGAGCUCAAUCCAUUAUAACAGAGUUCGGCAUUUGCGACCAUACAGAGCCUCAUACGGUGCCAUUUUUAUACUCAACUAAAAACUAUUAUUAUACGUGAAUUUGACUAACGAAAAAUAUUUCUCCUAAUUUCCUUCAAACUCUAAAACACAACACCGAAGCAUAGCUUCAAGAAUCUGAAUCACAAGCUCGGACUGACCAUCAAUUUGAGGGUGAAAUGUGGUGCUAAAUGUAAUCGCGUACCCAGAGCUUCCUGUAACUUUUUCCAGAAUCGCGAUGUUAACCGCUAGUCUCUAUCCGAAAUAAUAGAGACUGGUACUCCGUGUAGUCUGACAAUCUUUGAAACAUAUAACUCAGCUAAUUUGUCAAGUGAGAAAUCUAUACGUACCAGAAUAAAAUGUGCCGACUUUGUCAAAUGAUCGACGAUAACCCAAAUGACAUCUUUCUUUUUCGGAGAUAGGGGUAACCCCCAUACAAAAUCCAUUGUAACUAUAUCCCAUUUCCACACUGGUAUCAUCACUGGCUGUAACUGUCCUGAAGGUACCUAAUGUUCAACUUUAACUUGCGGACAUAUCAAACAUUUAGAUGCAAAAUCUGAAACAUCACAUUUCAUUCCCGGCCACCAAUACAUUUUUUUCAAAUAUUAUACAUUUUAUUACUCCUCAGAUGAACAGACAAGCUACUACAAUGAGCUUCAUGCAAAAUUUUCUGUAUAAGUUCUAGAUAACAAAUAAUCAUCGAGUCCUAUCUGAAAUUCUGAAUCAGAAGUCGACCUACACUGUACCAGUUUAGCUAACAUCUCAUUAUCACAUUUCUGAGCUUCGCAGAUAUAUUGUAAAAAUGUUGGUUUAGCUUUGAACUCAGCUAAAAUCGAGCCAUCAUCAGAUAGUGAAAGUCGGGUAUUCAUCGCUCGUAGAACAAGGACUUUCUACUCAAAGCAUCAACAACUACGUUUGCUUUUCCUGGAUGAUAAUCAAUAACUAACUCAUAAUCUUUCAAUAGUUCGAGCCAUCAACGUUGUCUCAGAUUCAAAUCUUUCUGGGACAUCAGAUACUUUAAAUUCUUGUGAUCGAUAAAUAUAUGACAUUUUUCAUCGAACAAAUGGUGUCGCCAAAUUUUGAGCGCAAAGAUAAUAGCUGCCAACUAUAAGUCAUAUGUCGGAUAGUUCUUUUUAUGUGGUUUUAACUAUCUGGAAGCAUAAGCUAUUACUUUACCUUCUUACAUCAAAAUACAGCCUAAUCCGUUCAAUGAAGCAUUACUGAAAAUCACAAAUUCCUUACCCGAUUCAGGCUGAACUAGAACUGGUGCUUCGGUCAAUAAAGCUUUCAACUGGUUAAAAAUUUGCUUACAUUUAUCAGACCAUUCAAACUUCACAUCUUUCUGUAAUAGUCGUGCCAUUGGUGUAGCUAUCAUCGAAAACCCUUUUACAAAUCUCCGAUAAUAACCAGCUAAUCCCACAAAAAUUUUGACUUCAGAUGCGUUUCUCGGUGGUUUUUAGUUAAUAAUCAUUGAAAUUUUAUUUCGAUCAACUCUAAUGCCUUCAGCCGAUUCUAUGUGUACCAAAAAGCCAGCUUCCCGAAGCUAAAACUCACAUUUUCUAAAUUUAGCAAACAAUUGUUUAUCUCGCAAAGUUUGCAGAACAAUUCUCAGAUGCUCUGCAUGUUUAGUCUCAUUUUGGGAAUAUAUCAGAAUAUCAUCAAUAAAUAUCAAAAUAAAUCUAUCUAAAUACGGUCUGAAAAUUAUAUUAAUCGAAUCCAUAAAUACUACAGGUGGGUUAGUUAAACCAAACGACAUCACAAGAAAUUUAUAAUGUUCGUACCUAGUUUUGAAUACUGUUUUCAGUAUAUCUGAAUCUUUCACUCGUAACUGAUAAUAGCCAGAACAAAGAUCAAUCUUUGAUAACACUGUGGCACAUUUCAACUAAUCAAACAAAUCAUCAAUGCGAGGUAAUGGAUAUUUAUUCUUGAUUGUAACUUUGUUAAGCUAACAGUAGUCAAUGCAUAAUCUCAUCUAUCCGUCCUUUUUCUUAACAAACAGAACCGGUGCACCCCAAGGUGAAAAACUAGGUCGAGCAAAAUCCCUAUCAGUCAACUCUUGCAACUGUGCUUUCAACACUUUUAACUCUGUAAGAGUCAUUCUGUAUGGUGUUAUCGAUAUCAAUGUUGUUUUUGGUACAAGUUCUAUAGCAAAUUCGACUUUUCUGACCGGUGGUAAUCCAGGUAACUCCUCUGGAAGUACAUCAGGAUACUCACAAACCACUGGCACUAAUUCAAGCUUCGACUCAGACACUUUAGUAUCCAAUACAUAUGCAAAGUAAGUAUUACAACCUUUUCUCACAUAUUUCUAUGCUGACAUAGCUGAUAUCACAAUAGGCAACCCAUUCAAUUUAUCUGAUUCAAUAUGAAGUAUCUCACCAUUUUGGCAAUUCAAUAUGAUAUCCUUUCAUCUGCAAUUUACCACAGCAUCAUGCAGAGUUAGUCAAUCCAUGCGCAAAAUCACAUCAAAUUCAUCGAAUGGUAAUAGCAUCAAAUCAACCGAGAAACAGUAACCCUGAAUCAUUAACAGACAAUUCUUCCAAACCUUAUCAACUAACACAUACUGACCUAGAGGGUUCGAUACUUUAACCACAAAUUCAGUGAACUCAACAGGUAAAUUUGUAUUAGACACUAAAUUUGUGCAAACAUAUGAAUAAGUCGAUCUGAGAUCAAUUAAAGCAUUUACAUCAGUAUUAAUAAGAGAAAAAGUAUCGGUAAUAACAUCUGGCGUAGAAGCAUCUUCGCGCACACAAAUAGCAUAGGCCCUAGCUGAUGUUUGUGCUUUAGACCUUGUAGUAGAGUCUUUCGUCACACCACGACUACCACUCACAUUUUUAGGAUUACGAGGUGGUCUAUCUCUCUCAACUGUGUUGUUUGGCCUCGAAGUUUGAAUAUUAUCUUUCCCAGAUUUCUCUGGGCAAUCUCUAAGAUAGUGGUCAAAGGAACCACAUCUGAAACACGCUUCGCUCUUUAUUCGACAUUCACCAAAAUGUGGCAUGUUACAGUGCUUAAAAUUAGGUCUGGUGUUUCUAGCACUACCCACACUCGCUACAGAUGUAGCCUGAGAUUUAGGACUAGAGCGUCGAGUACCUCUGUCUCUACCAGAUUAUUCCAUAUAAGUAGUAGAAUAGUAGUGAUGUUCUUUAGAUUUCUUUGAUGCUGACUGGUAUGCCUUUCCCGUCAAUCUCUUACUCAAAUUCCUGGCUUCAAUCUCAGCGUGUUUUUUCUCUUUACUCAGCUAUUCAGCUUUAUAUGCUCGAUCAACCAGUACAACAAAUUCUUUCAACUCAAAGAUCCCAACUAAUAGUUUAUAUCUUCGUUUAAGCCAUCUUCAAACCACUUACACAUUGCAGUCUAAGUUGGAAUACAUUCUCUAGCAUAUUUGCUUAAUCAAACAAAUUCUCGUUCAUAUUUAGACACUGCCAUAUGACCCUGUUUAAGCUCUAACAAUUCUUUACGUUUCUGGUCAACAAACCCUUAACUGAUGUAUUUCUUUCAGGUCUCAGUUUGAGAGAAUUCUCAAGUGACCCAAUCUCUUGCCACAACAGAAAUCAAUGUAUUCCACCACUGAUAAGCUGAAUCUUUUAAUAGAGAUACUGCACACAUAAGACAUUCAGCCGAUUAAUAAGAUAAUUCAUCAAGAACUCUGAUGGUAUUUUCUAACCAAAACCCAACUCUCUCAAGAUUAUCCUCGGCUAUAGCUUGAAAUUCUUCAGCACCGUACUUACAGAUCUUAUCAACAAGAGGCUUACCAACUCUAAUAGGUUCCAUACUUUAAGGAAUAACAGGAACCAAUUGGGGAACAGGAGGGGGUAGAGGUUGUUAAGCAAAUGAACCCGGUGAACCAUUCAUUCAUCAUCUAGAAGAAGGCUUCUCUAGCCUCUCCUCCCCGACCCAAAGAUACAGGCCUUGUACCACUCGAAGCUACUCUUUAAAUGGAGGCUUGAGCGUUACUCUCUACUUUAUCGGAAUAAGCUCGAUUGGAUGUCAUUGCUAUAUGAAAACAUGUUUUAAAAUGGUCAGGAGAUAUCACAAUAUCAUAGGUUAUAUAAUGGCAUGUAUAGCUAAACUUGUAUAUGCUAAGUUAGUCCGAGAAUCAACUAAACUGUAGCUCUGAUACCAAUAAAUUUAACAUCCCUAACCCGAAUCUGUCGUCGAAACAGGGUUAAAGAGAAUUACCAAAGUUUAUAAAUAAAACAGACAGAAAAUGCAAAAAUAAAUAAAAUAGACAGAAAAUGCAAACAUUUCAUAUCAUAUAGCAUUCAUGUCAAAAACCAAUCAAAAUAAUACAUAUUGCCCCUUAUACAAGCCCUCGAGGCCCAAAAUGCGCAUUAGAAACAAGUCGGGACUAGGGCAAGGGUCACGCAACCGUGUGACUCAGUCGGUCAGGAGACACGCUCUUGCCUCAGGACGUGUGGGAAUUCAAAAUAGAGACACACGGUUGUAUCCCAGCUCGUGUCUGUGCCCGUGUAACUCUCUGACUAGGGCCACACAGCCAAGCCACACACCCAUAUGCUAGACUGUGUGAGCAUACCGACUUGCGCAAUUUAAAUGAUACAAGGGACACACGACUGUGUCACCUGGCUAUGUGUCACACAUGACUAAGACACACGCCCGUGUCUCUGCCCAUGUGGAUGAAAAUAUGUCAUUUUCCAAGCCACAUUUCUCACCCAAUUUGUCACCAACCUAACUCAACAUUUUUGCACAUCAACAAGCCAUAACAAGGCGUUCAAACAAGACAAAAUCAAAACUAAAACAAUAAAUAUCAACAUAUACAACCAAUAUGCCCUUAGGCACCUCAAAUGACAACAUAAAAACAUGUCAACCAAGUAUCCAAACUUACCUAAAUGACCAAAUACAUAUAUGCAUAUUCAAACCACAUUUUACUUUUCAUCAUUCUACCAUAUUAAACACACAUCAAAUAUGGUAAAGCCACAUAUACAUCCACAUCAAAAUAUACCAAACACAAGCCAUAUAAGUGGCUAAUCUCAACAAAACAAUUAUAUGUCAACAUUGACCAAAUUAACCUAUACAUGCCAUUAUAACCAGAAUUAAUGUACUGAAAGUACCAAAAGGGCAAAUUGAUAGUGUGAAAUAGCUCCGACCAGUUUCCAACCCGAACGAGCUUUUGAAUUAUUGUAAAACAUGAAAAAUAACACAGAGUAAGCAUUUAAGCUUAGUAAGUUCGUAUAACACGAAAUUUAACUUACCAUAUAUCCAUAAAAUAGGCAAGUAAACAUAGCAUAUCUCAACCAAUUUGGCCAAAAGCCUAAACACAUGAUCACCAACAUAUUAGCCAUGAAAAUCACAUAUAAGAUCUAACAUACAUGGAUGAAUUCAUCAAGUAAUCACAUUUCUAAUAUUUCAUAUGAAAACCAGUAAUAGUUCAUAUUAAACUCAUAUAAUCUUGCAACAGAACUGUGUCCGUUGAACCAUUUAGAACAUCGUUGGAUACACGGGUAGUACACACGAGCUGUACUAAAUUGUAAUCCUUUAAUCCGUACUCAUGUAUGUUCAUACGAGCUAAGAAUCAGUAUGUUCUCAUGAGUUGUGAAUUGGGAAGCUCAUACAAGCUGCAAAUCAGGAAGCUCAUACGAGCUGUAAAUCGGGAAGCUCAUACAAGCUGUGGUUUGUCCACAACAUAUGCAGGACCCAAACCAAAUCGGUAACCCUAAUGACAUGUCAUUUGUAUCCUACAAAUUUCUAAGGUUUAAAUAGACUCGAAAAUCGUCAGAUAUGAGAUCGGUAUUUAUACAUAGCAAUUAUAAAAAUCACAUACAUAUGAUUCAAUUAAAACAUAUAAAUACUCAAUUUAAUUACACGAACUUACCUCGACAAGUGUACGUAAACACAGAGGCAACUAAUCUGAUAUUUUCUCUUUACCUCGAUCUAACUCUGUAUGAGGUCUGACAGGAUCUAUACGUAUAAAUUUAACUCAUUUCAAUAUAAUUCUCAUUCAAUUUAAUCCAACAUGGAAUUUUGGCAAAAUUACCAUUUUUCCUACACUUUUAAUUCCUUUUUAAUUUAGUCCCUAGGCUCGAAAAAUAAAAUCCAUACAAUUUAAUCCUUACUCAAGCUUGGCUAAUUUUAUACAUAUUAAUAGCAGCCCAUAUAUUCCACAAAAUUCACAAGUUUUACCAUAAAUUUAUCACCUUUUUCAAUUUAACACCUAACUUAUAAUUUUAUCAAAAUUCUCUUUACAAAAGUUGUUUAUCUAACAACAACCGUUCAUUUUUUAUCAUCAAACUUCAAAAUUCAAGCAUAUUCAUCAAUGGAAAAACCAUAAUACUUUAAUUUUUUUGCAAAUUAAUCCUUGAGCUAGCUAGAUUAAGCUACUACGAUCUCGAAAGCAUAGAAAUCAUAAAAAACGAGACAAAAACAAAUCCUUAAUUGACCAAAAUAAGCUUGCCCAAAUUCAAGCUUCCAUGUCUAGGUUUUCUUCUUCUUCUUUUUUGGUGGAUGAUGAUGAUAAUAGUUUAUUUUAUUUUAUUUAUUAUAACUUUAAUCACCAAUUUUCAAAAUUAACCUUAAUAAUUUAUUCAAUUUCCAAUGAUGACUACACAUGCUUAACCACUAAUCAACCUUAAUGGCUAAUUACUAUACAAGGACCUCCAAUUUAAAAUUCUAUAGCUAUUUAAUACAUUUAGUUAUUAGAACACAACCUUCGCACUUUAUGCAAUUUAGUCAUUUUUAUCAAAUUAGGCAUGUAAACGGUAAAAUUUCUUAACGAAAUUUUUAUACGAUAUUUCUAUCAUACUGUAGACCAUAAAAUAAUAUUAACCUAAUUUUUUUUUACUUCAAAUUUGUGGUCCUGAAACCACUAUUUCGAUUUCACUGAAAAUGGGUUGUUACAUUUAUCUUGUUUGAUUAAUAUUUGAUAAUAUGUGACAUUCUUGUAAUUAUUCACAUGUUUAAGGGAAUGUAUGUGAAUGAAUGCAAUAUUAUAUAUAUGUUAUAUAAUUAUUUUUUUCCAAGGUUGUGAUUCUUAGGAAAUAGACCGUGAAUUAUCAUCUCCACAUAGGAUUAUUUUUUAUUUAUAGAUUUCUUAUGAGCCGGAAACAAAAAUAGGAAAUAAAUGUAAUUUUUCCCAAAAGGAGUUCAUGAUAAGGAGAAUAUGAAGUGAUGGCAGUCAAAGACACAAGCAAUGCCUUGUGGUGAAAAUUUAUUCAAUUUUUGGUUUUUCAUUUAUUUUUUAAAAAUAGAACCUUGGAAACCUUGACUGGCAAUUUUAUUUUAUUAACCAUCUCUUUAUAUAUCUGUUUAAUAAUUAUUUAUGGUAUAAUUGUGAUAUAUAUGUAUGAGAUUAUCCAUAAUUGUUCGAUCAAAGAUAAGAAGUGUGGAAAUAAGGAGGUGAUUGUCUAGGAUUGGAUCUGGCUAGGAAAGACUUGGUUUUUAAAUGGUCAAAUAUGACUCACCUCCCUUUCCUGGGAUCCUACCUAAUGCAUGGGUCACAUCCACUUUUUCAAUUUUUCCCUAAAAGAAAAUUUGUGGAGAAUCAAAAUUAUUUGAUUGACUCUUGUGAAUAAUUAAAUGUGAAUAUUGUAAAAUUGCCAUAGCAUGUCAUGCAUACAUUUGAUAAGCAUGCCAUAUAGUUUAGGAAAGAAUGUCACAUGUACUUGUCACACAUAUAUUGAUCAUACAUUCUUGAAACCAAAAAUUAAAAACCUUGCAUUUUUUUAAAAUGUUGAGUAAGAAAAGGUCCCUAAACAAGACCUACAGCCUCUGUCAAUGGUCUCUUGUGAUGGCAUGAAAUGGAUCUACCUCACAGUAAAUGUUGUCUUGUGGACUUCAUUAAAGAGACUUCUUGAAAGUAAGCAGAAUUUUCUUAUGAUCAUAUGAUAGUUUGACUAGCCCUUAUGGUAGGUAUUAUCAUGUGACACAUUAAGAAAUUUUAUCUUCAAAAAGGAUAACUAGUCACAACAUGCUACUCGGUGAGCUUGUCCCAAGAUAACUCAUUUGUGGUGCAUGAUGCGAUAGGUGUUGAGUUGAUGGUUAUACACUCAAGAUCAUUUAGUUAAGAAACUCCCCAAUGAGCUAUGUUUAAGUUAGAAUGAUGGUCAAACAUUACACAAUUAUUAGUACAUGUGAAUUCCUAAAGAAUUAGGUUCAUGUACUAAUUGGAUGGAAAUCCAUGUUCUUACUAGUUGAUCAUGAUCACCUCAAGGUGGCUUCAUUCAAUGGGUUUAGGAAUUAUCAUUGCAAUGACUUACAAAUGUUUUUAAGGUUUAAUGUAAGACACAUGCAUUCUUUAAUGCAUAUUGUAAUGUUACAAAAUAUUUUCAAAUAUUUGCUUAAUACAAAAAUAUUAAUAUAUGAAUGUUUUAUUUUCAGUUCAAAAAUGUCACCAAUUCCCUUAUUGAACAUAUUUACUGAAAACAGACUAAACAAAAAUAGCUAUAAUGAAUGGAAAAGGAACUUCCUAAUUGUCCUGAGCUUUGAGAAACUUAAAACAAUUCUUGAUAAUAAAUUCCCACAAGCCACUCAAGCUGAGGCUAUAAAACGCUAGGAAGAGUCUGGUGAGAGAGCUCAAAUCUAUACAUUGGCAAGCGUGAGCAGUACUCUAUAUAAGCAACUAGAGAGCUGUAAGCCUGCUAAAGCGAUUCUAGAUAAGUUAGAAGACAUGAUCGGAGGCCAAGUUGCCUUGGCUCGACAGUAUGUCAUAACUAGCUUGAUGAAUACCAAGCAAAAGCCUAGCACUCUGAUCAAAGACCAUAUGAUCACUCUUAUGGGCUACUUUGCAAAGACCGCGGACAAUGAGGUCAAUUUGGACCAGAACACUCAAAUUGAUAUGGUGCUCAAAAGCUUGUCCAAGGAUUUUGUUGGUUUUCAAGCCGCAUAUAACCUUGGCAACCAAAACCUAAUGUUUACACAAAUCAUAAGGAGUUACAAUCCUAUGAGAUGAUGUUGAAUGGUGGUUAGCCGUUCCGAAGAGCAGAAGCAAAUAUAGUCAUCGCUUCUUCCUCAAAACGGAAGGGAAAGCGCGUUAAGAAAGGAAAGGCUAAGGUCUCUGGGCCACAACAAGUGGAAAAUAAGAGAACCAGAAAGCCUAAAGACUUAUCUAAGUCUAAAUGCUUUUCUGUAGUAAGAAAUGACACUUCAAGGAAAACUGUAAAGAGUGGAAAGAAUACCUAGCUACCAAAGGAAAAUGUAUAGAACUCUUGAUGAUAGAAGUUUGUUUAGUGGAAGAUUCACUAAACCAUUAAGCCAUUGAUUUGGGAGUCACUAAUAAUGUUUGAAUUUCUCUACAUUGGUUCGAGAACAUGAAAGAUCUUAGAGAUAAAAGCUUAUCAUUCCGAAAUGAGAACGGGACAAGUGUGGCAGCUGAAGUAGUGGGAGUUGUACAUCUUUAUUUUGAUAAUUUUAGGAAGAUUAUUUUAAAAGACGUUUUCUAUGUGCCAAGUUUCAAAAGAAAUUUAAUUUCUAUUGUAUGUUUAUAUAAAGACAGCUUGACCGUUACAUUUAAUAAUGGAAUUGAAAUAUUUAAAAAUCGCAAUCUUAUCAGUAAUAAUGGAAUACAAACUAAUUUAAAGCUACAAUAAGGUAUAUUAUACCUUUAUGACUUAACUUUUCAAAACAUUAUAUUUUCGUGUUGUUUGACCAUUAGGGUUAACAGUCAAUAGUUAAAGAGUAACGACUACCACUUUCUUCUAUUUUGGGGGAGUUAUUUUUGUCAUGUGCCAUGUAUGAAAAAAUUACAAAAUCAUUUUUUUUCAUUUGCACACUAUCAUUAAUAAUACAACACAUAUAAAAACGAUACAAAAACAAAUUAUUUGAUCUCUAAAGCUAUUUAUUAUUCUUAUUCAUCACAAAUCUCCCUAAAACCUACACGUCUUUAUUCAUCGUUGAUGACAAAUGAAAGUUUUAAUAUGCAAACUAAGGUGGGGAAAUACGUUGAGAGGUCAAGUGACAUAAUAGACCAUAUAUUAAAUUAUAGAUAAUUUAUAUUUUUAUUAUACUUUUUUUAAUUUUUUGUAAUAUUUUAUAAUUUUUCAUAUCUUUAUAAUUUUUAAUGAUUUUAAAUAGAAAACACUAGUUUUGCCACAUGGCAUAAUCUUGGUGUGAUGCCACGUGGCAAAAAUAACCCGAAAAAUGAAAAGAAACAUUAGUUGUUACUUUUUAACAAUUAACCAUUAAUUUUAACAGUCACAGAAAUUAUUUGAUUGAAAUUUUAAUGUCCACUUAUUUGAGUGUGUUUUUUUUAAUGCUUAAUUGACCUAUUUGGAAAAUUUCAAAGACUUUCUGAACCCUUUAGCAUUUAUUUAUUUAUUUAUUUAUCGGUGAUAAACAAAUGCCAUAGAGAUAUAAACUAAAUUAACAAUAUCAAAAGCACCAUUAGCUUUAUCACUAUGAAGGACUUCUAGUAAUUCUAUAGGGGCGUCUGCCAACACAUGUACCCCCUUCAUAUCAGUAGAAGACAUAUUGGUAACCCGAUCAGCAAGACAUGACAUACCACCCAAAGCUCUUUAUUUUGUAGCAUCUGCUGAAUUCACUUGACCAGAGAUAAGUGCAGGUUUGCCAAAGUAUUCCCUUGGAUUGCUUGGACUACCUCCAAGGUAUCGGUCUAGAUCAAAACCUUAUCCAAACCCCGUCCUUGUAAUAAGGUUAGUCCAUCCAAAAUACCUUAUAGCUCGGCGUCAAAGACUGAGCACCCCCUCCUCGAAAUGACUGGUUAAAACCCAUAAUCCAUUCCCUAGAUGAUUUCGCACCACUCCCCCUACAAAUGCAAACCCUAUACUCAAAUUGACUUUACCAUUAGUAUGCAAGUAAACCCAAUUAUCUGAUAAGGGAAACCUCUAAAUAGGAAUGCACCUUUGAGUUAAGCCUUCCUUGUGUGUGCACCAAAGUUGUCUCACUCGACUAAUAGAAGCUUUAACAAUCUCACAAGCUUUCCAUGUUAAGCCUUGAAAGACGAAUAAGUUCCCAUUCUUCCAAAUGCGCCACGCGAUGAGACCAAAUAAGCUUGCCCAACUAACUUCCACAUAACCUAUCAACUCAUACGACUAUAAGUUAGAAGCUAACCAAUUAGAGAGGCUGGCAGUGAAAAACUUGCUACCUUGGCUCGAAUACACCACUUGUCCCCACACCUCUUUUGUCACAGAACAAUCUCUAAGCACAUGAAGAAUAUCCUCUGUAACAUUUCCAUAAAUAGAACAAGACCUAUUCUGUCCAAUGCCAUACCUUACUCUAUGUUAGUGAAAAGACAUUGUUUGAAUGUGGACCAUAGAAAAAAGAGAACUAUUUGAGGACCCUUAAAUUUCCAUAGAGUUUUUGAAAUUGUUUCCUUAGAGUUCCAAUGGUUUUCCUUAAGCGACCUAUUAGCACUCUUAACUAAGAAAGCCCCUGUCGAAUUUGGAAACCAAGAAAUCCUAUCCGACCCCACUUCGGGAUGUGAGGGAAAGAUACUCAUUAUGCACCUAAUAAUGUUUCCAAAACCCAUACACAAAAAAUCAAGGUUUCAAUUGCCUUCUUCUAUAACCAUUUCCUUGAGUAGACAAUGUAACACCCCAAAUUUUGGGCCUAGAAGAAAUAGGUUUUGAACAAGGGAACAGUUAGGAGACUGCACAUAAAUAUUUAGUUGUGUAAGGAAGUGAUAUAAAUGAAUGUUUUCUUUACUGGUUAAGUGAUUUGGGAGUGUUUGGAAGUGUCUGAGAAGUCAGGGGUUCAAGCCUUGGCUUACGCAAAAUUUUUAUUUUAAGUGAAUAAAAUCCUUGGAUCUAGAUAGUAGGUUUUUAAAUUAUUGUGGUUAAAAUAUGAUACAAAGGAGUUGUUAGUCUAAUGGUAAGGGGCGUGUGGAGUGUACAUGGGGUCUAAAGUUCGAGUGGUGGCGCAUCAAAAAGGGAGUAUUUAUUUUGCUGCCUAAUUCGUGCGGGUGGUAGAGUUGGAUUGAAAUACUGCUAAAUGGAGUUUGAAUUGGUCAUAGAGAGAUUUGAGGAGAGAAUAUUGGGAUUUAGGGAGGUUGUUGUUCUGGAGAGAUAUAUAUCAUCUCAUUUGUUUCUUGUUCUCGAUGGGAGAUCGGCGAGGUUUUUAAGGUUUUUGUCGCUUUCUCCAACCUGCAUUGCUUCCAUUUCUAACUGGUGUCCAUUUCUAACUGGUGGUGGUCGAGAUUGAUUGGCAUAUUGCCUGGGAACCAAGGGUACGAUGAUCAUUGAUUUUCAGAAUAAGAGUCUUCGGACCAAAAAGAAUCUGCAAAUUGCAUCAGGUGUGUAACCACCCAACUGUAACUGUAGAACGGUAAAAGCCGAAAAGCUAAAAUACGGCGUUGAAACUACACGAGUGUCCUAUCGCUCGUGUGGAAAGCCAAACCUGCGAAUCAUGGGCGAUAAAUUGUAGAGGCCUCCAUGAGCAUUUCCAUGGGCUUAGGCCGUAAUGGGCCACGUUGGGCCGAAAUGGGUCGUGUAGGCUCAAUGGACUUGUGGGCCCCACAUGGAUGAAAUCCAUGAUUUGUGGCAACUUCUGGACUAGGUUGUGUAGAUCUCAUAACCGUGGCAAAAUCUAGGCUGAACAGGCCACACGAGUGUGUGGGUCCACUUGGGCAGAGUAAUGGGCCUUGGGCCCAUUUACAUUGUUAUGAUCGAAAUACCCUCAUAGGGUAAAAUGACCGAAAUAUCCAUAUAGGGUAAAAUGAUCGAAAUACCCCCAUAGGGUAAAAUGACCAAAAUACCCCCAUAGGGUAAAAUGACCAAAAUACCCUCAUAGGGUAGAAUGAUCGAAAUACCCCUAUAGGGUAAAAUGAUCGAAAUACCCCCAAAGGGUAGAAUGACUGAAAUACCCCUAUAGGGUAAAAUGACCGAAAUACCCCCAUAGGGUAAAAUGACUGUUAUAUCCCUAGGAGAUGAAAUGACUGUUAUGGCCUUAUGUUAUGUAUGACUGAUUUGCUCUAUGAUAUGUAUGACUAUGAUUGAGCAUGAGAUUUUGCAUACACGUAUGAUAUUAUGUCACGAUAUAUUACAUAGGGAUGGGUUGUUAUAUUUGGAGGAAGUGUACCGUACUGAUAAGGUUGCACGGGUCGCCCAAGACGACUGUGGACCUACUAAUGGCUAUAUACCGUUUAUUUUACUGGCAGCUUUGCUGCAAUACUAUUUAAUGUCGCAACCGAUGCUAAUCUUGGUGUGUCUGGCUGGGUGGGUCGAUUUUAUCCCCACAUGGUGCGUUUAGCAAGACUGAGUGGUGUGUAGAGGCUGGAUUGGGUAGGAUUUCUAACUGCAUAUCUACACUGAUUAAUGAUUUUGUACUGUUACUGCAUCAAUUAAUGAUAUUACAUACUGUUCACUACAUGACUGAUAUCUGUUACUGUUAUGGGUCAAGGCCCCACUGAUAAUAUUACUGAAAUUGGGCAAAGGCCCUACUGAUUACUAGCAUUGUGAUGGGCUCAAGCCCAAUCGUUUAUUGUUACUGGAAAAGGCUUAGGCCCACAUUGAACUGGACUGUUACUGUAAUGGGCUCAGGCCCAAACUGUAUUUAUCUACUGUUCAAUUUACUGUUUUCUUAUUAGGGGAUUACACACUGAGUUGUCAUAAACUAACCCAUCUGUUUAACUGUACAAGUAAUCCCCAGUUGUAGGUAGGUCAAUGCUAUGAGGGACUCGAAGGUGGCCACACAACUGUAGCUGUUCUACACUUGCUUUUAUUUAAAUUUAAAGUUUGCGUUGGGUUUUUUUAUGUGAUAAGGCCAUUUAUGUUUGUCUAAAUUUUUUUGGCUUUUGCUUACUUAUUAUUAACUGCUAAUUUAGUAGAAGACGAAUUUACAAAAUAAUUACUAUUUUUAAAGACACGAAAUUUAAACAUUAGAGUUUUCAAAAGCUCCGCAAUUUUAGAUCAACCUAUUAUAAUGAUAGCAAAUAACAAGGCAAACGUUUUGACUAGAUGAUUUGUUAAAUAAUAGUAAAGGGGUUUUUAUACUUAGAAACGUAUUUUUUACCAACAAGUCCAAUUUUCGAAAGACACUUCAAUGUGACAUGCCAGAUUCGACCAUAAUGUCUAGGCCGAGUUUGGGGUGUUACAAGACAAUCCACUUUUAGAUUCCCGUGCAAAGGUAUCCAUUUUAUCAGAACACAAUCUGUGGCGCCCAACGGUCUUGUCAACACCAGACAAACCUCCCAUCCCCUAUCGACCACACUAAAUUAUCUCUAAGUAGUGGUCAUACCUUUGACAAGCCUCUCCAAAGAAAAGAGUUGUUGCUUCUCAAAAUACUUUCCGGCAAACUGUCUUUCAUAUCAUACUUUGACUAAAGAACCCUCACCCAUAAGGUAUUGACAUUUGCAACCAGAUUGAAUCCCAAUUUCAUCAAAAAAGAAAUAUGUUGAUCCUCGAACCUCCACAAACCAAGACCCCAUUAAGAGCAUGGUUAACAGACUGAGUCUCAACUUACUAGUGCCAUCUUCUUCUUUCCAUUCAAGGAACCCCAAAUAAAUUGUUUGGCCAAGCACUCGAUCUCCUCACAAAUCCCUUUCAGAAUCAUCAUUAACUGCAUAAAAUAGUUAGGUUUGGAUAAUAGCACAGAUUGUGCUAGAGUAGCUCUCCCAGCAAGUGAUAGUUGUCUAGCAUCCCAACUAAGAAAUUUACUACGUACCUUGUCCACCAUGAAUUGUAAGGUAUUUUUAGAAACUCUUUCAUGGAAUAGUAGAACCCCCAGAUAAGAGCUAAGGUCAUGUUAUAACAUUAAAGUAUAUUUUUAUUAAGAUAAAAUAGAAGUUACUAAUUUAAUUUAACUUAAAAUUUUAAAUAAUUUAAUAAAAUAUUAAAAAUUUCAAUUAUUUAAAAUUUUAUUUUAUUUUUAUUAUUAAAUUAAUUUUCUUUUAAGUUAUUUUAAAAUAUUUCAAAAUCAUACAUAUUUCUUUUACUUUAAUUAAAUAAUAAUUUAGAAUUAAAAUUUUAAAAGUAAAUUUGUUUUUGAAAGGUAGUUUUUUUUUCUUCGUUACCAAGCAACAAAGACAAAACCAUACAUAAAUAAAAGUCAUUUCAAAGCAUUAUUAUUCUAAGCAUAAGUUACAACUUUUCUUGCCAUAGAUUUAGCUAAUUUACUCCCUUCAUGCUGUUGUAUAUGUUGAAAUUGGGUCUUCAUGGCAUCGAUAUCAUGCAUUAGGAGGGACUUUAAUGUUAGAAGAUGGCUUACAUGCAAACCAAGACAGUUCGGGCCAUGCAAGUUUCAGCUGAAGCAUAUGUUGUUGUUUUGUUACUUUUUGGUUAAUAUUUUGUUACUUAGUUACAAUUGAACUAAGUUUGUAAUAAAUUUGUUGUAAUUUGGUGCUAAUAGAUUUGAUAAAUCAGCUUAACCAAGAGUGUAAGCAAGGUUUUAUACAUUUCAAGACUUAGUUAGUGGAGUUAGGUAUGUUUAAGUGACAUUUUUCAUUUUUUGACAAGCUGAUUCCUUGGUAUAUGUAAUGCAUUUUGUUUUAAUGAAAUCAUGAUGCAUCUUUCAAUAAAUUCUCCUUCUUCUUUUGGUUUUCUGGUAAGCAUUUUGUUCUUAUAGCUUAAGCUAAAUUUCUUUGUUUGUUUAGCAAGAUAUUGAAGCUUAAAGCUUAAGUUUCAGCUGAAGUUUCUUAUUAUGUUUCAAAGAUCCAACAAUUGGUAUCGAGAGUUGAUUUCUUAGAGAACCUUUCUCUUUGCUAUUCUCAAAAGCAAUGUCUUCAUCAAGUUUCUCUCUAGCACAACCACCAGUGUUCAAUGAUGAAGGCUACCAUAUUUGGGUAGUGAAAAUGAAGACUUACCUGUAGGCAUUUGACUUGUGGGAGGUUUUCAAUACUGAUAUUAAACCACCACCUAUAAUAGCUAACCCCACGGUAGCUCACAUCAGGCAGCACUCUGAUCACAGAGCCAAGAGGUACAGGGCAAUGUGUUGCAUUCAAAACAGUGUGUCAGACUUGAUUUUCACAAGGAUUAUGGCUUGUGAGACUCCAAAAUAGGCUUGGGAUAGGCUCAAAGAGGAGUUUCAAGGAACUGAAAAUAUAAGACAACAAUAACUCUUGAAUUUUAGAAGGGACUUUGAAAAUUUGAAUAUGAAGGAAUCUAAAACAGUUAAUCAAUAUUCAGACAGAAUUAUGGCUAUUAUGAACAACAUCAGAUUGCUUGGGGACCAAUUUAGUAAAGUCAGAAUAGUGGAAAAGGUUAUUUCAACCUUACCUGAGAGAUAUAAAGCCAAAAUCUCUUCUCUAGAAGAUUCAAGAGAUCUGUCAAGCAUCUCUUUGACUGAGCUAAUCAAUGCUCUCUAUGCUCAUGAGCAAAGAAAAGCUAGCAAACAGGAGGAGCAUCAAGAAAGUACCUUUCAAGCUAAGAGCACACCAACCUUGAGCUCCUCUGGCUUCAAAGGGAAGAAAACUGGCCAGACAAAUCAAGAAGAGAUGGAGUAAGAAGAAGGUAUCCACCUUGCUUACAUUGUAAAAGAAUUAGCCAUCCUGAAGCUAACUGUUGGUAUAGACCUGAUGUACAGUACAGGGUUUAUAAAUAGAUGGGCCAUGUUGAAAAGGUUUGCAGAAACAAAGGCAAGUAGAAGAAAAACCAGCCUCAACAACCUAGAACGAAAGCUCAAGUGGCAGAAGAAGGUUGUGAUUAGGAAGAACAAGUAUUUGUUGUCUCCUGCUCGGCUGCUAGAAGAAAAGCUACAAAAGGGUGGCUAAUUGGCAGUGGUUGCACAAACCACAUGACACCUGAUAUUGCUAUCUUCAAGAGCAUUGAUAGAAUUUUUAACACAAAAGUAAAAGUGGGCAAUGGACACUACAUUAAAGUAGAAGGCAAGGGAGAUGUGCUGAUUGACACUCCUUCAGGUAUCAAACUCAUUCCCAUUGUUUUGUUUGUACCUAAAAUAAAUAGAAAUCUGCUAAGUAUUGCUUAACUUGUUGAAAAAGGAUACACAGUUGUAUUCAAAGGCAAAGAAUGUCUGAUUAGUGAUCUAAGUAGAUCCAAACUCAUGUUAGUGACCAUGACUGACAAAAUUUUUAUUAUGGAUUGGAACAAAAGUUCAGACAGUGCCUACACAACUGUCUUAGAUGAGUCUAAACUAUGGCAUAAAAGAUUAGGCCAUGUCAAUCAUAAGUCUCUACUUUAUUUGUCUAAAGAAAACUUGGUUGAAAAUUUUACAAAAAUAGUUGAAAAAGAGGAUGUUUGUCAAGUGUGUCAGCUAGGAAAGCAAGCUAGACUACCAUUUCCUUUGAACAAGGCCUGGAGAGCCUCUGAAAAGCUGCAGUUAGUCCACGCUGAUGUGUAUGGCCCUAUGAAGACACAAUCCUUAAAUGGUAGCAGGUACUUCAUUCUUUUCAUUGAUGAUUAUUGAAGGUUCUGCUGGGUUUACUUCCUAAAGCACAAGUCAGAAGUAGCCUCAGUGUUUUGGAAAUUUAAGGUUGUAGUAGAAACUCAAUCAGAUUGCAAGCUUAGAACACUAAGGUCAGACAAUGGUACAGAGUACACUUCAAAAAUGUUUCAAAGUUUUUGUGAAGAAUCAGGCAUCAAACACCAGAUCACAAACAUCUAUACACCUCAGCAAAAUGGUGUCAGUGAGAGGAAGAAUCAAACUUUGAUGAGUAUGGCCAGAUGCUUGAUGUUUGAGAGGAAUUUGCCUAAAAGUUUUUGGGCUGAAGUAGUGAAGACCUAGUUUGGGUUUAAACCAUCAGUUGCUCAUCUAAAGGUCUUUGGUUGCAUAUGUUAUGUACGCAUACCAGUAGUAAAAAGGGACAAACUGGCAAAGAAGGCUCAGCCUGGCAUUCUAGUGGGCUAUAACAGUGUCAAGAAGGGCUACAAGAUUCUGGAUCCUUCAACCUACAAAAUCUUUGUGAGCAAAGAUGUUGUAUUUGAUGAGAGGUCAAGCUAGAAUUAGGAUAAAAGUGAACCAGAAUGUACUACUGAAGACUUGGUGACAAAGCAAACUGAAGUUGAUCAAAAUAAUCCUGAAAUGGACAUUGAUCAUGAGCCAGUUAUGGGAACCGACCACUAAGUGAAAUAUAUGAAAGGGCAGAUAUGGCUACUGUUGAACCAACAUGUUUUGAGGAAGCUCAAGCUCAAUAAGGAUGGAGGCAAGCCAUGCUUGAUGAAAUGAGAAUGAUUCACAAAAAUCAGACCUAGGAGUUAGUUGCAAAGCCAGCUCAUAGGAAGGUCAUAUGAGUAAAAUGGGUGUUUCAAGCUAAGCACAAUGCUGAUGGAACUUUGAACAAGCUAAAGGCAAGGUUAGUAAUGAAAGGAUUCAGUUAGAAAUAUGGGAUUGACUACUUUGAAACAUUUGCACCAGUAGCUAGACUUGAUAUAAUCAGACUACUAGUUGCAUUGGCUACUCAAAAGUAGUGGAAAAUACAUCAACUUGAUGUAAAAUCUUCUUUCCUCAAUGGCUUUCUUGAUGAGAAGAUAUUUUUUGAAUAGCUAGAGGGUUUUAAGGUUGCUGGUGAAGAAGACAAAGUGUUCAAGCUAAGAAAAACCUUGUGUGGAUUAAAACAGGCACCAAGGGCCUGGUAUGACAGAACCGACACCUACCUAGUAAGCUUGGGGUUCAAAAGAAGCAUUAGUGAGCCAACACUGUAUGUGAAGAAAGAAGGUGAUGAAACACUGCUCAUAUUCUCCUUAUAUGUGGAUGACUUACUGGUGACAGGAGGAAACAAUGUUAUGCUGACUGAUUUUAAAGGCAAGAUGCAGAGCAUGAUUGAAAUGUCAGAUUUGGGUGAAAUGUCCUAUUUCCUUGGCAUAGAAGUGUUUUAGACUCAGCAAUGAAUUUUCUUAAGCCAAAAAGCAUUUGCCUUGAAAAUUCUAAAAAGAUUCUCCAUGCAGAAUUGUAAAGCAACUAGCACUCCAAUUGCUAUUGGAGAAAUGGUAACAAGCCAGGGUGAUUUUGAGAAAGUAAAUGAGUCAACCUAUAGGAGCCUAGUUGGAUGUCUCCUCUACUUGACAGCCACAAAACCAGGCAUAAUGUUUGCAGUCAGCCUCUUAUCCAGGUUCAUGCACUGCUGCAAUGUGAACCAUUUUCAAGCUGCAAAGAGAGUCCUCAAGUAUAUUAAAGGCACUCUGAGCUUUGGGAUGAUGUUUACUAAGGUUGACAGCAUGAAGCUCCUUGGUUUUGCUGACAGUGACUGGGCAGGAUCGAUGGAUGACAUGAAAAGCACCUUAGGGUAUCUGUUUACCCUUGGUUCAGCUAUUUUUUGCUCGAAUUCUAAGAAGCAAACUAUUGUUGCUCAAUCAACAGCUGAAGUAGAAUAUGUAGCAGCUACAGGAGCUAUUAACCAAGCAAUUUGGUUAACGAAGAUCAUGGCAGAUAUGAACUUGCAUCAAAGAGAAGCAACAGAGAUCAAAUGUGAUAACCAAUCUGCUGUUGCAAUUGCAAAGAAUCCAGUGUUUCAUGGGAAAACAAAGCAUUUUAAGAUCAAGUUUCAUUUUGUUAGAGAAAUGGAAUAAUCUAAAGAAAUCAAACUGGUUCAUUACAGUUCUGAAGAUCAGUUAGUUGAUAUCUUGACAAAACCUCUUUGUGUGUCAAGGUUCAAGAAUUUGAGAGCCAAGUUGGGAGUUUGCAGCAUGCAAGCCAAGGAGGAGUGUUAGAAGAUGGCUUACAUGCAGACCAAGAUAGUUCGGGCAAUGCAAGUUGCAGCUGAAGCAUAUGCUGCUGUUUUGUUACUUUUUGGUUAAUAUUUUGUUACUUAGUUACAACUGAACUAAGUUUGUAAUGAAUUUGUUGUAAUUUGGUGCUGAUAGAUUUGAUAAAUUAGCUUAACCAAGAGUGCAAGCAAGGUUUUGUAAGUUUCAAGACUUAGUUAGUGGAGUUAGGUAUGUUUAAGUGACAUUUUUCAUUUUUUGACAAGCUCAUUGCUUGGUAUAUGUAAUGCCUUUUGUUUUCAAUGAAAUCGUGAUGAAUCUUUCAGCAAAUUCUUCUUCUUCUUUUGGUUUUCUGUCAAGCAUUCUGUUCUUAUAGCUUAAGCUGAAUUUCUUUGUUUGUUUAGCAUGAUAUUGAAGCUUAAAGCUUAAGUUUCAGCUGAAAUUUCUUAUUCUGUUUCAAAGAUCCGACAAUUAGUUUCCGGUGGGUUGUCACUUCUUCACUGUUCUGUCUUUGCUGCAUAUAGUGCAUGAUGUAAUGUUCAUAGCAAAUGCUAAUCUUGCAAUGAUUAGUUUGCUGGUUAAACGAUCGUCUGACGAGAAACUUACAGCCUGCAGCCACAAAAUUUGAUUGGUAUUGGAUUUUAGAAUAACAGCAGCAGCACCUACCAUAUUUGCCAUCUAUUUCCAUUCCAAAAUGAGGUGGUGAGCAGUCUGUUGAGUGUUCGUUCUAGAUUACGUUCACAACCAUCAAUAUUGAAUCAUUCCCUUGAUUUGAAAGAAUCACCAAAAACUAAGCAUUGAUAUUAACAUUAUUUAAUGUAUUACUAAAAACGUAUAUUGGAAAUUAAUUUUCCUCCUUACCCAUUUCAAUAAAUAGUGUAUAAAACUAUAAUUUGUUUUUGAGAAUAUAAGACUAUAAUAUCUUAGUUAGAAAAAAACCUCCAUUUUUCAUAUUUUUAUCGAAUGAAAACUGCUACACACGUCCAACACUCGUAAUUUAACAGCAACACACUGUUUUAUAGGUGGCAUAGCUAUUUUUGUUUGAUUUUUUGAAAUAGUCGCUAAUAUUUCACAUUACAAAUUCAUCAAAUUUUACGAAGGGCUUUCCAAGUUCGAUUUUCUUUUCGUUUGUAACCGCUACCAAGACUUCGUAAUCGUCGUCUUCGUAGUGGUUUCUUUUUUAUUUUUUUAUUUUUUUUAAUAAAAGGAAACAAAUUCAAAUCUGGCUAUCAAGUUAUUUGGGAUCAUUGUUGGUUUGACCUCCAAAAGUUUGAAUUUCUUCCUUUUCCAUCACCUAGCUGAUUAGGGUUUCAAGCAUUCUUUUCUUUUAUCAGGUAAUUUUGAAUUUUGGUUUUCUCUUUUAAUUUUAUUUUAGUUUCCAUUUGAUGGUUUUUUUUUUUUUUUGGAAAACUUGAUUUUGUAAGUAACAUAUUUGUGAAGAAAAUGUAUGUAAUUGUAAAGGCAAAAAAUUGUGAUGCGAUGCUUUUGAAGAUUUAUAAUUUAAAAAUAAACUAUUUGAUUAGAAAAAUGCAUGAUUUUUUCUUUUAAAUCAAUCAAUAAUCUUUGAAUGCAUUACAAUUCAGUCAUAUGCUGAUUUUUAAUCAAAUUUAUUGUCUAUUAUUUAGCAAUAUUCAAUAUGGUUAAAAAAUAACAAUUAAUGGAGCUCAAGUUCUUAUAUAGUAUGGGUUACUCUUAAUCUUAAUAUGAAAGCUUAUGCUGGCUUUGCAGGUUUAAGAUUUGUUGUAGCCAUUAUUUACUACUUUCAAGGUCUCAAGUGUUAUAAUGUUUGGUAAGAGCUUUUCAUUUGCUAGAGAUUUUGGCUUUUGCGGCUGCUUUGGCUACACAACAAAGCCCAAACGGUCGAGGUCCCAUUGCAGGCCAAACUCUCAGGACCUUUUUUUAGAUGAAGAAAUAGAAGAGGAUAGUUGUUUAUAUAACGAUGAUUUUACGAGCACUUCUCAAGUAGAUGAGGUUGAGCCUAUAAGCCGUGCCAAGCGUUCUGAGGAGAUUUUGAGGUUCAAACUCAACAAUGGAAUGAUUUGCAGGCAAUUUAUAGUUAAGGAAACCAACAGGAUUAUUCGCUCAGAGGUAGGCAUAGAAAUGUUGUUAUGCCUCCAUUGCCACUGAAUUACGUCAUAAAUGUUAAUAAUAUUAUUGUCUUGUGUGCCAUUAUGUAUUCAUACCAGUAAUCUUCAUUUCAUUCUGUAUUUGUCUCAUAUGCUUAUAAAGUUUUGGAAUCUUGACUUCAUUUUCAGGAUGAAGAUGGGAAUAAGAUGGUUAAUGAAUAUGUGCGUGAAUAUAGGAUUGGUUCUGGCAGCUAUGGAAAAGUGGUGAGGAGAUCAUUGAAAGACACCGUGUUACAUAAGUUGCAGAACAUAAUUAAUUAUUACGUAUUUUGUUUGCUUGUGUGGCAGGUUCUAUAUCGAAACAGUGUAGAUGGGAAACACUAUGCUAUUAAGGUUAGUGGCUUGUUUUGAUACAAAAGUGAUUGUGCUUUGAACGCAAAAAUGGCAAUAACAACUCAUUUUUGUUUAGUAGCAAAAAGUUGAAGCAUUAAAACUAGAGAAACAUUUUGUCUUUCGUUAUAUAUAUUCCUAUAGCCUAAAUGUUGCAACUUUAUACCAAAUUAAGGUUUUGCCAUGCAAUAAUGAGUUAUUUUUAUAUUUGAAUUUCAGGCUUUUCAUAGGUCUCAUUUGUUAAAGCUACGGGUUGCUCCAUCAGAGACUGCAAUGACUGAUGUUCUUUGUGAGGUAUUGACUUGAUAUUUUGUUUUAUUUAUAUUUUGCCAUAUAUCUUCUGUUUAAUAUAGAUCAGUUUAUCUGGUUCCUUGAAGUUGUCAAGUUCAAAGUGCCAAUAUAGCAAUUUUCAUUCUUAAAUUUCAUUUAAAAUUACAAUUCUGUACGCUUGGGUUUAUAUUCCAUCAAUAUAUGAAUUACUCUUUUAGGUUCUCCAUAUUCAAGCACUCCCAUCAAACUCUCCAUUUAUUCUCUAUGUCAAGAAAAUGUAAUUUGACCUCUCUUUGCAAUUCUGUUUUUUUUUUUUUUCUCUCCUUUUUUCUUUUUCUUGUCUUCUUCUAGGAGAUUUCUCCUUGUAUGCUACCAACAUAGAAUUUUAAUGACAUUUUCUUUGAUGAUGGUUAGCUCAUUGAUUGUGUUCUUGGUUUACUCUUUCUUAUUUAAUUCGAUUUUUUUCUCUUAUAUUGAAUGACUGUUAUCCUUAUGCAUUCCUUUUUCCUUUUAAAUAAAUUGGAAGCAACUCAAUCUCUACUUGAGCAAAAGACUGACUAGACGGUUGGUUUGUUAUGUGGGCAUUGUUAUUUCGCCAUCUACAAACAGAUGAUGAAAAGAGAUCAUAUGUAACACCAUGUGGUUAAUUUCCUUGUUGAAAAGAGAUAAUAUGUUGGCAUAGUCAUGUAGAUAGAGCUGCCUCGAUUGUCUUCUUUUGACAUGUGAAAUACUUUUGAUUUUUGGAUGAAUUGCCAUAUUUAUCUUAUCCAUUUACCUUACAGGUUCUAAUUAUGAAAAUGUUGGAGCAUCCCAAUAUAGUAAAUCUCAUUGAGGUGAUUGAUGACCCAACCACGGAUCAAUUUUACAUGGGUAUUUAUAUUUCUUUCUUAAUUUAUUUCUCUACUAAGUGAUGUGUAUAAAAGAGUCAUUGAGUUAGUUUUAUUAUAUUGACAGCCAUUAAUUUUCUUUUCGUUUAGUUCUUGAAUAUGUGGAAGGAAAAUGGGUUUUGGAAGGUUCUAGUCCUCCUGGAGCCAUUGGAGAGGAUACUGCUAGGAAGUAUUUGCGAGAUAUAGUAUCUGGGCUUAUGUACCUCCAUGCACAUGUAUGCUUUCAUACCAACUUUUGUGCCUGGUUUUGUUUCUUCUCCAUUAUUUUUCUUUUUUAAAAGUAUUGCAAUUCUCUUUGAGGGUGUGUUUUAUUUCUUAUAAGUCCAAUUACAUGGUUCGAUAAAUAUGAUAAAGGUUUUUCUCUGAACAUGCGUAGAGAAGAUUUUUUUUUUUUUCUUUUGUCUGGCUAUUUAUCCUGUUUGCUCCAAACAGAGUUAUGAUUUCUAUGAUAUAUAUACGUCCAGCAUGUCCUUUCGUAUUUGAAUAAUGAAGGUUUUCAAUCCAUAAAUCAUCUAAUUUUCUGUUUGCUCUAGAAUUUCUUUUCCUAUUACGUCUUUACCUUCCAUGGUAAGGUUGGAACGUGUGUUCAUGCUUCCAUGAAUUUUACUUUUUAUGUGGAGUAUCUUGUUACGUGUUGUUGCCAUCAAAAUCAUCUAUUACUUGUUAUUUUAUUGUUCUUGCUUAUGUCUUUUCUGUUAAAUACAGAAUAUUGUGCAUGGAGAUAUAAAGCCUGAUAAUUUAUUGAUUACUAAAACGGGUACGGUGAAGAUAGGAGACUUCAGUGUCAGCCAGGUCUUUGAGGUAAUGAUACUACUUUCCUUUAAAUUCCUCAUAUGAUGACUUGAAUGAAAGUAUUAAAGUGUAAUCAAUUUUUAUCGUGUAAGAAAUAUGCAUACCAAACAUAUUUAUCUGUCCCUACAUUCAUUUUUCUUGUCUUACACAUAUUUGGAGGUAAGGAUGCGAAUAUGGCUUUCCAGAAAUUUAUCAAAUAUGCAUGAAAUAACUUAUUUCGAGCACACCCGUAUCUGAAAUUUACAUCCGAAUCCAAGUAAUAUAGAUUAAUCCCUCUGUCAUUCUCUUUUCUAUCAUAUGUUGUUUUUUUCGAAUCGAAUAUAAUACCAACUACAAUUUUGUCUAUAGGAAGUUUUUCUUAGACGUGAGUUAGCACAAAAGCGUAAUGUACCUAAAUGGGUUACAUGCACUUGUUUCAAUAAGUGAGUGCACCAAAAGUUUGUGUGGCUGAUGCACAUUAGAAAAUAAUUUGUUUAUAGUUUUGUAACAGAACUUUAUCAUUAUUAUUUGUUAUUUAAUUUGUCCCAUUUUUAUUGUGUUUUAAUUGCUUUCAGAAGUUCCAUUUAAUUUUGAAAUCACUUUAGUUCUCAGUGGAAGUACGUUUAUGCUGUUUCAAACAAAAUCAUUUUAUUUUUACAGGAUGAUAAUGAUGAGCUUCGUCGUUCUCCUGGGACUCCUGUUUUCACUGCACCUGAGUGCUGCCUAGGUUGGUAUUCCCUCCGUUAGCUGGAACUAUGGUUUAGUGUGGGACUGAUAGUCUGAGGAAAUAGUAUGCUUGUUUUGACUGAACAUGAAAUCCAUCAACAGGCUUAACGUAUCGAGGAAAAGCUGCAGAUACAUGGGCUGUAGGAGUUACGUUGUACUUUAUGGUACUGGGAAAAUAUCCGUUUCUCGGUGAAACACUACAGGAUACGUAUGAAAAGGUAAGCAAUUUGCUCUCGAUUUCUCCUCCUCUUUUGCUCCUAUUCCGGCAAACAUUCUCCGAUAGCCAACAACAGUGAUGUUCAUUUUCUGUUGCAGAUUGUUAAUAACCCUUUGGUUCUGCCAAAUGACUUGAACCCAGAGUUGAGGAAUCUACUAGAAGGACUUCUUUGCAAAGGUUAGUGCAAUCUUUUGUUCUGAUUUCUUUGUCUUUCAUACCAAUUACCAAGAACUAAUUCUCAGAUGGAGUUUUGGCCGUGGUGAUCACGAAAACAAACCAUUUUUUUUCAGACCCAAAACAGAGGAUGACUUUAAAUGCAGUAGCAGAGAAUCCCUGGGUUAUAGGAGAAGAUGGACCAAUCCCCCAAUACUUGUGUUGGUGUAAGCGUAAUAGCUGCCACAGGGAAGAAUCUAAUUGCAGAAAUGGUACUCACCCGUCGGAAGCUAACUAGAUUAAGGACCGGUUUCGGUUUGCUGUACAGUGGCUUUCUUUUUCUUUUUUUUUUUGACCCUAUUCUUUUUGCACCAGAGGCACCAUGUUUAUUAAGAUUUACUAGGUUCAUUUUUGUGCAAGAGGGUGAAUUUGUGAGACUUGUCUAACUCUUCAAGCCUCCUUUGGACAUGAGACAAGCCUGCCCCAACAUUCUUAACUGGGAACAACAAAACAAUCACCUCGGCUUAUUCCUAGGUCUGAUCGAGUUUGGAAAUAUAAUUUUUUUCAUAUUAAUAUCCAUGUUUUGUAAUUUAAAAAAAUCAUUAUUUUUUUUAAAAUUUUUUACUAUUGAAAAUAAUUUGAGUCGGGGUUUAAUUAAAUUGUAUCAAAAAAUUUCAUAUCCGACCCAAAUUGAAUUGGAUUUAUUGAGUUAGUUAGGUGACCCAAGUCAUGAACAGAAUAAUUAAUUAUUGAAAAUAGAUUCUAGCAAUUUCAGAUUAGUUUAUUAACGAGAUUGUUGUAAAUUUGUAAUAUUGUAAAUUCUUUCACAUUUGACUAGUCUUAAUCAUGGGUCGGGUCACUCGUUUAGACCGGAAGGUCUGCCUGAAAAAUAGAAGGGUCUGAGCAAAAAAAGACUUGAAAAAUAGGUUUGGGCAAAAAAUAAUGUUUGUUUUCUAAACAGGCUAGGCCUUGAGUAAGAUUUUUUGCUCGGGCUUAGUCCGAAUUUGCCUUUUUUCACUGUUGUCUACUAUUGUUUUGUUGUUGUUUGUUGCCAUUUUGAUAUUGUUUUGCUGCUAUUUGUUGUCAUUGUACUAUUAUAUUACAACUAAUUUAUUGUUAUUGUUUAAAUAUUGUAUAACUCUUGUUUUAUUAUUAAUUUUACUACCAUUUUAGAGGCAUUUACUUGCUAAGUUAUAACUAUCUUAGUACCAUUUAAGUAUGAAGACUUUUUUUUAAUAUAUUUUCAAUUUGUUGGGAAACAUUUAUUUUAAUGUUUUUAGGGUACGUUUGGUUCGCUGUAUUGGAUUAGAGGUGUAUUGGAUUAGAGGUGUAAUGGAAUAGAGGUGUAAUAGCAAAUCAACUGUUUGGUUGAAUGUAAUGGAAUAGAGGCGUAAUAGUAAUCUUGUGUUUGGUUGAAUGGAAUGGAGUUGUAAUAGCAUAAUGGAAAAAACUAAAAUGACUAGAAUACCCUUAGCAUAAAUUUGUUUAGGUAAAUAAUUAUUGUUAUUGUUAUUAAAUUUUAAUAAGAUUAUUAAUAUAAAUAAUAAAUAAUUUAAUCAUAUUUUAACAUAAUUAUUAUUAAAUAUAAUUUAAUAAAAAUAUAUAAUUUAAUAAAAUAUAUGAAUUUACUAAAAUUAUAAUAUAUAAUAUUAUAAAAUAUAAUUUAAAAUAAUUAUUAUUAAAUAUAAUUUAACAAAAAUAUAUAAUUUAAUAAAAUUAUUAAUAUUAAAUAUUCUUAUAUGAAUUUACUAAAAUCAUAAUAUAUAAUACUAUAAAAUAUAAUUUAAAAUAAUUAUUAUUAAAUAUAAUUUAACAAAAAUAUAUAAUUUAAUAAAAUUCUUAGUAUUAAAUAUUCUUAUGAUUGUAUCAACAUAAUGAAUUAGGGUUUUUCUUCAUAUUCCCAAUUAUGUAUUCCAUUUCCGACCGUAAAGCACCUUUCAACUCAUCUCAUCAGUGAUUUUCUAUCCAUUGACAAAUUAGGAUUCUAUUGUUCGUGCAUCAACAAUUUCGAAUUCUAAAAUUUAGAACGUAAAUUUUAUUUUCUCAAUUUCAUUUUUGUUUCUAGAUUUGACUUGAAGCAAUUUUGAUCUUCAAUGUUGUUUUUUUCGUUCAUUUUAACUUCUUUUUUUGUUAUAUUUUCUGUAGAAAGAUGGAUUUUUUAUGAUUAAACUUUUAGACAUGUUUAUUUUCAAUUUUUUCCACGAGCAUUUAGAUAAGAAAAAUAUUAAAACUAUUCAAAAGUUACUUGUUUGCUUCAAAACGAAUUAUAUAAGGACUAAAUUGCUCAUUUUUAUAUUAAAGGACCCAAUUUGCUCUUGAAUUUCUAAUAGUUUAACCAACAAAAGUCUUACAUGACCUAACAAAAAACCUCUCCAACUAAAUUGCACGCAUAACUUGUUUAGCAAGGUUCAUUAUAUUGUGAUACAAGAAAACUGAUCUGAGGCAGUACAUGAACUGUCCUCUUUCUCCUCCAGCGUUCGGCACAACUCAUCUGCUUCUUCCCUGCAUUAGUAAACUGAUCACUUAAUUUGCUUAUAUAAAAUUCAACAUGCAAAUACUAUACACAUUCUCUUAGACAUGCUAAAGAGUAAAGACUUCAGAACAUGGGGCAUAUACCAUAUACACACUUCUAGACAUGUUCAUUAGUGGUUUAACACUACUUUUUUUGUUUUUGAACUUUUUGCAGUUCUUUAUGGGACACAUACUUUCUUUGUCAAUGAGAAAGUUAUUUAGAACGAACAGAAUCGCGAUCACAAUAAACAAAUUUAGAUAUGAUUUUUAAGAAUAAAAAGAACUGGAAUCAGAAAACCAUAGAGACAGAGGACAAGGGGUUUGAAUGCAAAGGGGUUUUGCCAAUCACCACCAAGCCCUCAAUGGCUUAGUACCUCAAUGUGCCGAACGCUCGAUGUUUCUGCAAUGCUGGCCAACUGCAUGGUGCUGGAUUGAAAAAUACGGUUAAAGAUGUUGGGCACCUACAUAAAUAUACAGACAUUUAGUAAAAAUAUCAGUGUUUACUGAACAAAAGAAGAAAGGGCCCUUAAAUAUAAAUGAGGUGCUUAUACUUUUUGUUUGCCAUCUCUUGACUUUCUCUGUAUUAAUGAAGGGCUUUUCCCAUAUGAAAACAUAACAUCUCCGAGGUCCUCCAAAUACCCUCUAAGCUCGGAUGUAGGAAUUGUAGAGGAAGAGUUUUGCCUGACACAUAUUAAAUCUUGACCACCGAUAGCCAUGCCGACUAUUAUGUGUGUUCCAUAUGUCUGUAUGAACCUACCAAAACACAAAUUAUUAGAUAUAUACUGCAUAUUAUACUACAACUAUUGACAACAACCACAGCAGUAGCAAUUUUAUAACUUUACGAUGGACUAGAGUAACUUAUCCAUAUCUCAAAAUUUUCCAAUUAAGCAAUAGAAGCACAAUUAUGUAACAGUUUAUAUGCCGAAAGUUCAAUCUAAUGAUCAAUAAACAGAAUUCUACUUCUUUGAGAGAAAAUGUUUAGAAAUUAGCUAAAAUUGCAUAAGAAAGUUGAAAACACAUAUUGCAGCUCCUUCAUCAUCCCACAUAUAAUUAGUUACACUAUAUUUUUACAGCAUACGGCCACAUGAUUGACCUAACCAGUUGAGAACCACUUUAAUUCAGCAUAACAAUAAUAUAUUUUCUUUAACAUAGGCAAGUGUUUAUAAAGUAGGGUCACCAGUACUAUUUCUUCAUUCAUUCAAAAAGCAUCCGCAUAAUCCAUAUGAUUCUUAAUGCCAAAAAUGUGCAAACAAUAUGUGGAAAAGUUACCUAGACAAGGCUGCUGGAUCCCAAUGAGGUGGAACAGACUUCUUAACUCUGUCGUUUAGAACAAGUGAAAUGUUGUAAGGUGUAAAUAAUACAACGAAAUAAAGUAACCAUCGAAAGCGAGAGUUUUGGUGUCUGUAGCAUCAUGAAGCCAAUUUCCACUCAAAUCGAAGAUACUGUUAAGAUACCCUGAAUGAACUUUUCCUUGUAUAGAAGACUUCUGAUUAAGUAACUCAGACAUCUGUAAAAGAAAUAAGAUUUUGGAACAAAUGUAAGGUACAACAUCAAUAAAACACCAAAUUGAACAAACUGCAUAAUUCUAUAUACUUUUCUAGCCUUUUCUUUUUUCGGAUUUCUUCAUCGUUAAGGUUACAGAAGUUUUCAACAUGAUAGACAGUAGCUAUCUGAUUAAUAUCAGCCAUUAUUAACAAUUAGUUAACCUCAAGCUAGUUGUUAUUUUUAUUUAAGAAUUCAUGAACAAACAUUCAUGCUUGCAGGAAGGAAUGAUAGGCGAAAAUUUUACAGGCCAGUGGAGACCAAACAUUCAUGAACAAGCAAGAUGCAAAAUCAACUGCCUGGGAGUUCAACAUCGUGGUUCAUAAUAUCUUGUUACUUGUAAAUAACUUAUGUGGAUCAUUUCCAUCAUUGAUUACAUUAGACAUUGUAAUAUAGAGAGAUAGCCAAUUCAGAGAAAAAUUGAUGCUAAUAUGAUAUGUGGAUGGUUAAAUACUUGGAAGCAUUGAACUAUCUAAGUUAGCAUUGCACUUAAGGUGAUUACAAGAUGGUCAAAGUUUUGGAAGAUUUGUCUCACAUGUGAGAUUACUACACACAAUCACAAACACAUUUUGCUCAGAUCCUACUUAAUAAACAUCAAUUGUCUAAAUUACUGCCAUUUCCAUAGGCUAGUGAGUGUAAACCACAGCAACCAAAAUUUACAUUUCACAUUAUGCUUCACCAUCCAAGAAUCUUCAAUAGGUACCAAAAGGUGAAAUAGGGAGAACACUCUGUGCAAAGCAUUAAUGCAGUCAAGUUGAGCUUUCAUGAAAUAAAAUAAUAUCAGUUUCUAGGUCGGGCUAACCAUAAGGAGCUAAGUGCCCGGAGCCGAGAAGUGUAAUCACUAAAAACUAGAAGGGCUCGCGUGUGGUCAAAAUUUAAUUUUUUUUCAGAGAACAGAAUGAAAUGUAAAAUGUUAGCAAAUAAAAAACCUUUCUUGUAUAAGGAUGUCAGGCAAUGGAGAAGCACCGACACAGAUCUUCCCCUCUCGUACUGGUGUCAACGAAAUACGAACUGUCAAGACACCGUUGUCCGAAAAUGGACACGGAUGACUGGCGGUCGGCGAGCGGAUGAAGAAGAAGAAGCAGUCUGCUGAUGAGUGAUGAAGAAGAAGCAGUUGUGGUGGCCGAAAGGAAGGAAAAAGUUAUGGAAUCAGAAGAAAUCAGAAGAAGCAGUUAGAAGGGUAAAACAGGGUAGAAGAAAUCGGGAGAACUUAAUACGCAGCAAAACUGAGCUUUCCUUCCGAAAUAGAAAUAUGUGGAUUUUGAGGAUUAGGUCCGUAAUGUAUUAGACCCGUAAUAGUAAUACACUGAACCAAACAAAAGAUUAAAGGGGGAUUAGGGGUGUAAUGGCUAUGCCAAUACACCUAACUAAACAUGUUGUAAUGUAUUUUAUGUAUUAUAUUUUUUAAAUUUAAUUUUAUAUAAAAAAAUUUUAAUACUGAUAAAUUGGGCUCGAAUUUAGCUUUUUUUUUAUCUGGGUCAAGUUUAGACAAUUUUAAACCUAUUUUUCGAGUCAGACCAAGCCCAGACUUAGAAAAUUAGCUUAAAACUUUGCAUUGACCUGACUCAACCCAUGAUCAAAUCAACAUUAAUUAACUGAUGCUUUUUCAUUAUUUGAUUGUAUGAAUAUAUUAAUACUUUUAUAUAUUUGUACAUAUAUGUUAUUUUUCUAAUAAAGUGAAUUGUUAAUAUUAAAUAUAACCAUAUUAUUUGGUAUACAUAAUUAGAAAUCCUGUCAACAUAAUCACCCUAACUUUGACAAAAAGUUUAUUCAGACAAAUGUUUUCAAAACAAUUCGCUUUCUAGAUGAUCCUUUUAGAAGAGUGGGAUUAGAAUAGAACAAUUUUUCUAGUUACUUCAUUCUUUAUUUCUAUUUGAGAAAAUCCUUAGGAAAAGCAUUCUGUUUCCGCUGAGCUAAAACAAGAUGUAAAUGUCUCUAGUCUAGGGAAUUUUAAUCUUAUUUAUUAUAUCUCAACACGUGUUUCAAAGGUAUUUCUAUCUGUUACAUGCAACAUAGAUGAUCCCAUCUUAGAUAAAUUAUAUUACAUUUAAUUACAUUUUGGCAGAACAUCUUAUAAGUUUACUACUAGCCUUAUUUAGUAGGACAACUAUUUGUUGGAGCUCACAAUUGGCUCACCACUAAGAUCAUUGUCUAUAUAAGGCCUCAUCAUCAUAAGAGGGCAUUUUUUUUCCCUUCUAAUUCAACUACCAAGGCAUCUUUAAAGGCUUCUUCUAAACCUCUAAGCCUCCUUUAGCAGCUGUUGGCAUAGUAACGCAAACCACUUCCAUCCAUCAAACACAAACUUUGUAUCAACAAUUGGCUAGUUUAUGAUAAGAAACAAAAAGCUAUGUGCCUACCCGAUAAAGCUUUUUACUUUAAAAACCCUAAAAACACAUAAGUGGCUCAACAACAACAAUGUUUAGCCCUCUCUAACACUAAUCGACCAAAUAAACUACCAAACUAGGUUUAUCAAGUUAGACCUUCACACAAUCACUCUAGUCAAUCUUAGUGGUGAGCAAUUCAUACCCUCCCUACCACCAUGCACCAAAAAUACAUGAAAGCUCACCUACAGACCAAAUUCAUUCACCAAGACCUACUAUCAUAAUCACCAAAGACUUGUUGCUGAAACUUCACACCAAAAAAUUUAUCCCCCACCAACCCUCAAGUAAUACAUGGAGUUACAAGCCCAAAAAGUGAUUUUCCAAACCCAAUUAUGCAAAUAAAUUUACCUUUAUCAUAUAUGAUACUGGCCUCAGAUGACAUAUCCCCAACAGCAAGACGCUACUUUAGAAGGCCAGCUAGAAAUUUUAAGGGAAAAACAACACCAAAUGCACUAAGGCAACUUCGAUUGGAAAGGCCACAAUAUUAACAAUUGCCUUAACCACAAAGAAGCAAAACUAGAUAACAUUGCCAAAGCCUUUUAAGGGUUAGAUUACAUGAGAGGGGCCCUUACUCUGAAUUUGAAAAUCCUACCUUGCUCAAUUCAUCAUAGGUAUACAUUUUAAGUAAUGUAAGAAAUGAUAAAAUCCAUGGGCCACUAAUUGAACCUCUAAAACAACCAAUUUUCUACGAAAUGCCAAUUUCAUGAAGAAGUCAAGCAUAUAAUAGAAGAUUGUCUCUAUUUUAAAGACGACACUGAAGAAACUAUCAAGUGAGGAUGUCUCAAACGGUUCACUAGAGACCCGCCCAAAACUAAGAGCAAAAUGAGACUGAAACCUGGCAAAUAAAGCAAAGGCACUGUGAAAAAUGGCUCUCCUAGGGGUAAAAAAGGUGAGAGGCAACCUAACAGUAUUAUUGAUGCCCAUAUCCCACUGUAAACGGUUAUUUUAAACCCAAUCCAAUAUGUGUUGUUGAAAAUUAGCCAACCAUGCUGCUGUGAUAUUUUUGGUUGAAGUGCAUGCAGCUUGUAAACAUGCUGCAGCACGUAUGCUUGCGGUAACAGCAAGGUUUUCUCUUUAGUUUCAUUGUAAUCAAACUAGUUGAAAAUGAACAAUUUGAUGACAACUUGAUACAUUAGGUGUUAGGUAAAUGUUUAGGUGACAUUUUACUUAUUUUGACCAGCUUAUUGACUGGUAUAUGUAAUUGAUUUAUUGUAACAUCCCUUACCCAAGACCGUCACCGGAAUCGAGUACGAUAUGUCAUCCAAUUUAACUUACCAAUUCGGGCAUAAAAAUUUGCUUUUAAAAUUAAAUUUACUGUUCACAACAAAACUAUCCACCUGCGUGACUGUCACUAAUUUAACUAUAACUCGAGUUACAAGACUCAAAAUUUAAAUCCGUAAAUUUUCCCUGAAACUAGACUAAUAUUCCUACUUACCAUAAAAUUUUCAGAAUUUUUUACUUAGCCAAUUAGUACAGUUUAUUCAUUAAAGUAUACCCUGUUUCACAGCUCGACAGGUCUGACCUCUUGGAACUAAAAAUAAAUUAUCUCAUUUUACAAAAUUCAUAUAAGGUUAUCGUUUGUUUCUUUUGAAAAUAGACUCACUAAUAAAUCUAUACAUAUAAAUUAUGACCCAUAAUUAUUUCUUUACAAUUUAUAAUGAUUUUCCAAAGUCAGAACAGGGGACUUCAAAACUAUUCUGACCCUAUCUCACUAAAAUUCAAAUAUCUCAAAAUACAGAAUUUCUUUGCCUACACUGUUUCUUUCAUAUAAAAAUGGACUUGAUAAGCUUUAAUUCCAUAUAUAAUUCACUCUCUAACUCUAUUUCCACUAUUUAUGGUGAUUUUUCACAUUCACGUCACUGCUGCUGUCAAAGAAACUACUUCUUUGUAUUAGCUACCAUUUACACAUACAUAAUACCAAAACAUAAUCUUUACUAACCAUUUCAAUAGCUAAUCUUAGCCAUAUCAUAUGAACAUACUCAAAAUGAUUAAGACUCUAUACAUGCCAUAGUUUAAACAUUUUGAAAAGCACAUAAUACCGAGAUGAUUAUGAUAGUGUGAUACGAGCUCCGACGAUCCCAAAUUCGAUCAAGUUCAAAUCACUAUAAAACAAAGGAAAGAAUGAAAGGUGUAAGCUAUAAAUAGCUUAGUAAGUUACAUGUAAAAAAUAAUUACUCAUUUAAUAAUUAACACUUUUAACAUAUAACUAAUCAAAACAUUUCUUAGCAAUUUCAAUCACUUACACAUGCACAAUCUUACCAAUUCACUUGCAUAUACAUUUUCACACUUAACAUUUAUCACAUAUGCUCAAUUCUUUCAAUUGUACCUGCAUACACACUUCAUUUCAUAUUCACUUUAACCCAUCAUUAAUCCCGUUGAACACUCGGAAUAUACACAGAUACGUAGAGAUUUAGCACAUAAGUGCAACACUGAUAUGUAGCCGAAGCUACCACUGAAACGUAGCCGAAGCUACCAUUGAUCAAUAACACUGGAAAUGUCCACGGGCCUGCUCACACAAGUUGUUAGGUGUCUGCAACACAUGCUAGAUCACCCAGCACCCGGGACUCACUGUAACACUGUAACACUAGUCUCUAGUGACAUGUCACUUGUAUCCACUUCUAUUCCUAAGGUCAACCGGGAAUUUACACUUAACACUUUAUUUUAAACACUUUAUCACUUGAAUAAUUCAUGAACAAUUUUCCUUCCACAUUCAAUAUUGAUUCACAUAUCAAAUAAAAUUCACAAUUUAUAAAAUAUAUUACUAUUAUUUACGCAUAACUUACCUCAGAUGCAAAACGACUAUUUUUGUAAUUUAGUCGAUAACUUUCUCUUUUCCCCGAUCACUCCCACUAUUUCUUCUUUCUUGAUCUAUAUUAACACAAUUUAAUACAUUUUAUCAAUAUUCCAUUCAAAUACAAUUCAUACACAAUAUUUUGGCAAAUUUACAUUUUCCCCAUAACUUUUCAAAAAUUCCACUUUUGUCCCAAAGCUCGUAAAAAUAAAAUUCACUAAAUUUUUAAAUUUCAAACUUCACUAAAUCAUAUUUCAUGCUCAUAACAGCCUUCAAUUUCACAAAAUCACAACUUUAUGCAUACUUUACCAUCUUUCACAAUUUAGCCAUUUUUCAACAUUUUCAUCAAAAUUCAUCUAGUAAAACUUGUAAUUAACACUUCAAACAUUCAUUAUCUAACAUCACUAAUCAAUUUACAAUUAUAUCAUGAAUGGGUCAAUUUUUAAACUUUAAUUUCAUUUAAAUUAAAUAGUAGAAACAUGAAAUUCAAGCUUCAAUAAGCAUAAAAAUACGAAAAUAAUUAAAAACGGGGCAAGAAAUCACUUACAAUUGAGCUUAGGAAGAUCAAGAACCCUAGCUAUGGUGACAUGAAUUUUUUUGGCAGCAAACGUCUGAUUUUGAAGAAGAUGGACACUUAUUUUCACUUUAUUUUGUCUUUUACUCAAUUUGGACAAAAAUGCCCUUGACCCAUUACUUAGAUAUUUUUCUAGAAUUACCCUUUUGUGUCCAUAUCACUAAUUUAUGGUCUAAUUGCCACAUAAACACUUCCAAUUUCAUGCAAUAAUUCAAUUAAGUCAUUAAUCACUAAUUAGACACACUUUGCAUUUUUCUCAAUUUAGUCCUAAAAAUUCAAUUAGGCACUGAAUCAUUAAAAUUUUCUAUUCAUAUUUUCACACAAUAUUUCAAUCAAUCAGUAACUAAUAAAAAUUUAUAAAAUUAAACUAUUUCACUUCGGAUUGUGGUUACGAAACCACUAUUCCGAUUAGGCCCUAUUUCGGGCUAUCACAUUUAUGCCUCAAUUCAUAAGUAAUGAAAUCUUUCAGAAAUUAUUCUUCAUUCUCUGGUUUUUUACUCAAGUUCUUAAGCUGAUUUUUAAUGUUUUCCUUAGCAAGACUUCGAGCCUUCUAGCUCAAGUUUCUGUCAAAUUUUUCAUUAUGUUUUCUUAGUUCUAACAAUUGGUAUCAAGAGUUUUUUUUUCGAUCCUUAAACCCAUGUCCUCAUUCGGUUUCUCUCCAGCUCCACCACCAGUGUUCAAUGGUGGAGGCUACCACAUUUGAGUAGUGAAAAUGAAGACCUACCUGCAGGCAUUUGACUUGUGGGAGGUUGUCAACUCGGAUGUUAAACCACCACCUUUGAGAGCCAACCCCACAGUGGCUCAGAUCAGGCAGCAUUCUGAUGAUAGAGCCAAAAGAUAUAAAGCAAUGUCAUGCAUCCAAAACAGUGUGUCAGACUUGAUCUUCACAAGGAUCAUGGCUUGUGAAUCUCCAAAACAAGCCUAGGAUAAGCUCAAGGAAAAGUUUCAAGGGACUGAAAGAACGAGACAACAACAACUCUUGAAUUUGAUAAGGGACUUUAAAAAUUUGAAGAUGAAAGAAGAAUAAAUAGUGAAGCAUUACUCAGACAGGAUCAUGUCUGUUGUGAACAGCAUCAGAUUGCUUAGGGACCAGUUCAAUAAAGCAAGAAUAGUUGAAAAGGUUAUUGCAACCUUACCUGAGAGAUAUGAAGCCAAAAUCUCUUCCCUUGAAGACUCAAGAGAUCUGUCAAGCAUCAUUUUGAUUGAGCUGAUCAAUGUUCUUUAUGCUCAAGAGAAAAGAAGAGCUAGAAGGCAGAAAGAGCAUCAAGAAGGUGUCUUCCAAGCCAAGAGCAAACCAGCCUCGAGCUCCUUUAGCUAUAAAAGGAAGAAGACUUUGUCAGAUAAGCCUAGAAGAGAUGGAGCAAGAAGAAAAUAUCCAUCUUACCCACACUACAGAAGGCUCAGUCAUCUAGAAGCAAACUUCUAGUUUAAACCUGAUGUGCAGUGCAAUAUCUACAAGCAGAUGGUCCAUGUUGAGAAAGUGUGCAAAAACAAUGCUAAGCAGAAGCAAAACCAGCCUCAGUAGCCUGGAGCUGAAGCUCAAGUGGCAGAAGAAGGUUGUAAUUAAGAAGAGCAAGUCUUUCCAGUCUCUUGUUCAGCUGCCAAAAGAAAAGCCAAGAAAGGGUGGCUGAUUGACAGUGGUUGCACAAACCACAUGACUCCUGAUGCAGCUAUUUUCAGGAACUUAGACAAAAGCUUUAACACAAGAGUAAAAGUUGGCAAUGGACACUACAUCAAGGCAGAAGGCAAGGGAGAUAUACUGAUUGACACUCCUAUAGGUACCAAACUAGUUACUAAUGUUCUGUUUGUGCCUGAAAUUGAUAGAAAUCUGCUUAGUAUAGCUCAACUGCUUGAAAAAGGUUACUCAGUAGUGUUUAAAGACAAAGAAUGCCUAAUCAGUGAUCCACGUGGAUCCAAACUCAUAUCAGUGAUCAUGACUAACAGGAGUUUUGUUGUGGAUUGGAACAAAAUUUUAGAGAGUGCCUACACAACUGUCUUAGAUGAGUCUAAAUUGUGGCACAAGAGAUUUGGCCAUGCCAACUACAAGUCACUGGUUUAGCUGACCAAAAGGGACUUGGUUGAAAACUUUACAAAAUCAGUUGAGAAAGAGGAUGUUUGUGAAGUGUGUCAACUAGGAAAGAAAACUAGACAGCCAUUUCCUUUGAACAAGGCUUGGAGAGCCUCAGAAAAGCUGCAGUUAGUCCACACUGAUGUGUGUGGCCCUAUGAAGACACAGUCUUUGAAUGGUAGCAGGUAUUUCAUCCUCUUCAUUGAUGAUUAUUCAAGGUUUUGUGGGUUUACUUUCUAAAGCACAAGUCAGAAGUGGCCUUAGUAUUUUGGAAAUUCAAGGUUGCGGCAGAAAUAGAAUCAGGGUACAAGCUAAAGACAUUAAGGUUAGAUAAUGGCACAGAGUACACUUCAGCAAUGUCUCAGGGAUUUUGUGAUGAAGCAGGCAUCAAACACCAACUCACCAACACCUAUACACCUCAACAGAAUGGUGUCAGUGAGAGGAAGAAUAGAACCUUGAUGGAUAUGGCUCGAUACUUAAUGUUUGAAAGGAAUUUACCUAAGAAUUUUUGGGCUGAGGUAGUUAACAUUGCAAUUUACCUUCAAAAUAGGCUACCAACCAAGUCUUUGUUUAAAAACUCCAACAAUUGGUAUCAUGAGCCUAAGUCUUUGAGGGCCAUUGAUUUUUCUUCCGCUGCUUGUUAAAAAGAAAGAAGUUGCCAAAGCAUGUCAUUUAAGACUGCUUGUAGAGAAGACAGUAACAGCUUAACCCUGUGAGACUCUCAAACAAGCUUGAAUAAGCUGAAUGAGGAAUUUCAAGGAAAGUAUGUGAGCUCAGCAAAAAUGUGUAAGUUACAAGCUCAGCAAGAUGUCAAAAUUGCGAGCUUAGCGAGAAGUGUGAGCUAUGAGCUCAGCAAGUGGUGCAAACUCAUCAAAAGGUGCGAGCCCUGUAUAGUUGCGAGCCUGUUGAAGACACCAGCUGAAGGCAGUAUGCAAAUAUGUGAGUCUGUCAAAUGUUUGAGCUCAGCAGCAUGUGGAAGCUCAAUGCGAGUUGUAAAGUUGCAAGCCUGUUAAAGACAGUAAGCAAAGUGCAAGCCUGUCAAAGUGUGAGCCUGUCGAAUUGCAAGCCAAAGUGGUGAAUAGUCUAAAUCCAAACCUGAAUGAGGGCACGCCAAAGUGGCAGACAGUCUAAAUACAAGCUCGAGUGGGUGUAAGCCAAAAUGGCAGACUGAAGGCAAGCAAACUAUACUCACAAAUUGUAUAUACAAGAAGAAACAUGAUUGUAAUGAACAAAGGAACAAGGCAAGAUGUGUUGUCAACUAAGGCUAUGAAAGAGGAGAAUACUCCAUUUGAUGAACAAACCUUUGGCACAAAAAACUGAUAUGGUCAAUUGUGUAAGUUAGGUUUGGUUGAAAAUAAGGCCAAGGUUGAAAAUGUAUUGCUUGAGCAGGUUCAGCUUGAAACAAAGCAUUUUGGGACUACCAAGCUUAAAAAUUGUUGAAUGAUUGGUAUUCGCAGCAUGGAGUCUAAGAAGGAGUGUUGAAAAUUGGCCAACCAUGCUACUGUGAUAUUUUUGGUUGAAGUGCAUGCAGCUUGUAAACAUGUUGUAGCACGUAUGCUUGCUGUAAUAGCAAGGUUUUCUCUUUAGUUUCAUUGUAAUCAAACUAGUUGAAAAUGAACAAGUUGAUGACAACUUGAUACAUUAGGUGUUGAAUUACUAGUUUAGGUGGCUUGUUUAUGUGUACAAGCAAUGUUUAUCAAGUUACUAGGCUACUUAGUGGUAAUAGGUAGUAUUUGGUGAUGUAUUUGACUAUAAAUGUAACACCCACUACCCGUAUCCGUUGUCGGAAUAGGGCACGAGGCAUUACCGGAGUUUACUGAACAUUUUCAAUAAUUUUGAAUCAUUUAUUAUUCAUAUUCUGAAAAUAAUCAUAAUGUCCCUCUAUUGGGAUCUCGAAGCCCAAAACAUUUAUUAGGAACCUACUGGGAUUAAAUCGGAAUCAUAGGGAAUUUUUCGCAGAAUCCUAAAUAUAUAUAUAGAUUUUAAAAUUUUUUUAUUUCUGAAUUAGGUGCAGGGUUCAUACGGGCGUAUCACAUAACAAAUAUUUUCAUAAGAAAUUGCAUAACUGAAACAUUUUCACUCUUUCAUAAGCUCAAUUAUAUUUUUAUCUAAGCAUUUACCAUUCCAAUGCACCCUAUAAUUAAACAUAUUACCAUUCAACAGUAAUUUGGCACUUGCCUAAACUUCAAGCAACAACAUUGGUUAGCGUACUUUAAUAUUGACAAACUUAUUUUCUCGCCAUGUCUCACUUAAAUUUAUUACUCGUCUUAAUACACAUAAUUUUCCUUGUAUCAACGUAUCAAAGAUAGUCUCAUAUUUACAUAUCAUGAUACAUAUCAUUUUCUUGUUGUUUCUUCUUAAAUAUAAAUUAUUCAAUUCAUUAUGACAAUAUUUCAUGUACCAUAAUUUUUUUAUAAGUUCAAUGUAUAUUUAUUCCAGUAGCAGUUCAUAAUCUUGAAUAUGCAUAAUUAUCAGGCAAGUUUCACAUACAUGUAUUUUCCAUGUCAUAUUUUAGUAUAUCAAAUAAUUAUCAUUUCUAUAUAUUUCAAGUUUAAUUUCAUGAUUUUAUGUACUUAUCAUUUUCUAUUUUUAUCCCGUUGAAUUUCUCGGAAUUUCGAUGGAUUUUCAAAGGUACACUUUAGUGUACAAAUUCGGGUCCAUCAAUUCAUAUUCAUGUGCGCACAUUUUUCAAUUCAGAGAGCACACUCCCGCGAACCUCAUUUCUUACAGCGGGAUUACCAAUCCAGGCUAAAUCCCCUGUAAUAUAAACUCAUAGAGUAUUGUCGGGAUUACCAGUCCAGGCUGAAUCCCCUGCAACGACAAUUACUCUAAUGACCUUGGAUCUGAAUUACCGGUCCAAGCUAAAUUCAGACCAUAAUUCGGAUUACCCGUCCGGGCUAAAUCCAUUUUCCACAUAUUCUUCAAGAGGGCUAUAUCAAGAUCACCCGUCCGGGCUAGAUCUUUUUCACACAUAUUCUUUGGGAGGGCUAUAUCAAGAUAGGAUCACCCGUCCGGGCUAGAUCCUUUUUACCGUCAAUUCCUUUUCAGAGAUCCAUCGAUUUUUCCUUCCAUUCAAUCAGGAUUUUUUUUAUUUUUACAAAUAUAUCAAAGUUUCAUCAAUAACAUACAUUUCAAGCAUCUAAGAAUAUAAUUCAAGUUACACGAACUUAUCGGGCUAAAUUGCAGAAAUAUCAAAAUUUAGGGACAUUUUGGUAAUUUUCCAUUUUUCUCGAAUUUCCACCCAAAUCUUGAUCUAAAUUAAUAUUUCAUUCAAUUUAUUAAUUUAAAUGAUAAAACAAUUCAUUUCAUACAAUUUGGUCAUUUUUUGACAUUUUUACAAAAUUACCCUUAAAAUUUUACUUUUAUUCAAUUUAGUCCCUGAACCUAAAACAUGUAAAUUAUCUAUUUUAAAAUAAAAUCAUAUUAGCUGAAUAUUCACAUAUAUUAUUUUUCCUCCUCCUCCACUCCAGUCCACAUCCUUUAUAUAUAUAUUACCAUUAUUUACUUGUUUACUCAUAACAAGCUGUUCACUUGAGUUAUAGUCACUAAAUUAAUUAUAUCUUAAGCUACAGAACUCCGAAUUGAGAUCUGUAAAUUUUCUCUGAAACUAGACUCACAUAUAUUCUUACCAUAAAUUUUAAUAAUUUUUUUAUCCAAUAAGUACAUUUUAUACUUUAAAUUCAUCCCCGUUCCGCUGUCUGACAGUUUUUACCCUUCUUCACUAAAAAUUAAUUAUCUCCUUAUACAGGAUUCGGAUGAUGUUCUCGUUUGUUCCUUUUUAAAAUAUACUUAUUAAGGAUUCUAAUAAUAUAAAUUAUAACUAAUAAUAUUUUUUUUACAAUUUUUAAUGACUUUCCAAAGUCAAAAUAGGGGAACCCAAAUUCAUUCUGACCCUGUCUCACAAAAUUUAUUAUAUCCCAUAAUUUAAAAUUCCAUUGAUUACAUCGUUUCUUCUAUGAGAAACUAGACUCAAUAAGAUUUAAUUUCAUAUUUUUUUCAUCCUCUAAUCAAUUUUCAUGAUUUAUGAUGAUUUUUCAAAGUUAACCUACUGUUUCUGUCCAAAACUGUUUUAGUGCAAAAUGUUGAUUACUAAAUUUAUAACACCCUUAUUCCCUUUCUCUAUAGUAUUUCCCAUCACUUUCUCUUAUUUUUCUUCACUAACAUAUCAAGAACAUAUAACCUUAUAUAAUAAAACCCUACAUUAACAUCAAUUUCAUACUUUUUCAAUAAUAUCAAACUCAAAAAUAUAUUGAAAUCAUGAUGUUCUUACCUUGCUCUAUUGAUUUCAAUCUUUAACUUGAUUUUCUCUCUCCUCCAGCCUCUAUUUCUUGAAUCUAACUUGAUAUUCUAGCUCCCAUAGUCUCCUUAUCAAUUUUCUCUCUUGGUGGCUAUGGAAAUUUCUUUGAAUUCUAAGUGAAAAUGGUGAAUUUUUGGUGUGAGGACCAAAUUGUAAAGAAAGAAAAACUUUCUUUCUUUCUCUCUUCUUCUCACGUUGAUGCAUGGAAAAAUGGUGGGAUGAUGGCUUCCAUCUUUUUUUCCACAUAUAUAUAUACGCUAAAUAAAAUAAUAAAAUAUCAUUAAGAAAAAAAAUCAAAUCAAAAUAUAAUAAACUAAUAUUUAUUUAUUUAAUCUAAAAUAUCUCUAACAUCAUCAUUAUUUUCUAUAUUUCUCUAUCUUCUUAUUUGACCAUUUUUCCCUUUAGAUCUUCUAAAAUUUCAUCCUUGAGUCAUCACUUAAUUUGAUAAAAUUACAAUUUGGUCCCUCAUAAUUCUUCAUCUAUUCAAUUUGGUCCCAAUUCAUCCAUUUUCCUUAGGUUCUAGAUUAUUCCACCCUUAAAAUAUUUACACUAUUGAUCCUUCAACUUUUUCAUAUUUACAUUUUAACCCCUCAAAUUUUGAGUAUUUACUAUUGGGUAACAAAACUUUUCUCACUUUUACAAUUUAAUCUUUUCUUGAAGUGAUAUGUCAUAAUAUACUUCUCAAUGUUGUUAUAACUCAAAAUUCUCCUUUUUGUCACUUUAUUUCCUUACUAUAUCAAAAAUAAUAUCUUACUGUAAAAAUUUUUGGGGUAUUACAAUAAAUGUAUUAUUUUCUUAUUGAAUGAGUGAGCAAAAAUGAGCUAUCAGCCAUAAGCUCCCUUGCUGCACAUUUCUGAGCAAGUAAAUUUUUUUUCUUGUAUCUUGCUACCUUGUCUUGUGUUAUGUUCUUCUUUAUGUUUUUCUUUCUCUACUCUUACAAAAACUCCAACAUGUGUCAUAGAUAAGUAAAUAUGGAUUUGCACCCUCCGUCUGCACAAAAGUUCCCUUAUCUAAACAAUUCGAAAAUAGUGAAAACUUAAAGCAAAAGGCAUACCUUGAAGCAUACAAGCAACUAAUCUUCCAUAAUUCAUUAUGGAAAUUAAGUUUUUUUUCACUACUUAAAGAAGGUUGUCUUCAAGUACUUUUGUGUUAUUUUAGUUACUUUCAAGAAGUAUUUAGUUUUUAGUUGAAAUUGAAUAAAAGGAGCUUCUUGCUAUGUUUUAUGAUUUGUUAAGCCAAUUUGGGCCUAGAGUAAACCUAACAAGUUAAUCGAGUCUGCAGGAAACAAUCAAAGCUAAGAAGUUAAUGGCUUGGAUUGAAUGUCGCAACAUUCAGUAAGAAAGCUGUGACAUUGGAAGCUGCUUCAACACUUAGAUAAAUUUUCAACCAACAACCACAGGCAAGCUUAUUGGACCCAAAGUUGCAACAUUGGACGAUCAAAGUCGCAACAUUGGCCUACAAAGUCGCGACAUCCACUCACCAAAGUCACAACAUUCAAGCCAAUAGCUUGAAGAUGGAAGUUGAUCCCAAACAAUAGCAAAAUCACAACAUUCAAGCCAGUAGCCUGAAGAUGGAAGUUGAUCCCAAACAGCAGCAAAGUCGCGACAUUCAACAAGUCUCAAAAGAUCGAGCAAAAUGCUUGCAAAGUCAUGACAUUGAAGCUUGACGAAUCAAAAUUUUAAAAGGGUGUUUCCGUCCGUAAAAUUGAUAUUAGCUUGUAAUUUUAGAGUUAGUCGAACUAAAUUGGUCAAUAUAAAAUUAGACUAUAAAUAUUACAUUAAACUGAGCUCUUUUAGGGUUUUAAAUUUAUAGUUUAGUAAGAUUUCAGAUUUUCUUUAACAUUGUUUUGUUAUUUUUCAACUUUCAGUUUAAUCUAUUUGCAGUUUUCCUUCAAUAUUCCUCUUUUACUUUAUUUUUGUCUGUGAUUUAUCCCAAAGCAGUAUUCAACAUAUUUUGUAGAUUAACAUGGUCGUUCAAUCAAUCAUAAGUUGUGGAUGCACUAGAAUUUUUGAGAAUUUCUUACCAUUCUCUUUAUUAUUUCACAUUGUUUUGUUGUUUGAUAAUUGGGUUAGGUUAAGUGCAUCUAUAAUGGCUUGCAAUUAAAUGGUUAUCAAAUUGGAUGUGGUUAGUCUGAAGUUAAGGUUAGAAACCAAUUAAUUGGAUUAAGUUGAAUGUGCUUAAACCUUAAAAUUGACGAGUCUAGAAAAUAGUGUAAGUAGAUAAGACCGAAAAAGUAUUCUACUUAGAAUCGAUUCAAUCUAACCUGGUUUAGAUCUAUCAGGUUGACAGAUAAGUGAACCUUAGAUAUUUUGACAUAUACCGCAAUUACUAAGGAAAUAUUAAGAUUCAUUAGAAAGUUUUGUACACCAAAAUUUGGAUUUACAAGCUUUUACCAAGAUUUCUAACACAAAAAAAAACCAAUAUUACUAAUAACACAUCCUUAGAUAUUUUGAUUUAUACCACAAUUUCUAAUUAGAUAUUUUUUAAUAUGGAUUUUCUAAUGAAACCACCAAACUUUGAAUAUUUUAAACAAUUUUCAAUAAUUAGAUAUUUUUUAAUAUCUUUUUGUUUUUUGUUUCUUAAGGUAUCCACUAGAGCGAAUCCACAAAUCAUUCGCGUUUUGCAAGCUCAUUAAAGGGGGUACACACUGACCAUAAGUUUUAAAGCUAUUCCAUAACCAAGACAAGGAUCGAACCUCUCGACCACUGGUUGAGGUAAGAGAAACCCUUGCCAUCUAAAUUUCAAAAAGUUAUAAAAUGGUUGUUAAAAUUUUUGAAAGUUUUCAUUUAAGUAAAUAGAUUAUUAAAAUCGUUGUCGUAUGGCCCAUCCUCAUCUAAGAGCAUAUCCUUACAAAAAAAAUGGUAUAGGUUUCUCAAAUUAUACAGGUUUUCUAACGAAAACACCAAGCUUCGAAUCUUUUGAACAAUUUUCAAUUAGAUUUUUUUAUAUUUUUAAAUAUCUAAAUAUUGGCAUUUACAAUAAAAUGAAGAAAGUUAUAUUGGUUUAGUUAAUAACAAUUCAUAAUCUCAGUGGAGGACCUAGAUCUAUUCUCUAGGACUUUCCCAACUACUCCAUUCUAUACAAGAGUAGAGAUUUCUAAAGCUUGCGAAAUAUUCUACUCAGUUCUACAAGGAUUCGGUUCUUUCUUUGGACUUCUAUAGUCUUCCAAGGCAUUUCGAUAACAUUUUGACUUGGUUUUCUUGUACUCGCAUUGUUUCAAAUUUGAUUUAAUGCUUUAGGUAACUUUGUUCAUGGGCGAACCGUGACACCUAUAUUAGGAGUUGAACUGCAUUUUACUGUCUCUAUUAAACAAAUGGACAAUUUAGUCCCUCUAAAUUAUAUCAAAAAAUAAAUUGGUCAUUUUGUUAAAAAUUUCAUUCAUUUCUAUUGUUAAGUGUUCAUGUGGCUAAUGGAGAAACCAAAUAGUAAAAAUGGAUAGAAUUUUUAAUAGAAGGACUGAUUUAUUUUUUGAUCUAAUAUACAUGACCUAAUUUGCCAAAUUCUUUAACAGAGAGGACAAAAUGCAAUCCAACUAUUAGUACAUGAGAUCCAUGAUACUUUUACCAUGCAUUGUGAGAGUGAAAUGCAUGAAUUAUUAAAGCUUACAAAUUCUAAAUGAUCUCUUGUUUUGGUUACUUGCAACUAUAAAGGCGUUGGAGCAUUUGAAUUUCACUUUUCUUGAUGGAAAGCCUAUCCAAAUUAUUUAUUCGAAUCGUGACCCUAGUGUUCGGAAAAUCAGAGACUGGAAUAUAUUUAUGAAGGUGAUAAAAAUUUGACGACAGUAUGCCAUUAAACGAUAAGCAAGUCUAAAUCAACCCUUUUAUUUGCAAACAGGAAAGAGACUUUUUUCUUAGGUAGACGAAAUUCAACAAUGUCUACGUAAAGAAUCUCUUAGCAUCGAUGAGUGGCGAAGAUUUGAAGAAUAAUCUUGGCGAUUUCUAUAUGAUAACUAGUAUUGUGGUGAUGAGGGGAUUCGAUGGAAAAUCCAAAAGCAAAUUUGUAUGUUAAGAAAUUGGAUGAUAGCAUAUCCGAUGGAAAGCUUAAGGAGUUAUUCUCAAUAUGGCACCAUAAUGUCUUGCAAGAUUGUUUAUCAUACUUUCUACAAUGGUUAAGUUCGAUCGGUUCCCGUAAUCAUUUGGCUAAAGUGUAUGAAUGUAAUGGGUAAUGUGAGACCUUAGUAGAAUAAGUAAAGGAUCGAGGUUUGUUGCAUUUCGAUUCCUGAGGAAGCAACUCGAGCUAUAAGUUAAUUAAAAUUGUCUCUACUCGAGCCCAAGCAACUUAGCUAAUAGUUUCUCUUGUUAUGACAAUAAUAAUUCCAUCAAUACAACGGAAGGUUUGUCUUGUCGCUCCGAUUUUAUAACAUUUUUUUAUGCAAAUGUUUGUAUUCUACCAUACGAAUUUAUCCUAUAGUCUCUACCAUAAAUUAUGUUUGAGUAUCAAGAUUUAGGAAGUGUAAAUUAUGUUGAAGAUAUUGAGAAUUUAAGAAAAUUUUGAGCGGGAAGAAAAGAUGAAAAAAUGAGAAUUUAUAAACCCAAAGUGAAGUCGACUUCCGGUAUAUUAAAUUGGAUGGGCUGAACCAACAGCUAAAUAAAUACAAACCCGACACCGAGAGUUGAAUUUGUCUUCCAAAAAAGAAAAAAAGAAACUUUUCCCACGUCUGUAUAUCAAUAAAGUAUCAAAUUUAUGGUAGACACUUAGAUCUCCCCCAUUUAUUAGUUCUCUCAAGCUUUUAAUGGUGAAAUAAACCAAGAUCUGAAGGAGACUGGCUGGUUGAAUUUUAUUACUGGCUAAUCUGCUCUCAACUCAACAGUCAACUCUUCCUCUCAGAACGCUAAUCAAAGGUAACUUUUCCUCUUUCCUCGUUGCUUCUUUGAUCUGAUUCCCUUACUAACGCUUUCCCAGCAAAAGUAAGAACAUUUCAAUUUGAUUUUACUCCAUUUUCCUACUAGUUUCUAACAUUAGCUUCGUUACUUCUUUUAGGUUCUUCAUGCUCCACAAAGUCUUGAUUUGGGAUUUCACCAAAGCAUCAUGGUAUUAAUUUCCCAGGAAAUUGCUUCUUUGUCUUCACCUUUACUUUCUCUGAAAAAUCUUUAUUUAUGAAGAACUUGUUUGUAUAUAUAUUUUUCUUGCAGAAUUACCUAGUUGGAGCUUUCAAGCCGCCGUGUAAUAUUUUCAUUUCAUUUGCAGAUGGAAGAAGCCGUAAGCAGGUUAUAUAUUGCUUCUAAUUGCUACUUUUUGGCUAUCUAAUGGCAAACUCUGAACAUUUUAGGUUAGUAUGCAUUUAGGUACUAAGUGAAUCGUAUGAUUAUACUUUUGUGUACAACAAUUAAAUUAGAAUCAAUGCUUUGUUCUGCUCGACUUGUCAUUUUAGUCAGCUAUGGUUUCGAUUUAUACUAUUCGAAGCAGCUAAUUUAUGAAGUUGAAAUUUGAGUAAUUGUUGGUUAUAAAUUUGUUUUAUUGUUUGUUUAGCAUGCAAAAAUUUUAAAUAUAUAGUAUGUUUUUUUGUUGCUUUUGGGCUCAUUUAGGUCUCUUCCAUCAUGUUUUUCUUUUUCCUAAUGCGGUUGCAGUGAACUUUGGUCAACAAUUGGGAUCUUGAGUUUUGUCUGAGAUGUUUUACUUUUAUCUAUUGCUGUUUGUUUGGCAUUUUAUAAUCAAGUAUACUCUUCUCACAGCAAUAUUACUAUUUAGGUUCCACUAAAGAAGGAAAAUGGGAAAACAGUUAUGGUUGCUCUCUUCCAGAGCCAAGAAAGUAUUGUAGGAGAGGUAGUGUUUUAACGUUGCCAUUUUGUUAGUUAUGAUUAUCUGCUUAUUCUAUCCAAACCUUUUUUUCCCUUUUAUAUUAUUUGCAUGCAAAAACUGUAUGAGCUAUUUGACUUCUUAAUACUGAUACCUCAGGUUGUUAUAGAACCAGUACAUAGGAAGAAGGUCGAACAUAAUGGAGUAAAAAUUGAGCUCCUUGGUCAGAUAGGUUUGCUCUAUUUCCUCUUGUCUUUCAUUUUCAUCUUAGGUCUGCAUUUGACUAUUCACUGAGUAUAUGUAUCUAGCUAUUAUUACAUGACUUUUUUAAUCUUUAAAAGUUGCAUGCAAUUUAGCCUGAUUCAAUCUAUACCUGCUUGUAGCUAAGUUAUUCUCUUUGUCAUGGUUGAGUCUGUUCUUAACUUUAAAUUGUUCUGUUGGCUCUUGAUUUGCUAGAGCUUGUCAGUAAUGUUGGAAAGGAUGAUCUACGAAUGUAGUAUGAUGUCACUAUACUUGGUCCAUGACAUUCUUUUUUUCUUAUUUGCAGAAUUAUAUUUUGAUAGAGGCAACUUCUAUGAUUUUACCUCCCUUGGUGAGUGUAUUUGACCAUUAAAGAAAAGGCUUAAAAAGUCUUCAAUGUAAUCAGCAGUCUUAUGCAUCCUUAAAAGUUUUAUAUUCAUUUUCCAUGUGAUCCUUUUCCCCUUCUUCCCUCUCUCCCUCUUCCUUGUCUGGUUUGGGGUCACAUUGCAUGGAAGUCGAUUAUUGUGGUAAGUUGCCUCUAAGUUUCCCCUAAUUUUCACUCUUUUCUCUGCAGUGCGCGAACUAGAUAUUCCUGGUGAAUUGUACGAAAGAAAAACAUAUCCAUUUGAAUUUUCUACGGUGGAGAUGCCAUAUGAGUCUUAUAAUGGAGUCAAUGUUAGGCUUAGGUAGGCUAUAAUUUCUUUUCUUAGUUGAUGUUUAUUAUAAUUUUUUUAUGCAUCAAGAAAUUAUUCUCUUUGUGAGCAAUACCCUCUUUUAAAUGUUACUGUGCUUGUUUUAUUACCCCUAUCAUGCUGGAGUGUGAAGCACGGAAUUAUACAUUCAGUUGUUUUAGCUUCUGUUGAUGGUUGUUUGUGGUUCCAAUAGUGCUUAGUUCUUUGUUGAUUCAAUUCAUUGCUCAUAAAUCACGAUACUGAUUUAGUUGAAAGAUUAUCUCCAUUCAGUGACAGGAUAUGCACAAUGAUACGGGGAUGAAGGAUUCAUUAAAUUAGGAUAUGAAUGAAGCUGAUCUAUCUAAUUGCAAACUUGUAGGUAUAUACUGAAAGUGACAAUCAGUAGAAACUAUGUCGGCAACAUUGUGGAGUACCAAGAAUUUGUGGUAAUGUGUUUUGUAUAAGCACUAUAUGGAUCAAUUAUGCUUUUUUAGUUGAAAAUAUAAUUGGCAUUACAUUAUUUUCAUAACAGCAUUGUCUGUCCGCCUCCUUUUAAAUUUUGAGUAUUAACAUCUGAUUUGACUCAGAUUAUGUGAGAGUGAUGUGGUUUACUUUUUUAAUUCAACUGCCCUAGAAGUUUAUGAACUUUCAGUGCCUAGCAUUCUAUAUCUACGGAUAGAACAAGGAAACUGAUUGUACUGGUUUGAUAGGCUGUUAUAGAUGAGCUAUACAUACAGUUUUCAAAUAGUAAACAGGUUGAUGGGAAGGUAUCUUACCAUGUUUAUGGAAAUGCAAUUACCAUUAUGUUCUGUUAGAAGUAAUAUGUCUUGACAGAUGGUGCUUCAUUGUGAUUUACACUUUGUACACUUCAUACUAUCAUACAAGUGCUUCCAUUAUUUAUUUAUUUAUUUGUGAAAAUUCUCUGCAUCAGGUUCGCAACUAUACUCCACCUCCAUCAAUCAAUAACAUUAUCAAGGUAUGGAAAUUUCAUUAUAUGUUCUGUUGCUUAUUUGUUUCAUCUAACUGAUGAGAUGUAUAUUAAAAGAUUUCUUUCCUUUGAAACAUUCGCAUGCUUGAUAUCAAAAGUGGCUUUUGCUUCUCUUAGUGCUCCAAUACAAUUACAAGUAUUCUCUUUUUGAACACGUGUCUCAAGCGGAACUUGGGUCAUUCUUAUACUGUCCUUCUCAAGCAGAUGAUCCAGUUAGUUCCUUUACAAAUUAUAUUAUGCUUUUCUCCCAUUUCUGUCUUCCUGGUAUUCCCCAACUUUGGUUUAUGUGAAAGUUUGGGAACAAAUUUAGAACUUUUACCUUUAACUUGGUGUUGAUGGUUGAUAUGAUUUAUGUAGCUACUUCAUAUCAAUUUUGAUGUUUUGGAAUUUCAUAGUGACAUGAUUUGUUUGUUUUUAUGGUUCAUCUAGAUGGAAGUCGGGAUUGAGGAUUGUCUACAUAUUGAAUUUGAGUACAGUAAAAGCAAGUAAGUCAGUUAAAGAGCAUUUCUUACAGGAGUCAGCAUGAAAUCCGUUCAACUUAUUUCACACCAUGUUGGAAGGAUACUGAUGUGUUUAUAUUGGAUUUCUAAACCAGGUAUCAUUUGAAGGAUGUCAUUAUCGGCAAAAUUUAUUUUCUUCUUGUUAGAAUUAAGUUAAAAAAUAUGGACCUUGAGAUCAGGUGUCGAGAGUCCACUGGAUCAGGGCCUAAUACAUAUGUUGAGACAGAGACCCUUGCAAAAUUUGAGUUGAUGGAUGGUGCUCCUGUAAGAGGUACCCUUGGAAACUUCUCUAUUUCUCACCAUAAUUUCACCUUUUAUAUUUUUAAUGUCACAAUUUUAGAAUUCUAUGCAAACACCUGAGAUAUUCCGUGCCACACAGAACACUUAUAAAACCAUACUUUUAAAGAGUGCCUUCUGUUUGUUUGCCUCAAUGAUCGGUUGGUUGUAACAAUUUACUUUCUAAAACCAUCUCCAUGCUAGGGUGGUUUAAAGACCUGUCAGCUAGCGGAUUACCUGUCUAGCCUUGUGAGCUUGGCCUGAAUUUGGUCGGGCCUAGACAAAGAUUCUUGUAAUCCUGGCUCUCUUGGAUUACUUUUCAUUUUGAUAAAAAUUGUUUUUAUUUAAAUUUAAUUUUUAAAAAUACAUAAAUAUUGAUAUAAAAAUAAUAUUUCAUUGCUAGGGUGGUUUAAAGAUUCUUGUAAUCCUGGUCCGGCUCAUGGUGAUAGUGGUAAUUAUUGACUACUCGUCUAAUAAGUUGGUAGGCAAGACUGCUACUGCUGUUGCAAUAUUAUCAUUUUAGAUUAACGUUCAAGGUAUUGAUAUUAACAAAUAUACUGAUGCCUGGUGCUGCAAAACUACCAUGAAAAUGUUAAAGACUGAAAUGAACAUUCUGAUGUGUAUUUGAAAUGAGAGAAAAGAAAAGGUUCUGCCUAAUUAUGAGUUCUAUCUGGAAUUAUUCUACUUAUGCACCUUGGCGUUCGAAAUAUCGCUAUUAAUUUUGCUGUUCUUUAUUAUUUAUGAAAUAACAUAAUAUGCUGUACUUGGCUUGAUUGGAUGCUUAUUAUCUAUGUUGCUCUGACUCCUUAUUUUUCUUGAAAUAUUCGUGUAGAUCUUCCAAUGAUUCUCUAAAUAUAUAAAAGUACUUAAAACAAAUUGAACAUGCAUUCACAUUUGAGUCUGAGUAACAUAAUUUUGUUUUCUUAAUAGAGUUAUGGAGCAUAUUGAGGAAAUUGUCUAACUCAAGCUAUUACCAAUGCUUCUUACAGGCGAAUCCAUUCCUAUCAGACUCUUUUUAAGUCCAUAUGAACUGACACCGACAUAUCAGAACAUCAACAAUAAAUUCAGUGUGAAAUACUAUUUGAAUCUUGUUCUAGUGGAUGAAGAAGAUCGCCGGUACUUCAAACAGCAAGAAAUCACUAUGUACCGGCUCCUUGAAACUUCAUAGUUUUGCUCCCAAGCUGGAUGAGUUCCUUUCUGGAUGUCCAAUAUGUCGGCCAGCUGAUACUUUGGAGUUCAUUUAUUCAUCAAAAAACCUAUGGAAUGACAAAUGAUUAGGAAUCCAGGUUCCAUCGUUGCCUAUGACUUCCUUAUUCAGUUACUCAGAAAUUUGGCUUUGCAUAUUGAGGUCUCUCUCUCUAUUAGAAGUCUAAAUUUUUUUAUUUUUAAACUUUUUUGAAUUAUUUAUAUAUUUUUUACUUUUUUAAUCAGUGUAAUAUACAUAAUAUUUUUUUAAAAAAAGUUGAUAGCCUUGAAUUUUUAAGGUUAAUGGACAAUUUGAGUAACUGAUGAUAAUUUAAGUACCAAAUUAAAGCAAAAUAAAAAAAAUUUAAAUACCAAAAUAAAAAAUAAAUAUAAUUGGGCAACCAAAUUUGAGCAUUAAGCCUUUUCUAAGAGGACAAAUAAGAAUUAAAUACAUAAAUGAAACAGUAAAAGAAAUCGAAUAAUGGAUUCCAAACUCAAUAACAUUUGAACCAAAAUAAAAAUCAUCUAUAAGCCUACUAGUACAAGUGGGAAAUCUAUUAUCUAAAUCUAGAAAUGAUUAGAAUUAGAGUUACAUAGAAGUGAUUUUGAUUUUGAUUAGAAUUAUAAUUUGGCCCGACGGUCUACCCGAAAUAUGGGAGGGUUUGGGUAAAAAUAUAAGCCUGAAAUAUGGGCCUGGACAAAAAAAUGAGGCCCGUUUAGAAAACGGACCGAGCCUUGGGCACCACUUUUUUUACCCGGCCCAGCCCGAAUAUAAUAAAUAUAUUUUUAUUUUUUUAAUUUUAAAAUUUUAAAAUUUUAAAAUUUUUUUAAAAUACUUUUUUUUAAAUUUUUUUAUUUUUAAAAUAAAUUUUUAGUGUUUUAUUAAAAAAAUGGGCCGGGUCGGGCUGGGCUCAGGCUUAAGAAUUUUUUCCUGGAUUGGGCUCGGGCUUAGGAAUUUUUUUCCCGAGCCGGGCCUGGACAAAAUCUCAAGCCCAUAUUUCGGGCUAGGCCAAGCCGAAAUUUUUUUUGGGCCCAGUCCGGCCCAUGAGCACCUCUAGAGUUACAUCAAAUAUAAAAUAUUUCACCCCUUUAGAAUUUGAAACGUGAAUAUUUUAAAGAUGCGUUUGGUUGGAUGAAAAAGUGUAAGAAUAAAAGGAGGGGGUGAAAAAGAGGGACAAAAAUGAAUGCUCGGUGUAUAAAAAUCAAUUCUUCUAAAUUGAAAUGAUAAUACGAGAUAAAAUGAAAAUUAGAGUAUGUUAGUUCAAAAUUAUGUAUUUUUUUAAAAAGUAUACCUUUUUUUCUUCUCAUUUUUUAAUUCUAUCAAGUGGAUGAAAAAAAUAAAUAAUUUUUCUACCCUUCAAUUUUUCUUUUUACUCUAGAGAAAAGUACCAAAAGGGUUCAACAGAUAGACCACCAUGACAUAAUACAACUAACAAUUCCUAAGAUGGGAUAGGAUAUAACGCAGAAUAUGCUUACAGAAAUACAAGUUCAAUAAAUUUGCUCAUAUUCUUUCCAAAGAAGAAAAAAGAACUACUAAUUCAUAUAUAAAUGUGUAUAUACGGAAGCACCCGGUCCAUGGAAAUCAUCCAUGUUUCAAAUAUCAUUACAGUUUAAAAACCACUUCUUUCCAUGGAAAUCGUCCAUAUUUCCCAACACUAAUAACACUGGAAAACAAAUUGGAAGAACCAUGGCUGUUUAAUCUUACAGGCUAUAAAGAUAAGAAAAUUAAGAAAACGACAUGGGAAGCCAAAAGAAUGAACAAUAGGGAGAAAUGGAACAACAUUUAACCACUCCAUGGGCAAAAGAUCAGAGGCAUUACCCUCCAAAAUAUGGGCUGCCACCCGACAUUCCUUUACUUCACCUCUUUCAUGUCCUCCUCAGUUUUCCAAACUACAUCAUCGAGAGAGCUUGAAAGGUUUUUAUAGAACUGCAGACCAAAAACAAAACGAACUUUUAAUGGCCACCAUAAUCUUUUAUAAUUUCCAUAUUUGUUGUAUCAGAGUAUGAGGAUAUGGUCCUCCCAGGAUCCUCCAAAUACAUGACAAAACAUAGCAAAAACCGAGCAUGCCGUACCCGACCAUUACAUCUAAGUCAAAGUACCAUAGAUUCUAGCUAAGAACAGACAUCCUUACCCGUAUCAGAUUUUUAAGAGUUUUGAUAUGAAAAACAACUUUCAUGGUGAUAUUAUUGACAUGCAAGAUGCUACUGAUUCUCAAGCAUGCUCUAACCAAUAUAAAGUCUUGGAGAUAACUGAGGAAUUGCAGAAUCGAUUUCGAUAUGCAUAAUUAACAUCUAUAAAUUGAAAUCAGAUUAUGGAGUAAACAACUUCAAAUCCAAAAAUCAUGCAAGAAAUACUAGUAAUUUGGCGCCAAACUUCGUUUGCUAGCAAAGAAGACCACUCCAAUUUCAUAGGCUACAAGCAAUUAAUCAUUGGGGGGGAAAUGACAUCUACUUCUAUAAUGGGUGAUGCACUAUUACAUAACUCUCAUCGGUAGUUUGUGCAAAUUGGAAAAACACAAUAUAUUUAGAAUACAUAAUGAGAUUUUAAUUAAGGAAUUAAGUGGUACCUUGUGGAAUUCCAGUGUAUCACCCUUAGCUUUUCGCACCUCGACCAUAUGCAAAGAAGGUGCCACUUGAAAUAUCUAAUUCACAUAGAAAAAUUAGAUAAGCACAAAAUGUAAGAUGAGAAAUAAAUAAAAUGUAGCCAUAAAUUACCUCCGUGGCCACGUUAAGGUUCCCUUUCCUCCCAGCUUUCAUAUUCUCAAGUCUCAUCUGCAUAAGAUAACAAGAAAUAAGUAAAUUUGAUAAAUAUAUAGAUUCCAAUAAUUACCUUUAUAUCAUGCUCAGGAUACACUCACCUUGUAGUUCUUCUUGUGCACAUCAAACCCGAGAGGCUUUGCGGCUUCCUCAAUCUUGUGGAUAAUCUCAUUAGCAGGACGUGUAGAUGUAAACCUUGUUUCUCUCUUAAAUCCCUGCAGAAAAUGGAACAACUAAUAGUUGGUUUUAAUAUGAAAUAUAUAUCUUAGUAGUUAUCUUUCUCAAGCAAAGAGGCACUAUGGGUGUGCUUGGUUGGGUAGAAAAGUGGAAGGAUGGGAGAAGGGAGUGGAAAAAUGGAAGGAAAGUAAAUUUUGAGUUUGCUUGGUUGGGAAGAAAAGUGAGAGGAAAGAAAAUAAGAGGGAUGAACAUUUUUCCCCCUAAUGCAUAAAAACCAAUCCAUUCAAAUGUUUUAUUUUCUUUCUUUCCAUUUUUCAACUUUACCAAGUUAUGGAUGGAAAGAAAAUUACCAUUUUUCCAUCUCUCCUACCAAACACACUUAUGGAAAGAAAAAUUAAGUUUUCCAUCUUUCUAGUUUUCUACCCCUUCAAUUUUUCAUCUAUCCAAUUUUCUUUUGACUCUACCAAGCAAAGUCUGUAUGUCUUUUAAAUCAAUGAAAAGAUUUUGUUACAACCUAUGCUGCACUGACUUUUCAAUUUUGCUUGAAACACCUGUGUCUACCAUAUAUUCAGACAUGGGUGUAUAGGAAUAUGACCCUUUUAAGGACCCUCCAAGUACAUAAAAAAAAUUUGGAAAAAAGUUGAAAACCCAUAUCGAACCAUAACAAUAUCUAACAAUCACAUUUAAGUCCGAGUAACAUAGGUGACAGCUACUCCAGUUUCAGCUCAUGCUCCGAAAUCCGGAAGACCGUUAGAUUCAAUAUUAAAAGAAAUUGAUACUUCCAUAACCCAACCUUUUAAUCUUCUAAAAACACAUCAAAAGCAAACCUGUUCCGCAUCAAACAGGUUCCCGAGGUUUAACCCGUUUGACAUAGAAAUUAACUCGAAUGCAUUCAUAGGCGUUGGUUGCUCUUCUCGCUUUUCCGUAACAUGGUGCUCCUGUUACAAACCAACAAUGCCAGACUUAUUAAGAAAAAAAAAUUUGUUAAGAAGCAUUAAAAUAUAACAGCAUUUGUAUGCUUAUGUUUCAUCCACUUACUUCAGAAUCCCUAAAUACAGCUUCUACGUCAUCUAAGUUCGUAUCGUCUUUCUCCUCAAACAUGGGAGGUUUGUAAUCUUUCUUAAACCAUUCGUCUUGCAAAAUUUCGGGAAUGGUAAUGCGCUGAAAUGCAAGAAAGAGAUAUGUACACAUUAAUAUCAUGCAAGUCAAUAAUUACAGAAAAGAAAGAGAAAAGUUUGCGUAAGGUUAUCAUUUCCUAGCAAUAAAGGCCAACAUAAAUAUGCAUGCUACAUGCGUGCAGGUCCAUGCUAGCCAAAGAUUUAAUAGUGGAACACUUAUAUGCAGUUGAAGCAUGGGUCUGCCCUUGGCAAAAUGAAGAUACAGUAUCCAGAUGCAGAGCUACAGAUAAGUGCUUGAUCUUUGAGAAAAUGUUUUUUCUCGAUCAAGACUACUAAAAGUCCUAACAUUUUUAAUCUUCUCUGUAUCCAUAAAAAGUAACAGCAUAAUAUGAACCUUGCAACUUAACCCAUUACCUGGUGAGGAAUGCCUUUGUUAUUUGUUUGCAGAUUUAAUUAAAAAAACUAGUGUAUUAUUAUAUAUCUGUAGUUGAAUUUUUUAUAAAUGAUAAUAUAGUUAGAGGCAAUCAACUUCAAAUUUGGAAUUCAUGAUCAUAUACAAAUAUAAAGCCAAACUCAUAGGUGAAUUUGUCAGGAACUGAGGCAUAGUGUGGAAUAUGAAAACCUUACAUCUGGUGUAAGUAAUAUGUUCUAAGGAAUUAUAUUUAGAGUUUCAGACUGCCAAAUUAUAUAUCUUUCAUAGUGGGGAAGAGGAAAAAGUGAUGGAGCAAAUACAAUUAUACAUUCUUAAUAUCUAUUUUGCAGUUUUCUCAGAUUCCAUCUCCCACUCUUGGGUCUGCUAACUAUAAAAAUUAGUUAAAACUACAUUGCAGAUGGAAGGGCAAAACACAAUAGAGUAAAAACACAGAUUACAAACUUCACAGAGUUACAGUUACAGCACCAUGGAAUCAUGUUUUGGGAUAACAUGUAUUACUUCACAGAAUUAUUGCACAUAGACAUAGGUAAAUGUUAGUUUAGCAAGAAUGACUUUUUUAUUGAUUUUUUUCAUUAAUAGAGCUUCAUUUUCAUUUAGUUUUAGAAGCUUUUACUUAGCAUAGUAAUAAACAAUCUUUUAUUACUUGCCACAAAAAGGGCAAAAAUGAGAUCUUCAUAAUACAAAGUAUAGGAAUCUUUUUACCCUCUUCCUACUCAGUGCACAUAGAAUUUAGUAUUGAAGUCAGAAACACAUUGAUGUUAGAGGGUUAAGUAUAACAACUUACGGUAAUUGGGUUCGGAUCCAAGAUUUGAGUUAUCAAUUUCAUCGCACUAAAAGAUAGCCAAGGGGGGCAAGUGAAUUCAGCUGCUGAAAUCUGCAGAUUUUGGAAAACAAGAGUGAAAAACAGGCAAUGGGAAACAAUGGAUAACUGUGACAUGCAACUUAGGAAAUGCUAACCUUUUUAUAGAGAUUCAUAAUAUUGGAAUCAUCAAAAGGCAAGUAACCUGCAAGCAACACAAAGAGUAUCACGCCACACGACCAGAGGUCCGCAGUUGCCCCGUCAUAACCUCUAUCAUUAAGGACCUAUAUAGGAAGACAAAAGAUUGUUAAUAAUUGGGUUUCUAAGGGGCUGUGAAUACUGGAAGAAAAUUAGUGUGAUUAAAUAAUUAGUCACACCUCAGGAGCAACGUAAUUUGGUGUUCCACAGGUAGUGUGAAGGAGACCAUCAUCCUACAAGUUCAACGUCAGAUUAGAAAUACUUUGCAAUGUCCUAAAGGUCAUCAAAGCCAAAUCGAGAAGGAACAAGUCUUACACAUUUACUGAAUCAGUUACAUCAAGAUUCGGGAGUUCAAACAAGACUUAACCAAGAAGUAGAUAAAUAACAUGGACAACAGAAUAUAUAUAGUUCUAAACUAAGCAUGUUAGAAUCCAUUUUCUUAAUCACAAGCUUUAAGGUCACCAAGCUCAAAUUAGUUCAGUUCAUUACUUUUAAAUCAACAUUGCUGGUUUACAAUUAAAUACGGUUCUGAAGGGAGAUUGAUCUGUCACAUGCACUAAUAUUUCGACCUUAACAAAAUUAUCUCACUAAUAGUACCUGAUUCACUCUUUUUUUUCUUGAUAUAGACUUUCUAAAUUAGAGAGCUUCUUUUAAUAUUCAGAUACUGAAAGGUGGCAAGUAACUUAAAAUGGUGAUGUCUAAAAAUCACCAUUUUCUAUAGCAGAAAAGAAGGUGAUUGAUACAGAAACAAAUUGAUCUUUUUCUUUCUCCAAAGACGUUUAAACUUAUAUCAUUAUGUUAUGUGAUAAUUUAACAUGCUCAUAUGGAACUUAUCCUUUCAAUAACUCUGAAGGCCCUAAAGUUAUGUUAUUACUUCCAAUCGAUUGAUGGAGAAAGUAGCUUUUAUCUCGAACUUUUCAAGCUUGACACUAAACAAGAUACGAAUAAUUUCAUAAUCCUUCAUCUUUAAUUGGUUCUUUCUUUUUGUUUAGAGACAUGUUCAAAAUGAUGCUUGCUCUCUUAUUCAUUAUCACCAAUAUUAAGUUACCUUUCCACCCUACAACAAUUUUACUUUGUAAGGCCUUCACCAUCUAUAAGCUUGGGAUAGAACAAAUUUGGAUGACUUAGUAGGUCAAAGGAAAAGGUUGAAGACUCAAGAAAGCUUGAGCUUUUAGGUGUCAGAGUUUUGAAAUUGCCCACCAUGUAGAAGGGAAAAAAGAGGAUAUCAUAAUUACCCUGACUUGCUUAGAUAGUGCACUCAAUCCAAAGUCAGAAACUUUGAGGUUACCGUAAGCAUCUAAGAGCAAAUUUUCAGGCUGCAAAAAAGAUCAAGGGAAGUAUAAAUGAGCUUCAUUUCCUUACAACAUAACAUACAUGCUGGACACAAAUAGCAACUAUAAACAUUUUUGUCCUAAAGGGCGCCAAAUUAGUAUACCUUCAGGUCUCUAUGGUAUACACCCCUGCUAUGGCAAUAAUCAACAGCAUUAAUGAGCUGCUGGAAGUAUCUCCGUGCCUCAUCUUCUCUCAUCCGUCCAUUGUUUACCUUCAGAAUUAAAAAGCAAAUUCAUGUGAAUGGAAAGAAGUUUUCAUAAGCUAAUAGUUAGCUAUAGUUCCAAGAAAUCACCAACUCACAAUUUUAUCAAAGAGCUCUCCCCCGGUAACAAACUCCAGAACAAUAAAUAUCUUUGUCUUGCUUCCCAUCACCUGAACAGGAAACAUUCAAAACAAUCUGAAAAUUAAUUUAAAGCAUGUUGCUUGUCUGGUUUUCUUAAAUAAGUGACAUCAUGAGGCAUCACUCAAAAGCUGUUUUAAAGUAUAAAGAGCAGAAGGCAAGAUAAAACCAUGUAAACAGAGAGAAAAAAGUUUUGCACAGGAUUGGUUAUCAGAAAUAGUUUGUCUUUUUCUUCUUUACCAUAUAUCAAGCAUAUGUAGAGAGGGUGCAUACUUGUGCACACAGUUCACAGACAUACAUAUGCAAGGUACGAACUACGAACAAAAAUAUAUCUUUAAGAUGCCAACUAUAGAUUUUUACAGUAUGAAUUAUCCACAUGCUCUAAUAAAACAAGGAGAAAUGGAUGCGAGUACAUGGUACAUACAUCAAAUCCCCCCAUAUCGCCCUCCCAACCCAAAUGAGAACACACAGAAAGGAAGAGAAACCUCGUAUAAACGAACAACAUUUGGAUGCUGUAUCAACUUCAUUGUUGCUAUUUCCCGCUUGAUCUGCAAAUACAAGCAGAAAAAAAAUCUAAGGAAUCCGAUACAAUAUCUGAACUUAAGGAAGUCCUUUCAUAAAAUGUCACUACAAUAGCUUUGAUAAACUAUGAAAAUAGAAGCAUGAAUGAGGUUUGAGAAUUACUAAAUAGAGAGGAAAAUAAAGGGUGAAGAGAAACCUGUUCAGCCAUCUUGUGCUUGAGAACCUUCUCUUUAUCAAGGAUCUUAAGUGCCACAGCUUCCCCUGUCUCAGAAUUUCUUGCAAACUUCACUUUAGCAAAUGUCCCCUCCCCAAUUGUCCUUCCCACCUCAUAUUUACCCACACGACGCUUGAUUUUAGGUUGACUCAUUCCUCUUUAACUAUAUAAUCUUCUUCUGCUACUGAGACAAGUAUCAAAAAAUUGUUCAUUUAACAUAGAAAACCAUCAAACACAAAAGAAUGACAUAGAAACACCAAAACCUGUAGCAGAAGAACAUACUUUAACAUUAUGUAUUUGCUCAUUAGUUCAAUCAGACUCUUUCAGGAAAGUCAAUUUAGGAGCAAGAAAACAUGGAGGGAAGAUGAAAAAUAUUCACCAUUGAACUAUGAUUUAACAUCCUCAAACGUCAAAACAAACAUAUGAUGAAGAACCAGAAAAAGGGUGCAUCCCAAGUAAGUAAAACAGUCAAAUAUACUAUACCAACUUAGAGAACUCAAUUGAUUUGCUAUCAACCUGAAAAAUUGCAGAGGCUUUUAUUUUUUUUCUCUUCAAAUGAUGGAUUUCAUAGCAGCAGGAAUCAAGGCAAUUCAGCUAAAACUAAAUCAGUCAUUUCUACCAAUGAUAUGUAUAGUAAUACUAAUGAUUAGUUAAUUGGAAUAAACAAAUGAAUUACUAUAUAAAAUAUUGCCCACGAGAAUCUUCUCCAGCUGCUUAAAACCACAAAUUUCUGCUGGGAUUAAAAUAAAAAAUAUAUAUGGACCUCAAAAUAUCAUUAACUGAGAACUGAAGUUUUAAACUAAUGACCCACAGUAGAGACAAAAUCAAGGAAAAUAAUCCAAGUCCAUAAACUUAGCUGAUUCAGGGAAUUCAAGAAUUACCCAGAAUAACAAAUUAAAUUUGGAGCUUGAUUUGAUUUCACUAAUGCUGAGUGGAGGCUUAAAGAGUCGAGAAAUAUCACCACCAACAGUAAAAAAUUUAAUGUUUAAAACUUGAGUAAAAGUACAAGCUUCAAACAAAUAUUAUAACUUUGUCGUACACCAUUAACUCGUAUUGAUUAAAUAAGGAAACAGAAUUAUAUAAGAAAAUGUAUAAUUCAAAGAACUAUCGAAAGAGAGAAAAGAAUGAUUACCAAAAAAAACUGAGAAAGAGAGAAAAGAAUAAGGAAUAUGCUUAUUAGAUGAUUGGAUAAGAAAGAAAAGAAAAUGAAGUAGGAAGGAAUUAUGAUGAAAAAGUCGAAUUAAAAGACUUUGAUGAUCACAUCAUCAUUAUCAUCAUGUGAGCUGCUGCUGCAAGGAGACAAAAUGAUUUUUCAUUCACUUUUAAAAUUGGCAAAUUGGGUUAAUAAUAAUGUUCAUUUAAAAUAAGGGGAAGAGUUAAUUUAUUAUUUAAGGUAUAAAUUUGGUAAUUAUUUUCAUAUUUAGCUUGAUUUUUUUUUGUCUAAAUUAGGUUGUGAAUUUGAUAAUUAUUUUUAUAUUGGAGUUUGAACUAGGUAAUUGUUCUCAUAUUAAAGUUUAAAAUUUUAUUAUCCAAGUUAAUCCUUGAAUUUGACAAUUAUUCUCAUAUUGUGAUUUGAACUUGACAAUUAUUUGUAUAUUGGGGUCUGAACUUUAGAGUAUUCAAGGAAAUAUUAAGGACUAACUUAGACAAAAAAAAAAGUUUAAGCCCUAGUGUAGAAUAAUUGUCAAAUUCAGGGCUUAACUUAAACUAAGAAAAAGUUCAAGUCUCAUAUGAGAACAAUUGUUAUGUCCAAGGCUUAACUUGGACAAAAAAAAGUUUAAAUUCCAAUUUGAAAAUAAUUAUCAAGUUUAGAGUCCAACUUAAACUUUAAUACGAGAAUAAUUGUCAAAUUCAAAAUGGAAAAGUAAAAUACGGAGAAUGAAUGAGAAUUGCAAAAAAAACAUAAAUGAACGUUAGAGAAAGGAGAAUAAUUAUGGUCCAUGCAUUGCCCAACAACCCAUUCUUCACUUGCAUUGCAUUUAUGUCCCAAGGGCCCCAUAUUUGAUACAUCAUCAAUAUUUGUUUUAAUGUUUUUAUGUAAAAACUGUAAAUGGGCAAAGGAUUUCAGCUUAUCUAGUAAACAAUGAAUCAUAAUCCAGGGGUUCAUAUUUUGUCAAUUAGGAAGUCUAACUUUUUGCUGCUAAAUUUCAAAAUUAUAUUUUUUUUUCAAAUCAGCUUUUAUCUCAUGCUGGGGAGAGGAAACUUGGUGAACUCCCAACUUCAACCUAAAAGAUUGAAAUUGUUGAUACGGCGAAGGUUUUGGGGAAAAUUUUAAAGUUAGUGAUGAUUUGUGUUAUUACACACAACAUUUCGAAUGUUAUAAUAUUGUUUUGCAUAAUUAAAUUAAACAUUAUGAAUGCUAUAAUAAACUGUGUUAUGUGUAAUCACACAAUCAUACAAAAUAUUACAAAAAUAGUAAUAAUUUGUGUUUGUGUAAUGUUUUAUGUAGUUGGAGUAGAUGAAAAGUUAGAAAGUUGUGUUCAGAUAUUUAAAUUAAGUUCACGAUCAUGUUUUCAAUUAUAUCGUGUUCAUCGCAAUUGUAGGUAUAACGGAAGUUAUUAUGGUCAUUGUAAUUGUGAUUUUUUUUUCAAAUUUACAAAAAUUUUAAUAAAACAUAAUAAUUAAAAUUUUAAGCAUAAAAUUGUAUUUUUAAUAACUUUUAAAAUGUUUAUAACAUUCUAUAAUAUUUUAAUACCAAUUAUUGAAGUACUAAAUGUGAUCAAUGGAAGCUUUCAAAGACUGAUGUGCAACAACAAGGCACAUUCGAUUUUUCCUCCUCUAAGCUGACUUUUAAUUCUAUCUCUAUCAAUUGGAACUUGAGUUGCAAUUAGAGCUACAAUUAGUUGCUUUCUCCUAAGAUCUUUCAGAAGCUUGUAACAUCUAGGCCUUAUAAGAUUUAGGGUACCACAGUAAUCUCACACAAUUCUAUUGUAUUUAUGAUCCCUUUCAAUAUGAAUGAUCUUUGGCUUCUUGAACCAUUCAGUCCUAGCAUUUGACAAAAACUUUAAGAUUCACUAUUUUGUCACAUUUGUUAAUAUAUCCUAAUCCACCUUUGCUUAGUUAUCUUCUUCUAACGGCAAGAGUCUUAACGAAAUUCUCACUUCUUGAUCCUAACCUUUUUAGAAUAGACUGAGAAUAUGUUAACUCCUUUACAACAACAUCAAGUUUAGUAGUCUCCUUAUUCAACAGCGAGUUCGUCUCUUGAAGUUUCUUUAACAGCUUUUUAUUUUCCUAAUUUAGCAUUGAAUUCUCAUCAAUAAGCCUUGUAUUUAUCUUGCAGACUUGAUCCCACUAAUCUAGCAUAUGAUUUUAAGUGCCCAUGAAAUCUUCAAUGGACUCAGCAAUAAUGUCACUACAAUUGUCUGAAUCAAUUGCAACUGAGGUGAAGGCCACCUAAUUACUUAAGUAUUCAUCAUCUUCUUAUGGCUCACUUGAAGAAUCAUCAUCACUCCAAGUCACACAAAGAAAAUUUUUUUCGUAUUAGCAUACUCAAUUUGGCUAUGCCCAUACCUCUGACACUUAUGGCACUGAAUGCAUUUAUUUUUCUCCAUAGGGCUUUCAUCAAUGAUUACAACACCUUUCUUUUUGUUUUUUUUUUUUUGGAGUUGCAACCGCCUUCAAACACAUUUUUUUUCUUUUUAGCUUCUUGAAUGCCCUAUUGAAUUUUUUUUAUGAAAUGGACUAACUAUUGCUACGAAUCCCCAAUAAAUUUUUUCUGCCUUGCCCUUACUAUUCUUGGUCUUUUCAAGAUUCUUCUCGAAAGUUUGCAAACAUCUAAUGAGUUCAUCAAUUUUCAUUGUGUCAAUAUCUUUGCCCUCUUACAUACCAAUCACCUUGGUCGCAAAACGCUUAGGGAGAGAUCUUAAAACUUACUGAACUAGCUUGCCAUUUGAAAACUCCUAAUCAAAAGCAAAAGCUUGGUUAGAGAUAUCAAAGAUUUUUACAUAAAAAUAAGAAAAAGGCUCAUCAUUGUUAGCUUCGAUGUUUAAGCUUUUGAUAUAACAACAUUUAAAAUAAUUUUAAUUUAUGUUUCCUAAGUCAUUUGGUGAAAUAAUUAUUGGAAAUUUUGUUAAACAUUUUCAAAGCACUUUAAAGACUUGUAAAAGUACUCAAAAACAUGUUUUAGAUUUCUUUUAGUUUAUCUAAAUGCUUUUGAGUCAAUCCAAAAUGUUUUUAAAUGUUUUAAACUCAUUUUAUACAAGUCAGGGUUGUAGUAUCAGUACCCUGACCUAGUUGUAUCAAUACAACUAAAUUAGUAAGCAAAAUUGUGAAAUUAUGGGGACUUUUACCCAUACAUCCUAUGUGAUGUAUCGAUACAAAUGCACUUCUACCUGUAAAAGUUCACUUCUACCCAUUCAAGUCCACUUCUACCCAUACAUCUUGUCAACUGUAUCAAUACAAAUUUAUUUGCAAUGCUUUCAACGACUAAAAAUUAUCCCCAACGAAUAUAAACAGUCACAAAUUUUUCCUUUGUUAUAUAUACACAUGAAGAACACUUCAAAAUACUAGAGAUGAACAUCCAAGCAUAGAAAUCAAGAGAAAAGCUUCAAUUUCUUCAUUUUCUCAUUUUCUCUCGGAAAUAUCUCUUAGGUGCUUAUUUUUAGAUCUUUUUUAUCAUUCUCAUUCCAAUUCUUUAAGAGAGAGAAUUUAACACUUGUAAACACACACUUUUGAGAGGUCUUCAUUGUUUACAUAUUUUCUUUGUAUUGCAAGAGUUACUUAAGGUUUUUGACGUAUAAAACCUUAAGUAAUUUGUAAAGGGUUAUAGUUGAGCCUUGUAAAAAUUAAAGGGUUUUAAUUUAGCCACAAAAACUAAGGGGCAGGUUCUAUCUAGAAUUAUCCAUGGGCCGGACUCGCUCUAAAAAUGGGAGGGUUUGGACAAAAAUAUAGUCCCGAAAAAUGGGCUUGGGCAAAAAGUAAGGCCUGUUUAGAAAAUGGGUCGAGUCUCAGGUAAGUUUUUUUUGCCCGCGUCCAGUCUGGCCUGAAUUUGCAAUAAUAAAAAAACAAUUUUAUUUUGUUGUUGUUUUCCCACUUUUUGUCACUGUUUUGCUACCAUUUCACUAUUUUAUUAUUAAUGUUUGGAUAUUGUAUAACACUUUUUUUAUUUUUUAUUUUGCUACUAUUUUAGAGGUAUUUUACUUGUUAAGUUGCAUUUAUCUUAGUGUUAUUUAAGUAUAAAAACUUUGUUUUAAUUCAAUUUGUUGAGAAACAUUUAUUUUAAUAUUUUUAGUGUAUUAUAUUUUUAAAUUUUUUAUAUAAAAAAUUAAAAAUUAAAAAAUUUAGUACGGGCGAGUUCGACUUGAGUUUUAGCAUUUUUAUUCAAGUCGGGCUUGAAAAAAAAUUUAGGCCCAUUUUUCAAGUUGGGCUAGGCCCAGAAUAACCUGUUACGCCAAAAGAUACGAUCAACACAACCAAAACCACGCCUGUAACCCAAGUUAAUUCGCGAGGUUUUUUAAAAACACCAGUGAGAUAGACAUGAAAUACGUGCAGGAUCAUCAUUAAAACCAUCAUACUUGCCGACCAUCGAUGAACUAAUUGAAUUAACCAACCAAAGUUAGCUUUAGACAUUAUGUAUUGAACAAAAGCAAAAGCCUCAGUAACGGUUGGACGAUAGUAAAAAGUCAUAGCAAAUCCUAUAGCUACUUGUACCAAAAAAACAAGUAAGCGUAAUUCCUCCUAGACAAUAAAAUAUGUUAAUAUGAGGCCAAUUAAUAGGGCCUAAAAUUUUGUUAGGGCCCAACCCAAAUUCAGCCCGGCCCAUGGAUAACUCUAGUUCUAUCUCAUACUUGUGGAAAAGAUAGGAAUUGUAAAGAUUAUAUAUUCUCCUUAAAAAGUAAUAAUUUCAAGUAUAGUGAUUCGGUAAUUUUUUUGUUGAGGUAUUUCAAGGUAGUAGAGUUAGACGAUUGGGGUUGAACCACUAUAAAUCGAAUUGUCCAAACUUUUCUUUCAUUCUCUCAUUAUUUAAAAAAGUUUGCAAAUAUUUUUAAAAUAUCAAUUCACCUUUGAGCGUUUCAAAAGUAGUCUUUAACAUUUUGAGUUUGGGUUGUUUGACGAUAAUAAUGCAUUUAUGAGCUAUCUCUAAAAUUAUCCAAGCUUCUAAAGUAGUUUGUUAGCUUUGAUGUCCCAAGAUUUUGAUAUAACAACAUUUAAGUUAAAUUUUAUAUAUUAGAUUUCCUAAGUCAUUUGGUGAAAAUAUGUGUAAAAUCGAAACAACUGCUAAGAAACAAACUACACCGAUGAAGUGGUGCAAACUCUAGCUCAGUGAUAAAUAUCCACUAUCUUGAACAACUACAAAGUGAACCUACUCAAUCACACACCCCGCGAUAAUUUCCCUCACCCUUGUAUUUUGAAGAUUCGAUAUUCUCACCUCUAAAUUCACCCAUUAUGAAUUUAGAACGUAAAACCACAACACAAAUGUUUUAUAAUCAAAUUUGCACUCUUACAAUAAGGUUCUCACAAGAAUAGAUUAAGUGUUUAAUUCUCUCCGUACAUAAACCUAUAUAAGUCUCUCAUUUAUAUAAAGUUUAUCAAGAUUUGUUUACAUAGAAGAUUUAUCACACUCCCUAUAAAACAGAGACUAUAUAAGCUAAAUACAAUAUAAUAAUACCAAUAAUAAUAAUAAUAAUAAUAAUAAACAAGGUAAAUAAGGAUUCUUGACAGUUAAGUCUUUAGUGAUUCAAUUCAAUUCAACUUCAUUUAUUCAAGUGGUUAGAUAAAGGUGAUUUGAUUUGACCCAAUCUCCAAAAUAUGUUUUCCCUAGUGAUAUGAUCUUCAUUGAUAGACUAGAUAUCAUCCAUAUACUCAACAUAGCCCAUAUAAAUCGUUCAAUAAUUAGUCAACACUUUAAAUAUGAAAUUUGUCUCCUCGCAAAUUUGGUGGCGAGGGAUAAGCACUCCCUCUAGCACCAAAUUUUCAGUUUCAUAUUUUUCAACAAUAUGGUUGAGAAUUUUAUCAAACAUUUUCAAAGUAUUUUCAAAGACUUGCAAAAUGCUCAAAAACAUGUUUUAAAUGUGUUUGAUCCUUAUUGAGUGUUUUUGAGUAAGUACUAAAGUGUUCUAAGGUGUUUAAAAUGUUUUUAAGCCACUUUGGUAGUAAAGUCUCAAGGCAUAAAAUUUCGAAUGCAAAAUUUUGUUCAGGGGUUGCAUGUCUAGAGACACUGGUCUGCAUGUCUCGAGACAUAGCCACCAACGACUAUUUUUCAACCAAAUCUCAAGGCAUACAUUGCGAGGAUAAGAUUUAAGCCUAAAUUUAGUGCUUGCAACUACUAGAAUUCAUCCACAACAGAUAUAAAUGUCCGCAAACUUGUUCCUUGUUAUAAAUAUUGUAACAGCCUUUUUCUAUGAAAUCGGAACAGUGGUUUUGGGACCACAAAUCUGAAUCCGGAAGGAAAAUUAUUUUAAUAUUAUUUCGUGGUUUGCAUUAUGAAUGAAAUAUCACAUGAAAAUUUUGUAAAGAAAUUUUAUCAGUUACAUGUUUAAUUAGAUGGAAAGGAUCAAAUUGCAUAAAAUGCAAAAGUUAAAUUCUAGCAACUAUAGGUAUCAAAUAGCUAUGGUAUUCAAAAUUUGAUGUCCUUAUAUGUCAAAUAGACCAUUAAGAGGAGUUAGUAGAUAAGUAUGAUGAUUCAUCCAUGGAAAAUUAAAUAAAGGAAAGGAUGAAAUUGGAAAGAUGAAAUAAUUAAAGAUGAUAAAUAAUAAAAAUCUAAUAUAUCAUCAUUCAUCAUCAUCUUUCCCAAAUUAAAAACAUGGAAACCCUAGCCAUGAGAACUUGAGCUCUAGCAAACUUAUUUGGCUAAAUUAGGUAUGUAUUCUUGUCCCGUUUUUAAUAAUUUUUAUGUUUCCGAGAUCAUAAUAACUUAAUCUAGCUAUCUCGGGGAUUAAUUUGAAAAUUUAUCAAAGUAUUAGGGUUUUUCCAUGGAUGAAUAUAGUUGAACUAUGAAGUUUUAUGAUAGAAAAUGAAAGGUUGUUGAUAGAUAAACAACUUUUGUAAAAGGAAUUCUGAUGAAAUUAUAAUUUAGGGACUAAAUUGAAAAGAUGUAAAAUUCAUGAAAAAUUUUUCAAUUUUAUGAAAUAUGUAGGCUGCUAAUGUUAUAUGUAAAAAUCGGCUAGGCUUGGAAUAAGGAUUAAAUUGCAUGAAUAUCAUUUUCCGAGCCUAGGGAUGAAAUCAUAAUUUAUCAAAAGUAUAAGGGCAAAAUAGAUUUUUCCUAAGAUGUGAAUUGGAUUGAUUUGAAUAUAAAUUGAUGUUAAAUUCAUUUGUAUAGAUCCGGAUAGAUCAAAUACGGAGUUAAAUCCAAGAAAAGAGAAAGUAGCGGAUUAGUAACUUUUGAAUACACGAACAUUGUCGAGGUAAGUUCGUGUAACUAAAUUGUAUAUUUAUAUAUUUUAAAUUGAAUGUUAUGUAUUUGAAAUGUAUAAGUGCCAUGUAUAUGAAAGUAAUCACAUAUUCGACAAUGUCUGACAAAUAUUAAGUUCCAUUUGAAUAAAUGAAAUUCGAUGGAUACAGGUUUCCCAAAUUGGUUGUGGUCCUGCAUGUGUUACGGACACACCACAACUCGAAAGAGCGUCCCAUUAUUAGCUCUCAUAAGCAUCCCGAUAUAUGGCUCUCACGAGCUUCCCGUUAUAUGGUUCUUGUGAGCUUCCCGUUAAUAACUCUUCGGAGCUUCCCGAUUGGUUGUGAUCCUACAUGUGUUGUGGACACACCGCAGCUCUUAUGAGCGUCCCGAUAUAUGGCUCUUCGGAGCUUCCUGAUUAAAGGCUCUUUCAUGAGCUUCCCGAUUAAUUGGCUCUCUGGAGCUUCCCGAUAUUGGCUCGCUUAAACCUUCUCGAUAUUGGCUCGUAUGAGCUUCCCGUUAAUGGAUAUCCGGAGCUUCCCGUUACAUGGUUCACAUGAGCUUCCUGUUUAUGUGCUCGUAUGAGCAUUCCCAAAUAUGAAUUGACGAUUUACAACUCUGUACACUUCAUGUCUACUACCCUUGUAUCUAUCGAUAUUUUAAGUGGUUCAACAGGCAAAGUUCCAAUAUAAGAUAAUAUGAAUUCAAUAUGAAUUACUAUGAGUAAAUACUUGAAAUACAUGCAUAUGAUUUAUUCAUGAUAUAUGGACAUAUGAUGUGAAAAGUGUAAGUAUAUAGAAAUUUGAUUUAUAUGAAAUACAUGUCUAACAUUGUUGAUAAGGAUAUGUGUUAGGGCUUUUGGCCAAAUUGCUUGAGUAUGUUUUGUAUGCUUACCUUAAAUGUAAAUUAAUGGUAAGUUAAUUUUCUGUUAUACGAACUUACUAAGCAUAAAAUGCUUACUCUGGUUUAUUUUCCCUGUUUUAUAGUAAUUCAGAAGCUCUUUGGGUUGGAAGCUUGGCGGAGAUAUCUCACACUAUCCUUCGGCUCAUUUCGGUAUAUAUAGUAAAUUACUUUUGGUUAUAAUGGCAUGUAUAGGCUAAAUUUGGCCAAUGAUGGCAUAAAUGUGUUUGGCUGUAAAUAGACAUUGAAAUGGCUUGUGUAUAGUGCAUUUUGAUAUGUAUAUAUGUGUCAUUAUCGUGCUUGAUAUGUGUUUGAAAUGGUUAAAUGAUGGUUAAACAAUAGGUAUAUUGAGGCAUGGUUUGAGUUAGUGAAAUUGGAAAAAUGUGCAUAUAUGUACAUAUGGUUAUUUUGGUAAGUUUGGAUAUUUGAAUAUAAGUUAUGAAAUGAUAGGUUUAAAACUUGAUUUUACUUGAAUUAAAGAUCUUGUAUUGACUUGUGAAUGUGUUAAAGUGUUAAUGUAGGUGGAAGUUAAAUGGGGUGAGAAAAGUGGCCUUAGAAAUGGCUUAUUUUCGUCCACACGGGCGUGUGUCUCAAUUGUGUGUGACACACGACCUAGCACAUGGGCGUGUGGUUUGGCCGUGUGUCCCCUGUAUCUUAAAAUUUUCAAAACAGAAUGCUCAAAAUUGUUCACACGGCCUAGCACACCGGCGCGUGACUUUGCCGUGUGACCCCUGCACCUAUUUAAUUCAAGUCAAUAUGUUCACACGACCUAGCACACGAGCGUGUGGCUUGGCCGUGUGACCCAAUUCAGUAACCUCUCUAAUUUGGGCACAGGCUGGGACACGACCAUGUGCCCCUAAUUUGAAUACCAACACAGCCUGAGACAUGGGCAUGUCUCUUGACCGUGUGAGACACACGGCCUGGCCAUACGGGCGUGUGUCCCUUUCACCUUGGAAAAUUUUUGAAAUUUUGCGAAAAAUUCUCUGAGUACCCGGUUUAGUCCCGACUUAUUUCUAAUACAUAUUUUGGGCCUUAAGGGCUCAUAUAAUGGACAAUAUGAUUGAAUAUGAUUGAUUUAUGAUAUGGAUGUUAAACGAUAUGAAAUGUCCAUAAUUGAUCUAUAAAUUCUGGUGAUGCUCCGUCAUCCUAUUCCGGCGAUGGAUAAGGGUUAGGGGUGUUACAAAUACUCUUCAAGAACAUUUUAAAAUUGAAUAGGGAAACAUCCAAACAAAAAUUUCAAGACAAAAUCUUUCAUUUCUUCAUUUUCUUCAUUUCUCUUGUACAAAUUCAUUGAGAGUUUAUUGUAAUAUCUUUUCUUACUCUCACAGUUUUAUUUUUAGAGCUCCAAUUUGCAAACAUACACCUACUAUUAAUUUUUAGUUUUCUCAUCUUCUAUUUUUUAUAAUGAGUAUACUUAAAGAAAACCUCAAAUGAUCAGAAAGGGUUCUAGUUGGUCCUUUACAAAAGCUAGAGGGUUUUAGUUAAGCCAUAAAAACUAAGGGGAAGGAUUUAUCUUAGCCUUGUUUAAAAGAUAGGAAUUGUAAAGGUUAUGUCUUUUCCUUAAAAGUUAACAAUUCAAAUAUAGUGAAUUAGGAAAUCCUUAGUUUAGGUAUACCAAGAUAGUGGAGGUAGGCAAUUGGGGAUGAACCAUUAUAAAUUAAAUUGCCAAAGUUUUUCUUUCAUUUCCUUAUUAUUUAGAAAAGUUUUUCAAAAUACCAAUUCUCCCCCCCAUUCUUGGUAUUUUUGAGUCUAACACAGUUGCACACUUGGAUAUCCUUCUAAACUCUUGAGGAUCUAUACUAUUGAAUGUGGUAUUAAGUGCUUUAAAACAUGCAUUAGCCAACUUAUCUUCCUUAGUGAUCCAUGUAAAUUUCUAGCUUAGGAAUAUUUAAACAACCAACAUCCAUGGUAAGAGGCUCCCAACUAGUCAGCAUUGCCUUCCAAGCUUUCUCAUUUAAAGACUUGAUAAACACCCUCAUCCAAGCUUUCCAAUAGAUGUAGUUGGAUCCAUCAAGUAUAAAGGGUCUUUAAAUUAAGCUUCCUUUCAUCUUUGAGCAAUUCAAUAGCAAAAUCUUUCACCUAGUACGUUAAGUGUCUAUCUCUGAUAACAAUUGUUAGUAUUGAGUUGUUUGUCAGUUGUACAUUAAAUUGAAACUAAAAGAACAAAUGAAAGAUUAAAUAGUAAAGAUGGACACACGAAUUGCUUAUGUAGUUCGAAACUCUUUCCUAUGUUUGUAAAGUCUUACCCAAAGAGUAAUCUACCAUGAAUUAACAGUAUAAGAUGUGACUUAAGUUCAAAUCAUUCACCAAGUUGCAACCUCACUCCUAUAUAUUAAAUAAUAUCACUCCCCACUAAGGCUUUUCCCUUAAAAUUAAAGAGUUUGUUAACAAUGUGUACUAAAAACAAGUUCAUCUAUUGAACAAAAUAAGUGCUCUCUCUAAUUCAUACAUAAUACAUAAACAAGUCUUCUUUAAAUAGACAAAAAUAAACUUGUAAUUCACUAGGUAAUGUGAUCGAAAUAUGCCACUUAAAUUGCAAGCCAAAUGGUCUUUAGAUAAGGUAUAGAAUAAAAAGAUAUCUUUUAAACUUGAAAUUCUAUGAAAACAUAAUCUCUUCGAAUAUGGUAACAAAGAACUCCCGAAAAGUAUCAUUGCAUGACCCAAUCUCCUCAUCAAUCAUAUACCAAUUAUAAUCAUGUGCGAUACUACUCAAAUUAUUAAAGCAUGCCAACAAAUAUGGCAAAUUGCACAAUGAGUUGCAACCAACAAUGCACCAGAUAGCAUUAACCCUUACAGCAUUUACAUCAAGUAGACAAGGUGUCGAAUCCCAAGUAUUAAUUUUUUUUUCCCAAAGCAUCUAAUAUUUCAACCAUCGUAGCAUGCCAACGAGGAAUUUUAACCGCUUGUCAUGCAAAGUUUAGCACUCCAACAUCAAAACCUGACACAUGUUUAGAUGCAACUAUCAACGCUUAGUCAUGAGUUCUUCAGUACACUUGUUAAUAGAGCGAGUAAAAUUUGUUUCAAAUCGAGUUAUUUGAGUUAUUCAAAUUAUUCGAGUUCGAGUCGGGUUGAAUUUUAUAAUUUAAAUAAUUCAAAUAAUUCCAAUAACAUAUCGGUAUAAAUACUUUUUUGGUCCCUGUGAACUUUGAAAAUAAGCAAAUUGGUCUCUCUCACAACAAAAAUUAUAAAAAGAAAUAAAAUAAUUUUUAAAAUUCAAAAUAUUUAUAAAAAUUUUAAAAUUUUUAUUUUAAAAAAAUUAUAAAAAUUCUAAAAAUUUUCUAAAAUAAUAAUUUUGGGACAUAAUUACUUAUUCAAAAUUAUCAUAUACUCAAGUGUCUUUUUCUUUUUUCUUUUUUUCUUUUUUUCUUUUUUUUUCUUUUUUUUGCUUUGAAAAUUUUUUAAAUAUAUAUAGUUUCAAAUUUAUGUGUUUUAACAUGAAAUUUAGUUAUAAUGUAACAAUAUUUUUAUUUGACAUGUUUAAUUUUUUUUAAUUUAACUCUAAUAAUUUCACUCGAUUCGACUUAACUCGAAUUUCAUUUCACUCGACUCGAUUUGAAAAAAUUUUAAAUUGAGUUAAGAUGAUAAAAUAGGACUCAUAAACUCGAUUAACCUGAAAUUUUUAACUCGAUUACCCACCCUUACUUCGUAAUAUAUAAGCUCAUAUUCCAAUAGGAUGAGUAGACACAAAAACUACAUUAUGACAAGGUGGUUGCAUGCCAACAGGAAUGGAUGAAGUAGUUGGAGUAGUAGCACUUUGAGAAAGAACCACCUCAUUUAGAAAAGAAAGAUUUUCAAAAUUUGAUGAAUCAUUACUAGACUGUGAUGGAGAGUCUUCAUUAUUCAAAUCGUGUGAGGGAACUUUUGCUAUUAUGGUUGUACUGCGAGUUCUGCAACAAUUUUCAAAAUCAGCUUUAUAAUUUGAUUCUUCUUAGAUGGUUGCAAAUUAGGUGCUCGAAGCCAUUCAUUAGAGUCGGAAUAUGAGUCAACAUCCUAAAACAGUUUGUAAAGAUUGAUAUAAGGAAGAAAAUGUUGGUCAAACACAACAUGUCAAGAAAUGUAACUCGUUAUGUUGAAGGAUAUAAGCAAUGAUAACCUUUAUGAAUUGGAAUAUAACCAAGAAAUAUAUAGCAAUGAUCUAGGCUAGCAUCAACAACCAAAAACAUUAAGAAAAGGAUGAUAUGGUCUUUUAUCAAACAACUGCUAAAAAGGAGUUUCCAUAUGAAGAAUCACUGUAAGCAACCUGUUUAUAAAAAAGGUAGUUGUUGAGAAACUAUCAACCCAAAACUAUAGUGGCAUGUUAGCUUGUAUAAGCAUGGGAGUCCAGUUUUCACAGUAUGAUGAUGUUUACGCUUUGUAGUACCAUUUUGUUCAAGGUAUCCGGACAAUGCACCUGUUAUAUGAUUUCGCACCGAGCUGGAUGCUUCUUGGCUCAGUUUUUGAAAAUUCACCUCUUUAAUGCUUUUUCAAACUCAUUUUCAACCAUCCUUUUGAUCAUCCAACUUUUGUAAGCUUUCAUUUUGGACAUCAAAAAUUUAAAAAAAAUGCAAAUUGAGCAUUGCCAUUAACAACCACUUUCAUUUUAGUCACCUAAUUACUUUAAUAAGUUUUUAUUAAAAAUUUUAAAAAAAUGCAAAUUGAGCAUUGCCAUUGACAACCAUUUUCAUUUUAGUCACCUAAUUACUUUAAUAAGUUUUUAUUUUAGUCACUCAUCAUUAAUUUAAUGUUAUUAUACACUCAUUUUUGUCACCCAACUUUAAUAAGUUUUUAUAUUGGUCAUUUAUUUUCUUUUUAAAAAUUAAUUUUAUUUUUCCAAAAAAACUAGUGUUUUUAAAAGAAGUUAGAAUUAUUCAGUUGUAGAGAUGAAACCCAAGUUUUCCCUAUAAUUCAAUUCUCUGUAAAAAUUCAGGUUUUUCUAAAUAAACCCAUGUUUUUCCUUUUUAUUACGAAAAAACUAAAAAUUAAUUCUAAAACAAGAGAAAAAAAAUAAAAAGAUAGAAUGUUUUUACUUAAAAAUGCAAGUAAUCUUCUAUAAAACACUAGGCUUUUCUCUUGGAAAAACUAAAAUGAAUUCUUAAAAAAAAUGAAGUCAAAAAGAUAAAAUGGUUUUUUCAUGUAAAAAUCCAAGGUUUUUUUUAUAAAACCUUAGGUUUUUAUUUUUGCUAGAAAAAACUAAAAUUAAUUCCUAAAUAAAAUGAGUGAUUAAAAUUAAAAAAUUAGAUGAUUAAAUUAAAAAUGAAUGUUAACAGUAGUAUCUAAUUUGCAAAUUUUUUAUUUUCGAUACUCAAUGAAAAUUUAUAAACGUUGAGUGACCAAUAUUGUAAUUACCCUAAAAUAAAAGUAAAUUUGCUAAAAUCAUCUAAAAAAAAUUAUGAUAAUAAUGCGAACAAGAGAAGUACCCAUAACGGAUUUUGUUAAAUGGAAACUUAGACCACUUGUGAUUUCAAGAAAAUGGAAGUUUUAUGGCAUUGUUUGAGAGCACAUUUGUUGGAUGUCCCAAUUGAUGUGAUGGUGCCAAAUUGAGUGUUCAGCUUCAUUAUCAGGGUCUUUCUUAGUUCCUUUUGGUAGAACAUCUUGAGUUACUAAAUCCUUUAUCCAGAAACCAGAAGAUAAGAACUCACAAGCAUUAUCUUCACAGGCAACUUCAUCAGAUGUAAUAAAAUUUGAUAGGGUGGGUGUAAUAGGAAGAAUAGAACCAUUUCCAGUGUAAAUGUUCAUAUGAUGGUGACGAGAGAAGUUGGACUUGUAUAGUAUGAGCAUAAAAAUUAGAAUGACACAACUGCAAAGGCCUACUUACAUAGCCAUUAUCCAACACUUUACUACACUUCAAUUAUCAUUGUAGAUGGGUUCUCACAGCUGCAUGCAUUUUCUUCAAGGUGAUGUCAAAGCUGUGCAUAAAUUUGUGAUUUCCGUAGUAAAUAAUUUUAUGGAUAUCAGGCUUGCCAUUUGCCCCAAGCUUUGAACGGUUAGGGUAGCUAGAAAGGUUAAAAACAACAUGUCGGGUCUCACAUGCUGUCUGACACCAUCUAAAAUAUUGUAUCUCCCCUUGUGUCUUUUUCUACCAUAGGGAUUACAGCUUAUAUACUAAAUUCAAGGUUAUUUGACUUUGAUCCGUCCGGAUCUUCCGAACAGAGAUUCAAUGAGAGGUUUUAAAUUGGUUGAUAUGAAAAUUGGUACAGAUUGACUGAAUCAAGUAAAAAAUGAUUAAAAUAAACUUUUAAUAUUUUUAUAAAUAUUUUAAUAAUUUAUUUAAUCGAAUUGAUCAAAUUGAUCAAACUGAGGAAUCGAUAACUUGAUCAAUUCAACUAUAAUUCAAGAUUGAAAUCUCUUCAGUUUAGUAAUAGAAUUUGCCAAUUGGUAAGUUAACUUUUUUUUGUUGUUACAUUUCACAUUAAGUUUUUAUUAAUCAACUUUAUUAUUCUGAUAUUCAAAAUCAACUUUAUCAUAUAUUUAAUAUUUUUAUAUACAAUCAUUUACUUAAUGUGGCGAUUAAUUAUCCUGAUAAUCUUUAUAAUAAAAAUCAUAAGAACUAAAAUAAUUUCAGCUCCUAGAUUAAAGUCUUUUUUAAGCCAUAAAUUUAUAUGUGUCAUAAAAAAAGAAAAAAAGCAACAUCAACUUUUUUUACUUCUAAAAAAAGUCGAUUGAGUCUUAAUUCAAAUAAUAUCAAUAUUAUUGUCAUCAGUGCAAGAGAACAUGGGUUCGAGUGUGUUGAAGUGUAUUAUCCUUUUAUUUAAAGGUUGGAGAGAGGUUAUGGGUAGUUCUGGGUAAUGUAUCAAAUAACAAAGACUAAAAAUCAUAAUGCUACACUCAUAUGAAAGAGUCACGGGCCGCAGUUCAAAGCCCGUGACCAUCGCACCAAAUGCAUCCAAUGGAGGUCUAUUGCUUAGAUGGGGAUCAUUUGGCCCACGAGAACUGGCCCGAUUCAAUGAGCAAUUGGAGGAGCCUGUCAGAUUGAAGCCCGGUUGGCCCGAUAACGAAGAGAUUCAGGCUGAUAUGGUAACUAAUCUUAGAAGAUAGAGGGAAUCUUAUCUUGUAAAGAUUAUAUUAGAUUUGAUAAGGCUUAUCUUGUAAAUCCCUAAAAUAAAGGGAUAUAGUUAAUCUCGUCCGUCGAUGUGAUUGUAUCUUGACCGUCGGUUUUGGGGGAGCUCAACUAUAAAUAGAGAGCCUCCCCCUCAUUUGUACUCAUUCCAUUGUAUUCUGAAUUCUUAAGAGUAAUAGAGUUCUGAGAGCAUUUACUCAAACACCUUGUGUGCAUUCUUUUCUGUGGCUUUCUGUUGUUCUUUGGCUUAGCUUCUUUUGGCUUAGAUCGUUUCCGCUUUUCAAUUGGUGCCUUGGAGGAGUUCUUAAGGAAUCCUCAUUUGAGUUAAGGCUGACUUAGGCGAGUUUGGAGCAAACGGAUCGCCUAAGGCCGCACGAUUUGCGAGACGAAAAAUCUAGCCCCGUGACAAAAGGAAGUACAUAAAAAAAAGGGUGAAAAAAAUUAAAGCAACUUACUUUCUAUUUAUCAUUUACUCUUUUUUUUGUUCUUUGGAAGCAAAGAUUAAAUCCAUCUUGCUAAUAUAUAAGUAAAACAAUUACAUAAAAAAUGUACUAAAAAGUCGAUUAAUUCUUAGUUCGAUUGGUAUGGGUAUUGUUGUCCAUGUAAGAUGACAUGGGUUCAAGUGCAUUGAAGUGCAUUAUCCUCCUAUUUAUGGGCUGGGGAGAGGCUAUGGAUAAUUCUAGACAUUUUGUCAAAAAAAACAAAUAUGAUUAGAAUUUAUAAUGAAAUUGUACCAAAAAAAUUAUUAAUAGUUACGAUUUACGAAGUUACUAGUAAAAUAAUACAUUAAAACCUUGACCUAACCCUUGUACCUGAUUCAUUACCUUAUUUGUAUGUCCUCUAAAUUCUUAAAGGUAAAUUAUAUUAAUAGUCACUCAAUUAUCUUGAAUUUUUUAUUGUUUCCUUUUCUUCUUCUUUUUUACGUUAAUCAACUGGUGACAAAAAAGACAAAAUUAAAUAGUUGGGUGACAAAAAAAGCCUUUAAUAAUAAUCUAUAAUUAGAUGACCAUUUAUAACUUUAUAUAGAUGAGUGAUAAAAAAAAUCCAUUUCUUUUAAAUAGUGAUUUAAAUAUAGAAUAAUUAUAAGUUGUAGUAAUUACGGUAAUUAUACAUUAUGUUUAAAUUUCAAUUAGUUAGGAUAUGAAUAUGGUAACAUUAGGUAAACAUUCAAUUCUACAAUUGAAUGUGUCUAUUCUUAUUGUCAUCAUAUUUUAACUAAUUGAGAUUAAAAUUGAAAUAAUUGAGUGCAUAACUACUAUGAUUCUUCUAUUAAAUAUUAUUAUAUUCAUGGAAUAUCAAAAAUCAUUCACUCACUAAAAUUGAAAUUGAAAUUAAUUAUUAAUUGUACAAUUCAUAGUUUUCAAAUAUUUUUUUUAUAAAUUUACUUAAGUAAAUAUGUUAUUAAGGAUUAUUUUACGUUCAUUUUUAACUUUAUUUACGAAAAUGAGCUAAUUUUUUCAUUAUUUAUCGGAAAGGGCCGAUUUUAGCAAAAUGCUUCCAAAUAGGAGCCUUUUUAGAGGAAAUUUCAGCAAAACGUGUCCCUAGAGGAGCGAUUUUACCAUGUCAGCACAAAACGCGACCACGUGGACGCGCUUUGUUGACGUGGUAAAAUCGCUCCCCCAGGGACUCAUUUUAGUCCGUGUUUUUUUCCCCAACAGCUAUUUGAUUUUUGAUCGUUGGGGGGUCCAACGGUCAAAAAACAAACCUAUAAAACCUCCCUUCUAUUUUUUCACACAUUAUUUCUUCAAAUUUCUCUCAAAUUUCUCAAAGCUCUAUUUAAUUUUGGCAAAAAAGUUCUCCUUAAUUUUUUUUCUGAAUUAUUUUUUUUUUAUAAUUUCAAAAAUAUUUGAUCGUGUUAGCAAUAAUCGGGGAAUUAAUUCAUCUCGAUCAUAAAUAUAUCUCCGUCGAACAAAUAAGAAUGGUAAGGGUUAACUUUAAUUUUUCAAUAUUAUUUAAUAUUUUUUUCAUUUAUGUAAUUUUAAUUUAUUUUAUUUUAUAAUUUUUUAUAACAGUCUGUAGAUCGGGUGUUACAAUGCUAUAUUCGUAAUAUGUCUGGUCCUCCAUCACCGUUGAUAGAGAAUUACUUGUGGGAAGCGGGUUUUUGGCACGUGGCCACUAUAGGCCGGGGGUGAAGUUGGACCCGAAACUCAUCAGCGCGUUGAUAAAGAGGUGGAGACCUGAGACGCACACAUUUCAUCUUCCAUGCGAAGAGUGUAUCAUCACUUUGGAGGACGUGCAGUUACAAUUGGAAUUGCCGGUGGAUGGGUCCGCACUCACCGGGUACGUUCAAUCUGCUAAUUGGGGAGUCGUAUGCUAUGAUCUUUUGGGUACGAUUCCGGAUAAUAUUUACGAAGGUCAGAUCGAGAAAGGCUAGUUACAAGACACAUUCCCAGAGUCGGGGAAUGAUUCGAAUGAAGUAGAAAGAAUACGAUAUGCUCGGGCAUACAUUCUUGAGAUGAUUAGAGGUUAUCUGAUGUCGGACUUGGCAUGAAACCUCGUAAAUCUGAGGUGGCUGCUGAAACUCGUUGAUUUUAGAGCAGCUAGCAAAUUUAGUUGGGGGUCUGUCAUGUUGGCCACAUUGUAUCGGGAGAUGUGCGGGGCAACGCCACCAACUAAAGCCAAAAUCAAAGGUUGCCUAUCACUACUACAAUGAUGGGCUCAAUUUGCUUUCUGUUUUUACGUCCUCGAGUAGACCACCCAUAUACAUUCCACUUAUAACGAGGUAAAGUUUAUAUUAGAUUUUACAAUUAUUACAUAGAUUUAAAAUAUAAUUGUAUGCUAAAAUUUUAUUUAAUUAGAUGGAACCAUUCGGCGAGUUAUGUUGGAAUACUUACAGCACUUGAAGAUAUACGGUUUCUAUUAGACCAACGGUCGAAAACGCAAGUAAGCAUUAAAUAAUAUAUACAUAAAAUAGUCGUUUCACAUUUAGUAUUUAGUAUUAUGUAUAUAACUAAUAUUUUUAUCAUGUUCAUAUAGUUUCAAUGGACACCAUACGAGGAUCAAGAAAUUCGGGUAGUAAUUCCGGAUAAAUUCUUUCAAAAUCCGAACAUUUGACAUGUGAAGGUCUCAUUGGUCAACUAUACUACCGUGGAGAUACACCAGACGGAUAGAGUGUUGAGGCAAUUUAGAUUUUGACAAUUGAUUCUCGUGGCACCUGAGGUGCUCGAUAAUAGGGGUGUUCAUUCGGUUAACCGACCGGUUAACCGACCCGAAAUAACAUUAACCGAAUUAACCGACCUUUUAAAAUCUUUAACCGUUAACCGAACCGAAAUUUUUUUCAAAACAAUUAACCGAACCAAAAUUUUAUCGGUUAAUUCGGUCGGUUAACCGAAUUAACCGAAAAUUAUAUGUUUUUUAUUUUUGGUUAAAAAUUAACCAAAUUAACUGAAUUACCCGAAUUAACCGAAUUACCCGAAUUAACCGAAUUAACCAAAUUGAAUCACUACAUAAUUAAAUUAUUUUUAGACUUUUAGACUUUAGUUUUAGUCUUAGUUUUAAAAUUUUAUUUUUAUUUAUUAAAUUAUUUGUAAUUUAAUUUUAUGAUUGGGUUGGGUUGGGUAAUUGAGUUGGGUUAAAUACUUGGGUUUAGAUUGGGUUUAGAUGAAUAGUGGGCCUAUUCAUAUAUUAUAAUUUUAUUUAUUAAUUUUUUCGGUUAACCCAAAAAAUUCGGUUAACCGACCGGUUUCGAACCGAAUUAACCGUUAACCGAAAAAUCAAAAAAUAAUUAACCGACCCCCGACCGAAAAAAUUCGGUUAACCGACCGAUUAACCGAAUUCGGUCGGUUAACCGAAUUUUUUCGGUUUUACCCGAAUUUUGCACACCCCUACUCGAUAAUGAGCACAAAAUUGAAUUACGGCAAUCGAAUACGAAUUGGCCAUUAUUCUGGUCGAAAUAUAUCAAAAUGUGAAAAAAUCGGUAUGAUCAUAUACCUACUCGGGAACCGAUCAUCAUUCCAGAGUUAGCAUGCCACCGGAUUACAUGCCAUGGUUUAAGAUCCAUGGCAAGCCAUAUUUACUGUCGAAAGAGCAGAAACGUCAGUAAAUUCGUGUCGAAAGGGAACGACGGGGCCCUUUAAAUCCAAGGAGAAGGGAUGACAGCACAGGCCCAUCAACAGUGCCCACACAAUCACCGGGCCCAAUGCCUCAACUGACGACACCCACAUGACAGCCUCUUCAGAUUACGCCAGGUGCGUAUCCUAGCCCUUAUAUAUAUCCUAACCAUUAUAUGUUUCCUUUUUCCAGUCCUAUGCCAGGUUGGAAUGCAUCGCCCGGUGUAUCUCCUUUCCCGAUGACUCUGACUCAAUCAAUGAUAUAUAGGCCACCAUCGCAAGAGGGAUUGCACGAGGUAUCGUCGAAGAGCUCUUCUCAUUACCAAUCCCCAACACCUUAUGGGAUUCAAACACCUCCGCCGUGGGUGAUGCAAACACCUCCGCAUUCUUUAUUCUAUCAAGGUGGGUCAUCCUUCCAACCCCACAACCACAAUCCCCGCCGGAGCAGCCACAACCCCCACCGGAAGUUGAACCAAUGAGGAAUCCAGCGCAUAACAGUUGACAACCCCUAUAUGACACUGAUUCCGACUGGCACCAACAUUAAUUUUUUUAAUAUAUUUGUACAAACUGUUUUUAUAUUGUUUCAUUUAAUAAAAUAAAAUUUGUUUUUAAUAUUUUAAUAGUAAUUUAUUUUUAUAUUAUUAAUAUAUUUGUACAAACUGUUUUUAUAUUAUUUCAUUUAAUAAAAUAAAUUUGUUUUUAAUAUUUUAAUAGUAAUUUAUUUUUAUAUUUCUAAUAAAAUAGAAGUUCUUUUGAAUAAGGCAAUAUUUUUAAUAUUUUUAUAUUUUUAAUAAAAUAUAAAUAAUGCAACAUAGUUUUAUUACAAGAACUAUCAACUAUUUCGAUUUGGACAUUAUUGAAUUGUAUGAACUGGGUUCCUACACCAUCCGCACAACUUUUGUUGGUUCAUUCUUUCCCGAAUAUCCAUAUUGUUACGUAUUCUACUCAAGUAAGGUCGACCUUUUGGUUUGCGACGCAAUUUUCUAUCCGAUAACAACUUAAACGGAGCAAGUGAUACAGACGGCCACUUACGUUCAUCUGGACCGGUGGGAAUACGUGUCUCCACACAUUGUACAUGUAUUCUAUUUUUUACACUUCGUUGACAUAUCACAUGGGAUUCAAACAGAGAUUCUAGCAAGCUACAAUUGCAUAAACGCAUGGAUAACAAAGUGCGUCAAACAUCCCACUGUCGCAAGUCCUAUUUCUCAUGUGUACACGAUAUUGCCCACUUGUAAUACCUUGGUUCGGUCUGUCAAACUUCGUCACACAAAACCAUAGGUUGUCGCAAUCGUGACACACUAUGUGCAUGAUGUUGGUACGUGCCUUCGCCUUGUUAAUUUCUUGCAAUACCUUCCGACACCAUACAUAUGGCCUUCCUGCAUUUGGCUUUUAUAACUCGCUGCUCGCUUUGGAAAUAGUGUCGCUAAACGAAAAUAUCUUUCACACAACUGAGGUUAUUGGCAAAUGACGCGUUCCUUUUAGAACAUAAUUUAUGCAUUCAGUCAAGUUUGAGGUCAUAUGACCCUAUCGUAGGCCGUCGUCAUAUGCUUGUAUCCUGUUCGAAAGGUAUAUUACAGAGGUAGUCUGUGCCUUAUUUGUUAACUGAAUGCAAAAUAGCCAACAUCUUAUGAAAACAGUCUUUAUUGAUCUCAUACUCUGCCAAUAUAAGUUAAUAGCGAAAAUUACAUACCACUCUUCCAUUCAAAAUAAAUUAAAUAUUACAAAUAAAAUUAUAUUAAUAGAGAUUAAAUACCCAUGUUGGUCACUUUUUGUUAUUCAAUGGUAGACCGAUAUUGCCCGUAGUAGUUGGACGCAAUAUACCUUAGACAAUAUCGAUGGUGUGUACGAUCCCAUAGGCUUCCCUGUCGCUCAAUUGCGGCUAGUAUUCCAGUGCCCCGAUCCGAUAUAAUGAAGAUAUCAGGUUGGGGGCAGACAUACCUCCUUAACCUAGAGAAAAAAAGAAAUCUCAGUCAUCACCUGACUCCCCUAGUGUUAUUGUAAACGCAACUGGAAGGAUUCUCCCACCAUCAUCCUGUGUCACAGCUAGCAAUAGUCGAUGGGUAUAUCUACCAUACAUAAAGGUACUGCCAAUUUGUACCAAUGGCUCGCAGUACACAAAUGCGUCCCGGCAUUGCUUAAAGCUCCAGAACAGACACUUGAACACUUGGCAUCCAUGGAGCAAUUAGUUGUUGUAGUACGCAGGUGCCGCUUUAAGGUCUAUUAUGCAACCUGAGACGUACCUCUCCAGCACUUGACACCACUACCACAUCUUAUUCUAUGAAGCGUCCCACUCACUAUGCAUCUUUUCUAACACCUUCUGCUUAGCUAUCCAAGUCUUGCGGUAAGAGGGCGUGUACCUCAAUUGGCUACGAAUUUUGGCAAUUAAGACCGACACAGAAAUCUUGAGAUCCACCUUCAUCGUCGAUAGUAUUAAGCUAGCUAACAUAUCUGAAUCCAUCUUGGGAUGAUCUUAUGAAACACCUGUCAACAAAGUGCGUUAAAUAAUGCAACACUACGUAAUAACAGUAUUAAUCAAAAACCAUAAACACCCAGUGAUAUUGUACCGACAACACAUGUAUGUAGACAUUUGUACUUUUUUAUCUCUCACAAGUCUGUCUUUUUCCUAACUGAAACCAUGAUUUUCAUGAAUAUGUACCGUCUUGCACUGCACACUUGGCUUCGAACUUCUCGAAUUUGGAUUUAAUCGCGUUGUAGUUAACCCCGUUCAUGAUGCCAUGUUGUUUCAAUGCACCAAGAAAACUAUCCUUACUAGAAAACUCCUUACCAACUUCCAAUUCACCUGAAUCCAAUGACGAACUUGUACGGUCACGCCUUCUGUGUGGUAGAUCUGGAAACUCUAACGCAUCAUCUACUAAUAGAUUGACAUUAUGCAUGUGGGUUGAAAGCUAGUACGCCUUGAAUCGCGGAUCUUCUUCUUCUUCAUUUAAACCCCCUUCAACAUCUUUAGGUUCAGUUGGAACAGGCUCCGAUUUAGAAGAUAAUAUAAAUUAUGCACCAUCGGGACCGGGAUCUCGAGGUGGAUCCACAUCGGAUUCAUCAUCCAACCCACCAUCAUUUACAACGUACGAGGUCCCCUCGCCGAUACAUGCCGUAAGAAGUACAUCAUCCAUUCUUGUGGAUAUUUUAUAACGUCCCCAAUCAGAUUUAUAUUGCCAACCACUAGAAGUUGAUGUUAUUCCCCAGUACGUAUUUCCAGCAUCGAACAUCAACCCAUCGAGGUGCAUGUCUCAUCCACUAACCGAGUGUCGUGCAGGGGUUAUGUAUUCUAUACUGCUACCAAACACGGGGGCUUUCGUGUUCUACCUCCCACUAACGGAGUGUCGAGCAGGGGUCGUGUAUUCUUUUCGAACAACAGUAGAUGUUGAAAUCACAAAUGCUUCAUUUGGCGAUAAAAAUUGUACAUGUAACUCAAGAUAGGGUGAUCCAACUAGCUGGAUGAGUCUGCACCAUCGCCUCUAAGCUACGACCACCUUUGAUAUCAAAUGAGUCAUAUGUCAUGGGAUCAAUCGAAGCACAAAAUCAAUACUUAAUAAACGAAACUCUCAUUGGCGUCGUUCUAAAGAUUUUACGCCUAAUUCUUUUACGAAGUUCUAUCAAAUCUAUGUUCUGGUUAAAAACCAGUCGCGCUGUGUUCUCUGAUAAAAAAAUAAUGUCAUUCCCGGUGUCACGGACCUCACCAUCAUAGUAAAUAACAGCACUAAUACGUUCGCUCAUCUUCAAUUUCUAUUCUACUUAGCCUCCUUAAUUUUUCUUGCUAUGACUUAUGCAACCUGAGAAUGAAAUUUGGCUCAUUUAUAGUCUAAGGCCAAACAGGAACUACUGUAGAAAAAGAGCGUCCACGUGGGAGCUUUUUUCAUCAAUUUUACUGACAGUGUAUCCUGCUUGAAGCGUUUUUUACACCAUUUGUUCAGAACUGUCUUCUCAAAAUUAUUUUUCUCAUAAUUAUUUUUUCAGGAACUACUGUAAAAAAAAAAAACAUCCACGUGGGAGCUUUUUUCAGUAAUUUUGCUAACAGUGCAUCAUGUUUGAAGCAUUUUUUAUAUUAUCUUUUCAGAACGUCUUCUCAAAAUUAUUUUUUUCAAAAACUACCGUAGAAAUAAAUAAAAUUUUUUAUAAUUUCAAUAUAAUUUUCCCUAAACCCUAAACACAAAAUUAUUUAUAAAAAACUUAAACCAUAAUUUAAUUAAUUCUCUUAAAAACCCUAAUCCCUAAUUUAAUUAAUUUAUUUAAAAUCCCAAAAACUUAAUUUAAUUAAUUUUUAAAAAACCCUAAACCCUAAACCUACCAAAAACUCUAAAUUAUUUUAACAAAAUCCUAAAACCCUAAACCAAAAAACCCUAAGGACUAAACAUGCAAAAAGCCCUAACCCUAGAAAAACACGGGCUAAAACGCAUCCAUGUAAGUGUGUUUUGUGGUAACAUGGCAAAAUCGCUCCCCCAAGGAUGCGUUUUGCUAAAAUUUUCCCCAAAAACGCUCCUACGUGGAUGAGUUUUGCUAAAAUCGGCCCUUCCCGGUAAAUAAUGAAAAAGUUGGCCUAUUUCCGUAAAUAAAGUUGAAAAUAGGCCUUUAUUGGUAAAAUAGUUGUUAUUAAAAAAUUCAUAUUUUCUUAUUAAUAACUUCGUUAAUUAUUAAUAAUUUUAUUAGAAAGUGCUGCUAUUUUUUUAUGGAAUUGUUAAAUUCCUAAAAUUGAUCAAAUCUUUGCUCCAAAAGAAAAAAAAAAAGAAAGAAAGAAAAUUAAAUCUGAAAAGUAAUUUUUUUUAUAAAAUUGUACUUCUAUGAUUAUUUUAGUUUUAAUGAUUUUUAUUAUAAAAUUUUCAUUAUAAUGCUCAAUAUUAAUUUAAGAAAAUGAAGCAGCAAUGAUUUUAUGAAAAUUAAAGAAUUAGAUGACAACCCGAGAGCGAAAGCUCAUAAAUGGUGCACUGCGAGAUCUUGGAGGUGAUUCUGAUUAAGAUGGCGAAGGUAGGAUCUUUCAUACUUUAGGGAAAACAAAAAGUAAAAGAAACUAGAAAAACAGAGAGUAUUUAUUAUGAUAAAGAUAAUGAUGAAAAUAUAUGUCCUGAAUAUAUAAUAUUUUUAGAAAUUAAAAAAUAACAUGGGGAAGAAUAAUCCCAUAAAUGGAAAUAUGCAAAUGCAAGAAUGAUUCAUCUAAUUUUCUUAAUUGAUAUCUAUUUUUGAAUAAAUACAAUUGGCGACUUAUUAGCCACGUCUGCUCCAGUACAAGAUCGAGACACAAUUCAGCAUCAGAUUAUUCUUUAUCAAUAAAUCUACCACGUAUGUAUGUCCCUCCUACAAUCCACACAUCAAAGUGUGCCAACUAACUUAAAACCCAUUUAUGUCUCACUCAUUUCUAAACUAUUCUAGAAUUUCAUCUAUUUGAAAUCUGGUGAUUUAAUAAACACUUCAUUAUUUGGAGCCGACCAUACCUCCAAAACUAGGCACUGUUGACAUCUACGAAUUGAACCGAUUGGCGUGAGUUUAGGUUGAGAUAAAAAGAACCGAGUUCUAUUGCAAAAAAUAAUUAUCACACACAAGUACAUUAGCAAAUAUGAAAAAUCCCAAUAACAUACUACCAAGCAAGCAUUGACAACAGCAACCAGCCAUCAACAUUCCACAUUUAAUAUGCACUUAAUGCAGAGAAUCCAUAUUCUAUUGUUCACAUUACGACUGUCAAACUCAUAAUCAAAAUUCUUGCAACCUGGCAAAUAUGUUUUCUUCUUUUGGCUCAUUCAACAAAACUACAACUUUGGCUAACCAAACAUAUAACAUCCGAUUCUAGGUACACCAUUUUCUUUUUCCGAAUUGCUUAUCUAAAUCACCUAAUAUGAGAAUUGAGAAUGCAUAUUAUUAUGGCCUCAAUGAACGAUGAAAUCAGAUAUAUCAUAUAACCAUUUACUUGCAAUCUCAGGAAACCCUGUUGCUGACGGCUUGAUACAGGGAUCUAAGCUGCGUGUUCCAUUUAUCUAUAGCAGUGUACUUCUUCAUACCCUUUGAUCUGCCAUGCAUAAGUACAGGUCAAAAAUCACGUUCACAUUGGUUCAACUUCAACCACCCCUACUAUGUAGUAAUUAUUAAGGAAUAGAGCUAACCUGUCACCGCGCUCCAACAGCCGGUUCACUUGAUCAAUAUGCCCCUCAAUACGAUUAUCCAAGAUCAAUGAAACUAGCAACUGUUCAACAUCUUUUUCUGGCACAUUGAGUUCCUGAAUAUUGAAACCUCAAGGAGUUUAAUCAUAUAUUCUCCUUUUAAAAAACUCCAGAGUUUUAUCAUAUAAAAGAAGAAUCAAUAAUUAAAUAGAAUAUCUGACACAACUGACUAGAAAGAUAAAACUGUAGCCUUCACCUUUGAUAUGAAAGGGAUCCGGAUUCUUGUAUAUGGUUUUAUUAGCUUAAGUAGCACUUGAGUUCUGACAUUCUUCAACAGAUCUUCAAUAUAAUUUCGGAUGAAUGGAUCAUCCAUAAUUGUCCUUCGGUUACUCUGCGGAAGUCCAAGUUAGCAACUCUAAAGGGGGAAAGAAAGGUCCCAAGCUUAACAAUAAGGAAAGCAAAAAGAUGCUCUUAAGAUUUUUCCAAACCUUGAGGAUUUUUUCGAACUCUAUUAUUUCAUUUCGUUGAUAGGCCGCUAUAAGAUUUGUCAUUGCCAAAAUCUCAGGG
Molecule: long non-coding RNA, 263138 nt
Filed under: Gossypium barbadense (sea-island cotton)
Lineage: Eukaryota; Viridiplantae; Streptophyta; Magnoliopsida; Malvales; Malvaceae
Description: long non-coding RNA (GBAR_LNC017791)
Rfam family: Bacterial small subunit ribosomal RNA (bases 13316-13586)
Source: RNAcentral